This 275974-nucleotide long non-coding RNA is filed under the name Gossypium barbadense (sea-island cotton). Its description in RNAcentral is "long non-coding RNA (GBAR_LNC016658)". Lineage: Eukaryota; Viridiplantae; Streptophyta; Magnoliopsida; Malvales; Malvaceae. The record is from RNAcentral.
CGGAAAAUUUUCAAAGAUUGUUUUAGUUUGAGAACCGAAAUCUAACUUAUUAGCUCAUCUGAUUUGCAGUUUAAUGCUCAAAAAUAUUAAAUGCCGACGAAUAAAACAAAAACCAAAACUAGGACCAAAAACAUAUUACGGUCCAAAAAUAAUUAAAUCAUAAACCCACAAAUAUUUUAUCUGGUAACCGAUCCGAGUUCCCGCACGUCCUCCAGUCCUAAGUCAGAAGUUAACUUGAAACGUAUUAAACAAACAAAUGAGCUAGAAGCCCAGUGUGUGUCUCAACCCACAAGCAUAAUUUUUAUUUAACAAGCACAUACGUAAAUGUGAUCACAAAAUUUUACUCUAAUGUAUCAAUAACAUAUCAGAAUGUUGUAUUACCAGAAACAUAUAUAUUUCAGAUCAUAAUAUCAUAUAACCGGAACUUAUUUCGGUUUGGAAUAUCAUAAUUUCGUAUACAAAUAUAUCACACCAGAAUGUUAUGUUUUCAGAAGUACAUAUGUCAUACCAGACCAGAACAAAUGCAGACACAAAUCCUACCUUUAUCUGCUACACACCAACUCCAUCCAACAAAGCACACCAAUUCGAUUUUUAAGAGUCCAUCCAUCCAAAUCACACCGGAUCGUGGUGGUAUGCCACUCAUAAUAGUACAGCUCAGUUGCCAAACAUAUAUCGUGGUUUAACCGCCAAAAAUGCAGUAAUGCUACUAGAAAACACUUCCUCCAACAAAUCAGAACCUCCCCAAUGCAUAUGCUAAAUCACGUUGACAUACAAAGUAGAAACUGAAUACAAAAAGAAAGGAACUUGAAGAAAGGGGGAAAAAACAAAGUAUAAAUUGAAGUUUAUCUGCCUGGAAAAUUCAAGCACUUGGAAAAUUUUACUAUUUCAAUAUGACCCCUGAAUUUCUACGAUGCUCCUCCACUAGAAACUGAGUUUUCUUGUAGACAAAGGAUUUGUGUUUAUUAAUGAAGUUGGUACUGAUUGGUUUGCAUUGCAAUUAAGACCAACAAAGACAUGACAGGAUAGGAGAUAACUUAAAGUCUUUGGGUCAUAUUUUUACCCUGGUUUGCUCUAUUAGAAAAGAGUUAAUUGCAUCAACCAUCUCUAAAUUAUGACUACCAAUUUAAAUUGGUCCCCAAACUACAAAUUAUUCUAAUUACAUCUCUAAAUUAUCGAUGCUAUAUCAAUCAAGUCCUUUUGUUAUUAUAAUCGUUAAAGGACACAUCAAAUCUUAUGUUGCUAUAUUUAAAAUGAAAAAUUUAAAUAAAUAGAAUCAUGUUACAUAACUUUUAAAAUUAAAAACAAAAAUUAAGUAAAAUCAAACUACACUUAGUACUUAGAAGGUUCUUACUUUAAAACAAUCAAAAGGGAGGGAUUUGAAGGUUGUUUUUUUAUUUUUUUUUAUUUUAGCAAAAGUAAGUAAAACUGAAUACAAAAAGAAUGGAACUUGAAGAAAGGGGGAAAAAAGAAGAACAUAAAAAGAUCAGAUGAGAUCAAAAAUAUAUAUAACAAAUUUAAUUUAUAUAUAACACAAAUAUAAAUAGAUUUUCCUCACUUGGGAGCUUCAAAAUCAAACUACACUUAGUGUUGAGAAGAUUCUUAAUUACUACUUCAAUCACUCAAAAGGGAUUUGAAGGUUGGUUUUUUUUUUUCCUUUUUUUGAGCAAAAGUAAGUAAAACUUAAUACAAAAAGAAAGGAACUUGAAGAAAGGGAAAUAAAAAAAAAAGAACAAAAUUGAAAUCAAGGUUGAACUAAAAUAAGGAUAAACUUUCAAAAAGAAAUGGAAGUUUAUCUGCCUGGAAGAUUCAACCACACGGAAAUCAUAAACUCUAACACAACUGGGCUUUCUUGGUUUAGUAGCCAAAGGAUUUGUGUUAUGAGAUUAGUGCAGUAUAUUGGAUCUAAAUUAUGAGGAUUUGUUUUUCUCAGUUGUAUUUUAGUGGAUUGAAAAGGAAAGGGGAAUCUUCCUUUGCAACAAGUUGGUGCUAAUUGGUUUGCCAAUGACCCAUACAAUAUUUGUUUGGGAAUUAACAGCCACAUGACAUGAAAUGAUAGAGGACGACCUAGAAAAAAGUGAAAGUCUUUGGGUCAUAUAUUUUCCUUCAAGUUUCAAUAAUUGAUUUGUUUUAAUUAUUUAUAUGAUUUUCACUACAUUUAAAAUAUCUAAUUUUAAAAAGAAAGGGAACUAAAAAAAAAGAACAAAAUAGAAAUCAAGGUUGAAAUAAGGAGAAAAUUUCAAAAAGAAAUGGAAGUUUAUCUUCAAUUGGCCAUUCUACAUCACUACCAAUUGGCCAUGCAGUUUCUUGAGCUGUAGCAGAUUCUUCCACUAUAAUUUCAUCAACUGAUUGGCUUGCCUGCAAAGCAAAUUAAACCUUCACUUAUUACUGUUUGCUUUUGAUGAUUGAUGAUGAAGAAAGCAUAGCCAGUUUUCCAAAAUUGGACAAAGGACGACAUAUUAAGAACAAGAACUGUGAAUUGAAAAUAAUAAUGCAACAAGAAUAUCUAGAAAGAAAUAUUGACAGCCAGCAGAAACCAUAUACAGUUGAUGCAAUUUCAUUUAAUCAUUUAAAGCAUUAAAAAAAAUAAAUUUCUCUCAGGCAGCCAAAAUAAAAAUAUUGCAUGAAUGCAUAGAAAUUAAAGCUUAGUAUUGGGAGAAUACAUAGAGAAAAUAAUUGAAUGGAUGAAUUUCUGCUUUAAAGCUUAUUGUUGAGUUUGGAAGAGUAGUGUACCUGUGUUUUGGCAUGCACUGAUUUCUCUAAAUCAACACUAAAUCUUGUGGUUAUGUUGGGACAACCUUCUACAUGUAAACCCGUCAGAAAUGGGAAAACAAAAUGAUAACCCACAGGACUGAAGCUCACGAGGUUUGGUAGCUCAUAAAGCCUUAAGGAGCGGAGCUGAAGUAUGUGUAUCAGUUUCUCUUUGUCCUUACUCACAUUUCCCUCAUCUCCUUCAAACACCUGCUCUAAUUUGGAGACUCUACUAAGAUUUAGUAGUUCUAGGUUUUGAAGGCCGCCAUGAGCUAGAGUAAUGGGGAAGAGACAUUUCAAGUUUUCACAGUUAAUGAUUCUAAUCCACCUCAAAUUAGGGAAGCAAAUAGGUUGGAGAUGAUGUUGUGAUGGAGUUUGAUCCUUCUCAAUUAUUUGCUCCAAUUCCUCACAGUUAUUUAUAUCCAAGUUACACAAUUGUGGCAAAUUUCGAGCGAUGGUAGGUGAGAAGAUGUAUCUUAACCUUCUACACUUGAAGACUGUCAAUUCAGUGAGAUUUUGAAAGUGUUCAACUUGGAUGGGACCACUCCAUACCUCCCGCAAUUCAGUUAGUUUGGACAACGUUAGCCUCUCCAGACUUGAAAGAUUAUAUUUAGGAUAUUCAAAUAACUCUUCAAAAUUGGAAAUUGUUAAAUAUUCCGUACAUGUUGAUGAUCCUCCUGUCCUUUCAGGGACUGUCAGGUUGCUUAUUUGCUUCUUUUUUGUCAUCUCCGAGAAGGACAAUUCCUGUAAACAUAUCAUCAAUUUAAGAAUAAGCACAAGAUUUCUUUUUCAAUCUUUUAUAGUCAAAGAAGUCAAAGAACUCAAAUAAUCAUAAAUUACAAAAAAAAAUCAACAAAAAUAUGGUGCAAAAAUAUGGUGCAAAAACACAACAUAAAUAAUAUUACGUGGUACUAGAUAGUGUUUGCCAUAUAUAUAUAUAUAUAUAUAUAAGAAACUAAAAUGUCUUAACAAUAUAUUCUUUGUAAAUUAUAUAGAUUAUAAAAGUAUUCAGUUGAAAUGUUAUUUAUGUUACUAAUUGGUAUUUUAAUUAACUAAACUACUUAAAGGUUUAUUUAGAUUAGUUUUUAGACCAAAAUUCUACAAUGCAAACUAUUUUUUAAAGAGUUAUACAAGCAUUUAUUUCUUUUAUACAAAAAAAAUCAAAAGGUGAAAAUUUUAAUAAAUAAUAUAUAUAAGAAGGUCUUACUUGUAUAUUAGUUGGAACGAUAAAAGGUGUCAAUUGAGGACAAUCUCUCACGUAUAACACAUGUAAAGAUGGCGAUGUCAGCACGAUGUCGUUUCUAUCCCUUCCUUUCAAUUGAGGCAAAUUAAUCAACACAACUUCAUUCAAUCGUGCAAGACCUUGGGACAUUGAGAUUAACACUUCUGGUCCUUGGAUUAUUUCUUGCAAUUGGGAGCAGCUCAGUAUCCUCAGAGUUUUCAAUUGCCCAAGACUAUUAGCAACACACAUUGGGAAGAGAAAUUUCAACUGAUUGCAUUCUCUGACUAGUACUUCCCUUAGGCAUUGGAAGCUUAUGGUUGAUACUUGUGAGUCUUGGAUUAUUUCUUCCAUUCCAAAGCAGCUCUCUAUCUUCAGAGUUUGCAAUUUUCCAAGACUAUUAGCAACACAAAUUGGGAAGAGAAAUUUCAAUUUAUUGCAUUUUGUGACUUGUAAUUCCCUUAGGCAUCGCAAGCUUAUGGUUGAUACUUGUGAGUCUUGAAUUAUUUCUUCCAUUCCAAAGCAACUCUCUAUCUUCAGAGUUUGCAAUUGCCCAAGACUAUUAGCAACACACGUUGGGAAGAGAAAUUUCAAUUUAUUGCAUUCUGUGACUUGUACUUCCCUUAGGCAUUGGAAGCUUAUGGUUGAUACCUGUGAGUCUUGGAUUAUUUCUUCCAUUCCAAAGCACCUCUCUAUCUUCAGAGUUUGCAAAUUGGGCACAUUUAGUUGUUUAGAGCUACCUUGAGCAACAAUAAUUGGAAAGAGAGAUUUCAAGCUUUCACAUUCCAAGAUAUCAAUUCGAAUCAGAUUUGGAAAGCAAACAGGUAGCGGAUGAUGUUGUGAUGACGUUUGAUAUUGCUCCAAUUCCUCAUAUUUACAUGACAGCAAAUUGCUCAAUUGUUCAUUUGUCAUCUUCCCAAACACCAAUUCCUAUAACAUAUCAUCAAUUUUCAAUUUCAAAAUGUUCAAAGAUGCCAACAACUAAUUUAACAUUUCAUCAAUUAAUUUCCUUACAAAAAAUUUAUUUUACCUUAAAUCAAUAUUAUACUCCAAAAAUGUGGUACAAAAACAGUCAUAAAUAAUAUCACAUAAUCUGUACAACGCAAUUGGGAAUUACUUAAACUCAUUUUCAUAUAUUAAUACAAAAUAAAAAACCAACUGUGUAAAAGGCUAUAUUUUAAAAAAAUUAAAUCUAUUUUUUUUAGUUUAUUUUUUAAUACAAAUUCUAAAAUCAUUCAUAAUUCCUUCCAAUAUUUAAAUAGAAAGAUACACGUGAGUGCACUCGAACCCACAUCUUCCUAUUCAGACAAUAACAUCGAUACCAACCAAACUAAAACUUAUAUAUAAUUUUAUACAGCUUAUUUUUGUUUACCCAUAUAAUAGGUAUAAUAUUAUUUAGUAUUAGAAUUUGCAACAUCUAAAACAUAAAGUUUGAAUAAUUUUUAUUUUUGAAAAUUUUAUUAAUCUUAUUAUAUGGUAUUAUAAUCAACUAAUUUGUUUAAAAGGUUAUUUAGAUUAGUUUUAGACCAAAAUCAUAAAAUAAAAUAUAUCUUUUAAACAACUAUACAAACAAUGAAUUAUUAAAGAAAAAAUAGAAACAAAUAAAGAAAUAAUAUAAAACAAAAAGAAAAAUCUUACUUGUAUCGUAGUCGAAAUAAUAAAAUGUGUCAAUUGAGGACAAUUGUGUACUUUUAACUUCUGCAAAGACGAUUGUGUGAGCAAAAUGCCGUUCACAUCCGUUUUUUUCAAUUGACGCAAGUCAAUCAACGAAACCUAAAAUGAAAAGCAUAAUCAAAUUUCCCAAUCUUUGACCAUAGGACAAUAAGGAAAAGAAAUGUCAAGUUAUUGCAGUGAGAUACACAUACUUUCCUUAGACUUUGGAGUAGACAUUUGUAUUCCACUUGUCGGUCUUCGAUUAUAUCUUCCAAUUGCGAGCAACUCUUUAUCUUCAAAGUAUGCAAUUGCCCAAGGUUAUUAGCUACUGACAUUGGGAAGAUAUAUUUCAAAUUAUUGCAUCCCUCUAUUUCAACAAUCUUCAGACUUUGGAGGCUUAAAUGACGACUGGGCCCUUCUUGUUCUAUGCUCCUCAAUUCAGCAAUUGGGAAUAACACUUGCAUCUCACCACAAUCUGAAACUACAACCUCUUCAAGCUUUUGUAAAAAACCUUGCGGCUGGAGAGCAUUGCACAUCUCUUCCAAAUGAAACAUACGACUUAAUGAUAACUUUCUCAAAUUAGAGAGUGCAGUGAUUGGCACUUGCUGCUUUGGUGCAUCAAUUAGGCAUUGCAUAGAGUGGCACUGUCGAAGAUCUAGAGAAGUCAACUUUCUAAAUCCCAAGUCCAAGCUCGGAAUAAGGUUUGGGUGACCCUCCACAUCACCCAAUUCAAGAGAUUCUACAUCUUCAAGUAGUUGCUUGCAUGCAUCUACAGACUUAUUGAUUCUCAAAGAUCUUGAGAUUGGACAAGUUUCAAGGUCCCUCUUUCGGUACCACAGUUCUCUUUUCAUGCCAAUGCAAAAAUCAAAGCUCCAUAAUCUAUGAAACACAAAGCCAUCUGGAAGAUGUUCAGAAGAAAUAUCCAAUGAUAUUAUAACCAACUUUGGCAAUAAAUUCAACUCUGAUAGGCUGGAAUAGCUUUCCCUUUUAGUUGAAUUCUCAGUCGCCCAUUUUAAUGAACUACAACCAUGCAAAUAUAGUUCUUCUAAAUUGGACAAUCUUCGCAUUAAAUUAGGAGUGAUUCUUCGUAGUUCAUAGCAAUACGAUAAAUCCAACAGUCUUAGAUUUUCCAAAUCACCAGCUUCAGUCGGCAAUUCAGUGAUAUCAGAUCGACUUAAAGAGAGAAUAUGAAGUGUCUUCAGCUUCCCAAGCAUUGAGAUGUCAGAGAGUUUACAAUCAAUCAAACACAAAGUUCGAAGGUUCAUAUUAAACUUAAAUGCAGCUAGAGAUAUCAAUUGAUCUUUCAAAGCACAAACUUGUAAUGCCUUCAUACCCUCAAAGAAUUCGCUUGAAGUUUCCAUGAAACGAUUGCCACAAUGUAAAAGAAGUUUGAGGUAUGGAAAACCCACUCCUUUAGGAAGUUCAUCCGUUUGAUCAGUUUCGAAGGAGAUUGCUGUGUAAUGCUUGAAACUUUCAUCCAUCUGGAGUGUUUCAACAGUCCCAAAAGAAAUCUCCUUUCUUGAAGAUGCUAUCCACAAAGCAAAUUGGCGAACCACGUCAUGCAUUUUGACAUGCCUUUCUCCGCAAUCUAGCAACAAACCGGAGUUCUUGAGGGUCUCAAUUGAUGCAAGCACUUCACUUCUAACAUCUUUAAUUGAGUCCAUGCCUUUAUACAACUCUAGUCCCCAUGCAUAUCCUGCCAAGUUCUCCACAUAAAUCUCAUCAUCUUCAGGAAAUAAGGAGCACAACAAGAAACAUGUCUUGGUCUCCAUAUUCUUCAAGUAGUCGAAGCUCGCCUCAAGACAUACAUAGGCAUUUUAUUCAUUAACAUCCUCAAUUUCAGUCAAUCUACGAUCUUUGAGUCUCCGGUAUGCAGCUUGCCACUCAUGAUGGGUUUUACCUUUCAAGGCACUUCCCAGCGGAACUAUAGCUAUAGGCAAACCCCCGCAUUUUUUGACAAUUUGAUUUGCUAGGAUUGUAAUAGAAUCAUCAGAAAAGUCAUCUAGACCUGCUUUCUUUUCAAACAGAGUCUAAGCUUCAUCAUCAUUCAAACAGACAAGUUGUACCACGUUUUGACAAUCCAUAGCUUGACACACUGGUUGACGGCGUGUUGUUAAAAGAACUUUGCAGCCUUUAUGAUCAUCCCCAAUUGGAAUUCCUAUCUUCUCCUUUAAGUUGAUAGGUUCCCAAAUAUCAUCAAGGAUGAUAAGAAUCCUCUGUUCUUUCUUCAGCCUCAACCAUAAUUCUUUCUCGGAUCUUCUUCCUUGUUGUUGGAACAAUGGCAGCAGCAAACAUCAAACAAAGUUACAACACAGUGUUUGUAAGACUGAAACAAGAAGAAUCGAAGCAAAGAAAAAGUAAAGCAAUGAACAAAAAAUGAAUACUCAGCAAAGUUGUAACUGAACAUUACAAAAUUCAUUCAAAAUUUGAAAUAAAAGGAGUUACAAUUUGUUCAUUUGACAGUUACCUACUAAUCUAACUGCCUCCACUAAUUUACAACCAAUGUAAGCUUAAGUCAAAUACAAAAUGAGCUGACAUAUCAGCUUUUACAUCAGCUAUCUAAUCACUAACUUAAUCUUACUAACUAUUAAAGCUAGUUGCAAUUAAACUGAACUAAAUUACAACAAAACAAAACAGCAAUGUCAGUUGCUUCAUUUGGUCUGAAAACCAUUCGUGCGCACCAAGCAAAAUGAGCUGAGCUCGAUAGCUGCUGGUCUCGACAGUAGCAUGCUUCUGGCUCCUUGUUGCAUUGCAGUCCAGCUUUCAACACUCCUCCUUGGACUGUAUGCAACACAUUCCAAUUGCACUUCUCAAAGAUUCAAAUCGAGCAGCCCCCAAGGAUUUGGUCAUUAUGUCAGCCAAUUGUGCCCCUGAGCUGCAAUGCACAAGGCUGACUUCCUUUGCUUGUUCAGCCUCUCUAACAAAAUGAAAUUUGAUUUUAAAAUGCUUAGUCUUACCAUGGAACACAGGGUUCUUGGCUAUUGCAACUGCAGACUGAUUAUCCACCCAAAUUUCAGUUGCUUCAUCUUGAGUUUCAUUAAGGUCAUGAAGCAGCUUCCUUAGCCAAAUGGCAUGAUUAACUGCUCCUACUGCAGCAAUGUAUUCUGCUUCAGCUGUGGACUGAGCAACAGUUUGCUGCUUUUUUGAACUCCAGCAAAACAUCCCCGAUCCAAGUGUGAAGAAGUAUCCUGAGGUACUCUUCAUGUCAUCAAGGGAUCCUGCCCAGUCACUGUCAGAGUAGCCUUCUAGUUUUAGUUGGUUCCCACUUUCAAACAUUACACCAAAACUAGCAGUGCCCUUGAUGUAUCUAAGGACCCUCUUUGCUGCCUUCAAAUGUGCCUCAUUGCAACAAUGCAUAAAUCUCGACAAUAGGCUGACACCAAACAUGAUGUCUGGCCUGGUUGCUGUUAGAUACAACAGACAACCAACUAGGCUUCGAUAGUGCCUCUCAUCAACCCUCUGCUGAUCACCACUGCUAGUCAGCUUUUCUCCUUGGGCCACAGGUGUGCUGACUGCUUUACAGUUAUGCAUGCAGAAUUUGUCUAGGAUCUUCAAAGCAAAUGAGUGUUGGCUGAUGAAGAUACCUCGAUCAGACUGGUGAACUUCUAUGCCAAGGAAGUAAGUCAUGAUCCCCAAAUCUAUCAUUUCAAACACUUGCUGUAUUUGGACCUUGAACUCAUCAAUGAGCCCAACUUUGCUCCCUGUCAUAAGCAAAUCAUCCACAUACAAGGAGACAAUUAGCAAGGUUUCAUGUUCUGACCUUUUAACAUACAGAGUAGGCUCACUAAGGCUCUUCACAAAUCCAAGUUUGGUCAGGUAAGCAUCAACUCUGUCAUACCAGGCCCUUGGUGCCUGUUUCAGGCCAUAGAGGGCCUUUCUCAACUUAUACACUUUGUCUUCAUGUCCAACAACUUCAAAACCUUCAGGUUGCUCGAUGAAGAUCUCCUCCUUGAGAAAACCAUUCAGGAAUGCUGAUUUGACAUCCAAUUGGUGAACUCUCCACUGCUUCUGAGCUGCUAAAGCAAACAGCAGCUUAAUUGUAUCCAGUCUUGCCACUGGAGCAAAAGUUUCUAGGUAGUCCAUACCAUACUGCUGACUGUAGCCCUUCACCACAAGCCUGGCCUUGUGCUUGUUCAGUGAGCCAUCAGCAUUGUACUUGGCCCGGUACACCCAUUUUACUCCUAUGACCUUCUUGUGUUCUGGUCUGCUCACCAACACCCAAGUCUGAUUUUUAUUGAUCAUUUCCAACUCAGCUUCCAUAGCUUUCAUCCAGCUUCUGUCCUUGGCAGCCUCUUCAAAGUCUGAGGGCUCAAUCACAGCAACAUUGCACCUCUGAUAGACAUCAGCCAAAGUUCUGGUGCCCCUCACUGGUGUAUCAUCAACAGCAUCAUUACUUGGUCCUUCUUCUGCAGGUUCAGCAACCAAGUCUAACUGGUCCAAUUCAGACAAGUCAGUCUCAACACCAUUCCAAUUCCACACCUUUUCCUCAUCAAACUUUACAUCCCUGCUGACUAAAACCUUCUUUGCUAAGGAUCAUACACUCUAUAGCCCUUCUUGUUGCUGCUGUAGCCAACAAAGAUUCCUGGUGUUGCUCUGCUCUCAAGCUUGGUCCUUUUCUCUACUGGAAUAAGUGCAUAACAUACACAGCCAAACACUUUUAAGUGUGUUACCACAGGUUUGACUCCAUGCCAAGCCUCAAAAGGAGUCUUAUCCUUGACUGCUCUAGUUGGCAGCCUGUUGAGCAGAUACACUGAGGUGUUGACUGCCUCAGCCCAAAACUGACUUGGAAGCUUGCCUUAAAACAAGAGGCACCUGGCCAUGUUCAGUACAGUCCUAUUCUUUCUCUCACAGACUUCAUUCUGUUGAGGAGUAUAGACUGUUGUGAGCUGAUGGUGAAUCCCAGCACUGUCACAAAGCUUCUGAAAUCUCUCAGACACAUAUUCAGAGCCAUUAUCAGUCCUCAAGGCUCUAAUUUUACAGCCUGACUGAUUUUCAGCAUAAGCCUUGAAUUUGCAGAAGGCUUCAAACACUUCUGACUUUUGCUUCAAGAAGUAGACCCAGCACAACCUUGUUAAAUCAUCUAUAAACAGGGCAAAGUACCUGUUCUCACUGAUUGAAGGUGUUCUCAUAGGGCCACAAACAUCAGAGUAUACCAAUUCGAGCUUGUUUUGAGCUCUCCAAGCACUGUCAGCAGGAAAAGGCAGUCUAGCCUAUUUACCAAGCUGACAAACCUCACAAACAUUCCCACUAACUUCAAUUUUUGAAAUGUCAUCAACCAAAUUCAGCCUAUGUAACAGAUCGAUGGAUCUAAAAUUUGCAUGGCCUAGUCUCCUAUGCCACAAGUCAGUGCUUUCAACAAGGCUGGUGUAUGCCUUUCUUUCUAUUUGGCUAACAUCCAGCAUGAAGCACCUAUCAGUCAUAGAGACUGUGACUAACUCCAGACCAUUCAUGUCUUGAACAAUACAGCAACCAUCCUUAAAAACCAAUGUAUAGCCCUUUUCAACUAAUUGGCCUACACUAAGCAAAUUCUGGUCUAAGUCAGGUACAAAAAACACAUCUGAGAUCAGCUUGUUACCUGAACCAGUGCUAAUCAACACACUGCCCUUGCCUUUAGCCUCAAUCUGCCUGUCAUCUCCAAUUCUAAUCCUCGAGUGGAAGCUUCUGUCUAGGCCCUUGAACAGCUUCUCAUCUGCUGCCAUAUGGUGUGAGCAGCCACUGUCUAGUAGCCAAUCAUUGCUGGCCUUGGUUGUGCAAACAAAACAAGUUGCUGUGAACACUUGCUCCUCCUGAGCUUGAAUGUCCUCAGCAGGUCUAGCUUGUUGCAGAGCAGCCUCCCUUGGUUUGCCCUUGCAUACCUUCUCCACAUGGCCAAACUGCUUGCAUUUUUUACACUGAAUAUCUGGCCUAAACCAGCAAUACUUUUCUGAAUGUGUUGUCUUCUUGCAAUGAACACAUGGUGGGAACACCCUUUUUGCUUCAUCUCUUCCUGACUUGACCCUUCUAUUGUGCCAAGGCUUCUUGCCUUUUGCACUCACACUCGAGCCUUCACUGGCUUUAGCCUGGAAAGCAGCUUCAGGAUUCUCCUCCUGCCUAUUUGCCCUCCUUUGCUCAAGUGCAUACAGGGAGUUUAUCAGCUCAGACAAUGAAAUGGCUGAUAAGUCCCUCGAGUCCUCAAGUGAAGAGAUUUUUGACUCAAAUUUCUCAAGGAGAGUUGUAAUGACCUUUUCAACAACUCUGCUCUCUGUGAAGUCCACUCCCAGGAGCCUAAUGCUGUUGACAAUGGCCAUUAUCCUGUCUGAGUACUGCUUGAUGGUCUCAGACUCCUUCAUCCUCAAAUUUUCAAAGUCUCUCCUGAGGUUGAUCACCUGCUGUUGCCUUGUCUUGUCAGUCCCCAUGAACUCCUCCUUCAGCUUGUCCCAAGCCUGCUUAGGUGUGUCACAUGCCAUGGUGCGUGUGAAUAUCACAUCAGACACUCCAUUCUGCAGACAGGCCAUAGCCUUGUGCUUCUUGGCUUGCUCAUCAGCAUGCUGCCUCAUUUGUGCAAUGGUGGGGUUGGCUCUCAAUGGAGGUUGUUCAGCAUCAUUCUCGAUCACACUCCAGAGAUCAUGUGCCUGGAGGUAAGUCUUCAUUUUGACUAUCCAAAUGUGAUAUUUUUCUCCAGUGAACACAGAUAGAGGAGGUGGAGUGAAACUCAUCCUGCUAGACUGAAUCCAAAUGCUUCGAUCUUACCAAAUUUUGAACUUGUUGUUGGUUUUGAUUCGAACACAACAGAUUGCAUACAAAGGCCCCUCAAAGACUCGGGCUCAUGAUACCAUUUGUUGGAACAAUGGUAGCAGCAAACAUCAAACAAAGUUACAACACAGUGUUUGUAAGACUGAAGCAAGAAGAAUCGAAGCAAAGAAAAAGCAAAGCAAUGAACAAAAAAUGAAUACUCAGCAAAGUUGUAACUGAACAUUACAAAAUUCAUUCAAAAUUUGAAAUAAAAGGAGUUACAAUUUGUUCAUUUGACAGUUACCUACUAAUCUAACUGCCUCCACUAAUUUACAACCAAUGUAAGCUUAAGUCAAAUACAAAAUGAGCUGACAUAUCAGCUUUUACAUCAGCUAUCUAAUCACUAACUUAAUCUUACUAACUAUUAAAGCUAGUUGCAAUUAAACUGAACUAAAUUACAACAAAACAAAACAUCAAUGUCAGUUGCUUCAUUUGGUCUGAAAACCAUUCGUGUGCACCAAGCAAAAUGAGCUGAGCUUGAUAGCUGUUGGUCUCGACAGUAGCAUGCUUCUGGCUCCAUGUUGCAUUGCAGUCCAACUUUCAACACUUGUUCAUUCUUCAUAUCAAAGCCUAUGUAUUGUGCAAUUUGAUCUUGAAUUCUCUCAAAAUUAGGCUUUUGAGACACAGUCGUAAUCAUAACUUUAUCAAACGAAUUCAAUUUUUUAUCAACUAAAUUCAGCUUUUAAGCUUGACUUCCAACUUCACGAGCCAGGGUGGUCUUGCCCACCCCUCCCAUCCCCCACAACCCAAUCAUGUUGAUAUUCUCAUCUUUUAAGGCUUCAAUGAUUUGAUUGAAAGCAGGCUUCGAAGAUUCCGAAACCACAAAUUCCUUAGAACAUAGGAAGUCUAUAGUGGGAAGGGCAGUAGGAGCAGGGUAACCGACUGGUCCAAGUUGACCAAAUUUGUCCAAAAGCUCAGAGAUAUCCUGGAUUUUCUUCAUUGCUUUCUUGCUUAAUUGAUAUCUCCAACUCCAAUUAGGACACCAAUUGAGACACAUCUUAUUCAGUUGGAUUUCCUCCUCCAGAGUUCUCAUAUCUGACAGUGUUUCGUCUGCCCUUGAUUGCAAGUUCUGUACAUCAUUUUCAAUUAGUAGAAGCCGAUUUUUAGCAUCCUCAAUCUUAUGUAGUAGACGAUCUAGUGCAUCUGCAAGUUCACACUUUUUCUCUCGGAGCUUUUCAACAUUGUCAUGAAAGCGACGGACAUAAUCAAGUUGACGUCCUACCGGCUUCACCACGGAGUCCACAACCAGUGUUCCAACUGUGUUAGAAAGAGCAGCCGCACAAAAUCCGCAACCCAUGCUUGACAAGCUCAAAUUGAAGAAUAUGAUGUUCCAAGUUCAAACACUGUAGUGAAUCAUAAGUAAUUACCAUUAAAAAAAAUUAAAGAAUCAAAAAGUGCUUUGAAGAUUAAGACACUACUUCUUAUACAUACCAAGGAUGGUGAAAGACAACUCAACCUAUGAGAAUCAAUGGGCUGUUCUUUCAACUCAGUCCAGCUGAAAACACAACGAGAAAUUUAAUAAACAAAUAAAAUCAUAUACGAGUGUAAUGUCAUAUAAUUAUAACUAAAAAAGAGAGUUAAUUACUUAUAAAAAUAAUAAUUGAAAAUAUUUUAACCCUCACACUAAUAAUAUUAUAGAUAUAAUGCUGGAAAAUAUAAUAAACAUAUCCACUUACCAUUUCAAAAUCCAAACAGUCUUUUAGCGCUUACUUGCUUCAAGAAAAACAUUAAAAGAUGAGAUCAGAUCAAUUUAUAUAUAAAAAAAAACAGAAAUGAAGCAUAUAUAAAUAGAUUUAAUUUAUACGAAGAUUCUUACUUCAAAACAACAAAAGGAACUUGAAGAUGAGAUCAAAAAUAUAUAUAUAACAAAUUUAAUUUCUAUAUAACACAAAUAUAAAUAGAUUUUCCUCACUUGGGAACUUCAAAAUCAAACUACACUUAGGUGGGUUUAGAUGGGCGGUGCGUUUACCUGCGGUUAGUGUAAAAAUAACAAUGGCGGUGAAAUUAGAUACUGUUGAGAAGAUCCUUACUACUUCAAAUCAAUCAAAAGGGAUUUGAAAGUUGGUUUUUUUUUUUUGAGCAAAAGUAAGUAAAACUGAAUACAAAAAGAAAGGAACUUGAAGGAAGGGAAAUAAAAAGAAAAAACAACAAAGUAGAAAUCAAGGUUGAACUAAAAAAAAAGGAGAAACUUUCAGAAAGAAAUUGAAGUUGAUCAGCCUCGAAAAGUCAACCACUCGGAAAGCAUAAACUCUAACACAACUAGGUUUUCUUGGUUUAGUAGCCAAAGGAUUUGUGUUAUGAGAUUAGUGCAGUAUUGGAUCUAAAUUAUGAGGAUUUGUUUUUCUCAAUUGUAUUUUAGUGGAUUGAAAAGGAAAGAGGAAUCUUCAGUUUCUUUUUCUUAAUUUUCAUUUGUUAUUAGAAAUGAAAAUGGUUUUUCUUUAUUCAUUUGUAUACAUUUAAGGUGUAUUUUCUAUUAUUUACUUGUUAAAUUUUAUUUAUUUUUAUUAUAUAGAAAGCUCUUUUCCUCAAAAUUAACUAUAAAUAAGAAUAGAACUUUUGAAAUUUCAAACUCAUAUGAUAGACUUUCAAAAAUUCCAACGUUAAAAUUAUGGAUUUGUAUUAAAUUAUGGAUUUCGAAAACACAAAUUCCUUAGAACAUAGGAAAUCUAUAGUGGGAAGGGCAGUAGGAGCAGGGUAACCGACUGGUCCUAGUUGGCCAAAUUUGUCCAAAAGCUCAGAGAUAUCCUGGAUUUUCUUCAUUGCUUUCUUGCUUAAUUGCUACCUCCAACUCCAAUUAGGACACCAAUUGAGACACCUCUUAUUCAGUUGGAUUUCCUCCUCCAGAGUUCCCAUAUCCGACAGUGUUUCGGCUGCCCUUGAUUGCAAGUUCUGUACAUCAUUGUCAAUUAGUAGAAGCCGAUUUUUAGCAUCCUCAAUCUUAUGUAGUAGACGAUCUCGUUCAUCUGCAAGUUCACGCUUUUUCUCUCGGAGCUUUUCAACAUUGUCAUGAAAGCGACGGACAUAAUCAAGUUGACGUCCUACGUACCGGCUUCACCACACAGUCUACAACCAGUGUUUCAACUGUAUUAGAAAGAGCAGCCUCACAAAAUCCGCAACCCAUGCUUGACAAGCUCAAAUUGAAGAAUAUGAUGUUCCAAGUUCAAACACUGCAGUGAAUCAUAAGUAAUUACCAUUAAAAAAAAUUUUAAAGAAUCAAAAAGUGUUUUGAAGGUUAAGAUACUACUUCUUAUACAUACCAAGGAAGGUGAAAGACAACUCAAACUAUGAGAAUCAGUGGGCUGUUCUUUCAACUCGGUCCAGCUGAAAACACAACACAAAACGCGAAUAUUAAGAGAAAUUUAAAAAACAAAUAAAAUCAUAUACGAGUGUAAUGUCAUAUAAUUAUAACUAAAAAAGGCAGUUAAUUACUGAUAAAAAUAAUAAUUCAAAAUACUGUUACCCUCACACUAAUAAUAUUAUAGAUAUAAUGCUGGAAAAUAUAAUAAACAUAUCCACUUACCAUUUCAAAAUCCAAACAGUCUUUUAGCUCUUACUUGCUUCAAGAAAAACAUAAAAAGAUGAGAUGAGAUCAAAAAAAUAUAGAAAAGCUUCAAUUUAUAUAUAAAAAAACAGAAAUGAAGCAUAUAUAAAUAGGUUUACCUCACUUGGGAACUUCUAAAAUCAAACUACGCUUAGUGCUCAGAAGAUUGUUACUUCAAAACAAUCAAAAGGGAGGGAUUUGAAGGUUGGUUUUUUUUUUCUUUAGCAAAAGUAAGUAAAACUGAAUACAAAAAGAAAGGAACUUGAAGAAAGGGAGGGAAAAAAGAAGAACAUAAAAAGAUCAGAUGAGAUCAAAAAUAUAUAACACAAAUAUAAAUAGAUUUUUCUCACUUGGGAACUUCAAAAUCAAACUACAUGUUGCGCGGAAGCGUGUAAAAGAGUAAAAUUAUUGUACUAAAAAAUCACACUAAGUUCAAUUCCUAGGAAAGAGAGGUGGAUCACGAGGAUCGCUUAAAUACCAGGUCUUUCCUAGCAAGAAUAUCCCUCUAUCGUAAUUUAAUAGCACAAUAAAUGACUACAAUCACACUCGCAAAAUAUGCAAAAUAAACAAUAAAGAACACUAGAAUUUUAACGAGGUUCAGCAAAUUUUGCCUACGUCCUCAGGCAUUACCAAAUAUAUUUCACUCCAAAAUACAAGUGAAAAUUUAUAAAUAAGGAGCGAGAACAAUGCCUUAAGUAGAGAAUGGCAUUUGUGGGAUGUAGAAAAUGAGAAAUAGCUAGGCCUAUUUAUAGUUGAAGCUCAAGGAUCAACUUGCAAAGUCCCUAUACAAUUAGAGACCAAAAUUGCAAUUAUCACAAGACAAAUUUCAACCCAAAAAUCUAUGCCUUAAAUGCUUAGAUUUUUCGGUGCCAAAUUUCUGACACCAUUCAUCUUUGAAAAGUCAAGAUGGUUGCUAAUAAUCUCUACCUUGAAGAUUUGAUAAGGAUAAUCUUAUCUUCACACAUUUCUUUCUGCCUUUGACAACAAUACUUGAUAGUGCCUUCUUCAUCUGUUAAACUUGCAGGAUAUUGAUCAAGUUCAAACAAUGUUCGAACUUGAUUGUUGUUACCACCUUGGUCAUCAUAUCUGUGGGAUUGUCUACAGUCUUAAUCUUCUGAAGAGAAAUUUUCCCCUCAUCAAUAAUUUCCCGCACAAAAUGGAAUCGUACAUCGAUAUGCUUUGUAUGUGCAUGAUAGACUUGAUUCUUUGCUAGAUGAAUAGCACUUUGACUAUCACAAAACACGUUAAUAUGCUCCUGAACCAAUCCCAAGGUUUUAGCCAUACCUUGUAACCAAAUAGCUUCCUUUACAGCCUCUGUUACAGCCAUGUAUUCGGCUUCUGUGGUUGACAAUGCAACUGUAGACUGCAGUGUAGACUUCUAACUUAUUGGUCCUCCAGCAAGUGUAAACACAUAACCAGUGGUUGAUCUUCGUUUGCCCAAAUCAUCGGCAUAGUCAGAAUCAACGUACUCGAUAACACCUUUACCAAGUGUAGUAUCCUACUUGAAUAGUAAUCCAACAUCCACGGUCUUCAGAAUAUACCGUAGAAUCCAUUUCACAGCUUGCCAAUGUCCUUUUCCAGGAUUAUGCAUAUACCUGCUCACUAUACUAACUGCCUGUGAAAUGUCGGGUCUUGUACACACCAUUGCAUACAUCAAGCUACCCACUGUAUUAGAAUACGGAACUUGUAACAUGUAUUCUCGUUCCGUAUUCGUCGAAGGAGAUAGUUGUGCAGAAAGCUUGAAAUGAGAAGCCAACGGGGUACUUACAGGUUUUGUCUGCUCAUUCAUGCCAAACUGCUGUAGUACUUUCUUCAAAAACUGCUUCUGAGACAAACUAACUGUAGUACUUUCUUCAAAAACUGCUUCUGAGACAAACUAACUCUUCCAUGAGCUCUAUCUCUACAUAUUUCCAUGCCAAGAAUCUUCUUAGCUUCACCUAGAUCUUUCAUCUCAAAUUCAAGAUUGAGUUGAGUCUUCAAUUUCUCAAUCUCAACUUUGCUCUCAGAUACUAUUAGCAUAUCAUCAACAUAUAAGAGCAAGUAUAUGAAAUUUCCUACUUGUAGCUUUUGAAAAUACACGCAAUGAUCAAAUUUACUUCUUGUGUACCUUUGCCCUUUCAUGAACUGAUCAAAUCGCUUGUAUCACUGCCUCGGAGAUUGUUUCAAUCCAUAAAGUGACUUCGUCAGUUUGCAAACCCAAUUUUCUUUAUCAACAACCUUGAAUCCAUCAGGCUAAGUCAUAUAGAUUUCCUCUUCCAAAUCUCCGUGUAAAAAAGUCAUCUUCACAUCAAGCUGAACUAGUUCAAGGUCAUAUUGCGCAACAAGGCUAGCAAAAUCUGAAUAGACGAAUGCUUCACAAUUGGAGAAAACACUUCAUUGUAGUCUAUUCCUUCUUUUUGAGCAUAACCCUUUGCUACCAAUCUAGCCUUGUAUCGAAUUUCAUUUUUACCAGGAAAUCCUUCCUUCUUUGCAUAUACCCAUUUGCAUUAAAUUGCCUUCUUUCCCUUGGGCAGUGUCACCAACUCCCAAGUCCUAUUUUUAUGAAGAGACUGCAUUUCUUCAUUCAUAGCUUGCUUCCACUUUACACCAUCAGGGUUACAUAUUGCUUCUGUGUAAGAAGAAAGAACAUCAUCAUCUGCAAUUGGAAGUGCAUAGGCCACUAUAUCAUCAAAGCGAGCAGGCUUACGAAUCUCUCUUCUUGGCCUCCUAUAUGCAAUUGAAUCUUGUUGCUGUAGAAGUUCUUGGGUCAAAACUUCUUCAUCAUUUGUUCCUUCAAUAUUAGCUGGAUCAUUAUUAACCUUUUAAAGCUCCACCUGCUACAAAGUGCCACUGGUUUUAUCAUCCUUUUGUGAAUCCUUGUUCUUCAUCAUGGUUGAUUCAUCAAAAGUCACAUCUCUAAUGAAAACAAUCUUCCUUGUAUCAAGACAUCAGAGAUGGUAUCCUUUUACUCCACCAGUUAUACCCAUGAAUAAUGCUUUCUUUGCUCUUGGGUCUAACUUAGAUUCUUUUACAUGAUAAUAUGCAGUGGAACCAAAAACAUGUAAAGAAUCAUAAUCAGUAGCAGGUUUACCAGUCCACAUCUCUAUAGGAGUUUUUCCAUUUAUUGCAGCUGAUGGCAACCGGUUAAUCAGAUGGCACACAUAUGUAACUGCCUCAGCCCAAAAUUCCUUGCCCAAUCCAGCAUUGGAUAUCAUACAUCGAACUUUCUCCAGUAUAGUCUGAUUCAUACGUUCUGUCACCCCAUUCUGUUGUGGUGUAUCCCGAACAGUGAAGUGUCGCACAAUGCCCUUAUCUUGACAUACUUGUAGAAAUGGAUCAUUUUUGUACUCAGUACCAUUAUCUAAUCGAAGUCGUUUGACCUUUCGACCAGUCUGAGUCCCCACCAUCUUCUUCCAUUUCAGAAAUGCAUCCAAAACUUCACUUUUUCUUUUCAUUAGAUACACUCAUACUUUUCUUGAAUAAUCAUAAACAAAAGUAACAAAAUAGUGCAUACCUCCCAAAGAAGCCACUUUUGUAGGUCCUCACACGUCACUGUGAACAUAGUCCAAAAUUCCUUCCGUAUUGUGAAUUGAUGAACCAAAUUUUACCCUCGUCUGCUUGUCCAGAACAAAAUGUUCACAGAACUCCAAUUUGUAAGAAUUUACACCUUUCAACAAGUCUUGCUUCGCCAAAGUCUGCAAAGUUUUUUCACCAGCAUGUCCCAAUCGCAUAUGCCGUAACCUGGUAGCCUCUGAAUCUGCAUCUUUCGCAGAAACUAUUGAUGUUGAUCCAAUAACUGUACUUCCAUUUAAAUAGUACAAGUUAUUUCUUCUAGUGCCUUUUAUCACUGUCAAUACCCCAGCUACUACCUUUAGUAAUCCAUCUCUCAAAGUGAUUGUGAGCCCUUUAGAUUCUAGGGCCCUUAAUGAGAUGAGAUUUUUCUUCAAGCUAGGUAUAUAACGAACAUCCGUCAAGACUUGGAUUGAGCCCUCGUGAUUCUUUAAUUUGAUUGUACCUACUCCCAUUGUUUUAUAAGCACUGUCAUUGCCCAUAAAAACAACUCCACCUUCUAGUUCUUCAAGACUAGAAAACCAGUCCUUAUUAGACACAUAUGGUAAGUACAUCCCGAAUCCAAGAUCCACUCAUCCGUAUGACAUGUCAUUACCAUGCCAACCAAGCUAAAGUCUGACUCCUCAUCAUACUCCAUUACACAUGCAUCAGAAAUAGCCUUGCCCUUUUGUAACUUAGGACAAUUCUUUUUCCAAUGCCCUUUCUCACGACAAAAAGCACAUUCAUCUUUGGCGGGUCUCCCUUUAGACUUGCCCCUUCUACCAGGUUUGUUGCUGUGUGAACGACCUCUUACUGUUAAGACUUCUACAAUUGUAUCUCUGUGAUCUCUUUUAUCUUUCUUUUGAGUCUCAGAUCUGUACAACGCACUGCAGACUGCAUCAAAUGUGAUCGUAUCCUUUCCAUGAAGCAAUGUAGUGGUAAGAUGAUCAUAUUCAUCAGGAAGAGAAUUCAAAAACAAUAAUGCCUUGUCUUCAUCUUCAAAUUUCUCAUCCAAAUUUAGUAAGUCUGCUAAAAUUUUAUUGUAUGAGUUCACAUGGUCAUUCAUCGACAUACCGGGUGCAUAAGUGAAUCGAAAAAGUUUCUUUUUCAUAUAAAGCCUAUUUUCAAGACUUUUUGUUAGAAACUUUUCUUCCAGUGUAUCCCACAACUUCUUCGCUGAUGUCUCCCUCAUGACAGAGUACUUCUGCUCUUUGGCCAAACAUAGGCGGACUGUACCAUACGCCUGUCUAUUGAUCUUGGUCCACUCCUUGUCAUCCAUCUUGUUAGGUUUUUCUUCAAGGGCUAUAUCCAACUCUUGCUGACAUAAGACAUCCAAGAUCUCACAUUGCCACAUACCAAAAUUAUUGGUAUCAUCAAAUUUCUCUACUUCAAAUUUUGCAUUGGUCACGGUAGUCUUUGUUGAUGACGAUGUCUCUGCCAUUUUUCUCCUCGAUCCCAACUACUGUAUAUGUGAAUAGUAUCAUCUAUAUGAAUAGUACCGUGGAUGAACAAUACUGUAUACGUAAAUAGUAUCGUAAACAGUAGUAUUCCCCAAGUACGAAUCUAGCUCUGAUACCAAUUGUAGCACGGAAGCGUGUAAAAGAGUAAAAUUAUUGUACUAAAAAAUCACACUAAGUUCAAUUCCCAGGAAAGAGAGGUGGAUCACGAGGAUCACUUAAGUACCAGGUCUUUCCUAGCCAGAAUAUCCCUCUAUCGUAAUUUAAUAGCACAAUAAAUCACUACAAUCACACUCGCAAAAUAUGCAAAAUAAACCAUAAAGAACACUAGAAUUUUAACGAGGUUCAGCAAAUUUUGCCUACGUCCUCAGGCAUUACCAAAUAUAUUUCACUCCAAAAUACAAGUGAAAAUUUACAAAUAAGGAGAGAGAACAAUGCCUUAAGUAGAGAAUGGCAUUUGUGGGAUGUAGAAAAUGAGAAAUAGCUAGGCCUAUUUAUAGUUGAAGCUCAAGGAUCAACUUGUAAAGUCCCUAUAAAAUUAGGGACCAAAAUUGCAAUUAUCCCAAGCCAAAUUUCAACCCAAAAAUCUAUGCCUUAAAUGCUUAGAUUUUCGGUGUCAAAUUUCUGACACCAUUCAUCUUUGAAAAGUCAAGAUGGUUGCUAAUACUACACUUAGUGUUGAGAAGAUUCUUACUACUUAAAUACAAUCAAAAGGGAUUUGAAGGUUGGGUUUUUUUUUAGCAAAAGUAAGUAAAACUGAAUACAAAAAGAAAGGAACUUGAAAGAAGGGGAAACAAAGUAGAAAUCAAGGUUGAACUAAAAAAAAAAAGGAGAAACUUUCAGAAAGAAAUUGAAAUUGAUCUGCCUGGAAAAGUCAACCACUCGGAAAGCAUAAACUCUAACACAACUGGGUUUUCUUGGUUUAGUAGCCAAAGGAUCUGUGUUAUGAGAUUAGUGCAGUAUUGGAUUUAAAUUAUGAGGAUUUUUUUUUGAUUGGUACUGAUUGGUUUGCCACAUGACAUGAAAUGGUAGAGGAUGACUUAGAAAAAAGUGAAGUCUUUGUGUUAAUUAUUUAUAUGAUUUUCAAUACAUUUAAAAUAUCUACUUUUCUGCAGUUUCUUUUUCUUAAUUUUCAUUUGUUAUUAGAAAUGAAAAUGAUUUUUCUUUAUUCAUUUGUAUACAUUUAAUGUGUAUUUUCUAUUAUUUAUUUGUUUGCAAAUUUUAGAGACAAACGUAAGUAUACUUGUUAACAUUUAUUUAUUUUUAUUAUAUAGAAAACUCUUUUCCUCAAAAUUAACUAUAAAUAACAAUAUAGAGUUUUUGAAAUUUCGAACUCAUACGAGAGACUUUCAAAAAUUCCAAUGUUAAAAUUAUGAAUUUGGAUUAAAUUAUUUAAAAAUGUCGCAAAACAAAAUUACCAGAAUAGGCAAUCUUUUGUAAAAAGUAUAGAAAUAGGUCAAUUUUACAAAAACACUCCUAGUUAUAAACUUUUUUAGCUAAUUUGCAGAAAAACACUUCCAGUUUGAAGCAUUUUCAAUAUGUUGCCAAAAAAAUGCUUCUAGCUGAAAGCGCUUUCUACCAAAUCAGCCAAAAGCAUUUUCCUCCAACGAUAACUCCAAUGACUACUUUCUCCAACGAUUAUUUAAUUAGCCAUUGGACCCUCCACCCACUCUCUACGGUCCCAUUUUAUUAUAUAACCCUUCCCCAUUUCAUUUUUCUUCCAAUUCAAUCUCAAAUCUCUCUCAAAUUUCUCUAAAUUCCCUUUUAAAUCCCACUCAAAAUUUAUUUCUCUCUCAACUUUAUUUUUUUAUUAAAAUUAUCUCAACAUUUUCAUAAAUUAUUUUUUCUAUUACAAAUUAUUCGGUGUUUUUCAAAAUUAGCAAUGACAAAAUCUCUAACUCGUUUUGAUGACAACCACAUUUCCGUUGACCAAUUGCAAAUGGUAGGAAUAUUUUUAAUUAUAUUUCAAUGUUGUUUAAUUUUACUAUUUCCUUGUUAUAUUUGAAUUUAAUCUUUUGUAUAUUUUUACCUAAAUAGGAAGAAUUUCAAAUUUUUGAGACGUAUAUUCGUAAUCUAUCCACUCCUCCAUCACCCUUGAUCGAACCCUACAUGAGAGAUGUCGAUUUUCCCAUGUGGCCCUUGUAGGUAAGGGGUGUAAGUUGGACCCGACACUCGUAAGCGCGUUAGUGAAAAAGUGGAGACUCAAGACACACACAUUUCAUCUUCCAUGCGGCGUGUGUACUAUCACUUUAGAGGACAUGCAACUAUAGCUUAGGUUACCGGUGGAUGGACUGGAAGUGACUGGGUCAGUUCAAGCAGCCGAUUGGAAAACUUUUAAAGAAGGUUCCAGAGAUGAUUUUUGGAGCCCAGAUAGAUAUGAGUUUGUUAAGAAGAAAUUUUGGUGGGCUUGAGAAGGAUUCAACUGAAGUCUAAAAAGAACAACACGCUUGGGUUGUAACACCCCAAAACUCGGCCUAGAAGUUAUGACUAGAUACUAAGUGAUUAAAUCAACUCAUUCAAAGCUUCGGUUCAAAUCAAACUCAAUGCAUGCUUCGAAAACAUAAAAUUUUGGCAAAACACCCAUUGAUGGUUAGAAAAGCCGAGUUCGAAAACACUUACUUAAAAUCCAUAAUUCACAUUCAAAAUCGCGCGUUUUGAAAGUACUAAUGUGAGCAGAUCAUUUCUAGUAUUAAAACAAUCAUUCGUUACAAACCAUAUAUUUUAUUUUCAAAAAAUACUUAAAUGAUUAUUUAAUCUUGUAGCGAAAAAUUUUCAAAGUUUGUUUUAGUCUGAAAAGCAAAAUCUAACUUAUUAGCUCGUGUGAUUUGCAGUUUAAUGCUCAAAAAUAUUAAAUGUUAACAAAUAUAACAAAAACCAAAACUAGGACCAAAAACAUAUUACAGUCCAAAAAUAAUUAAAUUGUAAACCCAUAAAUAUUUUAUCUGGUAACCAAUCUAAGCUCCCGCAUGUCGUCCGGUCCUAAGUUAGAAGUUAACCUAAAACAUAUUAAACAAACAAAUGAGCUAGGAGCCCAGUGUGUAUCUCAACCAACAAGCAUAAUUUUUAUUUAACAAGCACAUGUGUAAAUGUGAUCACAAAAUUUUACUUUAAUGUAUCAAUAACAUAUCAGAAUGUUAUAUUACUAGAAACAUAUGUAUUUCAGAUCAUAAUAUCAUAUAGCCGAAACAUAUUUCGAUUGUGGAAUAUCAUAAUUUCAUAUACAAAUAUAUCAUACUAGAAUGUCAUGUUUUUAGAAGUACAUAUGCCAUACCAGACCAGAACAAAUGAAGAUACAAAUCCUACAUUCAUCUGCUACACACCACCUCCGUCCAACGAAUCACACCAAUUAGGACUUCAAGAGUCCAUCCAUCCAAAUCACACUGGGUCGUGGUGGCAUGCCACUCAUAAUAGUGCACCUCAGUUGCCAAACAUAUAUCAUAGUUUAACCGCCGAAAAUGCAGUAAUGCUACUGUUGACACCAUUUUACGGAUAAAACGAGGUCGACUUGGGUUUUGAAAAACAAAAAUGAUAACUGGAGUCUCCACCAAUCCUUUUUGAUAAGGUGUGAUCGGAUCACCUUAAAAAGUGGUUGUUUUUAAUAAACAAUUUAAUUUUAUUAAAACAACGAUUUUGGUCCACGAAAUUCAAAAAAAAGGGUUCGGGAGUCGGUUACGUACGAGGAAGGAUUAGCACCCUCAUAAUGCCCAAAAAUUGGUACCUAGUUGAUUAGUUAAUGUCUUAAUGUCGAAAAUUAAAAACUUUAAAGAGAUUUAAAAUACGACCCUAUAUUUUAAAACUUAUAUGGAACGAGAUACUCGUUAAGAUCUUCUCAUUUCGGAAAGGAAAAUGUCACACCCAAUGAAUUAGGACACGAUAUUUUGUCUCUUCGAAAAUGCGCUUAUCUAAGAGCUCGCACAAUAAAAGUUAAAAGGAUAUUCAAUUGUUUAAGUCGUAUAAAAAUUGCAACCCAAUACGUUAGGGCACAAUUUCUCAAAAUACAAAACAUUGAAUAUUGCCUUUAUUUAUUAUUUAGGAAAAUCCUCAUCUCGAGAAAACAACGUGUCAUAUCAAUACGUUAGGACACAAUGUGUUGAAUUCCCGAUGAUGAGCUUUUUAUUUAUUUAUUUUUAUUAAAAGUGUUGACGCCAUUUUUUGAUAAAAACGGGGUCGACUUGGGUUUUGAAAAAUGAAAACGGGAGUCGCCACCAAUCCUUUUUUAUGAGGUGUGAUUGGAUCACCUCGAAAAGUGGUUGUUUUUAAUAAACCAUUUGAUUUUAUUAAAACAACGGUUUUGGUCCACGAAAUUUAGAAAAAUAGGUUUGGGAGUCGGUUACGCACAAGGAAGGAUUAGCACCCUCGAUACGCCCAAAAUUGGUACCUAGUUGAUUACUUAAUAUCUUUAGUGUCGAAAAUUUAAAACCUUGAAGAAUUUCAAAAAUACGAUCCUUAUUUUGAAAGAAAAGUUAUAAAAAAGGAUCUGCUCAUUAAGACUUUAGCAUUUCAGAAAGAGAAAAUGUCAUACCCAAUACGUUAGGGUGCGAUAUCUUACCUCUUCAGAAAUGAACCAGUCUAAACUCGCAUAGGAAAAUUUAAAAGAAUGUUUGAUUGUUUAAGUCAUAAAAAAAAUUGCAACCCAAUCAUGUUAAGAUACAAUUUCUUCAAAUGUUAAACAUUAAAUAUUACAUUUAUUUCGAAAAAUUCUCGUCUCGAGGAAUCAACGUAUCAUGUCCAAUGCAUUAGGACACGGCGUACUGAAUUCUCAAUAAUGAGUUUUAUUUAUGUCCUUUUUAAAAAAAAAGUAACCUCGAUUAUUUAGAUUCAACGAAGAAAAUCAGAACCCAAUACGUUAGGGCUCGAUUCUUUCGAGGAUCUCAAAUACCGAUUGUUACUUUUAUUUUUGAAUUUUUCGUUUUUUGAUAAAUCCAAGUAGAAGUAGGUGUAAAAUAACAAUAAUAAUGCAACAUAAAAAUAAUACAAAUGAAAUAAGAAAAGAUAAAUAAAUAAGAUGGCAAACAUAUAAUAAAAAGAAAUCAAUAAAUAGUAAAUACAAUUAAAUGUAAAGAGAUAUAUAUAAGCAUAAGUUAAAAUAUGUGUGUAUAUGUACAUGUAUUUACAAAGGUUAAAAUGCAUACAUAUAUAUAUUAUAAGAAAGGUAUACAUAAAUAUUACAAAACAUAAGAAUAUAUGUAUAUAGAUGAAAAUAUAUGCAUAUGUGGAAAAUAAAAUAAAAUAAAAUGACAUAAUAUAUAUAAACAAUAUACAUAUUUUAAUAUAUAUAAAAAAAACAUAUAUAUACAUAUGCAUAUAAAAUUGAGUAAGUAUAUUAAAUAGGUUAGAAAAGAAAAAUAAAUAAAUACAUUAGAAAAGAAAAAUAAAUAAAUACAUUAGAAAAGAAAAAUAAAUAAAUACAUAUAUAUACACACGUAUAUGUAUACGAAAACGAUUGUAUAAUAGUAAUAUAUUAAAACAAAUAUAUCUAAGAAUUUCAUAAGUGAAUAUAAGAAAACAUAAUACUAAUAAUAAUGUUAAUGAAUAUAAUAAUAAUAAUAGUAAAGAUAAUAAUAAUAAUAACUGAAUAAUAAAAUUGCUCAAAUAUGGACUGAAUCGAAAUAAAAACUAAAGUAUUGGGCGAAAUCGAAAUAAAAAACGAAAAAAGGAUUAAAUUGUGACGCCCGCCGAAAGAGGGAGGACCAAAAUGGUAAAUACUCCAAAGUCCCAAAACGCUGCGCUUCGAUGGGACUAAAAUAAAUCAAAAAUAAAAUUUUAGGGCUAAAUCAAAAAGAGUGAAAACAACGAAAUAGGACCAGAUUGUAAUGUGCUGUAAAAUAGGAGGGACUACGUGCAUAAAUAACCCAUUUUGUGAAAACACGCGGAUCGGGGACGGGUCACCGCGCGGGUCAGGGCCAAAACGACGUCGUUUUGGGGCUUAAGGACGCCGAAAAAAACGGCGUCGUUUUUCUGAACUAUAAAAGCAGCAUUUUCAGGAAAAAAAAUUCAUUUCAAACAUUUUGUAAAGAAAAAAAAAGGAGGGGGCCUUAUAUUCUCUGGGCAAAGUCCAGAUACCGGCCAAAGGGCCGCCGUGUCUCCAUCGCACCUCCGCCGGUAGCCGGCGCCAUUGCCGCCAUAUGCGGCCGCCGGAGAGUUAAAAAAAGUUCCCUUCUUCGGCCGAUCUAAAAGCAGGUAUUUUUUUCCUUUCUUUUUUACUCUAUUUGUAUAUAUAUAUGUAUAUGCCGUGUAUAAAAAAACUUGUAAAUAGGUUAGUGUUUUCGAAAUAUAAAAGAAGGAAACCUUGGAUCUGCUUCUGCUUUCGCUUUUUCUGCUUGAAUCUAUCUCUUUUUCUUUGUAUUUCUAAGUGACGUUUUACAAAGGAAAAUCGGGGAAGCAGAACCCCUAAAACCGAUAUCCAAAUUCGGCUUUUAUACAUUUAUUUGCUAGUACUGUCGUUUCUUCUUAAUUGUUUGCAGGCACUCGAUGGCGCCAGUGGAGAGGCGGUGGUGGCAGAGGACGUGACAGAGGCGGUGGGUUGGUGGCAGCAGUCAAGUGGAGGCUGCAGUCAAGUGGGGCACUAGGGUUUCAGAGACUGAAACCCUAGUCUGACUCCUUGUUGGGUCUGGGGAAUUGGGCUUCUUGGGCCUUUUAUUUGUAAUGGGCCCGUAACAAAAAGCGUUUUCCAUUAUUUAGAUCCAAAGAAAUUGAAACCAAAUGCGUUAAGGAUCAAUUUUCUCGAAUAUAAACAUAAAAUUUUACUUGUUUGAAAGUCGAAACUUAUGCGUCGAGAUAAAUUAAUCUAAUUUGAAAUAGUAUAAAUGAAACACGAGGUUAAUAUGCGUACAAAGCAAUACUGAAUACGAUAGCAUAAAAGUAAUACAAGUAAUAAAAAUGAACGAAUAAAAGGGACAAUUUAAUAACAUGUAAAAUAGCAAGCAUAAGCAAAUAAAAUUAAAAUGUUCUUUUAAAAUAAAAAUAAAUAAAUAAAAGAUAUGAAUAAAAUUUAUAGAAAUAUAAAGUAUAUAUAUAGGUAUCAAAAUUAUGAAGUACAAAAUAUGUAUGUGGAUAUAUAUAUACGUUUUAAAAUUAUACAAUAUAACAAAAAUAUAUGUGUAUAUAUGUAAAUUAUAAAAUAUAUGUACAUAUAAGUAUUAUAAAAAUGUAUAGAUGUAUGCAUAUAUUUUAAGACUAUAAAAUAUAUGGAAGAAUAUAUGUAUGUAUACGUAGUUUUAAGUUACAAAAUAUAUGUAAGAAAAAUGUAGGUGUGUAUGAAUUAUAAUAUAUAUAUAUAUGUGUAUUAUAUUAGAUUUACAUAGAAAACACAUAAGAAGAUUUAUGAUGAAAUUAAAUAUUAAUAUAUGAAGAAACUUAAUAUAAUAAUGCAUAAUAAAUUUAUAAUGCUGAUAAUAAUACCUUAUGAUUUUAAAACAGAAUAAUAAUAAUAAUGAUAGUAAUAAUAAUAAUAUUUUGAAAAUAUAAAUGGGUAUAAAUAAAUAAUGAAAUGAUAUUAUAAGAUAAUAAUAUUAAAAAUCCACAUAAGUAAACAAAUACCAAUGCAAACGUAAUUAAUGUAACAAUGAAUAAAAGAAUAAUGACAGUUAAUAAGCUAAGGUUUUAUAAUUAUAAAUGAAAUAGAUAAUAAAAUAAAAUAUAUUAAAGUAUUUAAAUGUAUGAGUAAAAGAUGCAAUAGAAGUGAUGUAAAAUUGAUUAAUUAGCAAUGUGAAAACAAUAAUAAAAGGGUAAAAUAAUAAAGAUAGCAAGAAUAAUAUGAAAUCAAUUAAUUUAACAAUAAAAUAACUAAAAUAACAAAAAGAAGGAUUAAAUUGAACUUAAGGAUGAAAUUUCGGGGCAAAUUAGUAAUAAUAAAUAAAAGGAAGGACUACCCUGAACGUGCGAAUAAUAUGGAGGGACUGAAAGGGAAAUUUUCCCUUCUCCUCCAAAACGACGUCGUUCGAAUAGCGACUGAACUGAAAUCGCAGAAAAUUAUGGGGUAAAUUUAAAGAAAUAUAAAACUUGAUUAAAAAAUGUUAACAAAGCGGAAGGACUAGGGUAGUAAUUAUACCCUAGUCACAAAACACGCGGAUCCUCCUGGUAAUGGGUUGGGUCACGCAAAACGGUGCCAUUUUGGCGCUGAGACCCCUAGGUGAAACGGUGCCGUUUUAAAUGCUAUAAAAACUAAAAAAAAACUUAAAUUUCAUUCUAAUCAGCUUCAAAAAUAAAUAAAUAAAAACAGACAAACACUCUCUGCCUUUCCCCUCAGCCAUUCGAAUUCGACCUAGGGUUCCGCCCUCCGUCCACCGUGCAACUGCCAUGGUUGCGGCCGACGAGGAAAAGAAAUGGGCUUUUGGCCCUUAUCUCGCAGUGCCGUUUGAGGGUCAAACCCUCUAGACGGCCAAAACAGAGGAGAACCCCAGCCUCCUUUCAAAUCCGAUCCUAACGGCGAUGGAGACUCCCCUCUCUUCGAUGAUGUGAUCACGAAAGUUCACCGGUGAGUCCCUUUUGCCUUUGUUAUUUUCUAUUUAAUAUAAAAAAAUAAAAUGAAAAAGAAACGCGAAUCUGAGAUAAAAAAAUCACCUUUUUGUUUUUUAUUACUCAAUCUCGUGAAAAAGAAAAGGGCCCCCCUUUUACAGUGUAUUUGGCUUUUGCCGAAAGAAAAGAAGAAAAAACCUAAAAGAAAAAUCCCCCCUAUUUUUACAAUGUAUUUCAGCUUUUGUAGCCCUUAUUCUUGCUGUUGGUACUGAUUUUGACUUGUUUGCAGGUGUAAGUUGCGGUGAUUGAAGCAAGUAGCAAAGUUGGUGGCUGCCAGAGGAGUGAUGUGAUGGAAGCGUGUGAGGCGUGCGGCGCAAGGGUGGUGGCAGAGACUAGGGUUCUGAAACCCUAGUUUUCAUUGGGUUUGGGCCAUGUUUGGGCCUAUUUUUGUAAAUGGGUUUUGGGUUUAUUUAUUUUUUUGUAAAAUGGACUGUUUAGGUUGGUUGCCAGGCCCGGGUAAAAUUGGGCUUACACAGCUACUAGAAAACACUUCCUCCAGCAAAUCAGAACCACCCCAAUGCAUAUGCUAAAUCACAUUGACAUACAUAUUUAUCACAUAAGUUGUAUGCAUGCAUACAUAAACAGAUAUUAUACGGACCGUAACUUACACAUAAUUUAUAUAUAUCAUAGCAUAUCAUAUUCAUGGUCGAAUCGGAUAGCUUAUCAGAACAGAUAACAAAAUAUGUAUAACACAUGGUUUACAAAAUAGUCAUGCUUAACUCACGUACCUACUUAUAGCAAAUAAUAUUGCAUUAUUAUAUUUAUCAUAAUUUAUUUAACAUACUUCCUACACUUACCCAUGUUUGUUUUACUAAAAUUUAUGCUUUCUAGGCCUACCUAAUGCCAUCGGACCUAAAUUCUGAGUCCUUUAAUUGACCCUUUAUUGGCCCAAAAGACCUACUCAGCCCAAAAAGCUAGUCGUGUGGUCCAUAUGGUCUAUCCACACGAUCAACAUGGUCUCACACAGCAGUGUGUGGGAACAUAGCCUGCAUGACAAGCCACAUGGGUUGUAAAAACACACAUGGUCGUGUGCCCUACAUGGGCUACAAAAUCACACACGGUCCUGUGUCCCUCACGGCCUAUCACACGAUUAUGUGUCACUGGGCAGUUUUAGAAAACAACUUUGUUUUACAUAUUUUUUGAAUUUUCGAUGAGUUUUUUGAGUUAAAUCACACGCUUGAUUGUUGAUUUUGAUGUAGAUUCGCGAAAGAACACACAAGAACCUAAAAUCAAUAUUCCAAACGUAUUAGUAACAAAAUGCAACACUAAAUCAAGAUUGACUCACUAACAUAACAUUAAAGAACCUACCACAAAGAAAACAACAACAAUAUCUAAGUCAUCGAAGGAAUGCCCAACACCUAUUGUUCUUUUCUUAAAAACGCUUCGAACUCGUUAAGUACAAAAAAUACAUAUUAAUACAAUACUACUAAAGCUCUGAAACCCUAAACGCCCAAUAAAGUAAUUUUAAUACAUGGCUGAAAAAAUAAAGGAUGAAGCAACCUUACCCUUAAUGACAAACUUAUAGCACAAAGGACGGAUGAUACACAAAUUAACAAAAGAAUAAAAAAGAAGAAGAGAGAAAAAAAGCAUGAAAAAUUGGAAAACCUACCAUAAAGAAAAAAACUAACGAGAAAAUGAAGGGGGAGGGAGAGGGGAUGGUAAUAAUAAAAAGAAAAUUUGGAAGAAAAUCUCUCUUCACUACUUUUAAAACUACCCAACUAACUCCUAGUCGUAUCCACAUAAGAUUUUUCCCAAAGUUAAUAAUUUUUUUCCACUUUGCAUAUGUAAGGAUUUGAACAUAAGACCAAAGGGUAAGUUGAUACCUUACCAUCAAACCAAUAGGCUCAUUCUUGUCAAUAAAUGCACUCAAAUAUUUCUUAAACCAAAUGCCAAAAACUAGGGAUUUAGACAAAAUUUGCAAAAACAGAAGCGAAAGGAUUCGAACCUAAAACCUUUCUCACACAAGCACAACCCUUAACCACUUAACUAGAACAAAUUACUUAACAUAAUUUCAAAAUCUUAACUAAAAAAAUCACAAUAUGACCUCUCUAGGUUUCACUAACCCACUUUUUGCAUUUUUCCUUUUUAUUUUUCAACAAUUAAGGAUGAAAACUAAGUUAGUAUAAUAAAUAAAUGUGGUAGGAAAUAAUUAAGAAAUGUGUAAUAGACCAAUAGCCAAGCAUCACCCCAUUCUCCUUAUAGUCUUAAGUUCUAUCCAUGCCAAUUCCCUUCCUUUUGUUUUAAAUCUCAACAAGAAGGUUUAUUUGCCAAAACAACCCCAAAAUUUGCACAACUUGGCCUUUUAACUCAUUUCCUAAUUAUAUUAGGAUUUUGAUUAUUUUUUCAAACCUAAUUAGAAUUUAUUUCUCCCUCCUUUUUAAAUACAUUUUUUUAUUACUUCUCUUUUUCAUAAAAAUGUUCAUUAUCUUUUGUUGAAAAUGUUAUAUUCAAAUCUCGUACCCAACAUCAACCUCGUUCAAUCUAUUCUUCAUAAUGUUUUAGCGUAAUGUCGUCAAAAUCUGUUUCUAAUGUGCCAAGAUCGGUAAGGAUUCCUUUUUUUAAUUUUGUAGAACUCUAAAAAUCUAAUAUAAUAUCGUUCUUGAUAAAUUUUCUAAAAUUAAUUCUAAAUAUUUAAUGGGUUUUCUUGAAAUCUUGUUAAAACUCGAUAAAUCUUAAACAUCAAUAGUAAUUAUUACAUUUUCAUCGAUUAAAAGACCUAUUGUAAGUAUCCCAGAUCAAUUUUGGACAUAAAGAUCAUCAUACGAGACCCCAUAAGUUAUAUGUGUGUUCUUUUGCUAGAAAAUUGAGGCAAAAUCGAACCCAACCCAGACCACACGACCAUGUGACCCACAUGGCCUAGACCCUCCCACACAAUUGUGUGUCCCCUGUAACACAACUUUACAAUUUUAACCUAAAAAUUUUAGAAAUUACACAAAUUAGUCCCUAACUGGUUCCCAAAUUCUAGUGUUUUGAUGAAUCUGUAAAAUUUUUUUUGUUGUUUGACAGAUUUCCUGAAAAUAUUUUCCAGAAAAAUUGUUUUUACAUAUAUUAAUAUAUUUAUAUAUAUAUUAAAUUGUUUUUACAUAUAUAGUAAUGAUUUAUUUAUAAAUAAAUAAAUCUAAUUAAAUAUAUAAUAAUACUUAAUUAUUAAGUUAGAAUAUUAACCAUCAUAAAUUGAAAACAACCAAAGUCAAAUAAAUUAUUUGUAAUAUUUGUGCUAAAAUAUUUAGACAGAUAAUUUUGGAAGAGUGAAAAAUAUCUGAAAAUAUAUAUAAAAUUACACAAAUUAAACUAAGUUUAACAAUCAAAACUCCGAUGUUUUAAGUUUAAAAUUCAUUAUUUUAGAUUUAAAUUACUUUAUUAAAAAGAUUUAUCAUGUUGCAAUUGAAACCCAUCUACCUCUGGCUGCAAUUUUUUAAGGAUUAAAGACUUAACUAUUUGAUUAGUAGGGUGGUUAGGAAUUUGAUAUAUGAUAUAUGACAGAUAGAAUAGAAGACAAUGACACAUUCAGUAAUCUUAAAGCAUGGUGUUGAUGAAUACAAAGGAAUUUUAAUGAAUAUGAAAUCUCAGCAUUGGUGCGUGUAGCCUACGACUAUGGAACAAUUUCAUCAGUUACUGUGUUCAAAUCAAAAUGCAAGGGAUCAUUAUUUCCAAUUUCAACUCAAUAAACCUGAUUUUUCAUUGUUAAAACCAGCUUUGAACCUAAGCUUUACCAUCCCUUGCCUAUGAGCCAUAACCAGUCAAGUGUGACCCUUGCAAAGAUACCUCCUAGGAGAAACAAAACAAGCAAAUUCCCUAGGAGAAACAAUUGUCGAGAUAAUAAUGGAGGGGUGAUUUGAGGGCUUUGGAAUGUUUGGCUGAAAUUGGUGGAUUUUUAAGGGGUAAUUAAGAAAUGGCCCUAACUUGUCAUUUUGGUACAACCGCAAGGGACUCUUUGCAGUUGUAGCUGCAGUUUUUCUUUCACCACCUGCAAGAAUUUGCUGAAUGUUAUAUUUUUAAUAAACUGUAUGAACUAGAUAAAUGAAUCAUUGAAUCGUAAAUUGACAGCAAACUUUAUUCAAAAACAUUGAAAUUCAAUUUUAUCGUUCAAGAUUUUGAUGUUUGUAUAUAAUACUGUCAAUGUACACUUCUUAAUUUGAACAUCUAUGGAACUGUCAGGAUCUGCCUGCUGAACUUUUUGUGUAUGAAGAAAGGGUUGGAACUUGGAAGUUGCGAGUCGCUACAAAGAUGGAAGGAGCCAAAGAUUGAAGAGAGUUGAAGCAAAGGAUAGAAACCACGACAUGAAAGCCAUAGCUGCAGACAACUGAUAUCUACUGCAUAUCUUUGACGAGCAAUAUGUCGAGCUGACAUUGACCAAGAGACUUGUCACACUAGCAGUUGAGCAAGCCAUGGCUAGUGAGAGAAAUGACAAGGCCUGCAAUCAGAUAAAACACAUGUUUUUACAUCAAAUUAUGAUAAGGGAUAACACCAUGGUGAUGAUAUGCAUAAUAAGCCUCGUAACAUACCCAGUCUCCAACAAUGACAACUAACAGUACCCUUGGUUGUCGUGGUAAGCCUUUAACGAACACGAAAUAUGCAUCAACCAAUGCUAAUGACACACUCCAUGGAGUCACUAAACCCAUGACUGUCACCAAGUAGCUACGAAAAAAUUUAAAGGAAAAUUGGAGAUUGAUUUAUCACCCAACAAUUGGUGAGCAACAAUGAAAACACAAACAUUAUCUUCUAUAUCAUUAUAUCUAAUGAGCAAUUGAAAAUUAUAGUUUGUACCUGCAAUUGAUCGAACAACACCAUAGACAAGGCAAGUUUAGACAAUAGAAGACCUUAUCCUAUGGCAAUUUUUUAUCAUUCAAUAGCUUCUGUUACUAGUGAAAGGGCUUUGAAAUUGCAAGAACAGAUAAGGUAAGACGGCCAUGCCAGUCAUAGCAGAUUGGUACUUAUGGUCUUAUGUCCUAAGCACAUAGCAUCUCCAUCGAAGAAAAUUGGAGAUAAGAAGUUUCAAAUAACAAUUUUUCUGAAGUACAAAUAAAGUGGUUAUAUUCAUUGUCUUAAGAUUGAUCCAGAUGGUUUGUGCUAAUCCAUAGAAGUUAGAUAGCAGAUACAGACAGUGCCUCAUUAUCUAGUUUCAUCUUUCCAGAAACAUGCAAAACAGGAGGACCCAAGUCAAGGAAUAAAGUUCAAAUGCAAAAGCCAUACAAGACCACUAUCUACUUUUACAAUUCACCUUGUUAACUAUCUUGAUUCCCUUGACAUCUAGCUUAAUCAUCCUUGAUAUUAGCACUUGAUGAGCUACUUGACUCUGGCCAUUUUGUUAAUUGCUUAAAUUAAGGCCUUUUACUUGUACAAAUGCUCCCAACAUUGUGCAUUUUAUACACAAAAAAAGACGCAUUUUUUCCAUUUCCAUUCACCUGGUGAAAACUUUUAACAGAGGAAGAAAAAUAACAAAUAAUUUCAAUCUGAACAGAAUCGAAAAUAAGAAGUCUGGAAAUCCAGCCUUGGAUAACAAAUAUCAUCAGCAAAUAAGUUAUAUUCUAUGGUCUAGUUCAACAACUAGCCAAGUAACAGGUCAUGUACAUUGAGAAUGGUUUUGAUAACUCUAAUUGUUGAAAGUCCAAAUUCAGUCAUCCAUAAAAAAAAAGAAAAAGCAAUUGAUCUUUGCAUAUCCCUGAAUCAAAAAAGACUCUCAGAUAACUUUACCCUUUCAAUCAUUAAAUGGCAGCUUUCCCUGCAGUCAUCCGUAAGCAAGAAGCAAGAUUUCCUAAAAAUGGCUUUUUUUUAAAACCUUAAAUCCUUUUGUUUUCAUAAAAAAAAUUCACCUAAUUCACUUUCUGCCCAAGCCCAAAGCCCAUCCCUUCAAACAAUUUCCAUGAAGAUACCAGUAGGAACCAGAAUUACUUUUGCUCUCUCCAACAUGGUAAAGCUGCUAUUUUACAUGGCAAAAAGACACACGAAGCAUCCAAUUCCUUAAAAACCAAUCACUAAAAUGAUCACGAUUGUGAUAGUUUUUCCCUGGAGGUUCCCAAAGAAACAUCAGAACCAGCUUUUAAAAGUUGACAACGAAUUGAAUUCCGAGCAAAUAUCAGAAACAAAGAGGCAUGGGUAUUGAAGAUUAAAAGCCAAAGAGAGGAAGAAAGAUAAAAUAUGACCAAAUAAAUGGAAGAAUCUUAAAACGUUUUCAGUUACCUGAAAGAAGUAUAGCUAUAGAAUUCAACAUCCAAACACAUAAAGAGAAGUGAAGCAGCGGAGAAAACAGUUUGUCCCAAACGAAGAGCCAAGCUGGCGCUUGUUCCCAACGCCCCUGGCACUGCUUCCAUCGUCCCUCAUGUCAUCUUAUCUUUCUGUUUCUUCUUCUUUAGUGUAUUCCCCUAAAACCCAAUAAAAAAGCAGAGGCCAAACACUAGGAGAAGGGAUUGAAACAAUAGAAUUCAUGGCAGAUUUGCCUGAGAAAGAGAGAAAGAGAGGAAACGAAACAGAAUAUGCUGAGAAGAGAAGAUAUACGACGAACUUUUACCUGGAAGAGAAGAUGAAGAACGGAAGAAGGAAAAUGAACGAAGAACGGAAGAACGAGAAAGAACCUUACCUGAAUGAAGGAGGAACCGGAAAAUGUCUUACAGAAAUGAAAUCCAUAAGACAUUUUCCCCUAAAACCCAUUUAUUUUACUCGUGUCUUGGAAAAUCUGGAAAACAUUUUGCUGCAAACAAACAGACCCUUAAUUUAAAAACUCGCAAUGAUGAAUUUUGAAAUCAACUCUUUAAAUAGAAAUGACUUCAUUUAUUGCUCUAUUCAUUUUCUGUUGGGGAUCAACUCAAUUAAGGGCUUAUUUAGUAUUACUUAAAAAAAGUAUUUUUGAUUCUAAAAGUAUUUUUGAAAAAAAACUGUGCUAAACAAAUUGUUUAUGGUUGAAAUUUGUGUUGCAUAGUCAUCGACAAUACUUUGCUGCAUCGUUUUUCGCUCUGUUUCUCUUCGCUUCGCUUUCUCCAGUAAAACCACCUGCCAUUUAGUUUCUCAUCAUUCCUCUCUUUCUUCUUCUUCCUUCUUCCUUCUUUUUUUUUUUUUUGCAUACAUAAAUUUAUCCCUGCGCCAGACUGCUCUAUUAUGCUGCAACUGCUUUGACGUCUUUGCCUUGUACAAUAUAGUUUAAGUUUGAUCUUGUUUCUAUUUUUAUCUCUUCCUUUUCAUGUUCUUUGUACUUGUAAUAACCAUUUACCCUAGAUUCAAAAAAAAAAAAAACUUUGCUUAUUUUCUUUUAUAUAUGUGGGCUAGAAGACUUCAUUAAUUGAAGGAAGAGGGAGACUCCAUUUGAGAUUGAGGUGAGUUUUCUUGGCUUUUUUCGAAGCGUUCUGUCUUAGAAACUAAUGGAGCUGCAGUUGGCUUUAAAGGGUUUGGAAUUUGCCCAGAAGAAGAAGAAAUGGGUUGCUUUAAUGGCGGCUUUUGGUUUAAGCAGUUAUAAACCAGUUAUGGUUUCUAUAGAUUUUAUCACUUUCCUAUUAUAGCUCAAAAGCGAAACAGAGUUUUAAAGCUUUUACGAGCUUUGGUUUCCAUUACUGAAGCCGUCUCUGAUCGUCCUAAAGCAAUAAGAGUUGUUUCUAGUGAUUUGAAUGGUUUUCUCCAAUCAGAAUUAGACCAAAUUCCUAAUAGUUUGAAACAGGUUUCGAAAAUCACCAGGUCCAAUGAGUUUUCACAGUCCAUAGCAAUGUAAAGAACUGCAACCUGAAGGAGUUUUGAAGCCAAAUUCGACUCCGAGCUGGCUGAAUUGGGUGUGUGGUGAUGAGUUUAGGGAGCUGAUUGGUGAUUGUAUUCAAGUUUCUGUAGUAAAAUUUUAAAGAAGAAUCAAUAUGUUGAAUUCUGAAUCUAAGGGUUUUAACUUUGGAUUUGAACUCCAUAAAUCUCACUGUUUUUAAUCUCAAUUAUAAAAGUGAGUACUUAGCAGAGAACUUGUGUUCCUUAUACUUCAAUUCCUUGAUUUCGAGGAGAAAUUUAAAGAUACUGUUCAUAAUUAUGCUCUUAUCUCCGUAAUCUUUGUUUUUGUUGUUUUCUUUUAUUCUAUCUUUUUAUAAAAGCAUUUUUUGCGUAUUUAUUGAUUAAUAUAUUUAAAUUUAAUAGAUUGGAGCAAGAGUUGGGGUUCUAAAUAUCUCACCUGGAGGAGGACUACAAGCAGCUCAGUUUCAUUCUGGUAUUCAUUCUCCUACAAAGCAUUUUUAACUAAUCAAAUUUUCAUAUAUAGUUAAUUCUCAUUGUUUUGUGUUGAGGUUAAAUUUAAAAUAGGGUCAUGGUUGAUUAGAUUUAUGGGUGUUUAAGUUGAUUUAAUGUAACUAGUCAAGGCAUAAUUUUUGUGUCAAGGAGUUGGUAUUGGCAAAUGAUGAACACUAGUGCUGGUCUUCUUAGGAAAUUUGUUUAAGAUCUGAUGGUCUUUCUUAUUAAGUAUUGUUUUUCUUUGGCGAGGGGGCCUUCUCUAAAGUUAAAAAUCAAUAUUGUUUCAUUAGUACAUAAAUCUCGUUUUAUUGGGAGACUAAUGCUUCCAUUUAUAAAGUGCUUCCAGAAAUCAUUCUUCUGUUUUCACAAAUUUUGAGAUUUGUUUCCGUAAUUGGAAAAAAAAUAAAGGUUAAAUACUUUUUUUUUAAAUUAUUGUUUUUAUUAAAUUAGUGUUUUUUAUCAAAAUUUGUUAAAUAUUUUGUUUGUCCGAAAAAAUUACUUAAUAUAUACCAUAUGUUUAUUAAACUUAUAAUAAUUUGCUUCUAAAAUAGAGAUGGUUGAGUUUUAAUUAGUAUUAACGAUGGAAUGAAGUAUUAAUAUAAUAAGUAUAACCAUUUAUAUCUUUUAAGUAUAAAAAUUAAAAUCCCUAAAGUAUGAACCUUUUAAUGCAUUUUAUUUAUUUAUUAAUAUUACAUAAUCUCAUUACAAUGUAUAACCUUUGUUUAAGAAUGAAUAAAAAAAUCAAGGAAUACAAAUUAAGUAUUACAUAAUCACAUUACAAUGGCAUUGUAUUCAAAGUGUUUCUCAAAAUAACCACCUCAACUUUUAAUAUAAUAUCAGAUUUAAUUAUUUAUAUUUAUAUUCCCUUAUCAAUUUCACCUUUCUUUUUUUAAAACUAAAUUUAGCUGUUAAUUUAAAAAAAAGACUUAAAUUAUUUAUAAACUCCAUAUAUACUUUAUGUUAAUAUGUCAAUAUUUGUCUUAUAUAUCACAUCAAUAAAUAAUUUAAAAUUUUAAAAAAAUAACAUAAAAUACACGUAGAUAAAUACAAUAAUUUAUCUUAUCAUUUAUUUAUUACAUUUUUUUAUUGAAAUAGUGAAAUGGAUCCCUACAAAAGAAGUAUUCGAUAGGCUCAUUUGAAUUGUUACUCAAACAACUCCAUUUUAAGCUCUCCUUAAUUGCAUUUGUAUUACUUAUAUGUUUUAAUUUAAUACAACAUUUUUUUGAGAUAAAAUUCAUGUUAGUGAUUUGAAUUAAGGCAUAAUAUCUGACAUAUCUCAUUGUGAUAUUACUAUUUUAGGUUAAAUGUAUUCAUUUAAUUAUAUAAGUAACACGUUUCUUAUUUCUUUAAGAUAUAAAUAAACAAACAUAAAUAGUAAUAAACAGAUUAUAAAUAAAUAAAAGAAACACAUAAACAAUAAGAGUAUUAAUUAUAUAAUUAAACCAUAUUUGAUUUUAAAUGAUUUACUAAACCAGUUUUAAACUAGCAUGAAGAUAACCAAUUUGGAUAUGUUUCAUUUAUAUUAGGUUAAUUUAAUAAAUAAAUUUUAAAUUUUUAUUAAUGUUGAUUUAUUUAACUUAACGAACGAAUAUAAAUAAACAAAAAUCCAACUCAUAAACUAUUUAGUUACAGCUUUAAACUUAACUUAUAUAUAUUUAGAAUACUUAAAUAACGGUAAUUUAUUGUCAACUUUAGACUUCAAGAACUACGAAAUAGAUAAGAGUUGGAUGGAUUUGUCAACGGUAAGCAACGAAUAUUAAAAUGGAGUACAAACUUUUCUAAAUUAGUUUGCAUUUAAAUUCUUAUAUUUAAAUAAUUUAUUUGAAGUGACUGAUCUACAAAUUAACUCACGCAUUAACUUAUAUUUAUACUUUAUUUGAGAAUAUUUUAAUUUUUAUAAUUAAUAAAUUUUAAUUUACAAUUAAUUUUUACAUUAACUAACUAAACUUUUAUAAAGAAAAUUAGAAACCCAUCGGUUAAAAACUAGUUAUUUUUCCUUUUAAAAAAUCUAGUUAUUUUUUUUAAAAGUAAUGUUUUAUUAUUUUAUAUAUUUAAUAUAAAAUUAUAUAAAUAUUUUAUUUUAUUUUCUGUGAUUCUCUAUGUCCGUUUUAUGUUCAUGUUCGGGUUUAUUAAACUAAUAUUAAAAUUAUGCAUUUUAAUAUUUAUAUUAAUAUAUUAAUUUAAAAUAAAAACAUAUAUUUUAAUUUUUUUUAUUUAUAUACAUUAAUAUAUAAAUAUUUUAUAUUUUAUUUUAAACUAUAUAAAAAAAGAUGUUAAGGGUAAGAUGAUAAAUUAAUAAAUAACACUUAUGUUUUAACUCAUAGAAAAUACAUGAUAAGAAGAUUAACUGUUAGGCACAAGUGUAAGCCGUGUAAGCCGUGUUAUCCUAUCCCUUGCCCCUAAUAUUGUAUCGAAAAACGCUUGGUAAGAAGAGUGAUAUAUAUCCAAUUUUCAACAACCAAACAAUUUGAUGUAGUAGCAUCUGUCUUUUAUGCAUAAUUUGAAAGUUGAGUGUUAUUUAACAUAACACUCCUCUUUUACAUCAAGCCUACCAAAUGUGACCAGACUAUCAAUUUGGCUAUGAUUCUAUAUAAAACGAUAAAAAAAUUGAGUUUUUUAAAAUUAGAAAAUCUUGAAAAUACAUAAAUUUGAAAAUUAAAUAAAAAUAGAUAAAAUUUAAAAAAUGUAUAGAUAAGUGAGAGAAAAUUAGGGAAAAUUAUUUUUCAUUAUGAGAAAAUAAUGAGAAAAAAAGAUUAGAUUUGCUUUUUUCAAUUUGGAUUUUGAAUAAUGUUGAAAAUUUUGAAGUUGCCGCAAGGUGUUAUGGGAAUUGCCCACUACCCCAAUCACUAUGACAAAACAAUUUGCCAUAGUUGGAAGAUUGGCAAUUUAUUGAUCUGUAUCUUUAGGUUGAGCUUAUAUUGUAGAGCGAAUCAAGCUCAUCAAUAAAGAUCAUAUCACUUGGAGAAACUUAUUUAGAAGAUUGGAUCGGGUUGGAUUGGAUUGCUUAUAUCAAAUCCUAUGGAUAAAGGAAAUUGAAUCGGAUCAAAAAAGUAAAGAGUUAGCCGCCAACCGUCAAUGUUUAUUGUGGUUGUUAAUAUUAUAUUGUAUUUAGCUAUUUUAGUUGUUGUUUAGUAAGGAUUGUGAUAGAUCUUCAUUAUGUUAGCAAGUCUCAAAAUCUUUAUGUAAUUAAGAGACUUGUAUAGGUUGAUGCACAAAUUAUUAAGAGCAUUUAUAUGUUCAAGUGAGGAACAUUAUUUUGCAAGAGUGCAUUUAUGAUUGUAAAAUUCUGUAUUGUGUUGUGCAUUUGUGAGGAACAUUAUUUGUGAUUGUAUUAUUUAGUGGUGAGUGAUCUAGUCUUCGAAGGUAUAAGAGUGAGGAAUCAUCAUUGAGAUGUGAUACAUUUAGGUUCACUAGUUGUAAUUGUUUAAAUAUAGUGAUUCUUCUCAUUGACCAAGACUUCACAAAUGUAUUGAAACUGAACUGCAUAAACAAACUUUAAUGUUUCCUAUUUUGUUUUUGCUUAUCAUGGUGCUUGCAGAAGUGCAAACUUUUGUAGUCACUACUGCUCAUACAUUGCUUGUUACUUAGCAACUAUUUUAGAUCAACAAAAAACCAUUUAAAUGAAUUAAAUUUUAUUAAUAGAGUUUGAAAAAUAAUAUUUUCUUGUAUAUUUUGUAUUUUUUUACUAAAAGAAUGGGAUCAGAUUCAAUUUCACAAGUCUUAGUGAGAUUAGUUUGAAAGAAAUUCUUCAAUAGCAUGGAACUUGACCGGAAGGUAUUACUAAAUUUGUCCUAUUUUGUUUUAAAUUUGUUAUUGGAUUCUAUUGAAUAAUCUUUUUCUUUCUUAUGUCUCAGUAUUGAACAAUCUUGAGCUUUAUUACAAUACAAGAACAUUAGUUUCUAAUCACAUUUAAGCUUUGUGCAAAAUGAAUAUUAUACUAAAAUAUUGAAAUUGAUCUAUUUCUUUUAUCCAUUUUCAUGAUUUAUUGCAAUGUUGAAUAUUUUGUUGCAGAAAUCAUAAUUUUUAUAUAGAAUUUUCUAUUUUUAAAAAAUAAUAUUUAGUUUUUAAAAUUAAUUUUAUAUAGAAUUAGGGUUAAAUGGAGAGAAAGUAUAAAAGUUAAGGGUUAAAAUUGUCAUUAUACUAACUAAAAAAGUGUGGUUGUUAGCUAUUUAAUAGUUGGGUAAAAAAAUAAUUUCAAAAACGUUAGUGGCCAAAUUGUAACUCUUUUAAUUAAAAGACACAUAAUUGAGGGAUUAAUAGUGUAAUUUAACCUUAUCUUUUUUAAACAUAUGGAUUAAUUCACAUUUAUUUGGAAUGUGUUAUUAAUUCACAUAUGAAUUUAAGUAGCGGUGGAGCUAGAAAAUAUUUUGGGGCUAAAAUUAAAUUGUAUAUUUUUAUGAUAGCAAGAAUGCAAUUUCACUAUUUUAUGAUAUCUUUAUUAUUUUUAAAGGGUUAAAUCAAUUUUUUAUCAUUUUUGAGAUUAAAGUGUAAUUUUACUAUUAUUAAUUUAAAAUUUUAUAAAUUAUAAAGGACAUAAGUGAAAAAUUUUCCAUUAAUCAACACCCUUGGCUCUACCACUUGAUCGAACACAUAUCACGAGUCCUUUCCCGCGUGUGUCAGAUUUUUUUUAUAUGGUUGAAAUAUCAUCACAUGUAUUUAUGUUUGAAUACACAUCACAAAACCUUGAGUUGCUUCGGCAUGACCUAGAGAAAAAAAAAUGGAGAAACAUGAAGGUAGCUUAGAAGAAUCCAAAAGCAAUAAACGAAAGCUAGACAAAAGGUUGAAAUCAUCAUUAACCAAGCCUUUACUUUUUCUAACUCCAGGAAGAGUCCAUAUUCGUUGAGAAAAUCGGCAAAGACUUUGUUAUCUUUUGGAAGGACUUGUAAAGAAACAAUUUUUUAUAUUUACGUUCUGUAAUGUUUUUCAUAUUAACAUUAUUGAUGUUUCUAAAUUUACCUUCUGUAAUGUUAGAGUUAGUUGAAGAGUCGUCAGAUUCUGGAGAGGAAUCAAAUUUUAGUCAUCAGCAUAGGAUGGAAGAUGAGAAGUUGCUGUCGGCAGUGUUGGGAGAGCAAAGGAGAAGGUAAGAAGACUGCAACUCAAGAGGAUGAAGGCAAAUCAGAAAUGGGUAGAUGACAGAAUUGUGAAUAGGAUCUCAGAUUCUGGGUCCAACUUAUGCAAUAAUUCUAUGAUCUGGGAAGCGUGUAGAGAUCGACAAAUCAGUUUGCGGUGAUUGCUGCGGUCCUGUCCAACAAGGAGCCAAUUGUUUUGCAGACACAGGCUAUGGAUGGGAUGGAAAGUUUAUGGUUAAACUAUUCCCCUUAAAUUCACGUCAGUAUAAAAUAAAAUGUAAACUAAUUUAAAAUUUUAAAAUAAUUUUAUUUUAAUUUUUAAGUCUAAGAAUUUUGAUGAGUUAAAAUUAUAAGAUAAGUGCUUAUUUAAUUACAAAAAUAAUUUAAAAACUUGUUUAAACAAAAUGUAAUAAUUUAACGGAAUUUUUAAUAUAUUAGCCAAAGAAAUUCAUCUAGGUAAGAUAUGAGAUUCAAUUGAAGUUAAUAAUGAAGAAUGCUUUUAAUGUUCCCAACAUUAGACCAAUACAAAUAAUUGUAAGUUUUGUCAAAAUUCUUAGUUUUCUUUUUUUGAUUAAUGAGCAGAGUUCACAAGAAAAACAAAAAGUAAGUGGUACAUAAUAACGAAUAAAUAGCAUUCAAUUUAAACAUUCACAAUGAUUAAUCUUCAAUUGAAAAAUCAUUAUCUUAAUUCAAAAUGACUUUCAUCUUCCACCAUUCUAUAUCACUACCAAUUGGCCAUGCAGUUUCAUCUUCCACUAAAAUUUCAUCAACUGAUUAGCUUGCCUGCAAAGCAAAUUAAACCUUCACUUAUUACUGUUUGCUUUUGAUGAUUGAUGAUGAAAAAAGCUUAUUGUGAGUUUGGAAGAGUAGUGUACCUUUGUUUUGGCAUGCACUGAUUUCUCUGAAUCAACACUAAAUCUUGUGGUUAUGUUGGGACAACCUUCUACUUGUAAAUCAAUCAAAAAUGGGAAAACAAAAUGAUAACCCACAGGGCUGAAGCUCACGAGGUUUGGUAGCUCAUCAAGCCGUAAGUAAGUUAAUCGAGGUAGGUGCAUCACUUUCUCUUCGUCCUUACUCACAUUUGGCUCAUCUCCUUCAAACACUUGCUUUAAUUUGGAGACCCUUCUAAGGUAUAAUCGACCUAGGUUUGGAAGGCCGCCAUGAGCAAGAGUAAGGGGAAGAGACAUUUCAAGUUUUCACAGUUAAUGAUUCUAAUCAAAUUCAAAUUAGGGAAGCAAAUAGGAUGGAGAUGAUGUUGUGAUGAAGUUUGAUCCUUCUCAAUUAUUUGCUCCAAAUUCCUCACACUCAGAUUUAUCCAAAGUCCACAAUUGUGGAAAAUUUCGAGCGAUGGUAGGUGAGAAGAUGUAUCUUAGCCUUCUGCAAUCAUGGACUGUCAAUGAGUGAGAUUUUGAAAGUGUUCAACUUGGAUGGGACCACUCCAUAUCACCCGCGAUUCAGUUAGUUUGGACAACAUUAGGAUCUUUAGAGUUGAAAGAUUAUAUCCAGAAUAUUCAAAUAACUCUUCAAAAUUGGAAAUUGUUAAAUAUUCCGUACAUGUUGAUGUUCCUCCUCUCCUUUCAGGGACUGUCACGUUGCUUAUUUGCUUCUUUUCUGUCAUCUCUGACAACUCCAAUUCCUAUAAACAUAUCAUCAAUUUAAGAAUAAGCACAAGAUUUCUUUUUCAAUCUUUUAUAGUCAAAGAAUUCAAAUUUUUAAAAAGUUUACUGUUCAACUCAAAUAAUCAUAAAUUACAAAAAAAAAAUAUGGGAGGGUUUGGGUAAAAAUAUAGGCCCGAAAUAUGGGCUUGGACAAAAAAAUUAGGCCAGUUUAGAAAACGGGCCGAGCCUCAAGUACCACUUUUUUGGCCCAGGCCCGGCCCAGCCCGAAUAUAAUAAAUAUAUUUUUUAUUUUUAAAAAUAUUUUUAAAAUACUUUUUUUAAACUUUUUUUAUUUUUAAAAUACUUUUUUUAAUUUUUAAAAUUUUUUUGGUGUUUAUUUAAAAAAUGGGUCGGGCCGGGCCCAGGCUUAGGAAUUUUUCCCGGGCCGGGCCUGGACAAAAUUUUAGGCCCAUAUUUCGGGCCGGGCCGAGCCCGGGCCUAGGACAAUGGCUAAAAUUUUUUUUAUGGGCCCGGCCCGGCCCAUGAGUACCUCUAGUCGCCACCGAUAUUUUUUUGAGGUGUGAUCAGAUCACCUUAAAAUAAUUUUGGUCUACGAAUAAAAAUGGGUUCGGGAGCCAGUUACGCACGAGGAAGGAUUAGCACUCUUGUAACACCCAAAAUUGGUACCGAAUUGAUUAAUUAAUAUCUUAAAGUCGAAUGUCAAAAAUUUGAAAAGAUUAAAAAUGAUCCCCCUCUUAUUAAUAACAUAUUUUUAAACAAUAUUUGUAUAAAUUUGAACAUAUGUAGAAAGACCCUCUCAUCUCGAGGCAAUAAAAUAUCGUAUCUCGUAAGUUAGGAUGCAACAUUUGAAUACUCAAGCAUAAGCUAACCUUUAAAAACCUUUAUUGAAACUUUAUAUAUUUGAAAACUAAAAAUAUUUGACCAUCUUGGUUCAAUGAGGAAAUCGAAACCCUGUAAGUUAGGGCACAGUUCCUUGAAGUUCCAAAGACGACAUAUAAGUUUGCCUUUAUUAAGAAAAACAUCAUCUCGAGAUAUUGAAAUGUCAUAUCCAAUGAGUUAGGACACAACGUUUCGAAUUCCCGAGAUAAGUUUUGAUUUGAAAUUUUUACAUUUGAAUUGAAAAAGGGAUACUCAGUUACUUAAAUUCAACGAGGAAAAUUGAAGCCCAGUAAGUUAGGGCACAAUCUUCUCGAAAAUCUUGGAUACCGAGUAUUGCUUUAUUUUGAAAACUUUUGAAUAAAACGAUUUUAAUGCUUUAAUGAAUCGUAAUCUUUUUGACAAAUGAAACGCAAUGGGAUGACAAUGUAUAACGCGAAAUGAUAGUAAACUAAAAUGUACGCUAAUGAGCGGCAAAGAAUCAAUAAAUACGAAUAAAAAACACCAUACAUAUAAGAGCAAUAAUCUCACAUCACAUGUAAAUAUCAACAUUUAAAAGCUAAUGAACUAAAAGCUAAUCUUAAAAGAAGUACCAAGCAAAUUAACACAAAUAAAAUGUAACAAGUUAUUAAAAUAACUAAAAAAAACAAAUAACAUGAAAGAAGGGAAAUUAUAUAUUAAAAUAAAAAUUUUAUAAUAACUAAAAAAACAAAUAACAUGAAAUAAGUAAUACAUAUAGAAUGAAAAACUUCAUAUAAAUAAUAGUAUAUAGUAGUAUAUGUAAAAGGUUAGAAUGGGCAAAAUAUAAUAAAAUAAUAUUUUUUAAAUGAAAAUAAAUCAUAGAUAUAGAGACAGAUAAAAAAAAAGAUGUAUAGUAAUAUGAAAUCACAAUAUAUUGUGUAUGUAUGUAUGUAUAAUAAAAAUAAUUUAAUAUAAAUUGUGUACAUAUAUAAAAAAUAGUAUUGUAUAAGAAUAUUAUUGUAUAAAUCUUUAAAGAUGAAAUAUAUAAAAGUGGAUUUUAAAAGUAUAUUAUAAAAUAAAAGUUAUUAAAAAUAUAUAUUAUAUUGGAUUAAUAGGAAGAAAAUAAAAUAAUUCAUUAUAAAAUUAAAUAAUAAUGAAUGAUAAUAAUAUAAAAAAAUUUAAAAUAAUAGUACUUAAUAGGAUAAUAUAUAUAUAAUAAGUAAAGGAAAAUAUAACCAAAUAUAAUAAUAAUAUAAAUAAUAAUAAAAUUAAUAAUAAAUUAAAAUUAAACUAAUUAAUUUAAUAGCAAAAAUAACAAGACAAAGGACUAAUUUGGAAUUAAAACAGAAAUGUAGGGGCAAAUCUGAAAUAAAUAAAAAGGAAAGAACCACAAUGAACGCGCGAAUAAAAGCGAAGGGCCAAAAGGAAAAUUAAUCCUUGCCUUCCAAAACGACGUCGUUCGAUUUUGGACCUAAUUGAAAUAAAAAUAAAUAAUGGGGUACAAAUUAAAGAUAAGAAAGACUUGAUUGCAAACACACAAAAAAGAGGAAGGGCUAAAGGUGCAACUAGCCCCUCCAUUAGAAUACACGCGGAUCGUAGGUCCGGAUCGGGUCGCGGGUUGGCCCCCAAAACGACGUCAUUUUGGGCGUCUGGGGGUCCUAAUGAAACGGCGCCGUAUUGUAUUAUUAUUUAAAAAACAUUUUGUAGCCCAUUUGUUUUUUAAAAACUACUGUUUUCUUCCUCCUCUAGGGUUUCGCCCACAGCCCCUAUGGUGCCACCAUAUCCGCCGCUCCUUCGCCAUGGCUCCGCCAAGGACGGCGAUCUAUGCCGGCGAGGAGAUCACGGACCCUUGGUAAGUCCCCUCUCUUCCCCUCUCUAUUAUUCUUUUUUUUUUGUAUUUAAAAAAAAAAGCAAAUCGAAACUAAAAGGAAAAAACAAAAAGAAAAAAAACAGAAUACUACCUUCUCUCUAUUUUCGUAUUUGAAAUUUUCUACUUGUGAUAAAUAUUCUUUUGCUUUUUUUUAUUUCCUUCGUGAAUCCCUUUACAGAUGCAAAAAUCGGCUUUAUAUAGCCGAAUGAAAAUACAAAAAUUAUUUAUUUUUUCUUUUAUAUUUUCUCUACUAUUUGCUGUCACUGUUUGUUGUGAUUUGCGUUCGUUGCAGGUUCGACCAGCCUAGAGUAGAGGUGCUCAUGGGCCGGACGGUUCGACCCGGCCCGACGGCCCGCCCGAAAAAUGGGAGGGUUCGGGUAAAAAUAUAGGCCCGAAAUAUGGGUUUGGGUAAGAAAUGAGGCCCGUUUUAAAAACGGGCCGGGCCUCGGGUAAAAUUUUUUUGGCCGCCCGAAUUUAAUUAAUAUAUCUUUUUAUUUUUAAAAUUGAUUAUUAGUUAUUAGUAAUAACUUAUUAGUGUCAGUUUUCAUUAAUACAUUUCCCAUUUCCUUUCCCUUCCCUUCCCCAUUUCCCCGACCCCAGAUAAAUCCCUAACCCCUUCCCUUCCUUUUUUUUCCCCCAAAUUGGAAAUCCACCUCCACCUCCACCUCCACCGAUCCACGACUCCACGACCACGACUCCACGACUCCACGACUCAACGGUGCUUCUAGCCUUCUUCGUCUUCUCAAAGGUGAGUUUGUUGUUAACCUUUGAAUUAGUUUUUUGCUUUGUGCUUUUCGAUUUUUAUUUUUAUUCGAAUCAGUUCCCUCAUUCUCUUUCAAUUACAGAGGAAUAGGAAGGUCUAACAGACUAACACAAACAGUAGAUGUAUAAUUUCAUUUGAUGUAUAAUUUCUUUUGGUUGGAUUAUUUUUCAUUUGAUGUAUAAUUUCAGAUAUUUGUUGAAAGCCCAGAUGCUAAAACUUCAAUUUCGAUUUUUUUAUUAUUGUUAUUUUUUGGUUUUGGAUUUAUAGGUACUUUCAAUUCUGGGAUUAUUUUACUUUCUGAAUCACUGAAUUGAUUUUAGCUCCUAAAAAGCAUAUAUUUUUAAGAACCGGGAUAGUGCUUGAUUUUGACUUUGAUCCUUUACUUGAAGAUUCAUUUUAGAUCUUUAUUUAGUUGGAAUACUGCUGAGAGAUUGAGUUACUUAAAUCUCCCUUGCAAACCCUUUUUUCUCUUCUAUUUGACGCAUAAGUUUUGCUUUAUUUGGAUGUGAAAUCUAUUUGAAGAUCUAACUAAAACUCAUGUUUUUGAGUAUUUUUUUGUUUUUUUGUUUGUUUUGUCACAGAACUUUUUUCACUACUGGGAAAGAAUACUUGGGCAAUGAUUUCAAUUCCAUGUCAACUUUAUUUUUUCACUACUGGGAAAGAAUACUCGGAAACACCUUCACAGUUCACACCCUAGCAUUUAACUCUAAUGAUUUGCCUCCUUAUCGUGAUAUUACCCCUUAACAACAGUAUACGUGCAUUCAUUCACUGGAGCCUUGAUCAUCAAUUUGUUUCUGUACUUUUCAAUGCUUGAUUAAUUAAUUCUGCACUUUUCAAUGCUUGAUUUUGUUGUGAUUAUUAUGAUUAACAACAAACAUAUGGCUAAAACUUUGUACUAACAUUUAAACAGUGGCAUUCAAAUUUUUUUAGAUUUAUUCUGAUUGGUUAUCAUAUUCUUUCUUGAUAUGCUAUGCUAGAUUUGGACAUUCAUUUGAUACAUUCUAGUUGAUCUCAUUUUCAUCUAGUAACUUUGAUCUUUGGAUUAAAACUUUUAAAAAAGAAAAAAAGUUGAGCUUUACCAUUUUAAGUAUAGAGUACAGAUUACAGAAUAAGAACUGAGACUGACUCCAUAUUUUAAAAUUUAUGUAAUAAGUAAUUUUUGACUACUUUUGUCUUAUUAAAUUGAGUAUGGAACUAUGGAUCAAAGAUCCAUGAGAGUAAUAGUAUGGAUCAAUUUUGAUAUUGUUCUCCUUUAAAAACAUAAAAAUGUAAUGAAAUGAUAAACUUUAAAAUGUUAUAUACAAAAAAAAAUGCAAUUUGAUAUUUGAUAUAAAUUCAAUAACAACCUUUUAAGUCAAAAAAAAAAAUGGGCCGGGCCUGGCCCAGGCUUCAUAUGUUUUUCACGGGCCGGGCCUGGGCAAAAUCUCAGGCCCGUAUUUCGGGCCGGGCCUGGGGGACUAAGAAAUGGGCUGAAAUUUUUAUGGGCCUGGCCCAAAAUUGGCCCGGCUCAUGAGCACCUCUAGCCUAGAGUGGAGGCUGUUGUGUUGACGUGGUGGCGCACGUGGCUGCUGUGCGAGGGAGGAGCAGCGCGUGAACAGCUUGCUGGGGCAUGCGGCGGCUGAGUCAUUAGCUGGCUAAGGUUUUCUAAUUUUUUAAUUUUGUUUUGGGCUGAUUCAGGGAUUGGGUUUAGUAUUUUGGAUUGGGCCUUUAGAUUUUAUUUUUUUGGUUUUGUAAUCUCGACUGUUUAAUUGGACAUUUUAUUGUUUAUUGGUUUUGUUUAUUUAUACACGGGGCCCGGGCAAAUAUUGAGCUAUUAAAGGUACAUAAUAACGAAUAAAUGGCAUUCAAUUUAAACAUUUACAAUGAUUAAUCUUCAAUCGAAAAAUCACUAUCUUCAAUUCAAAAAUCACUAUCUUCAAUUGUCCGCCUAUAUAUAUCACUACCAAUUGGCCAUGCAGUUUCUUGAGCUGUAACAGAAUCUUCCACUAUAAUUUCAUCAACUGAUUGGCUUGCCUGCAAAGCAAAUUAAACCUUCACUCGUUACUGUUUGCUUUUGAUGAUUGAUGAUGAAGAAAGCAAAGCUUGUUUUCCAAAAUUGGACAAAGGAUGACAUAUUAAGAACAAGAACUGUGAAUUGAAAAUAAUAAUGCAACAAGGAUAUUUAGAAAGAAUAUUGACAGCGGCAGAAACCAUAUGCAGUUGAUGCAAUUUCAUUUAGUCAUUUAAAGCAUUAAAAAAAAGAAUUUAUCUCAGACAACCAAAAUAAAAAUAGGGAGAAUACAUAAAGAAAAUAAUUGAAUGGAUGAAUUUCUGUUUUAAAGCUUAUUGUUGAGUUUGGAAGAGUGGUGUACCUGUGUUUUGGCAUGCACUGAUUUCUCUGAAUCAACACUAAAUCUUGUGGUUAUGUUGGGACAACCUUUUACUCGUAAAUCCGUCAAAGAUGGGAAAAUAAAAUGAUAACCUACAGGGCUGAAGCUCACGAGGUUUGGUAGCUCAAUAAGCUCUAAGGAGCAAAGCUGAGGUAGGCGUAUCACUUUCUCUUCUUCCUUAUUCAGAUUUGACUCAUCUCCUUCAAACACCUGCUCUAAUUUGGAGACCCAUUCAAGGCAUAAUCUCAAUAGGUUUGGAAGGCCGCCAUGAGCAAGAGUAAUGGGGAAGAGACAUUUCAAGUUUUCACAAUUCCUUAUUGAAAUAUAACUCAAAUUAGGGAAGCAAAUGGGUUGGAGAUGAUGUUGUGAUGAAGUUUGAUCCUUCUCAAUCAUUUGCUCCAAUUCCUCACAGUUAGAUAUAACCAAAGUCCACAAUUGUGGCAAAUUUCGAGCGAUGGUAGGUGAGAAGAUGUAUCUUAACCUUCUGCAAUCUUGGACUGUCAAUUGAGCGAGAUUUUGAAAGUGUUCAACUUGGAUGGGACCACUCCAAAUCACCCGCAAUUCAGUCAGUUUGUACAACCGUAGGAAGUAUAGAGUUGAAAGAUUAUAUCCAGAAUAUUCAAAUAACUCUUCAAAAUUAGAAAUUGUUAAAUAUUCCGUACAUGUUGAUGUUUCUCCUCUUCUUUCAGGGACUGUCACGUUGCUUAUUUGCUUCUUUUCUGUCAUCUCCGAUAACUCCAAUUUCUAUAAACAUAUCAUCAAUUUAAGAAUAAGCACAAGAUUUCCUUUUCAAUCUUUUAUAGUCAAAGAAUUCAAAUUUUUAAAAAGUUUACUGCUCAACUCAUAUAAUCAUAAAUUACCCAAAAAAAAAAUCUCCAAAAAUAUGGUGCAAAGACACAACAGAAAUAAUAUUACGUAGUACUAGAUAGUGUUUGCAAUAUAUAUAUAAGAAACUAAAAUGUCUUAACAAUUAUAAAAGUAUUCAGUUGAAAUGUUAUUUAUGUUACUAAUUGGUAUUGUAAUUAACUAAACUACUUAAAGGUUUAUUUAGAUUAGUUUUUAGACUAAAAUGAAAACUAUUUUUUAAAGAUUUAUACAUGCAUUUACUUAUUUUAGACCACAAAAAACAAAAAAAUCAAAAGGUGAAAAUUUUAAUAAAUAAUAUAUAUAAGAAGGUCUUACUUGUAUAUUAGUUGGAACGAUAAAAGGUGUCAAUUGAGGACAAUCUCUCACUUUUAACACGCGUAAAGAUGGCGAUGUUAGCACGAUGUUGUUUCUAUCCCUUCCUUUCAAUUGAGGCAAAUUAAUCAACUCAACUUCAUUCAAUCUUGCAAGACCUUGAGACAUUGAGAUUAACACUUCUGGUCCUUGGAUUAUUUCUUGCAAUUGGAAACAGUUCUUUAUCCUCAGAGUUUGCAAUUGCCCAAGACUAUUAGCAACACACAUUGGCAAGAGAAAUUUCAACUUAUUACAUUCUGUGACUUGUACUUCCCUUAGGCAUUGGAAGCUUAUGGUUGAUGAUACUUGUGAGUCUUGAAUUAUUUCUUUCAUUCCAAAGCAUCUCUCUAUCUUUAGGGUUUGCAAUUUCCCAAGACUAUUAGCAAUACACAUUGGGAAGAGAAAUUUCAAAUCAUUACUUUCUGUGACUUGUAUUUCCCUCAGGCAUUGAAAGCUUAUGGUUGAUACUCGUGAGUCUUGGAUUAUUUCUUCCAUUACAAAGCACCUCUCUAUCUUCAGAGUUUGCAAAUUGGGCACAUUUAGUUUUUUAGAGCUACCUUUAUCAACAAUAAUUGGAAAGAGAGAUUUCAAGCUUUCACAUUCCAAGAUAUCAAUUAGAAUCAGAUUUGGAAAGCAAAUAGGUAAGGUAUGCUGUUGUGAUGACGUUUGAUCUUGCUCCAAUUCCUCAUAUUUACAUAAAUGCAAAUUGCUCAAUUGUUCAUUUGUCAUCUUCCCAAACACCAAUUCCUAUAAACAUAUCAUCAAUUCUCAAUUUCAAACUGUUCAAAGAUGUCAACAAUUAACUUAACAUUUCAUCAAUUAAUUUCCUUACAAAAAAUUUAUUUUACCUUAAAUCAAUAUUAUACUCCAAAACUGUGGUACAAAAACAGUCAUAAAUAAUAUCACAUAAUCUGUACAUAUAAAUUAUUGGGAAUUACUUAAACUCAUUUUCAUUUAUUAACACAAAAAUAAAAAACCAACUGCGUAAAAGGCUACAUUUAAAAAAAAUUAAAUAUAUAUUUUUUUAGUUUAUUUUUAAUACAAAUUCUAAAAUCAUCCAAUAAUUCCUUCUCACAUUAAAAAAAAAAAGAUAAAAGUGAUUCAGGGCACUUGAACCAACAUUCUCUUAUUUAGACAACAAUAUCGAUACCAACCAAACUAAAACUUAUAUAUAAUUUUAUAUAGCUUAUUUUUGUUUACCCACAUAAUAGGUAUAAUAUAAUUUAGUAUUAGAUAAAUAGUUUGCAACAUAUCUAAAACAUAAAGUUUGGAUUUUUUUUUUGAAUCUUUUAUUAAUCUUAUUAUAUGGUAUUAUAAUCAACUAAUUUGUUUAAAAGGUUAUUUAGAUUAGUUUUAGACCAAAAUUAUAAAAUAAACAACAAUUCAAACAACGAACUAUAAAGAAAAAAAAAGAAACAAAUAAAUAAAUAAUAUAAAACAAAAAGAAAAAUCUUACUUGUAUCGUAGUCGAAAUAAAAAAAUGUGUCAAUUGAGGACAGUUGUGCACUUUUAACUUUUGCAAAGACGAUUGUGUGAGCAUAAUGUCGUUCACAUCCCUUCCUUUCAAUUGAGGCAAAUCAAUCAACGAAACCUAAAAUGAAAAGCAUAAUCAAAUUUCUCAAUCUUUGACCAUAGGACAAUAAGGAAAAGAAAUGUCAAGUUAUUGCAAUGAGAUACACAUACUUCCCUUAGACUUUGGAGUAGACAUACGUAUGCCACUUGUGGAUCUUGGAUUAUGUCUUCCAAUUGCAAGCAACUCUUUAUCUUCAAAGUAUGCAAUUGGCCAAGGCUAUUAGCAACUGACAUUGGGAAGAUAUAUUUCAAAUUAUUGCAUCCCUCUAUUUCAACAAUCUUCAGACUUUGGAGGCUUAAAUGACGACCGGGCCCUUCUUGUUCUAUGCUCCUUAAUUCAGCAAUCGGGAAUAACACUUUCAUACUAUGGCAACUUUCAACUUUAAACUCUUCAAGCUUUUGUAAAAACCCUUGCGGUUGGGGACCAUUGCACAACUCUUCCAAAAAGGAUAAAUCAUUUAAUGAUAACUUUCUCAAAUUAGAGAGUGUAGUGAUUGGCACUUGCUGCUUUGAUGCAUCAAUUAGGCAUUGCAUAGAGUCGCAACAACGAAGAUCUAGAGAAGUCAACUUACUAAAUCCCAAGUCCAAGCUUGGAACAAGGUUUCGGUGACCCUCCACAUGAUUCAAUUGAAGAGAUUCUACAUCUUCAAAUAGUUGCUUGCAUGCAUCUACAGAGUUAUCGAUUCUCAAAGAUCUUGAGAUUGGAUAAGUUUCCCUCUUUUGAAACCACAUAUCCCUCUUUUGGUACCACAUUUUUCUUUCUAUGCCAAUGCAAAAAUCAAAGCUCCAUAAUCUUCGAAACACAAAGCCAUCUGGAAGAUGUUCAGAAGAAAUAUCCAAUGAUAUUACAACCAACUUUGGCAAUGAAUUCAACUCUGAUAGGCUGGAAUAGCUUUCCCUUUUAGUUGAAUUAUCAGUCGCCCAUUUUAAUGAACUACAACCAUGCAAGUAUAGUUCUUCUAAAUUGGGCAAUCUUCGUAUUAAAUUAGGAGGGAUACUUCGUAGUUUAUAGCAAUACGAUAAAACCAACAGUCUUAGAUUUUCUAGAUCACCAGCUUCAGUCGGCAAUUCAAUGAUAUCAGAUCCACUUAAAGAGAGAAUAUGAAGUGACUUCAGCUUCCCAAGCAUCGAGAUGUCAGAGAGUUGACAAUCAAUCAAACACAAAGUUCGAAGGUUCAUAUGAAACUUAAAUGCAGCUAGAGAUAUCAAUUGAUCUUUCAAAGCACAAACUUGUAAUGCCUUCAUACCCUCAAAGAAUUCGCUUGAAGUUUCCAUUAAACGAUUGCCACCAAGUAAAAGAAGUUUGAGGUAUGGAAAAACCACUCCUUUAGGAAGUUCAUCCGUUUGACCAGUUUCAAAGGAGAUUGCCCUGUAAUGCUUGGAACUUUCAUCCAUCGGGAGUGUUUCAACAGUCCCAAAAGAAAUCUCCUUUCUUGAAGAUGCUAUCCACAAAGCAAAUUGGCGAACCACGUCAUGCAUUUUGACAUGCCUUUCUCCGCAAUCUAGCAACAAACCGGAGUUCUUGAGGGUCUCAAUUGAUGCAAGCACUUCACUGCUAACAUCUUUAAUUGAGUCCAUGCCUUUAUACAACUCCAGUCCCCAUGCAUAUCCUACCAAGUUCUCCACAUAAAUCUCAUCAUCUUCAGGAAAUAAAGAGCACAACAAGAAACAUGUCUUGGUCUCCAUAGUCUUCAAGUAGUCGAAGCUCGCCUCAAGACAUACAUAGGCAUUUUCUUCAUUAACAUCCUCAAUUUCAGUCAACCUACGAUCUUUGAGUCUCCGGUAUGCAGCUUGCCACUCGUGAUGGGUUUUACCUUUCAAGGCACUUCCCAGAGGAACUAUAGCUAUAGGCAAACCCUUGCAUUUUUUGACAAUUUGAUUUGCUAGGAUUUUAAUAGAAUCAUCAGAAAAGUCAUCUAGACCUGCUUUCUUUUCAAACAGAGUCCAAGCUUCAUCAUCAUCCAAACAGUCAAGUUGUACCACGUUUUGACAAUCCAUAGCUCGACAUACUUGUUGACGGCGUGUUGUUAAAAGAACUUUGCAGCCUUUAUGAUCAUCCCCAAUUGGAAUUCCUAUCUUCUCCUUUAAGUUGAUAGAUUCCCAAAUAUCAUCAAGGAUGAUAAGAAUCCUCGGUUCAUUCUUCAGCCUUAACCAUAAUUCUUGCUCGGAUCUUCUUCCUUGUUCAUUCUUCAUAGCAAAGCCUAUGUAUUGUGCAAUUUGAUCUUGAAUUCUCUCAAGAUUUGGCUUUUGAGACACAGUCGUAAUCACAACUUUGUCAAACAAGUUCAGUUUUUGAGCUUGACUUCCAACUUCACGAGCCAGGGUGGUCUUGCCCACCCCUCCCAUCCCCCACAACCCAAUCAUGUUGAUAUUCUCAUCUUUUAAGGCUUCAAUGAUUUGAUAGAAUGCAGUCUCUGAAGAUUUCGAAAACACAAAUUCUUUAGAACAUAGGAAAUCUAUAGUGGGAAGGGCAGUAGGAGCAGGGUAACCGACUGGUCCAAGUUGACCAAAUUUGUCCAAAAGCUCAGAGAUAUCCUGGAUUUUCUUCAUUGCUUUCUUGCUUAAUUGAUAUCGCCAACUCCAAUUAGGACACCAAUUGAGACACCUCUUAUUCAGUUGGAUUUCCUCCUCCAGAGUUCCCAUAUCAGACAGUGUUUCGUCUGCCCUUGAUUGCAAGUUCUGUACAUCAUCUUCAAUUAGUAGAAGCCGGUUUUUAGCUUCCUCAAUCUUAAGUAGUAGACGCUUUCGUGCAUCUGCAAGUUCACGCUUUUUCUCUCGGAGCUUUUCAACAUUGUCAUGAAAGCGACGGACAUAAUCAAGUUGACGUCCUACCGGCUUCACCACACAGUCUACAACCAGUGUUCCAACUGUGUUAGAAAGAGCAGCCUCACAAAAUCCGCAACCCAUGCUUGACAAGCUCAAAUUGAAGAAUAUGAUGUUCCAAGUUCAAACACUGCAGUGAAUCAUAAGUAAUUAUCUUAAAAAAAUAAAAUUUAAAGAAUCAAAAAGUGUUUUGAAGAUUAAGACACUACUUCUCAUACAUACCAAGGAUGGUGAAAGACAACUCAACCUAUGAGAAUCAAUGUGCUGUUCUUUCAACUGAGUCCAGCUGAAAAUACAACGAGAAAUUUAAUAAACAAAUCACAUCAUAUACGAGUGUAAUGUCAUAUAAUUAUAACUAAAAAAGACAGUUAAUUACUCAUAAAAAUAAAAAUUCAAAAUCCAAACAGUCUUUUAUAAUAUUAUAGAUAUAAUGCUGGAAAAUAUAAUAAACAUAUCCACUUACCAUUUCAAAAUCCAAACAGUCUUUUAUCUCUUACUUGCUUCAAGAAAAACAUAAAAAGAUGAGAUGAGAUCAAAGAAAUAUAGAACAACUUCAAUUUAUAUAAAAAAAAAAACAGAAAUGAAGCAUAUAUAAAUAGAUUUACCUCACUUGGGAACUUUUAAAAUCAAACUACACUUAGUGCUCAGAAGGUUCUUACUUCAAAACAAUCAAAAGGGCGAGGGAUUUCAAGGUUGUUUUUUUUUUUUAGCAAAAGUAAGUAAAAUUGAAUACAGAAAGAAAGGAACUUGAAGAAAGGGGGGGGGGGGAAAGAAUAUAAAAAGAUCAGAUGAGAUCAAAAAAAUAUAUAACAAAUUUAAUUUAUAUAUAACACUUAGUGUUGAGAAGAUUCUUACUACUUCAAUACAAUCAAAAGGGAUUUGAAGGUUGGGUUUUUUUUUUUUUUUUUGAGCAAAGGUAAGUAAAACUGAAUACAAAAAGAAAGGAACUUGAAGGAAGGGAAAUAAAAAGAAAAAACAACAAAGUAGAAAUCAAGGUUGAACUGAAAAAAGGAGAAACUUUCAGAAAGAAAUUGAAGUUGAUCUGCCUCGAAAAGUCAACAACUCGGAAAGCAUAAACUCUAACACAACUAGGUUUUGUUGGUUUAGUAGCCAAAGGAUUGGAUCUAAAUUAUGAGGAUUUGUUUUUCUCAAUUGUAUUUUAGUGGAUUGAAAAGGAAAGAGGAAUCUUCCUUUGCAACAAGUUGGUACUGAUUGGUUUGCCAAUGACGCCCACAUGACAUGAAAUGGUAGAGGACGACUUGGAAGAAAGUGAAAGUCUUUGUGUUAAUUAUUUAUAUGAUUUUCAAUACAUUUAAAAUAUCUACCUUUCUUCAGUUUCUUUUUCUUAAUUUCCAUUUGUUAUUAGAAAUGAAAAUGGUUUUUCUUUAUUCAUUUUUAUACUUAAUAUUUUGUAUAUUUUUUACCUAAAUAAGAAGAAUCUCAAAUUUUGAAGAUGUAUAUUCAUAAUCUAUUCGCUCCUCCAUCACCCUUGAUCGAACCCUACUUGAGAGAUGUUAAUUUUUGCAUAUGGCCUUUGUAGGUAAAGGGUGUAAGUUGGACUCGACACUCGUAAACGCGUUAGUGGAAAAAUGGAGACUUGAGACGCACACAUUUCAUCUUCUGUGAGGCAUGUGUACAAUCACUUUAGAGGAAGUGCAACUAUAGCGUAGGUUAUCGGUGGAUGGACUGAAAGUGACUAGGUCAGUUCAAGCAGUCGAUUAGGGAGACGUAUGCAAUGAACUUUUAAGGAGGGUUCUAAAAAUCAUUUUUGGAGCCUAGAUAGAUAUGAGUUGGUUAAGAAGAAAUUUUGGUGGGCUUAAUGAAGAUUCAGCUGAAGUCUAAAAGAACAACACGCUUGGGUUGUAACACCCUAAAACUUGGCCUAGAAGUUAUGACUAAAUAUUCAAGGAUUAAAUCAACUCGUUCAAAGCUUCAGUUCAAAUCAAACUCAAUGCAUGCUUUGAAAACAUAAAAUUUUGGCAAAACACCCAUAGAUGGUUAGAAAAGCCGAGUUCGAAAACACUUAUUUAAAACCCAUAAUUCACAUUCAAAAUUGCGCGUUUUAAAACUACUAAUGUGAGCAAAUCAUUUCCAGUAUUAAAACAACCAUUUGUUACAAACCAUAUAUUUUAUUUUCAAAAAAUACUUAAAUGAUUACUUAACCUUGUAGCAAAAAUUUUUCAAAGUUUGUUUUAGUUUGAAAACUGAAAUCUAACUUGUCAGCUCGUGUGAUUUGUAGUUUAAUGCUCAAAAAUAUUAAAUGCCGACGAAUAAAACAAAAACCAAAACUAGGACCAAAAACACAUUACAGUCCAAGAAUAAUUAAAUUGUAAACCCAAAAAUAUUUUAUCUGGUAACCAAUCUGAGCUCCUGUAAGUUGUCCGGUCCUAAGUCAGAAGUUAACCUAAAAUGUAUUGAACAAACAAAUAAGCUAGGAGCCUAGUGUGUGUCUCAACCCACAAGCAUAAUUUUUAUUUAACUAGCACAUACGUAAAUGUGAUCACAAAAUUUUACUUUAAUGUAUCAAUAACAUAUCAGAAUGUUGUAUUACCAGAAACAUAUAUAUUUUAGAUCAUAAUAUCAUAUAACCGGAACAUAUUUUGGUUUGGAAUAUCAUAAUUUCAUAGAAAAAUAUAUCAUACUAGAAUGUCAUGUUUUCAGAAGUGCAUAUGUCAUACCAGACUAGAACAAAUGCAUACACAAAUCCUACCUUCAUCUGCUACACACCAACUCUGUCCAACGAAUGACACCAAUUAGGACUUCAAGAGUCCAUCCAUCCAAAUCACACCGGAUCGUGGUGGUAUGCCACUAUAAUAGAGCAACUCAGUUGCCAAACAUAUAGAGUGGUUUAACCGCUGAAAAUGCAAUAAUGCUAUUAAAAAACACUUCCUCCAACAAAACAGAACCACCCCAAUGCAUAUGCUAAAUCACGUUGACAUACAUACCACAUAGUUUUUAUGCACGUACAUAAACAGAUAUCAUACGGAAUGUAAUGUAACACCCCUAACCCGUAUCCAUCGCCAGAAUAGGGUUAUAGAGCACUACCAGAGUUUACUAAUUAAUUUUUGAACUUUUAAUUUCAUCAAGCAUUCAUAUUUAUAACCAAUUAAAAUCAAAACAUUAAUAAGCUAACGUUAACCAAUUUAACUUGUACAUGCCAUUAUAACCAAAAUCAAAUCAUCCAAAAAUUAUCGAUAGAACCAAUGGAUAAUGUGAUAUAUCUCCAACAAGCUUCCAACUCAAUCGAGCUUCCGAUAAUCAUUUCAAUGCAUCAAAUAAUUAUACAUAUUACCAAUAAUAAUUCAAUUCCAAUAAUGAAACACACAUAUAUAUAAUAUUCAUUACCAAAUAGAAUUCACUUCAAUUAAAAUUAUACAGAUAUAGUUCAUACGAACUUACCAGGCUAAAUUGCAGAAAUAACAAAAUUCAGAGACAUUUUAAAAAUUUUCUAUUUUUCUCAAAUUUCCACCCAAUCUUGAUCUAAAUUAAUAUUUCAUUCAAUUUAAUAAUUUAAAUAAUAAAACAAUUCAUUUCAUGCAAUUUGGUCACUUUUUGACAUUUUUACAAAUUUACCCUUAAAGUUUUACUUUUAUUCAAUUUAGUCCAUGAGCCUAAAACGUGCAAAUUAUCCAUGCUAGCUGAAUAUUCAUAUAUAUAUAUUCCUCCUCCUCUCCUUUCCACAUCCUUAAUUUAUAUAAUAUGCUUAUAAGUAACAUUAUCUAUGAAUUCACUAUUUACUUUAAAUAUAUUCAAAACUGUCCAUUUGAGUCAUAGCCACUAAAUUAAUUUUAUAUUGAGCUACAAAACUCUAAAUUAGGAUCAGCUAAUUUUCCCUGAAACUAGAUUCACAUAUCUUCUUACCAUAAAAUUUUCAGAAUUUUUGGUUUAGCCAAUAAGUACAGUUUAUUCUUUAAAGUCACCUCUGUUCUGCUGUCUGACAGUUCUGACCCUUCUUCACUAAAACUUAAUUAUCUCCUUGUACAGAAUUUGGAUGAUAUCUCUGUUUGUUUCUAUUUAAAAUAAAUUCUUUAAGGCUUUUAAACAUAUAAAUUCUAACCCAUAAUUAUUUGUGUACAUUUUUUUAUGAUUUUCCAAAUCCAGAACAAGGGAACCCGAAAUCAUUCUGACAUUGUCUCACAAAAUCUAUUAUAUCUCAUGAUUUACAAUUUCAUUACUUACACCAUUUCUUCUAUAAAAAACUAGACUCAUUAAGCUUUAAUUACAUAUUUUUUUCAUCCUUUUAUUUCAUUUUCACAAUUUAUGAUGAUUUUUCAAAUUUAACCUACUGCUGCUAUCCAAAUCUGUUUUAGUUCAAGAUGUUGAUUACUAAGUUUAUAACUUCCUUAUUCCCUUUCUCUAUAAUAUUUCUCAUCACUUUCACUUAUUUCUCUUCACUAAUAUAUCAAGAACAUAAGAAUUUAUAUAAGAAAACUCCACUAUAACAUCUUUUCCAUGCUAUUUCAAUAAUAUCAAACUUAAAAAUAUAUUGAAAUCUCAAUGUUCUUACCUUGCCCUAUUGAUUUCAACCUUUAACUUGAUUUUCUCUCUCCUCCAACUUUAAUUUCUUGAAUCCAACUUGAUAUUCUAGCUCCCCAUAGUCUCCUUGCUAUCUUUCUCUCUUGAUGACUAUGGAGAUUCUUUUGAUUUCUAAGUGAAAAUGGUGAAUUUUUUUGGUGGAAGGACCAAAUUGUAAAGAAAGCAAAAAUUUCUUUCUUCUCUUCUCUUCUAACGUGAAUUGCAUGGAAAAGAUGGUGGCUGGGUUGCUUUUCAUCUUUCUUUCCACAUAUAUAUACUAAAUAAUAAAAUAAUAAAAUAUCAUUUAAAAAAUCAAAUUAAAAUAUUAAUAAACUAUUAUUUAUUUAUUUAUUUAAUCUAAAAUAUCUCCAACAUCAUCAUUAUCUUCUAGAUUUCUAUCUCUUCUAAAUGACCAUUUUGCCCUUUAUGAUCUUUUAAAAAUCCAUCCUUGAGUCAUUAUUUAAUUUGGGAAAAUUACGAUUUAGUCCCUCAUAAUUCUUCACCUAUUCGAUUUGGUCCUAAUUCAUCCAUUUUCCUUAGUUUUUAGAUUAUUCCACCCUUAAAAUAUUUGUACUAUUGGUCCUUCAACUUUUUUAUUUACACUUUAACCCCUCAAAUUUUGAGUAUUUACCCUUGGGCAACAAAACUUUUCUCACUUUUGCAAUUUAAUCAUUUCUUGAACUAAUAUGUCAUAAUAUACUUCUCAAUGUUGACAUAACUCAAAAUUAUCCUUUUUAUCACUUUAUUUCCUUAUUUUACUAUAUCAGGAAUAUUAUCUUACUUUUUUUUACUGUAGUAAUUUUCGAGGUAUUACAUGUAACUUACACAUAAUUUAUAUAGAUCAUAGCAUAUCAUAUUCAUGGUCGAAUCAGAUAACUUAUCAGAACGGAUAACAAAAUAUGUAUAACACACAUGAUUUACAAAAUAGUUAUGCUUAACUCACGUACCUACUUAUAGCAAAUAAUAUCACAUUAUUAUAUUUAUCAAAAUUUAUUUAACAUGCUUCCUACACUUACCCAUGUUUGUUUUCCUUAAAUUUAUGCUUUCUAGGCCUACAUAAUGCACCCAAACCCAAAUUCUGAGUCCUUUAGUCGACCCCUAAUUGGCCCAAAAGACCCACUCAACCCAAAAAGCUAGCCUGCGUGGUCCACAUAGUCUAUCCAUACGAUUUGCAUGAUCUUACACAGCAGUGUGGGAACAUAGCCUACAUGACAAGCCACAUGGGUUGUAAAAACACACAUCGUCGUGUGCCCCACACAGGCUACAAAAUCACACACGGUUGUGUUCCCCUCAUGGUCUACCACACGGUUAUGUGUCACUGGACAACUUUGUUUUGCAUAAUUUCUAAAUUUUUGAUGAGUUUUUCGAGUUAGAUCACACGUCAGAUUGCUGAUUUUGAUGUAGAUUCACGAAAGAACACACUAGAACCUAAAAUCAAUAUUCCAAACGUAUCAAAUUAGUAACAAAAUGCAACACUAAAUCAAGAUUGACUCACUAACAUAACACUAAAGACCUAGCACAAAGAAAACAACAACAAUAAUAUCUAAGUCGUCGAAGGAACGCCCAACACUUCUCGUUCUUCUCCUAAAAAUGCACCGAACUCAUUAAGCAUACAAAAUACACAUUAAUACCACACUACUAAAGCUCUGAAACCCUGAACGCCCAAUGAAGUAAUUUCAAUACAUGGCUGAAAAAAUGGAGGAUGAAGCAACCUUACCAUUAAUGACUAAAACUGAUAGCACAAAGGACAAAUGAUACACAAAUUAACAAAAGAAUAAAAAACAAGAAGAGAGAAAAAAAAACAUGAAAAACUGAAAAACCAACCAUAAAGAAAGAAACUAACGAGAAAGUGAAGAGGGAGGGAGAGAGUGAGAGGAUGGUAUCUCUGUGGCAGAAAGUUCUACGGUUUGGACAUAAGGGCAAGUUGGUAAUGAAGAAUGCUUAAGAAAUGAGAUUCAAUUGAAUUUAACAAUGAAGAAUGCUUUUAAUGUGCCUAACAUUAGACCAAGACAAAUAAUUAUAAGUUUUGUCAAAAUCUUAGUUUUCUUUUUUAAUCUUUGAUUAAUGAGCUGAAUUCACAUACUUUGUUUUUUUUCUUAUAGCUUAAUAAAUCUUUCUUCGCUCAUAAGAACAAAAAAAGUAAGUGGUACAUAAUAACGAAUAAAUGGCAUGUAGUUUUCCAAAUUAACUCCUUAAAUAGAAAUAACUUCAUUUACUGUUCCAUUCAUUUUAAAAUUCCUCUUUGACCCACCAUUUUAUAUCACUACCAAUUGACCAUGCAAUUUCUUGAGUUGUAGCAGAUUCUUCCACUAUAACCGAUUUUGUUGCUUGUUGUCUGACGUGCCAGCAAGUUAAGAUUCCCUUUGUACUGAUGGGCUUCGUUAGUGGGUUGCCUUCAACACCUACUAAAAACGAUUCUGUAUGGGUCAUCGUGGAUCGGUUGACCAAGUCUGCCCAUUUUAUUCUAGUUUGGACAGAUUAUUCUUUGCAGAAGUUAGCUAAGCUCUAUAUUUCUAAGAUUGUGAGACUUCAUGGAGUUCUGAUUUUGAUAAUUUCAGAUAGAGAUCCUCAAUUCACGUCUCGAUUUUGAAAAAAAACUUUAUGAGGCUUUGGGAUCGAGAUUGAACUUCAGUACUGCAUUCUAUCCUUAGGCCGAUGAUCAACCUGAGAGGGUGAUUCAGAUACUGGAGGGUAUGCUUUGAAGUUGUGUAAUUGAUUUUCGAGGUAGUUGAGAGGAUUUCCUACCUUUGCCUGAGUUCGCCUAUAACAAUAGUUUUCAGUCUAGUUGUAACACCCUCUAACCCUAAACAGUCGUCGAAACAAGAUUACAAGGCAUUACUGGACCUAUCAGACGAUCUACAAAUAAUUCCUAAAUAAAUAUAAAAUAUAUUAUAAUAUAAUCAUAAAUUCAUAUAAAGUUUUACUAAUUGACUUCAUUCAUUUUUCAUUUUUAAAAAAAAUUCAAUAUAACCCAUUUAUAAAUAUUUAACCUUCCUUGCUAAUUUCAAAUCCCAACCAAACCAAUUCCAGUAUUUCAACCAAUGCAUUUAUAUACUCAAAUAUACUUAAAUAAUACUUGAGAUAUUUGACUUAACAACUUAAUUAAUGAAAACCCUAUUAUCGUUUCUAAUUAGCUCAUAAAACUAUUCAAACCAUUUCAAUUCAAUACUAAUGUCAUAAACAAUUUCUACCAUCUCACUAAUUUAAUCAUCAAAACACCAAAUAUCUUUCUUUACAACAAAAUCAUAUAACAUACCAAAAUAACCAUUAUAAUCCCUAUGUACAUGUCACUUUCAUUUAAAGGAAGAAAACAUCACUAAAAUCUUUAUGCUGGAGUCGGGAUCAUUUGGAUGCUGGACUGGGGCACUAUACUCCUAUCAACCUGCAGACAUAAACAACCGUAUGCUGAGUAUUCCAUACUCAGUGGUAUUAUAAUAAUAAUAAUAAUAAUAAUAAUAAUAAUAAUAAUAAUAAUAAAAUAUAAUUAUCAAGCAUUUAACUAUCUAAUUUUUCAAAUAUCAAUUCAUUCUUAAACUUUCAUUAAUUACCAAUAACAGUACAAUUUUUAGCUAUUCUUCAAUUUCAACCACAUUUCACAUAUAAUAUUUUCAAUCACUACAUGAACAUUAAGUUCAUGCCUUUCAUUUUCAAUCUCAGUUUCAAUCCAUAAUUUUAAAUUUUCUCAUAUUCAAUACUACAAUUGAUCAAAUUCAUUUGAUUUUCUCAUUUUAAUUUUUCACCCUAUUAACAAUCCGGACUUUGACGGAUACAAGGAUUCCAACCCAAACACACCAGUAUGGCACAUUGGGCCUAAAACGAUACAUAGUAUCUGAUCAGUAUACAACACAUAAGCAAAUAAAAUGACACACGAGGUGCUUAAAAUGCGACACAUAAAGUGUCUGAUAUACUACAUAUAAAGUGUCUGAUCGGCAAAGUCGAUAAAUCCCGUACUCUUCCAAAUCCUAUGGCAUGCCAACUAUAUCCAACUUAGCCCAACUAGUUCAUAGGGUAUUCCGUAUUACUUUCGAAUUUCAAUUUCAUUCUCAAUUUAAUUACAACUCAAUUCAAUAUACUUUUCCAUUUCAAUCCACAUACAAUUCAAUUUCAAUUCAUAUUCAUUGUUCAACUCAAUUUUCAUUUAAUUCAACAAAAACACUUACCUUAUAAUUUACUUACCAUAUACAUAAAUUAAUUUAACAUUUAAUGAAUAAAUAAAUAAUUUGAAUUAUAGUAAUACAAACCUGAAUUUCGUAGUUACUCCUCGAUGACUUUUUCCUUUCCUUUCGGUACUGAUGCCCCGUGUUCUUUACUAGCUUUUAAAGCUUUAAAACCUUAAACCCUAGUUUUUCCUUUUCUUUUCUUUUUCUCCUUUCCCUUGCUCUGUUUCGAAAUGGUUCUGCUAUUCUUUUUUUCCUUUUCAUUUCUUUCAUUUCUUUUAUAUAUAUAUACUAAUUAAUAAUAAUAAAUAUCUAAUUUUUAACUAAUACAUAUAUUACAAAUGUAUACAUAUAUUCUUUUACACUUGUACUUGAUCUAUACCCUACACUUGUCACAAAUUAAUUUAUUAAUCACAUAAAAAUAUUAUAAUUUAAUUAUUUAUCUAAUAAAUAUCUUUUAAAUAAUAAAUAUCUACUUAAUAUACAAAUAUAAAUAUUACAACAGUAUAUAUUUAUCUUUUUAUACAUGUACUAUUUAAUCAUCAUACAUUUGGGAUAAAUAUAAUAUAAAUAUAAUAUAUAUUUAUCUUUUUACUUAAAUUUUAAGUAAAUAAAUAAUUUAAUACAAGUGUAUAUAUAUUCACAUAUUACACACGUACCACUUAUCACCCUACAUUUGUCAUGUCUUAAUUUAUUUAUUUCAUAAUAUAAUAAUUAAUAUAAUUUAUAAUUUAAUAUAAAACAUUAAUAAUAGUUAAUAUUAAGAUUUUUAAAAAAAUCAUAUAAAAAUCUUAGAUUUUAACGGCUUAUGCCACCACCUCACUUAUGUUAAUUGGCAUAAUUGCCAUUUUGACCUCUUUCUAUUUUUUAAUCUAAUAUUAAACUUUUACCCUUUAUUCAAUUUAAUCCUUUUUCGCAAUUACUCUUAAUUAAGCUAAAUUCACCUAAUUAAAAUUUAAUUAGACACACUACUAGACUCAUAAAUAUUUUUAAUAAUUAUUUUUGAACUCGAUUUACUAAGAUGGAUGCCCAAUAGUACACUUUUUCGAUGCCCGUGAAUUUUGGGUCAUUACACUAGCAUCCAGAUGGCACCUUACAAAGCUCUGUAUAGUUGUAAGUGUCGUACCCCACUAUGUUGGACUGAGUUGGGGGAGCGACGGGUUUUGGGUCCUGAGUUGGUUUCCAAGAUUGAGGGCAAGGUCAAAUUAAUUCAGGAUCGUCUUAAGGCAGCUUUUGAUAGACAGAAGUCAUAUGCAGAUUUGAAAAGGAGGGAUAUCGAUUACUCUGGGGGUGACUCUAUUUUCCGUAAGAUAUCUUUGUGGAAGAAAGUUCUGGGUUUGGACGUAAGGGCAAGUUGAGCACUAAGUUCAUUGGGCCAUAUCAGAUUCUAAAGCGUGUGAGACCGGUCGCUUAUCAGUUAGAGUUACCUCCAAAGUUAGACCGCAUUCAUAACGUAUUUCACGUCUCUAUGUUAAGGAGGUAUCGAUUUGACCCAUCUCAUGUUGUUUCUGUUGAGGAGAUCGAAGUUAGACCGAAUUUGACAUUUAAGGAUGAACCGAUUUAAAUUUUAGAUCGCCAUGUAAAUGCUUUGAGAAGGAAGUCUAUUCCAUUAGUUAAGGUUCUGUGGCAGAAUCAUGGCAUUAAGGAAGCCACGUGGGAACUUGAGGACUUGAUGCUUCAGUAAUAUCCUCAUUUGUUCGGAUCAGGUAAAUUUCGAGGCUAAAAUUUCUUUUAAGGGGUAGAGUUCUAAUGCCCUGACUAAUUUUACUUUAUUUAUGUGAAUUUUAUCAUAAAUGUGUAUCUAAUUCAGUGGCUAAGUGUUUUGGGUGUGUGUUUGAGGUCUUGGGUUUAAGCCCCACUUUUGGGAAAAUAAGUUAUUUUUUAUCCUAGCCUAUUCAUUGGCGAUUGGGUUUACGUCUUAUCUUCAGUAAACUCAUAUCAGAAUGAGCUUGUUGGUUCGAGUGGUAAGGAGUUAGCUUGCCUUGAGGUCUUGUGUUUGAGUUCUUGUGAGAAUUGGAGUGAUAAUUUUUGCUUCGGUUGUCAGAUAGAGAUUCGAUGAAAUUGAAACUUUAAGGUAGUUGGAUGUGGUUAGUUGGUAGGAUUCUAAGGGAUAAGGUAAUUAGUGGGGGAGUUAAGAUUUUAUGUUACCUUUGAUUUAGUUGUUAUUUAAUUUUAAUUUUUAAAUUUUAUUUUUGAUUUUCCUAAAACUCCUCCUCCUUCUCUCAUUUUUUUUCCUUUCCUUUCUUCUCUCUAUUUUUUUCUCUUUCAUUGAAAAAAAAUUCCUCCCUUUCCACUCUACAGUCUUUCGUUCCAACUAAACCAUGUGCCAUUGUUAUUUGACCGGUAUUGUAGUUUGUUUAUCACUCUCUUUUGUCUCAAAUUCUGAUUGUAAUUCUAUUUAGCAAGUUUGGGUAGGUGUAGUUAUUACUUUUGGUUGGUGUUUCUUUAUUGCUAGUGUUUUUGUUAAUGCCAUGUAGGGGAAGACCAAGGGGUUCGGGAUUGUCCGUCGGUGACUUAGUUGUACGUAACUACCAUCAUUCGAUUAAAGGUAAGGGUUUAGUUGAAUAAUGGGUUGAAUGGAUCGUUUUGGUUUCAAUUUUAGUAUCAAUUUAAUCGACUAAUUCAGUGAUUUAUUGGUUAAUUGUAGGUUCUGGUUAUCUCAUGGGAGCGUUCACAUCAAAUCCGAAUUAGAUGUGUAAUAAAAACACGAGAAAACGAGGUUCGACGAAAGUUAAAAAGCGGCCAAUCGACGCCAGAUGACGAAAGCGAUGUGGUAUUUCUAUAAAUCGAACAUAAAAAUAAAAUUACAACAAUUAUAUGCCAAUACUAUGCGAUAUUAUCACAUUCAUAGUUUGAUUCAUAUCAUACGUAAUUUAAUAUUAUUCCUUCAUUACAAAACCAUUCACUACUUUAAUUUCCAAAUCACAUUUCGUUAUAUAAUUCAUUCCAUUAUAUCGCAUUUGCUAUUUAAUAAAAUUUUCAUUUCAAAACUAUUAUCAUCUCAAGUCAUGAUUUCAGUUUUAUCAAUUACUUCCCCUAUUAACAUGACUCAAACUCGGAUAUGCGGAUCCAACCAACACAUCAAAGUUUGUCACCAAGUGCCUAAUAGAUAAACCAUAGAAAUUGAUUGCACCUUGCGCUAGCCAGUAAGAUAAAAAAAUAUAUGUGCCCAUCACUGGUCAGUAUAACUGACGAAUGGGGUGCCCAACACUCCCUGACACAUAGUUGUAAAACCUUAAACUCUUCCUAUCCUACCCAAACUGUUAAUAGGGUAAAAAUUUUCUCAAUUUAAUUUAUAACAAAUUACAUAAUCAUACAUCACCAAUUAUCAAUUCAAUCAUUCAUUUACCAACAUAACAAAACAUCUCAUUUCCAUAUAGAAUAUAAUCUCACAUGCAUCUCAUUCCGGAAUGUAAUCUCGCAUACAAUAUAUGCUAUUAUUAUAGCUAUACAAUUUAAUCAUUUAUCACCAAUAAUUAUUUGAUCAUAACAAUUCAAUUCGAAUUUAUCAUUUUGCAACAUUACUCUAGCAAUUAACUUACCUUAUAUACUUACCUAAUAAUACAAUGUGUAAUAGGAGUAAAUACAAAAGUUUAGAUGAUAAAAACACCAACAAUAGAUUUCAAGCUAUUCAACAUCGACUUUAUUUUUCCCUUUCUUACUCGAGGAUUCCGAAACGAUAUUAGCUACGGAAUAAAACAAACCACACAUCUCAUCAAUACACAAACAAUUUCACAUUUAAUUAUCAAAUUACGUAACUUUUGUACUUUAUUCAAUUUAGUCCCUAAAAUUGGGACUAGCCUAACUUUCACAUUAAACCCUAAAUUUUUAUACUAAUUUCACUACAAGCCUAAUUUAAUUCCCUAUUUCUCAAUGUCAUCCCCUAAUUUUGAGUUUUUUACAAUUUGGUCCAUAUUACUCAAAAUCAACCAUUAACUUCACAUUUAACCCAUUUUCACUUCUAACCUAAAAAUCUAUCAAAUUAGUCUCUAUGGCUUUAACUACUCAAUAAUCGUAACAUCUAAAAUCUUAAACAAUACUAAAAAAGAAGGCAUGGGUUGAAUGAAAAAAUAAGACAUCAGAAUUUCGAAAACAUAAAAAUUACAAGAAAAUAAAUUGAAGCUUGAAUGCUUAAACCUCUAAUGCCGAAUACUUCUUCUUCUCCCUUUAAUUUCGGCUUGCAUCAAGAAAGAAUGAAAAUGUUUUUAUUUUAUGUUCCACUAACUUGUUUUAAGUUAUUUUAUUAUAUUAUGUUUUAUGUUAUUAAUUUAUUUAUUUUAAGUAAAAAUUUACAACAUUUUUAACAUUUAAAACCAUGAUGCCAUCCACUUAUAAACCAUAGGUAUAAUUACCUUUUAAGUCCCCUUAAAUAAAUUCUAAUUAGAAUUCUUUAGUAACUCAUAUGUUUACCACUUACGCGAUUUAGUCCCUAUACUAAAAUUAAGCCUUAAUUCAAUUAAAUUUCUUAACCAAAAUUCAACUCGCUUCUAAUAAAACUCUAUAAAUAUUUAAUAAAAAUAUUUAUGAGUCUGGUUCAUGGAAACGGAGUCCCAAAACCUCACUUUUCGACACCAUUGACUUUUGAAUCAUUACAAGGAUGUUUUUCAAUUAAGCACUAACACAAAGAAAAUACUUGAACUGAUAGAAAACAAUACAUGCUCACAAGUGUAUACAAAAAGAUAAAGAAUUGAAGCACAGAGGUUGAAAAAAAGAGUUGUUGAUCUUUCUUGAUAACUCUUAAUCUUUUGUAAUCUUUUUGUUGUUGUUGAACAUUUGAAAGCUGGUAUUUAUAGUCCCAAAUUGAUUUCCACCCAUUUUGAUUGUUGUGGAAUUGAAUAGAAUCAUUGGGAUGUAAAAACCAAUGCAUUAAUGUCACCUACAACAACAAGUAUCGAUACCUUUGGAGGGCUAUCGAUACUUUGGGCAUUUAAUGCCUCAAUUUAGUGAUCAUUAAAGCCUGUAGUAUCGAUACAAUAGGGUAUGUAUUGAUACUUGCUAUGAGGUAUCGAUACUCGGAUAAUUUAUUGUUUUAAUUUUCAAAACAUUGAACCUUAAAACAGUAUCAUUACUAGGAGGAGGUAUCAAAAUAUUUGGUAAGGUAUAGAUACUUUGUAUUUGUCCUCAAUAUUUUUUUAGAAACAGAAGCUCAAUUUGGUAUCGAUACUAUGAAAGAGUAUCAAUACUUUGGUCAAGAUAUCGAUUCUCUUUUAUUCGUGCUCCUUUUUUGAAUUUCGAAGCUCAAUUCGGUAUCAAUACUUGGGGUUAAGGUAUCAAUACCUUGUUUAGGGUAUCAAUACUUUGAUCCCUGUGAGUAUUUUAACUUGUUUAAAAAUGUUAGAAAAAUUGUUUAUUGUUUUAAAAAACUUCCAAAAUAAUUUUCAAGUAUUUGAAAGAUUAGAUUUAAAAUUUCUCUCUCAAAAUAUUUUGAAACAAAUUUUUACUUUCAAAUUUAUCAAGUUUUAUUUCAAAAACAAGUUUUCCUCAAAAACAUUAUAUUUGUUAUAUCAAAACUCUUAUCAAAUUAAAGCUCGACUUAACAAAAUAUAAUCUUUAAACAUUACAUCUAAAUAUUAAAAAUAAAAUGUAAACAUAUAAUAUACAAUUUAUUAUUAUAAACUAAUAAAUAAUUCAUUAAAAUUAAUGUUUUAAAAUUAAAGUUUAAUAACCAAAUUUAGAUUAAAAAACAAGAGUCAAAUUUAAUAAAAAUAUAUCAACGUUGAGGGCUAAAAUUGUUAUUAUACUUUUAAUUAAUUAUUUUUCUUUCACCUAUGCAGUUCUAUAAUUACAUUACAAAGCUAUUCCAUCCAAAACAAAAAGAAGUAAAUAUUUGGUUGAGCCAGAAGAUAGCAUAAAUAGAAAACUUGAUGCCUGUGAAGCUAAAACUCUCCCUAUGUAGCAACUUCGUAAACAUCACUUCUCUAGUUGUUGCGAUUGCCACCAUAUUAAUUUUUCCACUCCUCAAUUACAACACUAAAUACAAUUAUAAGUAAACAACAUUAUUGAAAGGUGAACUAUUAGUAGAUGAAGUCUGUGAGUGUUGGGGAGAAGCAAAAAGAAAAUUUAGGGGAUAAAAUUAAAUUGUAAUUUUUAUGAUAGUAAAAAUGUAAUUCCGUAAUUUUAAUAGUUUAUAUCUUUAUAAAUUUUAAAAGAUUAAAUUAAUUUUUUAUCAUUUUUAAGAGGGACCAAAGUUUAAUUUUACCUUUACUAUUUAAAAUUUAAAAAAAAAUUUAAAGAGCUUUUGCCAUAUUUGAACCUCCAAAAAAAUUUGACUAUAAAUAUCAUGCAGAGGAAUAAAUGAAUGUCUUUGUUACAUGGUAUGGUUGUAAAUGUAGUAUCGUUCACUUUUCUUUCAAUAUUCUUAUAGAUUAUGAAGGGUGUUAGAGAGUUGUAUAUCUACAUUUAUAUUUAGAUAUUCGUCGUGAAUUAAAAGUGUAAUACUUGAAUUUGUAAGUUAUUUAAGUUUGAAAAAAAUUCGAUUCAAUAAUUAUCAAUCGAACUCAAAUUCAAACAAUUUAAAUUAUCGAUUAAGUUAAAGUCAAACAUUUUAAUAUUUGAUUAAAGUAUCUUGCGAGCAAUCGACCUUCUUAUAUAUUCUUUAAUUAAUUUUCGGGUAAACUUUAAAAUUAGUCACUUUUGUUUGUCUUAGAUUACAUUUUAAUCAUUUAUGUUUGAAAUGUUAAGUUUUAGUCACUUACGUUAUCGUUUUGUUACAAAGUGGUCACUCUAUCUUUAAGCUCUGUUACCUCCCUAAUGGCGGUCCUACGUGGCAGUCCAAACGGGUUUUAAAUGCCAACUUUGAUGUCCUAUGUGGCAAUCCAAAUUGAAUUUAUUUAAUUAAAAACCUAUUUUCAUUCCAGCAACUGGACAUCCAAGUUGGCAUUUAAAACCCAUUUGGACUGCCACGUAGGAUUACCGUUAGGGAGGUAAUGGAGUUCAAUGGUAGAGUGACCACUUUGUAACAAAAUAAUAACGUAAGUGACUAAAACGUAACAUUUCAAACAUAAGUGACUAAAAUAUAAUCUGAGGCAAACAAAAGUGACUAUUUUUAUAGUUUACCCUUAAUUUUGUGCAAUGUAUAGAUUUAUUGCAUGUAAUUAUAAAAAAAAAGUUAAUAUAAAAUAAUUUAAAAUAUUUGUAUUUAAAUAUCAUGGAAAAAAUUAAAAUGCACGUAACUUCUAUACAAUAAAUUAAGAGCUAAAUUAGAGAUAUGAUUGAAUGACUGAAAACAUGAAUAUAACUUACAUUUGAUUUGUGCCAGUAGAGUAACGUGUUAGAAACAUAAAAAUUUUGGCACGUUACUAUAGUAAAUACAGAAAAUAAUCUUGGAAAAUUUAUAAUCUUAGAGGCUCAUAUAAAUUUUUUAAGAAUAUCAAAUUAUAGAUUGAUUUUGAUCUUGACUUCUGAUAUAAAUUAAAUUGUACUAUUGAAUCUGAAGGAGCUAAACUAUAAAUAGAGACCUUCCCAUUUGUAAGCAUCCCAUUGUAGCUCAUUCUUGAUUAAUAUCACACUUUUACAAGUAUUUACUCAAACACUUAGUAUGCUAUUGCUUUUUUGCAACUUGUUUUGUUCUCUCGUUUCUUCUUUAUUUUUUCGGUGCCCACUUUCGAGAAUAAGAUUGACUUAGGCGACUUUGAAGCAAAAGAAUCGCCUAAUACCACGCAAUUUGCAAGACUAUAAAGUUCUAGGCGCAUGACAAUAUUUUGUGGUUGUAAUUUGCUCCAAUAUUACAUUUGCUCUACUAGUUUAAAGUGUAAAGAUUAAGGACACAGAUUUCAUUUACUUCUAUGAUUGUUAUCAUUUAUUUAAGGGAAAUGUAGGCUUAAUGGAAAGCCACUUUAUAUUCAAUAGACGGUUAUUGUUAAGAUAUUAUUUACUUCGAAACCAAGACUGUUCAAACAUGGAUGGAGAGUGAAGAGAUCAAUCUAUUUUUUGUUUUCCUUGGUGAAAAUCUAUGGGUUUUUUUUUUUCAAAAAAAUUUAUCUAGUGCAAAUAACUUCCCAUCCUCAAUUUGCAGCAAUGACGUUAGCAACAAUUAUAUUAAUAUGUUAUUGCUUAUACUUGUCCUUUGAAGGUGGAAUUAUGAGUUCCAGACCUUAAAAUUCCUGGCAUUGUACUUGAUUUAUGAUCGGCUAUCACUUCUGUAUUUUGCAGAGAAAACUGAUGCGAAACAGAGUUUUAAAGCUUUUACGAGCUUUGGUUUCCAUUACUGAAGCCGUCUCUGAUUGUCCUAAAACAAUAAGAGUUGUUUCUAAGGAUUUGAAUGGUUUUCUCCAAUCAGAAAUAGACCAAAUUCCUAAUAGUUGGAAACAAGUUUCGAAAAUCACCAGGUCCAAGGAGUUUUCACAGUCCAUAGCAAUGUAAAGAACUGCAACCUGAAGGAGAUUUGAAGUCAAAUUCAACUCCGAGCUGGCUGAAUUGGUGUGUGGUGAUGAGUUUAGGGAGCUGAUUGGUGAUUGUAUUCAAGUUUCUGUAGUAAAAUUUUAAAGAAGAAUCAAUUUGUUGAAUUCUGAAUCAAAGGGUUUUAACUUUAGAUUUGAACUCCAUAAAUCUCACUGUUUUUAAUCUCAAUUAUAAAAGUGAGUACUUUUGGAUCGGGUUGUACUUAGCAGAGACAGGGUAUAAAAACCCUAGCAGAAAACAAAAAAAAAGAGUUUAGGGUUUUUUUUUUUUGGCUGCAAAUGAUUUUUCUGCCAAAAAAAAAUUAAUAAAGACACAAAAACGGUGUCGUUUUACUAAGGCAGAUCCGCGCGUCGACCCGACCCGCAAGCAGGGUCCUCGCGUUCAGGCCUUGAAUGGGAAAUUUUCGAAAUUAGGCCUCCCUUUUUGCGGCGCGCUUUAAUCAAACCCGUUGUUCCUCUUUUAAUUUGGCCCAAAUAUUUUACCUUCAUGACAUUUUAAUCCAGGUCGCUGCGCAGCGUUUUGGGGAGGUGGAUUAUUUCUGAUUUGGCCCCCCACGUAAUUCACGUGUUGCAAUUUACUCCUCCAUUUUGCUGAAAUUUCAUUAUUUCCUGUUGUUUUAGUUUUAUUGACUAUUUAGUCAUUUUUGUAAUUUUGUAAUUAUAAUUAUUAUUGUCUAUUAUUAUAAUUAUUAGUGUAAGUACCCCUUUUCACAUGGCAAUUUAUUUAUUUAUUUUUAUUCUACUAUGUAUUAUUAUUCUAGUUUUUUAUCAAGUGUUACUAUUAAAUUUUAUAAUGUACUAUUUUAUUUUUUUUUAAAAAUCUAUAUAAUACUUUUAAUGAUUUUUAUUUUUCAUAAAUUCACUCUUUUUUUAUGCUUUAAAGGAUUUUAUAUGAUAAUAUUCUUGUAUAAUAUUUUUAAUACACACGAGGGUUAUAUUUUUUUUCCUUUUUAUCUUGAUUUCAUAUUUUUAUAUUUAGUAACUAUAAGUUUCCACUUAAAAAUGUCUUUGGUUUUAAUAAAAAUCCAUUUCUCAAGACCCCAUUUUAUUAUAUGUUUUCUUCAUUUAAACUUUUAUAGCUAUAUGUAGGCAUUAUCGUUUUUAUAAAGUUUUCAAGCAUUAUUUCGUUAAGAUCAAUGAAUAUGUAUAUUAUUUUGUAUGGAUGUUUUUAAAUCUCCUUUUGUGAAUAUUCUUUUAAAUUUUUAUAAAUCCACGAGUGUUAAUUUGUUUAAUGCUUGGAUUGACUUUUAAUGCAUCAGUCUUUGAAUAUGAGCAUAAUAUAUGAUGUGUGGCUAUGGUUAUAUAUGUAUAUAUCAAUUUGCUCUUUUGCAUUUUUAUAUUAUUUUAUAUUCUAGAUAUGUAUUAUUAUGCCAUGCAUACAAUUACACUCUUAUUUCUCAUUAUUGCAUUGUGAGCCAAAUUUUAAUGUAUGUGAUCAUUACUGAUUUUCUUCCUUUCUUUAUGUCAAGCUAAUCAAUUAAAUAUGUUUUGAGUCGGCUUUAUAAUGCGUUUCAAAGUUUCGAGAAAUCGUACCCUAACUUACAGGGUCUCGAUUUUCUUGUUAAUUCGAAAUGUCCCUUUAUUUUCAAAAAUGUAUGCUUUUUGAUAAAAUUAAAAGCAAGUUACAUAUCAUCUUUGGAACUGUGAAGAAUCGUACUCUAACUUACGGGGUUUCGAUUUUCUCGCUGAGCUAAAACGGCUAAAUAUUUUUUAUCUUUCAAAGUCGUUAAAUUUCAAUAAAUUUUUUAAAGGUUAAGCUUUUUCUUGAGAAUUUGAAUGUUGUAUCUAACUUACGGGGUACGACAUUUUGUUGGCUUGAGGUGGGAAAGCCUUUUACCCUCGAUCAAAUUUAUUCAAAUGUUUUUCUAAAAUUUGUGGUAUUAAUCAAAGGGGAAUCAUUUUUUAAAAAUCUUGGAUUUUCAUUAUUCGACUAUAAGACAUCUGUUAAUUAAUUAGGUACCAAUUUUGGGCGUUAUGAGGGUGCUAACCCUUCCUCAUACGUAACCGACUCCCGAACCCAUUGUUUUAAUUCGUAGACCAAAUUUAUUUUUAGGUGAUCCGAUCACACCUUAAUAAAGGAUCGGUGGCGACUCCAUUUUCAUUUUCAAAGUCAAUUCCUGUUUUUCAAAAAAAAAAACGGUUUCGACAAGUAUGUUACUAAUUGGUAUUGUAAUUAACUAAACUACUUAAAAGGUUUAUUGAAGUUAGUUUUUAAACUAAAAUUCUAAAUUGAAAACUAUCUUUUAAAGUGUUAUACAAACAUUUACUUAUUUUAGACAACAAAUUAUGAAAAGGUGAAGAUUUCAAUAAAUUAUAAAGUAAAAUAUAUCUUUUAAAAUGUGUCAAUUGAGGACAAUUGUGCACUUCUAACUUCUGCAAAUACGAUUGUGUGUGCAAAAUGUCGUCCAUAUCCUUUCCUUUCAAUUGAGGCAAAUCAAUCAACGAAACCUAAAAUGAAAAGCAUAAUAAAAUUUCCCAAUCUUUGACCAUAGGACAAUAAGGAAAAGAGAUGUCAAGUUAUUGCAAUGAGAUACACACACUUCCCUUAGACUCGCACUUGUGGAUCUUGGAUUAUUUGUUUCAACUGCGAGCAACUCUUUAUCGUCAAAGUAUACAAUUGCCCAAGGGUAGUAGCAACAGACAGUGGGAAGAGAUACUUUGAGUUAUCGCAAUUUUCAACUUCUAUUUCCCUUAAACUCUGGAGGCUUAUAUAUGGCACUUGUGAGUCUUCGAUUAUACCUUCCAAGCUCCGGUAAUUCUUCAUCUCCAAAGUAUGCAAUUGCCAAAGGCUAUAGCAACAGACAUUAGGAGGAUAUAUUUCAAAUUAUUGUAACUCUCUGUUUCAAUAAUCUUCAAACUUUGGAGGCUAAAAUGACGAUGGAACAAAGUGUUAAUAUAAUAAGUAUAACCAUUUAUAUUUUUUAAGUAUAAAAAUUAAAAUCCCUGAAGUAUGAACUUUUAAUGCAUAUCUUUAAUUUAUUUAGGUAAAGAUAUAUUUGAUUUUAUUUAAGAAUGAAUAAAAAAAUUAACUAUUACAUAAUCACAUUACAAUGGCAUUGUAUUCAAAGUGUUUCUCAAAAUAACCAUCUCAACUUUUAAUAUAAUAUUAGAUUUAGUUAUUAGUAUUUAUAUAUUAAUUUGACUUUUAUUUUUUAAAAACUAAAUUUAGUUAUUAAUUUUUUUAAAAAAAACUUAAAUUAUUUUUAAGCUCCAUGUAUACUUCAUGUUUAUAUGACAAUAUUUAUCUUAUAUAUCACGUCAAUAAAUAAUUUAAAAAUUAAAAAAUAACAUGAAAUACACAUAGAUAAAUACAAUAAUUUAUCUUAUCAUUUAUUUAUUAUUUUUUAUUGAAACAGUGAAUUGGAUCCCUACCAAAGAAGUAUUCGAUAGGCUCAUUUGAAUUGUUACUCAAACAACUCCAUUUUAAGUUCUCCUUAAUUGCAUUUGUAAGUAGCUCGUCUUACUUACAUGUUUUAAUUUAAUACAACAUUUUUUUGAGAUAAAAUCCAUGUUAGUGAUUUGAAUUAAGGCAUAAUAUCUAACAUAUCUCAUUGUGAUAUUACUAUUUUAGGUUAAAUGUAUUCACUUAAUUAUAUAAGUAACACGUUUCUUAUUUUUUUAAGAUAUAAAUGAACAAACAUAAAUAGUAAUAAACAAAUUAUAAAUAAAUAAAAGAAACACAUAAACAAUAAUAGUAUUAAUUAUAUAAUUAAACAAUAGUUGAUUUUAAAUGAUUUACUAAACUAGUUUUAAACUAGCAUGAAGAUAAUUAGUUUGGAUAUGUUUCAAUUAUAUUACGUUAAUUUAAUAAAUAAAUUUUAAAAUUUUAUUAAUGUUGAUUUAUUUAACUUAACGAACGAAUAUAAAUAAAUAAAGAUCCAACUCAUAAACUAUUUAUUUACAGCCUUAAACUUGACUUAUAUCUAUUUAGAACACUUAAGUAACCGUAAUUUAUUGUCAACUUUAGACUUCAAGAACUAGAAAUGAAUAAGAGUUGGAUGGAUUUGUUAACGGUAAGCAACGAAUAUCAAAAUGGAGUACAAACUCUUCUAAAUUAGUUUACAUUUAAAUUUUUAUAUUUAAAUAAUUUAUUUAAAGUGAUUGAUCUACAAGUUAACUCACGCAUUAACUUAUAUUUAUACCUUAUCUGAGAAAAUUUUAAUUUUUAUAAUUAAUAAAAUUUAAUUUACAAUUAACUUACUAAACUUUUAUGAAGAAAAUUAGAAACCCCGUCGGUUAAAACUAGUUAUUUUUCCUUUUAAAAAAUCUAGUUCUUUUUUUUUAAAAGUAAUGUUUUAUUAUUUUAUAUAUUUAAUAAAAACUUUUAUAAAGAAAAUUAGAAACCCCAUCGGUUCAUGUUCAGCUUUAUUAAACUAAGAUUAAAAUUAUGCAUUUUAAUAUUUAUAUUAAUAUAUUAAUACAAAAAACAUAUAUUUUAAUAUUUUUAUUUACAUACAUUAAUAUAUAAUUAUUUUAUUAUUUUAAAAAAUUAAUAAUAUUAAUAUGUUAUUUUAAAAAAUAAUAAUUUUAUUUAUUGUUUUAAUAUUUCAUAAAAAUUAAAUGUUAUAAUAUUUUAUUUUGUUAUUUUAUUAUAUUUUAGUGUAAAUAUUUUUUAAAUACUAAUAUUUUAUAUUUUAUUUUAAACUAUAUAAAAAAAGAUGUUAAGGGUAAGAUGAUAAAUUAGUAAAUAACACUUGUGUUUUAACUCAUAGAAAAUACAUGAUAAGAAGAUUAACUAUUUGGCACAAGUGUAAACCGUGUUAUCCUAUCUCCUACCCCUAAUAUUGUAUCGAAAAACGCUUGUAAGAAGAGUGAUAUAUAUCCAAAUUUCAACAACCAUACAAUUUGAUGUAGUAGCAUCUAUCUUUUAUCCAUCAUUUAAAAGUUGAGUGUUAUUUAACAUAACACUCCUCUUUUACAUCAAGCCUACCAAAUAUAGUCACGGUGCUUGCAGAAGUACACACUUUUGUAGUCACUUCUGCUCAUACAUUGCUUGUUAAUUAGCAACUAUUUUAGAUCAACAAAAAAUCAUUUAAAUGAAUUAAAUUUUAUUAAUGGAGUUUGAAAAAGGAUUUUUUAUUGUAUAUUUUGUAUUUUUUUUUACAAAAAGAAUGGGAUCAAAUUCAAUUUCACAAGUCUUAGUGAGAUUAGUUUGAAAGAAGUUAUUCAAUAGCAUGGAACUUGAAUGGAAGGUAUUACUAAAUUUGUCCUAUUUUGUUUUAAAUUUGUUAUUGGAUUCUAUUGAAUAAUUUUUUUUUCUUUUUUAUGUCUCAGUAUUGAACAAUCUUGAGCUUUAUUGCAAUAUAAUAUUAAGUUUUCUUGUAUGAACAUUAGUUUCUAAUCACAUUUAAGCUUUGUGCAAAAUGAAUAUUAUAUUAAGAUAUUGAAAUUGAUCUAUUUUUUUUAUCCAUUUUCAUGAUUUAUGGCAAUGUUGAAUAUUUUGUUGUUGCAGAAAUCAUAAUUUUUAUAUAGAAUUUUCUAUUUUUAAAAAAUAAUGUUGAGUUUUUAAAAUUAAUUUUAUAUAGAAUUAGGGUUAAAUGGAGAGAAAGUAUAAAAGUUAAGGGUUAAAAUUGUAAUUAUAGUAACUAAAAAAGUGUGGUUGUUAGCUAUUUAAUAGUUGGGCAAAAAAAUAUUUUUAAAAACGUUAGUGGCCAAAUUGUAACUCUUUUAAUUAAAUGACACAUAAUUGAGGGAUUAAUAGUGUAAUUUAACCUUAUCUUUUUUAAACAUAUGGAUUAAUUCACAUUUAUUUGGAAUAUGUUAUUAGUUCACAUAUGGAUUUAACUAGUGGUGGAGCUAGAAAAUUUUUUGGAGGUCAAAAUUAAAUUGUAUAUUUUUAUGAUAGCAAGAAUGCAAUUUCACUAUUUUAUAGUCUAUAUCUUUAUAAUUUUUAAAUGAUUAAAUCAAUUUUUUUAUCAUUUUUGAGAUUAAAGUGUAAUUUUACUAUUAUUAAUUUAAAAUUUUAUAAAUUAUAAAGGAGAUAAGUGAAAAAUUAUCCAUUAAUCAACUCAUGGCUCUACCACUUGAUCGAACACAUAUCACGAGUCCUUUCCCGCGUGUGUCAAAUUUUUUUUAUAUGGUUGAAAUAUCAUCACAUGUAUUUAUGUUUGAAUACACAUCGCAAAACCUUGAGUUGUUUCGGCAUGACCUAGAGAAAAAAAAAUGGAGAAACAUGAAGGUAGCUUAGAAGAAUCCAAAAGCAAUAAACGAAAGCUAGACCAAAGGUUGAAAUCAUCAUUAACCAAGCCUUUACUUUUUCUAACGCCGGGAAGAUUCUAUAUUCGUUGAGAAAAUCGGCAAAGACUUUGUUAUCUUUUGGAAGGACUUGUAAAGAAACAAUUUUUUAUAUUUACGUUCUGAUGUUUUUCAUAUUAACAUUAUUGAUGUUUCUAAAUUUACCUUCUGUAAUGUUGGAACUAGUUGAAGAGUCCUCAGAUUCUGAAGAGGAAUCAAAUUUUAGUCAUCAGCAUAGGAUGGAAGAUGAGAAGUUGCUGUCGGCAGUGUUGGAGAGCAAAGGAGAAGGUAAGAAGACUGCAACUCAAGAGGAUGGAGGCAAAUCAGAAAUGGGUAGAUGACAGAAUUGUGAAUAGGACUCUCAUAUUCUGGGUCCAACUUAUGCAAUACUUCUAUGAUCUGGGAAGCGUGUAGAGAUCCACAAAUGAGUUUGCAGUGAUUGCUGCGGUCCUCUCCAACAAGGAGCCAAUUGUUUUGUAGACACAAUGGCUAUGGAUGGGAUGGAAAGUUUAUGGUUAAACUAUUCCCCUUAAAUUCACGUCAGUAUAAAAUAAAAUGUAAAUUAAUUUAAAAUUUUAAAAUAAUUUUAUUUUAAUUUUUAAGUCAAGAAUUUUGAUGAGUUAAAAUUAUAAGAUAAAGGCUUAUUUAUUACAAAAAUAAUUCAAAAACUUGUUUAAAUAAAGUGUAAUAAUUUAACGGAAUUUUUAAUAUGUUGGCCAAAGAAAUUCAUCUAAGUAAGAAAUGAGAUUCAAUUGAAGUUAACAAUGAAGAAUGCUUUUAAUGUGCCCAACAUUAGACCAAUACAAAUAAUUGUAAGUUUUGUAAAAAAAUCUUAGUUUUAUUUUUUAAUCUUUUUUGUAAUAGUUAGUCCAUUCUUUUUUUAAUCUUUGAUUUUUGUUUAUAGCUCAGUAAAUCAGUAAAUCUGUCUUCAAUUUAACGAAUAAACGGUACAUAAUAACGAAUAAAUGGCAUUCAAUUUAAACGUUCACAAUGCUUAAUUUUUAAAUAGAAAUUACUUCAUUUACUGCCAAUUGGCCAUUCUAUAUGCUUAAUUUUCAAAUAGAAAUUAAUUCAAAAAGAAAUUACUAAAAUCAAAAUGUAUGUCAUCUUCCUCUUUGGUCCAUUCUAUAUUACUACCAAUUGGCCAUGCAGUUUCUUGAGCUGUAGCAGAUUCUUCCACUAUAAUUUCAUCAACUGAUUGGCUUGCCUGCAAAGCAAAUUAAACCUUCACUUAUUACUGUUUGCUUUUGAUGAUUGAUGAUGACAAAAGCAAAGCCAGUUUUCCAAAAUUGGACAAAGGAUGACAUAUUUAAAAUAUUGAAAAUAAUAAUGCAACAAGGAUAUAAAUCUAGAAAGAAAUAUUGACAGCCAGCAAAAACCAAUUACUGUUGAUGCAAUUUUAUUUAGUCAUUUAAAGCAUAAAAAAGAAAAAGAAAGAAUUUCUCUCAAGCAGCCAAAAUAAAAAUAUUGCAUUAAUGCAUAGAAAUUAAAGCUUAGUAUUGGAAGGCUACAUAGAGAAAAUAAAUGAAUGGAUGAAUUUCUGUUUUAAAGCUUAUUGUUGAGUUUGGAAGAGUAGUGUACCUGUGUUUUCGCAUGCACUGAUUUCUCUGAAUCAACAUUAAAUCUUGUGGUUAUGUUGGGACAACUUUUUACAUGAAACCCAUCAAAAAUGGGAAAUCAAAAUGAUAACCCACAGGACUGAAGCUCACGAGAUUUGGUAGCUCAUAAAGCUCUAAGAUGCGGAGCUGAGGAAGGCGUAUCACUUUCUCUUCUUCCUUAUUCAGAUUUGACUCAUCUCCUUCAAACACCUGCUCUAAUUUGGAGACCCAUUUAAGGCAUAAUCUCAAUAGGUUUGGAAGGCCGCCAUGAGCAAGAGUAAUGGCAUUCGGUUGAAGUUCACAAUGAAGAAUGGUUAUGUCAGUCUAUAUGGCUACCACUUUUCUUUUCUACUACUUUGAAUAAAGCUCAUAUUUAUUUCUAGACAAGCAUAUCUUAUACAUGUGCAGAGGAUAAGUUGUUAAACUAAAAACUAUUCUUUUUUUAAACUCAGAUUAAUCAAUAGAAUUCACAUUAGUUCAACAUAUGGUUCACUUUGUUUUUUUCCUUAUAACUCACUAAAAUUUGUCUUCUCUCUCAAGGAAAAGAAAAAGUAGGCGGUAUAUACUAACAAAUAAAUGACAUUCAAUUUAAACACUCGCAAUGAUGAAUUUUCAAAAUGAACUCCUUAAAUAGAAAUGAAAUCAUUUAUUGCUCCAUUCAUUCAUUUUCUAGUUGGUUACCGACUUGAUUAAGUAAUGAACAAGUAAAAAUAGUGAAAGAAAUUGAAAAAUUGGACACAUAAAUUUAACGUGGAAAAACUCUUCCAAAGAGGAUAAAAAAUCACGGACAAAAAUAAUUUUACUAUAAUGGCAAAAGAACGAAGAAUACAAGAGAUGGAGAUAAAAACUAAACCCCGAAACUCGAAAACAAAGAACCAUCAAAAUAUAAAUAAAAAUUUCUUCAAAAGUGUUAUGAGAUCUAUUCUUUUUGGGUGUAUUUUCUAAGUUUGUAAAAGAACUUAUUUAUAAGAUAAAUUCGUAGGUCAAAUAAUAAUAAAAUAAUCUAGACUAAUCAGGGUUCGAAUGAAAUGAAUAAAUAGAGUUUAAUUAUCUCUCAAAUUUGACUGAAAUAUGAGGCAUACUCAACAAGUCUCCACCUUAACUCAAUUUUCCACAAUGUCAUCAUUUCCAAAACCUACCACAGGCCUAUCUUGAACUAUGCAGGGAAUUAAUUGAGUCGAAUCUGUGCUUAGAAGCUGCAAGACUUCUAGUCUUCGAUGUAACACCCCAAACCCGUCCUAGACAUUAUGGGCGAAUCUGGAGUUACAAAAAAGGGUUUUGAAAAUAGUGAUAUUUCGACCAUCCAUGUUUAUUGUGGUUGUUAAUACUAUAUUGUUUUUAGCUAUUUUAGUUGUUUAGUAAGGAUUGUAAUAAAUCUUCAUUAUGUUAGCAAGUCUCGAAAUCUCUAUGUAAUUAAGAGACUUGUAUAAGUUGAUGCACAAAUUAUUAAGAGCAUUUAUAUGUUCAAGUGAAGAACAUUAUUUUGCAAGAGUGCAUUUGUGAUUGUAAAAUUUUGUAUUGUGGUUUUGCAAACUAAGUUCUCUGAGGGAGAAUUUAGUGGUGAGUGAUCUAAUAUUCAAAGGUACAAGAGUGAGGAAUCGUCAUUGGGGUGUGAUACAUUUAGGUUCAUUGGUUGUAAUUGUUUAAAUAUAGUAAUUCUUCUCACUAAGCAAGGCUUCACAAACGUAGGGAAACUAAACUGCAUAAACAAACUUUGAUGCUUCCUAUUUUGUUUUUGCUUAUCACAGUGCUUGUAGAAGUACACACUUUUGUAGUCACUUUCAACACGGAGCCAAUUGUUUUGCAAACACAAUGGCUAUGACUGGAUGGAAAGUUUAUCGUUAAACUAUUCUCUUUAAAUUCCCAUUAGUAUAAAAUAAAAUAUAAAUUAAUUUAAAAUUUUAAAAUGAUUUUAUUUUAAUUUUUAAAUCAAGGAAUUUGAUAGGUUAAAAUUAACUAUAAAAUAAUUUAACUCUUUUAAUUAAAUGACACAUAAUUGAGGGAUUAAUAGUGUAAUUUAACCUUAUCUUUUUUAGCAUUAUGGAUUAAUUCACAUUUAUUUGGAAUGUGUUAUUAAUUCACAUAUGGAUUUAACUAGUGGUGGAGCUAGAAAAUAUUUUGGGGUCCAAAAUUAAAUUGUAUAUUUUUAUGAUAGCAAGAAUACAAUUUCACCAUUUUAAUAGUCUAUAUAUUUAUAAUUUUUAAAGGAUCUGAUAAUUUUUUUAUCAUUUUUGGGAUUAAAAUGUAAUUUUCUUAUUAUUAAUUUUAAAUUUUAUAAAUUAUAAAGGACCGAAGUAAAAAAAUUCCCAUUAAUCAACACCCUUGGCUCUACCACUUGAUCGAACACAUAUCAUGAGUCCCUUCCCACGUGUAUGGCUGAAAUAACAUCACAUGUAUUUAUGUUUGAAUACACAUCACAAAACCUUGAGUUGUUUCGGCAUGACCUAGAGAAAAAAAAAUGGAGAAACAUGAAGGUAGCUUAGAAGAAUCCAAAAGCAAUAAACGAAAGCUAGACAAAAGGUUGAAAUCAUCACUAACCAAGCCUUUACUUGUUCUAACUCCAGGAAGAGUCCAUAUUCGUUGAGAAAAUCGGCAAAGACUUUGGUAUCUUUUGGAAGGACUUGUAAAGAAACAAUUUUUUAUAUUUACGUUCUGUAAUGUUUUUCAUAUUAACAUUAUUGAUGUUUCUAAAUUUACCUUCUGUAAUGUUAGAGUUAGUUGAAGAGUCGUCAGAUUCUGGAGAGGAAUCAAUUUUUAGUCAUCAGCAUAGGAUGGAAGAUGAGAAGUUGCUGUCGGCAGUGUUGGGAGAGCAAAGGAGAAGGUAAUAAGGCUGCAACUCAAGAGGAUGAAGGCAAAUCAGAAAUUGGUAGAUGACAGAAUUGUGAAUAGGACUCUCAGAUUCUGGGUCCAACUUAUGCAAUAAUUCUAUGAUCUGGGAAGCGUGUAGAGAUCGACAAAUGAGUUUGCCGUGAUUGCUGCGGUCCUCUCCAACAAGAAGCCAAUUGUUUUGCAGACACAGUGGCAAUGGAUGGGAUGGAAAGUUUAUGGUUAAACUGUUCCCCUUAAAUUCACGUAAGUAUAAAAUAAAAUGUAAAUUAAUUUAAAAUUUUAAAAUAAUUUUAUUUUAAUUUUUAAGUCAAGAAUUUUGAUGAGUUAAAAUUAUAGGCUAAGGGCUUAUUUAAUUACAAAUAUAAUUUAAAAACUUGUUUAAACAAAGUGUAAUAAUUUAACGGAAUUUUUAAUAUAUUAGCCAAAGAAAUUCAUCUAAGUAACAAUGAAGAAUGCUUUUAAUGUGCCCAACAUUAGACCAAUACAAUAAUUGUAAGUUUUUGUAAAAAAUCUUAAUUUCAUUUUUUAAUCUUUUUUCUAAUAGUUAGUCCAUUCUUUUUUUAACCUUUGAUUAAUGAGCAGAAUUCACAUACUUUGUUUUUGGUUAUAGCUCAGUAAAUCUAUCUUCAAUUUAACGGAUAAAUGGUACAUAAUAACGAAUAAAUGGCAUUCAAUUUAAACAUUGACAAUGCUUAAUUUUCAAAUAGAAAUUUCUUCAUUUACUGCUCCAUUCAUUUUAAAAUUCAAAAUGUCUUUCAUCUUCCUCUUCGGUCCAACAUAUAUCACUACCAAUUGGCCAUGCAGUUUCUUGAGCUGUAGCAGAUUCUUCCACUAUAAUUUCAUCAACUGAUUGGCUUGCCUGCAAAGCAAAUUAAACCUUCACUUAUUACUGUUUGCUUUUAAUCAUUGAUGCUGAAGAAAGCAAAUCCAGUUUUCCAAAAUUGGACAAAGGAUGUCAUAUUGAAAAUAAUAAUGCAACAAUGAUAUCUAGAAAGAAAUAUUUGUUAACAUUAAUGGGAGACAACAUUAAUGGCAAACAAUACAAAGUGGUGCAAGUUUAGCACCCUAAAGUUGACUUUGAAAAAGUGGCAUGGGAUAAUUUUUUUGGUCCUUGAGAUAAUGGGCUAUUUAUUGUUUGGUCCUUAAACCUCAACUAUAAAUAGGCCUUCUCAUUUCUCAUUUCAAUCAUCCCAACCAAUCUUUCUCUCUUAGUUUUCUCUCUUCUCCCAUUUGAGAAUUCUCAAGGAAUUCUAUUUGUUUGUAAUAUUGUGAAGAUAGUAAAGUUAUCAUCUGGUGUUAGUGCCCGAGGACGUAGGUAUAAUUUACCGAACCUCGUUAAAACUCUUGUGUUCUUUCUUGUCCUAUUUUUCUUUCAAUAUUUGAGGGUAUAAUAGUAGUAUUUAAUUGUGCUAUUAAAUUACUAUAGAAGGGAUAUUCUGACUAAGGAAAGACUUGGUAUUUAAGAGAUCCAUGUGAUCCACCUCUCUUCCCUGGGAAUUGAACUUUGUGUGAUUUUUUAGUACAAUAAUUUACACGCUUCCGACCCUAUUGGAAAAACAAGUGGUAUCAAGAGCCGAAGGUUAAUCGUAGUAUGCUCUGUGGUUGCAGUUUGAACUGAUCUUCCACAUCAGAAAAGAUUUCCUUAGGUAUAUUGAAAGAUUAUGGAGAAAACGGUCGGUGUAGGAGCUUCAACAUCGUCCAUGUGGACAAGACCGACAAUUGCAAAUGCAAGAUUGGCCGUGGAGAUCUUUGAUGGCACGGGCCAUUUUGGUAUGUGGCAAAGUGAGGUUCUAGAUGCCCUUUUUCAGCAGGGUCUAGACAUUGCCAUUGAUGAAGAGAAACCAGAUGGUGUACAGGAGAAAGAUUGGAAGGCGAUCAAUCGGUUGGCAUGUGGCACAAUUCGAUCAUGCCUUUCUCGAGAGUAGAGGUAUGUUUUUUCAAAGGAGACUUCUGCAAAUAAGUUGUGGGUGGCACUUGAAGAAAAUUUUUUGAAGAAAAACAGUCAAAAUAAGCUCCACUUUAAGAAAAGACUGUUUCGCUUCACAUACGUCCCAAGUACCACAAUGAAUGAUCACAUCACCAAAUUUAAUCAGUUAGUCACUAAUUUGCUGAAUAUGGAUGAGACAUUCAAAGAUGAAGAUUUGGCUUUGAUGCUGUUGGGGUCACUUCCUGAGGAGUUUGAGUUCCUAGAAACUACUCUACUUCAUGGCAGGAGUGAUAUAUCUUUGAGCGAAGUCUGUGCGGCCUUAUACAGUUAUGAACAGAGAAAGAAGGACAAACAGAAAAACUCAAUCAGAGAUACAGAAGCUUUAGUAGUCCGAGGUCGUUCAUACACUCGGAAGAAAACUCAAAAGGGGAGAUCAAAGUCAAAGUCCAGACUCGGGAAAGAUGAAUGUGCUUUUUGUCAUGAGAAAGGCCACUGGAAGAAAAAUUGUCCAAAGCUGAAGAAUAAGGGAAAAGCUGCUGUAGAUGCUUGUGUUGCUAAGCAUGAUACUAGUGACUCUGAACUAUCACUGGUUGCAUCAUCAUCGUCGUUCCAUUCAGAUGAGUGGAUAUUGGAUUCGGGUUGUACCUAUCAUAUGUCCCCUAACCGGGAGUGGUUCUCUGAUUUAGUAGAACUAAAUGGAGGAGUUGUUUAUAUGGGCAAUGACAAUGCUUGUAAAACUGUUGGGAUAGGUUCAAUCCAAUUAAAGAAUAAAGAUGGAUCAACCAGAGUUCUGACUGAUGUUCGGUACGUGCCCAGUUUGAAGAAAAAUCUCAUCUCAUUGGGAGCCUUGGAAUCCAAUGGUUCAGUUGUUACUAUGAGAGAUGGGGUUUUGAAAGUGACAUCUGGCGCACUUGUGAUAUUGAAGGGCAUCAGGAAAAAUAACUUGUAUUACUACCAAGGUAGUACAGUUAUUGGAGCAGUCGCUGCAGCUUCCGGUAACAAAGACUUGGACUCAAUGCAGUUGUGGCAUAUGAAGUUGGGACAUGCCAGCGAAAAAUCCUUGCAAAUUCUGGCAAAGCAAGGAUUGUUGAAAGGUGCAAAGGCUUGCAAAUUAAAAUUUUGUGAGCACUGUGUUCUGGGAAAGCAAAAGAGAGUGAAAUUCGGCACUGCUAUCCAUAAUACAAAAGGUAUUUUGGAAUAUAUUCACUCAGAUGUGUGGGGGCCUUCCAAAACACCUUCGUUGGGAGGAAAACACUACUUUGUUACUUUUGUUGAUGACUUUUCCAGAAGAGUUUGGGUGUAUACCAUGAAAACUAAAGAUGAAGUGCUUGGAGUUUUUCUUAAAUGGAAAACUAUGAUCGAAAACCAGACUGGCAAGAAAAUCAAGCGGCUUAGGACGGAAAUGGAGGGGAAUAUAAAAGUGAUCCGUUCUUCGAUGUGUGCCAAGAGUAUGGUAUUGUUCGACACUUCACAGUUAGGGAUACACCACAACAGAAUGGAGUGGCAGAGCGUAUGAAUCGAACAUUGCUAGAGAAAGUUCGAUGUAUGUUGUCCAAUGCUGGGUUGGGCAAGCAAUUUUGGGCUGAGGCUGUGACAUACGCUGGCCAUCUUGUUAAUCGUUUGCCAUCAUCUGCAUUAGAAAGAAAAACUCCUAUGGAGGUAUGGUCUGGAAAACCGGCUACAGAUUAUGAUUCCUUACAUGUGUUUGGAACCACUGCAUAUUACCAUGUGAAGGAGUCAAAGUUAGAUCCGAGGGCAAAGAAAGCUCUCUUUAUAGGAAUCACUUCUGGAGUGAAGGGAUUUCGUCUUUGGUGCUUAAGCACAAAGAAAAUGAUCUGUAGCAGAGAUGUUACCUUUGAUGAAUCUGCCACAUUGAAAAAGGUAGCAGAUAAAGAUAUUCAGACGAGCAAUACUCCACAGCAGGUGGAGUGUACUCCAAAACAGGUGGAGUUUGAGCAGAUGGGGAUUUGCCCAGUUAAUAAGUCUAAUUCUCCAGCCACAAUGGAGGAAUUAGAGGUUGAAGAGGUUCUGACCCAAGAACCACUAAGUACACCAGAACCAGUUGUAGUUGUAAGGCCACGGAGAGAAAUUCGUAAACCUGCUCGAUUUACUGAUAUGGUGGCCUACGCCCUUCCCGUUGUUGAUGAUAUUCCUAUCACUUAUCAAGAAGCAAUGCAAAGCUUAGAAAGUGAUAAAUGGAAAAGCGCCAUGGAUGAAGAAAUGCAGUCUCUCCGGAAGAAUAAUACUUGGGAGUUGGCGCAAUUACCGAAAGGUAAAAGGGCAAUCGGAUGCAAGUGGGUAUUCGCAAAGAAAGAUGGAUCUCCUAGCAAGAAGGAUAUUCGCUACAAGGCAAGAUUGGUAGCUAAAGGCUACGCUCAGAAGGAGGGAAUUGACUACAAUGAUGUAUUUUCCCCUGUUGUGAAGCAUUCCUCUAUUAGAAUUUUGUUGGCCUUGGUAGCACAGUUGAAUUUGGAGCUAGCUCAACUUGAUGUUAAGACGGCUUUCUUGCAUGGUGAGUUAGAAGAGGAGAUCUAUAUGACUCAGCCAGAAGGAUACACAGAUGCUGGUGGUAGAAAUUGGGUUUGUAAGCUUAACAAAUCGCUAUAUGGAUUGAAGCAAUCCCCGAGGCAGUGGUACAAGCGAUUUGAUAGCUUUAUGAGAAGGCAGAAGUACACAAGAAGCAAAUAUGACAAUUGUGUAUAUUUGCAGAAGCUGCAUGACGGAUCUUUCAUUUAUCUACUCUUGUAUGUUGAUGAUAUGUUAAUCGCUUCGAAGAGCCAAAAUGAGAUAGAUAAGCUGAAGGCUCAGUUGAAUCAAGAGUUUGAGAUGAAAGAUCUAGGUGAGGCCAAGAAGAUUCUCGGCAUGGAGAUAAGUAGAGAUAGACCGAGAGGCAAGCUCUGUUUAAAUCAGAAGCAAUAUCUGAAAAAGGUAUUACAAUGUUUUGGUGUAAAUGAAAACACAAAACAUGUAAGUACCCCACUUGCUUCUCAUUUGAAACUUAGUGCUCAAUUAUCUCCGAAAACUGAAGAAGAAAGAGAAUAUAUGGCGAAAGUCCCAUAUGCUAAUGCAGUUGGGAGUUUGAUGUAUGCGAUGGUAUGUACGAGGCCUGACAUUUCACAAGCUAUUGGAGUUGUGAGCAGGUAUAUGCAUGAUCCUGGAAAAGGACAUUGGCAAGCUGUGAAAUGGAUUCUACGGUAUCUUCGAAAAACCGUAGAUGUUGGUUUAAUUUUUGAACAGGAUGAAGCACUUGGUCAGUUUGUAGUUGGAUAUGUUGAUUCCGACUUUGCUGGUGAUUUAGAUAAACGUCGUUCAACUACGGGGUAUCUGUUUACUCUUGCGAAAGCCCCAGUGAGUUGGAAGUCUACCUUACAGUCUACAGUAGCUGUGUCUACUACAGAGGCAGAAUAUAUGGCAGUUACAGAAGCUGUUAAGGAGGCUAUUUGGCUUAAUGGAUUGUUGAAAGACUUAGGAGUUGUUCAAAGUCACAUAAGUUUAUAUUGUGACAGUCAGAGCGCUAUUCAUUUAGCGAAAAAUCAAGUCUAUCAUUCAAGAACCAAGCAUAUCGACGUAAGAUAUCACUUUGUGCGGGAAGUCUUUGAAAAAGGAAAAAUUCUACUUCAGAAGAUUCCGACAGCAGAUAAUCUCGCAGAUAUGAUGACCAAGGUGGUAACAACAAUCAAGUUUAAUCAUUGUUUGAACUUGAUUAACAUCCUGAGAAUUUGAGCACCUUCAGGUGUAUGGCGCUCGAGAGUGCAUUUGUAGGCACUACAAAAGACAGCUUUAUCGAAUUUGGGGAGUUGAAGGAAGUGUGUGAAGAUGUGAUUAUCCUAAUCAAAUCUUCAAGGUGGAGAUUGUUAACAUUAAUGGGAGACAACAUUAAUGGCAAACAAUACAAAGUGGUGCAAGUUUAGCACCUUAAAGUUGACUUUGAAAAAGUGGCAUGGGAUAAUUUUUUUUGGUCCUUGAGAUAAUGGGCUAUUUAUUGUUUGGUCCUUAAACCUCAACUAUAAAUAGGCCUUCUCAUUUCUCAUUUCAAUCAUCCCAACCAAUCUUUCUCUCUUAGUUUUCUCUCUUCUCCCAUUUGAGAAUUCUCAAGGAAUUCUAUUUGUUUGUAAUAUUGUGAAGAUAGUAAAGUUAUCAUCUGGUGUUAGUGCCCGAGGACGUAGGUAUAAUUUACCGAACCUCGUUAAAACUCUUGUGUUCUUUCUUGUCCUAUUUUUCUUUCAAUAUUUGAGGGUAUAAUAGUAGUAUUUAAUUGUGCUAUUAAAUUACUAUAGAAGGGAUAUUCUGACUAAGGAAAGACUUGGUAUUUAAGAGAUCCAUGUGAUCCACCUCUCUUCCCUGGGAAUUGAACUUUGUGUGAUUUUUUAGUACAAUAAUUUACACGCUUCCGACCCUAUUGGAACAACAAUAUUGACAGCCAGCAGAAACUAAUUACUACUGAUGCAAUUUCAUUUAGUCAUUUAAAGCAUUAAAAGAAAAAAAAAUUUCUCUGAGGCAACCAAAAUAAAAACAUUGCAUUAAUGCAUAGAAAUUAAAGCUUAGUAAAUAUAGAGUUUGGGAGAAUACAUAAAGAAAAUAAUUCAAUGGAUGAAAUUUGUUUUAAAGCUUAUAAUUGAGUUUGGAAGGAUAGUGUACUUGUGUUUUGGCAUGCACUGAUUGCUUUGAAUCAACACUAAAUCUUGUGGUUACGUUGGGACAACAAAAAAAGACACAUUUUUUCCAUUUCCAUUCACCUAGUGAAAACUUUUAACAGAGGAAGAAGAAUAACAAAUAAUUUCAAAACAGAGUCGAAAAUAAGAAGUCUGGAAAUCCAGCCUUGGAUAACAAAUAUCAUCAGCAAAUAAGUUAUAUUCUAUGGUCUAGUUCAACAACUAGCCAAGUAACAGGUCAUGUACAUUGAGAAUGGUUUUGAUAACUCUAAUUGUUGAAAGUCCAAAUUCAGUCAUCCAUAAAAAAAAAGCAAUUGAUCUUUGCAUAUCCCUGAAUCAAAAUAGACUCUCAGAUAACUUUACCCUUUCAAUCAUUAAAUGGCACCUUUCCCUGCAGUCAUCCAUAAGCAAGAAGAAAGAAUUCCUAAAAAUGGCUUCUUUUUUUUUUUUAAACCUUAAAUCCUUUUGUUUUCAUUAAAAAAAUUCACCUAAUUCAUUUUCUGCCCAAGCCCAAAGGCCCUUCCCUUCAAACAAUUUCCAUGAAGAUACCAGUAGGAACCAGAAUUACUUUUGCUCUCUCCAACAUGGUAAAGCUGCUAUUUUACAUGGUAAAAAGACACGCAAAGCAUCCAAAUCCUUAAAAACCAACCACUAAAAUGAUCACGAUUGUGAUAGUUUUUCCCCGGAGGUUCCCAAAGAAACAUCAGAACCAGCUAUUAAAAGUUGACAACGAAUUGAAUUCCGAGCAAAUAUCAGAAACAAAGAGGCAUGGGUAUUGAAGAUUAAAAGCCAAAGAGAGGAAGAAAGAUAAAAUAUGACCAAAUAAAUGGAAGAAUCUUAAAACGUUGACAGUUACCUGAAAGAAGUAUAGCUAUAGAAUUCAACAUCCAAACACAUAAAGAGAAGUGAAGCAGCGGAGAAAACAGUCUGUCCCAAACGAAGAGCCAAGCUGGCGCUUGUUCCCAACGCCCCUGGCACUGCUUCCAUCGUCCCUCAUGUCAUCUUAUCUUUCUGUUUCUUCUUCUUUAGUGUAUUCCCCUAAAACCCAAUAAAAAAGCAGAGGCCAAACACUAGGAGAAGGGAUUGAAACAAUAGAAUUCAUGGCAGAUUUGCCUGAGAAAGAGAGAAAGAGAGGAAACGAAACAGAACAUGCUGAGAAGAGAAGAUAUACGACGGACUUUUACCUGGAAGAGAAGAUGAAGAACGGAAGAAGGAAAAUGAAUGAAGAACGGAAAAAGGAGAAGGAGCCUUACCUGGAUGAAGGAGGAACCGGAAAAUGUCUUGCAGAAAUGAAAUCCAUAAGACAUUUUCCCCUAAAACCCAUUUAUUUUACUCGCGUCUUGGAAAAUCAGGAAAACAUUUUCCUGCAAACAAACAGACCUUCAAUUUAAACACUCGCAAUGAUGAAUUUUGAAAUCAACUCUUUAAAUAGAAAUGACUUCAUUUAUUGCUCUAUUCAUUUUCUGUUGGGGAUCAACUCAAUUAAGGGCCUAUUUAGUAUUACUUAAAAAAAGUAUUUUUGAAAAAAAUACUGUGCUAAACAAAUUGUUUUUGGUUGAAAUUUGUGUUGCAUAGUCAUCGACAAUCCUUUGCUGCAUCGUUUUUCAUUCUGUUUCUCUUCGCUUCGCUUUCUCCAGUAAAACCACCUGCCAUUUAGUUUCUCAUCAUUCCUCUCUUUCUUCUACUUCUUCUUCUUCUUCUUCUUCUUUUUUUUUUUUUUUUGCAUACAUAAAUUUAUCCCUGCGCCAGACUACUCUAUCAUGCUGCAACUGCUUUGACGUCUUUGCCUUGUACAAUAUAGUUUAAGUUUGAUCUUGUUUCUAUUUUUAUCUCUUCCUUUUCAUGUUCUUUGUACUUGUAAUAACCAUUUACCCUAGAUUCAAAAAAAAAAAAAAAAACUUUGCUUAUUUUCUUUUAUAUAUGUGGGCUAGAAGACUUCAUUAAUUGAAGGAAGAGGGAGACUUCAUUUGAGAUUGAGGUGAGUUUUCUUGGCUUUUUUCGAAGAGUUGUGUCUUAGAAACAAAUGGAGCUGUUCUUUCAACUCAGUCCAACUGAAAACACAACGAGAAAUUUAAUAAACAAAUAAAAUCAUAUACGAGUGUAAUGUCAUAUAAUUAUAACUAAAAAUAAGAAUUCAAAAUAUUUUCACCCUCACACUAAUAAUAUUACAGAUAUAAUGCUGGAAAAUAUAAUAAACAAAUCCACUUACCAUUUCAAAAUCCAAACAGUCUUUUAGCUCUUACUUGCUUCAAGAAAAACAUAAAAGAUCAAAAAAAAAUAUAGAGCAACUUCAAUUUAUAUAUAAAAAACAGAAAUGAAGCAUAUAUAAAUAGAUUUACCUCACUUGGGAACUUUUUAUUUUUAUUUUUUUAAUCUUUUUUCUAAUAGUUAGUCCAUUCUUUUUUAAUCUUUGAUUAAUGAGCAGAAUUCACAUACCUUGUUUUUCCUUAUAGCUCAAUAAAUCUGUCUUCGAUUUAACGAAUAAAUGGCAUUCAAUUUAAACAUUCACAAUACUAAAUUUUCAAAUAGAAAUUUCUUCAUUUACUGCUCCAUUCAUUUUAAAAUUCAAAAUGUCUUUCAUCUUCCUCUUUGGUCCAUUCUAUAUCACUACCAAUUGGCCAUGCAAUUUCUUGAGCUGUAGCAGAUUCUUCCACUAUAAUUUCAUCAACUGAUUGGCUUGCCUGCAAAGCAAAUUAAACCUUCACUUAUUACUGUUUGCUUUUAAUCAUUGAUGCUGAAGAAAGCAAAUCCAGUUUUCCAAAAUUGGACAAAGGAUGUCAUAUUGAAAAUAAUAAUGCAACAAUGAUAUCUAGAAAGAAAUAUUGACAGCCAGCAGAAACUAAUUACUGCUGAUGCAAUUUCAUUUAGUCAUUUAAAGCAUUAAAAGAAAAAAAAAAGAAUUUCUCUGAGGCAACCAAAAUAAAAACAUUGCAUUAAUGCAUAGAAAUUAAAGCUUAGUAAAUAUAGAGUUUGGGAGAAUACAUAAAGAAAAUAAUUCAAUGGAUGAAAUUUGUUUUAAAGCUUAUAAUUGAGUUUGGAAGGAUAGUGUACCUGUGUUUUGGCAUGCACUGAUUGCUUUGAAUCAACACUAAAUCUUGUGGUUACGUUGGGACAACCUUUUACUUUUAAACGCCUAAAAGAUUGGAAAACAAAAUGAUAACCCACAGGGCUGAAGCUCACGAGGUUUGGUAGAUCAUCAAGCUGUAAGUAGGUUAAUCGAGGUAGGUGCAUCACUUUCUCUUUGUCCCUACUCACAUUUGACUCAUCUCCUUCAAACACCUGCUCUAAUUUGGAGACCCAUUUAAGGUAUAACCCAUUUAGGUUUGGAAGGCCGCCAUGAGCAAGAGUAAUGGGGAAGAGACAUUUCAAGUUUUCACAGUUAAUGAUGUUAAUCCAACUCAAUUUAGGGAAGCAAAUAGGUUGGAGAUGAUGUUGUGAUGGAGUUUGAUCCUUCUCAAUUAUUUGCUCCAAUUCCUCACAGUUAGAUAUAACCAACAAAUACAAUUGUGGCAAAUUUCGAGCGAUGGCAGGUGAGAAGAUGUAUCUUAACCUUUUGCAGUCAUUGACUGUCAAUUGAGUGAGAUUUUGAAAGUAUUCAACUUGGAUGGGACCACUCCAUAUCACCCGCAAUUCAGUUAGUUCGGACAACGUUAGGAUCUUUAGACUUGAAAGAUUAUAUAUAGGAUAUUCAAAUAACUCUUCAAAAUUGGAAAUUGUUAAAUAUUCCGUACAUGUUGAUGUUCCUCCUCUCCUUUCAGGGACUGUCACGUUGCUUAUUUGCUUCUUUUCUGUCAUCUCUGAGAACUCCAAUUCCUAUAAACAUAUCAUCAAUUUAAGAAUACACACAAGAUUUCUUUUUCAAUCUUUUAUAGUGAAAGAAUUCAAUUUUUUAAAAAGUUUACUGUACAACUCAAAUAAUCAUAAAUUACAAAAAAAAAAAAAACUCCAAAAAUAUGGUGCAAAAACACAACAUAAAUAAUAUUACGUAGUACUGGAUAGUAUUUGCAAUAUAUAUAUAAGAAACAUAAAUAAUAUAUAUUUCUCAUAUAGAUUAUAAAAGUAUUCAGUUGAAAUGUUACUUAUGUUACUAAUUGGUAUUGUAAUUAACUAAACUACUUAAAGGUUUAUUUAGAUUAGUUUUUAGACCAAAAUUCUACAAUGCAAACUAUUUUUUAAAGAGUUAUACAAGCAUUUAUUUAUUUUAUACAAAAAAAAAAUUAAAAGGUGAAAAUUUUAAUAAAUAAUAUAUAUAUAUAUAAGGUGGUCUUACUUGUAUAUUAGUUGGAACGAUAAAAGGUGUCAAUUGAGGACAAUCUCUCACUUUUAACACGUGUAAAGAUGACGAUAUCAGCACGAUAUCGUUUCUAUCCCUUCCUUUCAAUUGAGGCAAAUUAAUUAACUCAACUUCAUUCAAUCGUUCAAGACCUUGAGACAUUGAGGUUAACACGUCUGGUCUUUGGACUAUUUCUUGCAAUUGGAAACAGCUCUCUAUCCUCAGAGUUUGCAAUUGCCCAAGACUAUUAGCAACACAUAUUGGGAAGAGAAAUUUCAACUGAUUGCAUUCUCUGACUUGUACUUCCCUUAGGCAUUGGAAGCUUAUGGUUGAUACUUGUGAGUCUUGAAUUAUUUCUUCCAUUCCAAAGCACCUCUCUAUCUUCAGAGUUUGCAAUUUCCCAAGACUAUUAGCAACACACAUUGGGAAGAGAAAUUUCAACUUAUUGCAUUUUGUGACUUGUACUUCCCUUAGGCAUUGGAAGCUUAUGGUUGGCAGUUGUGAGUCUUGGAUUAUUUCUUCCAUUCCAAAGCACCUCUCUAUCUUCAGAGUUUGCAAAUUAGGCGCAUUUAGUGUUUUAGAGUUACCUUGAGCAACAAUAAUUGGAAAGAGAGAUUUCAAGCUUUCACAUUCCAAGAUAUCAAUUCGAAUCAGAUUUGGAAAGCAAAGAGGUAGGGGAUGAUGUUGUGAUGACGUUUGAUCUUGCUCCAAUUCCUCAUAUUUACAUGAAUGCAAAUUGCUCAAUUGUUCAUUUGUCAUCUUCCCAAUCACCAAUUCCUAUAAACAUAUCAUCAAUUCUCAAUUUCAAAAUGUUCAAAGAUGUCAACAACUAACUUAACAUUUCAUCAAUUAAUUUCCUUACAAAAAAAAUAUUUUACAUUAAAUCAAUAUUAUACUCCAAAAAUGUGGUACAAAAACAGUCAUAAAUAAUAUCACAUAAUCAAUAUCAAACAACAAUAUAAUUUUAUACAGCUUAUUUUUGUUUACCCAUAUAAUUGGUAUAAUAUAAUUUAGAUAAAUAGUUUGCAACAUAUCUAAAACAUAAAGUUUGGAUAAUUUUUUUUUUUUGAAAAUUUUAUUAAUCAUAGUAUAUGGUAUUAUAAUUAACUAAUUUGUUUAAAAGGUUAUUUAGAUUAGUUUUAGACCAAAAUCAUAAAAUAAAAUCUUUCUUUUAAACAACUAUUCAAACAACGAAUUAUUAAAGAAAAAAUAGAAACAAAUAAAUAAAUAAUAUAAAACAAAAACAAAAAUCUUACUUGUAUCGUAGUUGAAAUAAUAAAAUGUGUCAAUUGAAGACAAUUGUGUACUAUUAACUUCUGCAAAGACGAUUGUGUGAGCAAAAUGCCGUUCACAUCCGUUUUUUUCAAUUGAGGCAAGUCAAUCAACGAAACCUGAAAUGAAAAGCAUAAUCAAAUUUCCCAACCUUUGACCAUAGGACAAUAAGGAAAAGAAAUGUAAAGUUAUUGCAGUGAGAUACACAUACUUCCCUUAGACUUUGGAGUAGACACUUGUAUGCCACUUGUCGGUCUUGGAUUAUAUCUUCCAAUUGCGAGCAACUCUUUAUCUUCAAAGUAUGCAAUUGCCCAAGGCUAUUAGCAACUGACAUUGGGAAGAUAUAUUUCAAAUUAUUGCACCCCUCUAUUUCAACAAUCUUCAGACUUUGGAGGCUUAAAUGACAACUGGGCCCUUCUUGUUCUAUGCUCCUCAAUUCAGCAAUUGGGAAUAACACUUGCAUCUCACCACAAUCUGAAACUAUAACCUCUUCAAGCUUUUGUAAAAAACCUUGCGGCUGGGGAGCAUUGCACAUCUCUUCCAAAUGAAACAUGCGACUUAAUGAUAACUUUCUCAAAUUAGAGAGAGCAGUGAUUGGCAGUUGCAGCUUUGAUGCAUCAAUUAGGCAUUGCAUAGAGUGGCACCGUCGAAGAUCUAGAGAAGUCAACUUUCUAAAUCCCAAGUCCAAGCUCGGAAUAAGGUUUGGGUGACCCUCCACAUCACCCAAUUCAAGAGAUUCUACAUCUUCAAAUAGUUGCUUGCAUGCAUCUACAGACUUAUUGAUUCUCAAAGAUCUUGAGAUUGGACAAGUUUCGCUCUUUUGGUACGACGUUUCUCUGCCUAUGCCAAUGGAAAAAUCAAAGCUCCAUAAUCUACGAAACACAAAGCCAUCUGGAAGAUGUUUAGAAGAAAUAUCCAAUGAUAUUACAACCAACUUUGGCAAUGAAUUCAACUCUGAUAAGCUGGAAUAGCUUUCCUUUUUAGUUGAAUCCUCAGUCGCCCAUUUUAAUGAACUACAACCAUGCAAGUAUAGUUCUUCUAAAUCGGACAAUCUUUGUAUUAAAUUAGGAGGGAAUCCUUCAAGGUUAUAACAAUACGAUAAAUCCAACAGUCUUAGCUUUUCUAGAUCACCAGCUUCAGUCGGCAAUUCAAUGAUAUCAGAUCCACUUAAAGAGAGAAUAUGAAGUGACUUCAGCUUCCCAAGCAUCGAGAUGUCAGAGAGUACACAAUCAAUCAAACACAAAGUUCGAAGGUUCAUAUUAAACUUAAAUGCAGCUAGAGAUAUCAAUUGAUCUUUCAAAGCACAGACUUGUAAUGCCUUCAUACCCUCGAAGAAUUCGCUUGAAUUUUCCAUGAAACUACCAAGUAAAAGAAGUUUGAGGCAUGGAAAACCCACUCCUUUAGGCAGUUCAUCCAUUUGAUCAGUUUCGAAGGAGAUUGCUGUGUAAUGCUUGAAACUUUCAUCCAUCGGGAGUGUUUCAACAGUCCCAAAACAAAUCUCCUUUCUUGAAGAUGCUAUCCACAAAGCAAAUUGGCGAACCAUGUCAUGCAUUUUGACAUGCCUUUCUCCGCAAUCUAGCAACAAACCGGAGUUCUUGAGGGUCUCAAUUGAUGCAAGCACUUCACUUCUAACAUCUUUAAUUGAGUCUAUGCCUUUAUACAACUCCAGUCCCCAUGCAUAUCCUACCAAGUUCUCCACAUAAAUCUCAUCAUCUUCAGGAAAUAAAGAGCACAACAAGAAACAUGUCUUGGUCUCCAUAUUCUUCAAGUAGUCGAAGCUCGCCUCAAUACAUACAUAGGCAUUUUCUUCAUUAACAUCCUCAAUUUCAGUCAAUCUACGAUCUUUGAGUCUCCGGUUUGCAGCUUGCCACUCAUGAUGGGUUUUACCUUUCAAGGCACUUCCCAGCGGAACUAUAGCUAUAGGCAAACCCCCGCAUUUUUUGACAAUUUGAUUUGCUAGGAUUUUAAUAGAAUCAUUAGAAAAGUCAUCUAGACCUGCUUUCUUUUCAAACAGAGUCCAGGCUUCAUCAUCAUUCAAACAGCCAAGUUGUACCACGUUUUGACAAUCCAUAGCUUGACAUACUUGUUGACGGCGUGUUGUUAAAAGAACUUUGCAGCCUUUAUGAUCAUCCCCAAUUGGAAUUCCCAUCUUCUCCUUUAAGUUGAUAGAUUCCCAAAUAUCAUCAAUAAUGAUAAGAAUCCUCGGUUCAUUCUUCAGCCUUAACCAUAAUUCUUGCUCGGAUCUUCUUCCUUGUUCAUUCUUCAUAUCAAAGCCUAUGUAUUGUGCAAUUUGAUCUUGAAUUCUCUCAAAAUUUGGCUUUUGAGACACAACCGUAAUCACAAUUUUGUCAACCAAAUUCAGUUUUUGAGCUUGACUUCCAACUUCACGAGCCAGGGUGGUCUUGCCCACCCCUCCCAUCCCCCACAACCCAAUCAUGUUGAUAUUCUCAUCUUUUAAGGCUUCAAUGAUUUGAUAGAAUGCAGUCUCUGAAGAUUUCGAAAACACAAAUUCCUUGGAACAUAGGAAAUCUAUAGUGGGAAGGGCAGUAGGAGCAGGGUAACCGACUGGUCCAAGUUGACCAAAUUUUUCCAAAAUCUCAGAGAUAUCCUGGAUUUUCUUCAUUGCUUUCUUGCUUAAUUGAUAUCUCCAACUCCAAUUAGGACAUCAAUUGAGACACCUCUUAUUCAGUUGGAUUUCGUCCUCUAAAGUUCCCAUAUCCGAUAGUGUUUCGUCUACCCUUGAUUGCAAGUUCUGUACAUCAUCUUCAAUUAGUAGAAGCCGGUUUUUAGCUUCCUCAAUCUUAAGUAGUAGACGCUUUCGUGCAUCUGCAAGUUAACGCAUUUUCUCUCGGAGCUUUUCAACAUUUUCAUGAAAGCGACAGACAUAAUCAAGUUGACGUCCUACCGGCUUCACCACACAGUUCACAACCAGUGUUCCAACCGUGUUAGAAAGAGCAGCCUCGCAAAAUCCGCAACCCAUCCUUGACAAGCUCAAAUUGAAGAAUAUAAACACUGCAGUGAAUCAUAAGUAAUUACCAUAAAAAAAAAAUUAAAGAAUCAAAAAGUGUUUUAAAGGUUAAGACACUACUUCUUAUACAUACCAAGGAAGGUGAAAGACAACUCAAACUAUGAGAAUCAAUGGGCUGUUCUUUCAACUCGGUCCAGCUGAAAACACAAAACAAAACGCGAAUAUUAUGAGAAAUUUAAUAAAUAAAAUCAUAUACAGUGUAAUGUCAUAUAAUUAUAACUAAAAAAGACAUUUAAUUAUUUAUAAAAAUAAGAAUUCAAAAUAUUGUUACCCUCAGACUAAUAAUAUUAUAGAUAUAAUGCUGGAAAAUAUAAUAAACAUAUCCACUUACCAUUUCAAAAUCCAAACAGUCUUUUAGCUCUUACUUGCUUCAAGAAAAAUAUAGAACAACUUCAAUUUAUAUAUAAAAAAACAGAAAUGAAGCAUAUAUAAAUAGGUUUACCUCACUUGGGAACUUCUAAAAUCAAACUACACUUAGUGCUCAGAAGAUUCUUACUUCAAAACAAUCAAAAGGGAGGGAUUUGAAGGUUGGUUUUUUCAUUUUUUUUUUAGCAAAAGUAAGUAAAACUGAAUACAAAAAGAAGGAACUUGAAGAAAGGGGGGGAAAAAACAAAGUAGAAAUUGAAGUUUAUCCGCCUGGAAAAUUCAACCGCUCGGAAAAUUUUACUAUUUCAGUAUGACCCCUGAAUUUCUACGAUGCUCCGCCACUAAAAACUGAGUUUUCUUGUAGACAAAGGAUUUGUGUUUAUUAAUGAAAUUGGUACUGAUUGGUUUGCAUUUAUUUUGCAAUUAAGACCAACAAAGACAUGACAGGAUAGGAGAUGACUUCCAAAAAGGUGAGUCUUUGGGUCAUAUUUUUACCCUGGUUUUCUCUAUUAGAAAUUAUGACUACCAAUUUAAAUUCGUCCCCAAACUUCAAAUUAUUUUAGUUACACAUUUAAAUUAUCGAUAUCAUAUUAAUCAAGUCCUUUUAUUAUUAUAAUCGUUAAAUAACAUAUCAAAUCUUAUGUAGUUAAAUUUAAAAUAAAAAAUUUAAGAAAUAGAAUCAUGUUACAUAACUUUUAAAAUUAAAAAUAAAAAUUAAGUAAAAUUGAAAUUAAAAAAAAAAGUGAACGAUAAAACUUUCAUAAAAACUUCCAAAACCUUAAAACUAGAGUUUUUAAAAUAUUUAUGUUUACAAUAUUCAUUUUUUAAAAUUUUCAUUUUAAAUUAUUAUGUCACAUUAGAUGAACAUGUCAUUUAAUAAUUAAACUCGGUAGAACGACCUCUCUAGGCUCUCUCUCAAUUUUGAUAUUGAGCAAAUUGGUCAUCUAAAAAGUCAAAUCAAUUUCGUAAGUGAGCAACUAAAGCAUUCUAUUAAUUUGAUCAUGAUUUAACAAAUUUAAUCCGCACUAUUUUUGUAAAUGCGUAAAUGUUGAGACUAAAUUUGUAGAUUUUCUUUUCAAGUAAGACAAAACUAACAAAAUAUGCAAAUGCCAAUGACUAAAUUUAUUAUUAUACCAAUCAAAACCAUGCAUAUAUAAUUGAGAAGGAUUUAGUUACUAACAUUAAAUUGUUCCUCUUUCUUUAGGGAGACGAAUUUACUCAAAUUCAAAAUUGAAAGGGAUUAGAGAGAUUUUUUUACUAUAAUAAUAAUCAAAACCCUUAUUAUUUUCUUAAUAAUAAUUUGUUUAUAAAUAUAAUUUUAAUGUAAAAUAUUUUCAUUCACUCGAGUAGUGUGAUAAAAUCUAAUAGAUAUAGAAUUGAUUUCUCUAUUUUAUUUAAAUACAAGUAUUGCAUAGAAUUGGGUAGAAAAGUAUAAAUGAAAGCAAGACUCGAUUGAGAAGCUGUUAUUUCAUUUUAUCAAUUCAUAUUAGUUGAUAAAAUCAUAUAUACAAUUCGAGUGUAAAGUCAUAUAAUUAUAAAUUGGAAGGAUAUAUUUCAUUACACAGAUAAAUAUAAUUCUAGUGAUUAAAAUUAAUUAAACUAAGUCUAUGUACUUUUUAUUAAUUUAUUUAAAUUUGAAAAAAAAAAUUAAAACUAAAAACUACCCAGUAGUAAUUGUUGAGUUUUUAUCUCUACUAAAUUUGGUUUAUUGAGUUGAGAGUGACACCAUGACUCGCUGUCAUAUUUAUAGAUUAUAGACGAUAGAUUAUAUAUAUUAUAUAUAACAUGUUUGACUAAAUUUGUGUCACGAGUCAAUUAGACACUAACUCGAUCGUAAAAUAAUUAAAAUACCCCUACUUUAAAAAGUAAUUAAUAUUAUUUUAACAUUAAUAUAAGAGUAUCUUCAUGUUUUCAUACUUUUAUUUAAUAUUCAAAUAAAACAACUCAAAAAUAAUAUUUAAGAAUCAAACACAAAACCAGUUGAAAUAUUUUUAUAAAUAUAUUUUUAAUAUAAAAUAUUUAUGUUUGUGAUAAAAUCUAGUAGAUAUAGACUAUAUAGAAUUGGUUUCUCUAUUUUAUUUAAUGAAAUGAACUUUAUAACUUUUAUUUCAUUUUGUUUGUUUUAUUUUUGUCAAUUCAUUUAAAUUUAUAAAAUUAAGAAUGAGCAAAAAUCGAUUUGGUUCGAAAAAAUUAAAUUUUAAGUUAAUUGAAUCGAUUUGACAAUUCGAAUAAUAGAUUAGUGUAAAUAUCUCUUUAAUCUCUAUCAAUUUUGAAAAUGAACAAAUUAGUUUUUUUCAACAAAAAUUACAAAAAAAUUUAAAAUAAUUUUCAAAAAUAAAAAAUAUUUAUAAAAAUUCCAAUUUUUUAAUAGUUUUAAAAAAUUCCUAAAAUAAGAAUUUUGGAACCUAAAUAAGUUAAUUAAUGAUUGAAGUUUAUUUAUUUUUAUUUAAAAAGUUUUCAAAUACAUAUGGUUUCAAAUUUAAGUGGUUUAACAUGUAAUUAGUUAUACGGUAACAAUAUUUUAAUUUGACAUGUUUAAUUUUUUAUUUAACUCUAAUAAUUUCACUCGAUUCGAAUUUUAUUUCACUUGACUCAAUUCGAAAAAAUUUCAAAUCGAAUUAGGAUGAUAAAAUAGGACUCAUCAACUCGAUCGACUCGAUUUGAUCCAACGUUCAUCCUAAAUAAAAUCGUAUACAUGUGUGUAAUGUGAUACAAUUAUAAAUAAAAAAGACAGAUAAUUUACCACUUCAAAAUGAAGUUGUAACUCCAAGAAUUUGAUCGUUAAAAUAAAAAGUCCAAACACUCUUUUAGCUCUGAUUUGCUUCAAGAAGGACAUAAAAAGAUGAGAUGAGAUGAGAUGAAAAAAAUAUAUAACAAAUUUAAUUUAUAUAUAUAAACACAAAUAUAAAUGGAUUUACCUCACUUGGGAACUUCAAAAUCAAACUACACUUGGUGUCGAGAAGAUUCUUAAUUACUACUUCAAAUCAAUCAAAAGGGAUUUGAAGUUGGGUUUUUUCUUUGUUUCUUUUUUUGAGCAAAAGAACUUGAAGAUAUUUUUUAUCUUUAAGGAAAGGGAAAUAGAAAUAGAAAUCAAGGUUGAAGUAAAAUAAGGAGAAACCUUCACAAAGAAAUUGAACUUGAUCUGCCUGGAAAUUUCAACAAACUGGGUUUUCUUGAUUUAGUAGCCAAAUGAAUUGUGCUAUGAGAUUACUGCAAUUUUGGGAUCUAAAUUAAUGAAGUUGGUACUGUUUGGUUUGCUAAUGGCCCCAUGCAUUUAUUUUCCAAUUAAGACCAACAAAAACAUGAUAUGAUAGGAGAUUACUUACAAAAACGUGAGUCUUUGGGUCAUAUUUUUACCCUGGUUUGCUCUAUUAGAAAAGAGUUAAUUACAUCAAGCAUCCUUAAAUUAUGACGAUCAAUUUAAAUUGGUCGCUGAACUUUAGAUUAUUCUAAUUACAUCCCCAAUUUAUCGGUGCUAUAUCAAUUGAGUCCUUUUGUUAUUACAAUCAUUAAGUGACAUGUCAAAAUCUUACAUAGCUAAAUUUAAAAUGAAAUUUUUAAAUAAAUAGAAUCAUGUUACAUAACUUUUUAAAUUAAAAACAAAAAUUAACUAAAACAUUUUUUUUUUAAAGUGAACAUAAAACUUCCAUAAAAACUUCGAAAACCUCAAAACUAAGGUUUUUAAAACAGUUAUUUUUAUAAUAUUAAUUUUUUAAAAUUUUCAUUUUAAACUAUUAUGUCAUAUUAGAUGUAACAUGUCAUUUAAUGAUUAAACUGGGUAAAACGACCUUUCUAGUACAUCUCAAUUUUGAUAUUGAGCAAAUUUGUCUCUCUAAAAAAAUCAAACCAAUCUAAUACCUAUCAAUUUCAAAAGUGACCGAAUAAGGACAAUUUUCAUAAAUUUGACAGGUAAAUAACAAAUUUAGCUCUCAAAGUUGACACAUUCUAUCAAUUUAGUCAUGAUUUAACAAAUUCAGCUCGCAAUAUUUUUAUAAACAUGUAAAUAUUAAGACUAAUUUUUUUUUAUUUUUUAGAAUCAAAACGAAACUAACAAAAUUACAAUUUAAUCAUAGAUAUUUUCAAAAUUUUUUGUUGAAGAUAUAUUUUACUAAUUCAUAGAUAUACAAACUAAAAAUAUAGUCCCGCCUGAAAAUCAAUAAAUCUUGAUUAAUAUAUUUUAUUAAUUCAUAUAUCUUCAAAAAUCAUGGAUUUCAAUUUAAUCAUAGAUAUCUUCAUCUAUUCUUUGGUUGUGGCCCAAGUAAAUGGAAAGUUUACCCACUUACCACUUCAAAAUGAAGUUAUGAUUCCAAGAAUUUGAGUGUGGAUGAGAAAAUUCCAAACAGUCUUUUUAUCUCUGUUUUAGUUUCAAGAAAAACAUAAAAAGAUAAUAUUAGAUGAGGAAAUAUAUAACAAAAUUAAACUUGGCGGUUGGUUUGCAAAUUCUAGAGAUAAAUUUCCAAUGUUUAUGCUAUAUAACAAGUUUUUUUCCUUCAAAAUUAAAAAUGAAUAAGAAUAUGCUUUUAUGAAAUUUCAUACCAAAUCACGGGUUUGGGUAUCUUCAACAAAAAGUUGAGUUUUACAUAACAUGUUCUAUUGUCAUUUUGGUAUUUUUUUUUUCCGUAAUCAAAAUAAUGUAUGAAAGAUAAAAUAUAAAAUUAAUGCAUCACUUUUUAGAAAAUUUUAAACAAUCAUCAUUAACGGUCUCAAUAGUUUUAUAGGUAAAUUACAAUCAAAUCAUUAAAUUAUUAAUAAUGUCGAAAUCUUUUUGAAAUCAACUUUCUAUUUUUAAAAUGACGAGAAUGAGAGUCGUCACCAAUCCUUUUUUAUUAGGUAUAAUCAGAUCACAUCGUAAUUUAAUCAUUUUUGGUUUACAAAAUCUAAGAAAUGGGUUCGGGAGUCAGUUACGCACGAUGAAUGGUUAGUAUCCUCGUAACGUCCAAAAUUGGUACUUAAGUGAUUAAUUGGUGUCUUAAGGUCGAAAGUUAAAAAUUCGAAAAUAGUUUAAAAUACGAUCCCUCUUUGUAUUAAUGUAUUUUUGAAGUAAAAUCCCUUGAAUAAAUCAAAAGUGUAUAAAAGGUCCUCUUAUCUUGAGGUAACAAAAAGGCCAUAUCCCGUAAGUUAGGACAUGUCAUCUCGCAUACUCGAAAAUAACCUUUCUCUUUAUUUAAUUACUAUUCAAAUCUCAGGUGUUUUAAUUUUGAAAGAGAUGUUUAGCUAUCUAGGUUCAAAGAGAAAGUCUCAUAAGUUAAGGUACGACAUCUCGAAUCUCCAAAUGCGGAACAUUGCCAUAAUUUUAAAAAUUUUCUUUUUAUGCACCGAGUAAAAAUUAAUGUAACACUUAAAAUAGUAUAUACUUAAUUUAUUCAGGCAUUAUAUGAAAAACGGACAAAUCUGUUCAAACAAGGUUCGUGACAUGAUUGCGGUCACAAUAAAAUUAAAUGAAGUAUAUAUAAAAAAUAUUGGUAUAUGGAAAACAAAAUGUCGUGCUAGUAAGUGACAGUGCGAUUUCAAUUUGUAAUAAUAAUAACAUGAUAAUGAUACACAUAAUAAAAUAUGAAUGUAUAAUAAUAUCAAUAUGAACAAUAAAUGUGCAAGUAAAACGUAAAUAAUCUAAUUUUGAAAAUAUAUUUUAAAAAAUAAAUAAUGACGAUAAUAAAGGCAAAAGAAGAAGAGAUAAAAAUAAAAAUAAAAUAAUAAAAAAUGCACAUUAAAUAAAAAAAACAAGUAAACUUUAAAUAAAAAUUAAAUAAUAAGUAAAUAAAUCAAAUCAAAUCAAAUAAUAAUAAAUAAUAAUAAUACAUAAAAAUGAAUAAUCUAGAAAGGGUCGAAACUAAAUAAAUAAGGAUUAAAUCGACAUUGAAAUGAAAUUAAGAGUCUAAAUUUUAAUAAAAUAAAAUAAGUGCAUAAACAUAAGGAUUAAGUUGAAACUAAAGUAAAAUUUUAGGGGGGAAAUUAGGAUAAAAAUAAAAUAAGGGACUAAAUUGUAACAUGCAAAGAAAAGAGAGUGGUAGAAUUGAAACAAAAUCAAAAUCAUUUUUGGGUCGGGUCAUCAAGUUGGCCUCAAAAUGACGUCGUUUUGGGGCGUUUUGGAACACCUCGAAACAGUACCGUUUAUCACCCUAUUUAGCUAAAAAAAACUUCAAAAAAUCAUUUUUAAAACAGUUUUAAAAAAAACUUUGUUCUUUUUUUUUUCUCUCCAUCCCUCCCAAUCCGGCCUAGGCAGCCGCCAAGCUCCGCCGUGAUGGCCACCAGUCGCCGACGAUGUAUUCGUCUUCCACGGUGGUCGAAAAACGAAAAAGGUGCAUUUUUUCGGCCUUUUGACUUCCAAAGCCCAGAUCUGAGGACUAAGAGCCUAAAAAGGUAGAAAAAAAACAAGAAAGUUUUGAUAUUUUUUUCUAUUCGCCUUUUUUUUAAAAAUAUAUAUGUGUUUUUUUUCCUUUCGAAAAAAAUAAAUAAACAAAAAAAAUGAAAUCACCUUCUGUAUUGAUUUCUUUUUUCGAUUGAUCUCAUUUUUUUAAAUUUUUUUGUCUCCAAAAAUACUUUUUAAUCCAGCCUUUAUAGUCGAUUUUUACAUAUUAUUUUUUAUGUUUUUCUACUAUUUCAUAAUGUUCAUUGCGUGUGUUGCUUUUUCUUGGCAGGGGUUGUCGUCGGUGGCAGAGGUUAGGGUACAACGCUGACAUGGGAGGAGCAGCGGCGCUAGGGGCUAGGGGGCUAGGGUUUUUUUUUUUGAAAAGAUGUUUUGGAUUAGGUUUUUUUUUAUUUGGGCGAUGUUGGGCCAUAUUGUAAAUGAACUAUUAUUUAUUUUUUAUUGGACUUUAAUAUUAUUCUUUGGUUUGGUUUGUUUGGGCCCAGGCUAAAUUGGCCUAUUACAGCUGCCCCUCUUUGCUUAUUUCGUGUAACGGGAAUGGAGCAAAAUUUUCCUGGUAUUAUCGAAUCUCGACUUCUUUGGUGCUUCUCUUCUUCAAGUAGUCUCAUUCUAACCCACUGCAACUUUAGGGAUAUGAAAAUUGUAAUUUUAAUCUACUUUGCUGCAACCUCGGAGAGAUGAGAUUUGUAGCUUCAAUUUGCUUCACUGUAACUUUAGGAAGAUAAGAUUUGCUAUCUUCAAUCUACUCCACUGCCACUUCAAGAAAAUAAGAUUUGUAGUUCUAAUUUGCUCCACUGCAACUUCAGGGAGAUAAGAUUUGUAGCUUUAAUCUACUCCACUGCAACUUCAGAGAGAUAAGAUUUAUGGUUUUAAUCUGCUCUACUACAACUUUAGAGAGAUAAGAUUUGCUAUCUUCAAUCUGCUCCACUGCAACUUCAAAGAGAUAAGAUUUGUGAGUUUAAUUUGCUUUACUGCAACUUUAGAGAGAUAAGAUUUGAUAUCUUUAAUCUGCUCAACUGCAACUUCAAGAAGAUAAGAUUUGCUAUAUUCAAUCUGCUCCACUGCAACUUCAGGAAGAUAAGAUUUACUAUCUUCAAUCUGCUCCACUGUGAUUUCAUGGAGAUAAGAUUUGCUAUCCUCAACCUGCUCUACUGUGACUUCAAGGAGAUAAGAUUUGUGAUUUUAAUCUGCUCCACUACAACUUCAGAGAGAUAUGAUUUGUGGCUUUAAUUUGCUCCACCGUAACUUUAGGGAGAUAAGAUUUUCCAUGAAAACUUCAAACUGUCCCACUGCAACUUCAGGGGUAUAGGAUUUGUGGUUCCACUAAUCUAUUACACCGUUCUCUAGGGAACAUGACCAGUAGAAACCAUUUCAUGGGCCUAUAUUUAUGCCAAGCGAUUAGGAUGCUAUGAUCAAAAUGAAUCAAAUGCUCCUAACUAGAUGUGUAUGAAUGAUAUUUGCAUGAAUGCAUAAUGUCAUUUUUUAAGAAUGAUCCCCUUUUAAUGCUUAGGUUGACAUUGCUAUUUUUCAUUAAGGUUUUAUUACUAGCACAUUACCUUGCUUCUUGUUUAACUGGUAUAUUUGACAGAAAAAUCAAAAAAAAAUCACAAUUUAAACUAUUUGUUUCCAAACAUUUCCAACUCUCAGAUUUGGCCAGUUCUGAUUAGUGGUCCAGUUUCAAGUCCUUGUAUUAUUUAGAAAACCUUUUAGAGCAAUAUACAAAAUUCCUUUUACUUGAAUAUUAUUAGUACAUUAAUCAUUAUUUCAAUGAAAAAUGCUUGAAAAAGAUCGUAAUAAUGGACAAGAUUGAAAUUUAUUCGGAGCAGAGCUCGAAAUGAAUAGAUUAAUCAAAGAUAGCAAAUGUUACUAAAAUACAAAAAGAGUAAGAUAAAAAUAGAUGCUGCACAUAUCGUAGUAUGAGCUUUUCUAUACUAACUUCACGAGGACCUUUUUUAAGCUUGAUAUGUGUUUAGGAUAUCCAGAGUACAUUAUUGAUGCCCCAAUAUGUAACGUUUUUCUUUCCAAGAAGACCUGACCAUCACAUGUUCAAUCUUCAAUCCAAAUUUGAGUUUCCCUUUUCUUGGGUUUUCAACUCAAAAACCCUUUUGGUAUCAAUGCACCCUUUGCGGGUUUUUGCCUUGGCUUCUCCAUCUCGGUCAAAAUCAAUGCUCCUCCAAAAAAAGGCCUCAUUUACCAUAUAAGGUCAUUCCCAGUUUGGCAUCCACUUUCCUAUGAAAUCCUUUUGUAUGGAAAGGAUCUAUUUCAAUACCAGGUACCCCUUAUAGAACUCUAUGGGGCGAACCUUUUUUCCAUAAGCUCGCAUCUUUUAUUUUUAGUACAUCUGACCAUGACGGAUAACUUUCAACCUUUUUUUCAAUCAAAUUCAGCUGAUCAUAUCGAGAUUGGAUCUAUUCUACUUCAUCUAACUUCAACUCUAACAAAACUUGGAGAGAAGGAAUCUCGACUUCAAUAGGCAAAACCACCCCUAUUCCAUAAACCAAUGAGAAAGGUGUUGCCCCAGUGGAGGUCUUGCCAAGUGUUCAAUAAGCAUAGAGGGCAAAUGGUAACUUCUCAGGCCAAUCUUUAUAAGUCUCAGUCAUUUUCGCUACGAUAUUCUUAAUGUUCUUGUUGGCUACCUUCACCGCACCAUUCAUUUUUGGGCGAUAUGGUGAUGAGUUGUGGUGUUUGAUCUUGAAUUAACUACAGACCUCUAUUAUUGUGCUGCUGUUCAAGUUCAAUGCAUUAUCGGAUAUAAUUCUUUCUGCCAUCUUAUACUAGCAUAUGAUCUUUUUCUUCAAGAAUUUGUUGAUUACCGACUUCGUGAAAUUGGCAUAAGAAGUGACUUCUACCCAGUUGGUGAAGUAAUCAAUGACCACAAUGAUGAAUCGAUGUCUGCUUAAAGAUUUUGGCGAGAUCGACCCAAUGACAUCCAUGCCCCACAUAGAGAAAGGCCAUGAAGAAGCCAUAACAUGAAGAGGUGGAUGAGGCAUAUGAAUUUUAUCUUCGUAAAUUUGACGCUAAUAACAUCUCUUGGCAUAACUGAUACAAUAUCAUUUUAUAGUGGACCAAUUAUACCCAAAUCUCAUUAUUUGCCUGGCUAUUGUAAAGCCAUUAGCAUGUGUUCCGCAGACACCCUCAUGGACUUCUUCUAAGAUUUUCUUAUACUCAACAGUGUCUACACAUCUUAGCCACACUUGAUCUUUUCUUCUUUUGUAUAGGAUCUCUCCAUCUAAGACAUAGUCAUUGGCCAGUCUUCUCAAUGUCCUUUUAUCAUUCUCGAUUGUUUGAUCGGGAUAUUCAUGGUUCGUCAUAUAUCGUAGUAUAUCGUGGUACCAAGGGUAAUCAUCCAUUUCUUCUUCGAUGAUGAUGUAACAAUGAGCCAGAGCCUCAUAAAUACUUAUCUAGAUAGGUUUUACAUCCUCUUGUUUGUUCACUUUGAUCAUAGAAGCUAAAGUAGCUAGGGCAUCAGCCAUCUGAUUUUCAUAUCGCGGGAGGUAGUAGAAAGUGAUGUCAUCAAACUCCUCAGUUAACUCAAGAACCAACCUGCGAUAACUAAUCAAUUUAGGGCCUCUCGUUUCCUAUUCACCUUUGAGUUAAUAGAUCAUGAGUGCAGAAUUCUCAUAUACUCUAGUACUUUGAUAUUACGUUUUGUGGCUGCAUGGAUACCCAUGAUGCAUACUUCGUAUUCUGCCAUAUUUUUUGUACAAUCAAUAUCCAAUUAACUAGUAAAUGAAUAAUGAUCUCCGUUUGGGGAUACCAAGACUACCCCGAUUUUGUUACCUAUAAUGUUUGAAGUUCCGUCAAAAUUUAGCUUCCAAGGAUGUAUGUAUUGAGAAUCUUCUUCAGUGGUUGCAACAUACAUAAGAUUUUCAUUUGGGAAAUCAAAGUUCAAAGGCUCAUAAUCUUCUAUGGCUCUACUGGCUAGAAAAUCUACUAUUACACUCCUUUUUAUUGCCUUCUAGUUCAUAUAAAUUAUAUCAAAUUCAGAAAGUAGAAUCUGUCAUUAGGCCGUUCUGCCAUUUAAAGCAGUUGACUCCAUCAUGUACUUUAGAGGGUUUAUUUUUUAGAUGAGCCAAGUUGUGUGGUACAACAUGUACUGUCUCAGUCUUCGGGUUAUCCAGAUUAAGGUGCAACAAAACUUUUCAAUUUGUGAGUAUCGUGUCUCACAUUUAGUGAACUUUUUACUAAGGUGGUAUAUUGCUUUUUCUUUCCUUCCUGACUCAUCGUGUUGGCCAAUCACACAUUUAAUAAAAUUCUCAAAUACGACCAAAUACAGUAUCAGUGGCUUAUUUGGACUAGGUGGCAUCAGUACUAGAGCAUUGGACAAGUAAUGUUUGACCUUGUUGAAAGUCUUUUGGCAUUCUUCAUCCCACACACUUGGAUUAAGUUUCUUAAGGAGACAAAAUAUGGUGUCACGUUUCUCAGUUAAUUGUUAAAUGAACCUGGCGAUGUAAUUUAAUCUCCCUAAGAAACCCCGAACUUCUUUUUGAGUGAACGACAGAGGCAACUCCUAUAUAGCUUUGACUUUGUCUGGGUCGAUUUCAAUUGCCUUUUCGCUGACUAUAAAACCUAGCAAUUUUCCUGACCUAGCCCCGAAGGUUCAUUUUGUUGGAUUGAGCUUUAGCUGAAAUUUUCUCAACCUCAAGAAUAAUUUCCUCAAGACUUGUACAUGCUCUUUUUCUAUUUGGGAUUUUACAAUCAUAUUGUCGACGUAAACAUUGAUUUCUUUCUACAUCAUAUCAUGAAACAGGGUUACCAUGGCUCUUUAAUACGUCACUCCUGCACGUUUUUUUCUAAAUGGCAUCACUUUAUAGCAAAAGGUUCCCUACAUAGUUCUGAAUUUGGUAUUUUCCAUGUCUUUAGGGUGUAUCUUUAUCUGGUUGUAACCGGAGAAGUCAUUCAUAAAGGAGAACAGUGAAUAACCUGUCGUGUUGUCCACUAAGGUGUCAAUAUAAGGCAAUGAAAAAUUAUCUUUCGGGUUAGCCUUGUUUAAAUCCUUGUAGUCUACACAUAUUCGUACUUUCCCAUCUUUCUUAGGGAUGGAGACUAUAUUGGCUACCCACUCGAAGUAUUUAAUCACUUGUAGGAAAACAACGUCAAAUUACUUCUUGACCUAUUCUUUUAUUUUUAACAAGAUGUCGAGCCUCAUCCUUCAAAGUUUUUAUAGAAUCGACUUGCAUUCUUCUUUUAAAGGAAACCUAUAAACCAUGAUAUCAGUACUUAGACCAUACUGUUGGAACGCCGGCACCCCCAUGGCGCAGUAAAAAUUAAUACUUCCGACAAUCCAACCCAUGGAUCCAUAUGCGAGGAACGAAUCGGGGUGAAAUAAAGGUUUCGUAAUUACCAAAACUUUAAACUGAGUAGGCAGUGACGCUAUUAGAAACAAGUAUUCUGAUCUACUAUUGAACCAAGCCGCAACCUUUCAGAUUUUGACCUCUACGUAAUCCACCCGGUUUGACAACGAACGGAAGAAAUCCCCAAAACUAUUUUGGAGAAGUCUUUGCUUGACGACUGCUAGACCUCACAAGCCAAAAAAAAACAAGAUUUUAUUUUCGGAGUUUUUUACACACAAACCCUCUUAUAAUUGGUAUAUAUAUAAUAAAUAAAUAUAAUAAUGUUUUAACUAAAAAUUAUAAUUAUGUUAAUUAUAAUAAGGAUUUCGAUAAACUAUAUUUAUUUAAAUUCAUAUACGAAGCAAAUUCAUAUAUUAAUAGAACUAUUUUCUCAUUAUGUGUACAACAUCCUUGCACACAUCAUAUGCUCGAUAUUUGAUUGCCCAAUUAAAUUAAUUCUAUAAUUAAUUUAAUUCAUGUGACAACCAAAACCAAUACCAACUAUGUUUUAUUCCGUCCAUUUCAACCAUAGGGUGUGACCCUGUAGGUUCUUGUAACGUUAGCAGUAAUACCAGAACGAUUCUAAUGUUACAAACAAUGAGUUGCAUCUAGCAAUGCAUCAUUGCUACCGAAGUUACAAGAAAAUAUGAUUCGACAUAACCUUUUUGUGAUUAACCUUUCAUGCAUUAAUCCUUAAGUCCUUUAUCUCUGGAAUGGACACAAGUCAUGGAAUAGUCACACUUGCAUAGUCCAUCCCUUGUUCCUCGAUAUUUUGAGUAGACUAUGAUAUACAAAUAAGUAUGACAUCUCAUAUCAACUUAUUUGAGCAUGGCCAUGCAUUUCUAGUCUCACUCAAUUAAGUGUCCUAAGAUAUUACUCCCAUUAUAUAGGAGGGACUUAUCCUAUAUGGAUCAACUAUAUCCCUCUACAUAGAUUGUGGUAUAUCCAACAUCAGCCUUUAUAGGACAACCAAUUACGGUGUACGUUUGACUAUAUCAAAAUAUACAACUCACGAUGUUAGGAUAAUGAUGAUCUCAAGUCUGAGGAUCAUAUACAUAUUAAUCACUAUGACUAAUGUUGUGACAAUUACAUAAUAAUCCAAGAAACAUACUCAUAGCGGGUCAGUCCAAUAUGUUGUUCUCUAACACACAUAUUCUUGCAUUGAUUUUGACACUCCAUAUCAAUGACAACUCUUUAUCAUCAAUCCACUACAUGUUAGUCUUAAUGCAUUAUUGUUGUCCUAGUUGACAAUAAUACUUGACUAAGGACCUUUUAAGAAUAAUCAAAUUAUUCUCAGGAUAUUAUUAUAAAACAAUUUAUUUAUACACAUAGAAAAGAAACUAAAAUAAUAAUGACAACGCCUUACAUUAAUAAACAUGAUAAAUCAAGUAUGUUAUUACAACCAUCUCAUGAUUAAUCUUUGGGCAUACUCUUACACAUACAUGUCUUGAUACCAUGCGAAGACAUCUUUGAAUUCUUAGAGUAACUCAAUGAGGUCUCACUUUGUCUCUACGGUGAUGCAAGCUCCGAUCUUCACUUCUUUCAUUUCUUGUCCAUCUCCUAAGUUCACAAUUUUUACUGACUUUUUCUUAGGUAGAAUCUGUUUCUCCUCUUGUUCUACCAUCCUUAACAAAUCAGGGGAUAGGUUACAAUCUCGAUCAUCUUCAAAGUCCUAAGUUUCCUCUAAACACAUAUCUUACUCAAAAGGAGAUUCUGAGUCAGUAGCAGUGUCGCUCAUAUCAUUGAUAUCCAGAAACCUGUUCUAGGAAUGAAGGAAGACCUAAAGAACAAAUGAAUCUAAGAAUAAUUAUUUGCGUGGUAUGAGUAUGAAUGAAAUGGAAAGAAUAAAAGAAUGUUUGCCAAAAUGAGACACAAAUAUGCAUUUUAUUGAAAUAAAAAUAAUGGAAAUAUGCCUUUUUCACAAAAGGUCUUAUUGCUCCCUGGCUUAGUGCAAUAAAUGUAUUUUGAACAUUACUCUGAAUUAGUUCUAAAAUUUAUAGAGAUCUUGGCAUGAAUAAUUUUCUAUUGAUUUAUAAAAAUAUAAAAGACAAAAACAUACUCAAAUAAUCAUAUAACUUACUUUGAAAAUAAAAUGGAUUUUUGUUGAUUUCCCAAGUGAGUUGGAACCCAAUUAAUGAGUGACACCAACUCAAUAAAAAGCUUAAUAAAUAAUGUAGACAAAUUAUAUCAUUAGUCUCUCAACUAUGAGUAAACUUUUGUUUUGAUUGCUUAACUAAAAAAUAUUACAAUUUAAUUAUAGACAUUUUCAUUUUUUAUUUUGGCUUUCUUCUACUUUUCUUGAGCUGAAAGACUAAUGGUGACACUUUUUUAAUUAGUAUAAUAAUAAUUUUAAGCUGAAUUUUAACCCUCAACUUUUAUACUUUCUAAGCACAAUUGAUUUGCUUGAAACUGGCAUGAUAGUUUAUUUAUUACAUAAUUUUCCCAUGGCCAUUGCACAAAAGUUAUCCCAAAGAAAGUCUUUAUAUUAAAGGAGGCUCAUUUGAUCUAUAAGAAUUGGCUCAAUUUGAAGAACAAGUGACAAAGCCUACAAAAUAUUUUGAUUUUAAUUUAUAAUUUAAUAUUCCAUUUUUUCAAUUAAGUAGUUAUAUUUGAUUUCCAUUACACAUCAACAUUUGAAAAUUAAAAAAUAUAUAAAAUUUUCAGAAAACAGUAUAGAGCAAACUACACUCAACUCAACUAAUUAUGGGUGAUUGUGUUUGGUCACCCAAUUAUGAAUUUGUUUAAUUUUUGAUCAUCCAAUUAUAUAUAUUUUUUAAAUUUGCUCACUCAAUUAAUUGAGAUUGUAUUUUUUUGUCCAUUUCCAUUAAUUGCACUAAUAGGAGGGUGUGAAAAAUAAAUAUAAUAAUAAAUUUAGCCCUCAACCUUUUACAUAUUAUAUCGAUUUAGUCACAAUUUAAAAAAAAAACCUUCAAAAUUUACAAAUAGUCUUAAUUUGAUUCUAUAUUUUUUAAAAAAAUCAAGGGAAUAUAUAGAAAUACAUAAAUAUUUAAAAAAAUUGUAUAAUAAUAUUGAUAUUAAAUAAAAAUAACUAUAUUAAUAUUAAAGAAAAAUACAUUAAUAUUUUCAACUUAUUUAAUAUAGAAUUUUUUAUUUUAAAAAACAAUUUUUAUAAAGAAUUAGGGUUAAAUUGACAGAAAAUUUAAAAGUUGAGGACUGAAAUUGUUAUUAUACUAACUACAAAAGUGUCACUUUUAGCCAUUGAAUGGUUGGGUGAAAAAAAAACAAUUUGCAAAUGUCAGUGGCCAAAUUGUAACUUUUUUAAUUAAAUGAGACAUAAUUGAGGGACUAAUAGUGUAAUUUGUCCUUUGUUUUUAAAGAUAUGAAUUAAUUCACAUUUUUUAGGUUAAUAUGUUAUUAAAAGAUUAAAAUCCAAAUGUCAUUUUUCUUCUUUUCUUUCUCGCGACUGGUUCCGCUUUUAUUGUCACGCAUCUUUGGUUUUUUUCCUUUUUGCUUUUCUAGUGCUUUUCUUUUUAUCGGCGACCGCCAUAGCCGCCACCACCAUCACCACUUAUUCCUCUCUUUUUUGGUGAAAUCUUCUUCUUUUUCCUUCAAAAGCCAAUAGUAGUGUCAGAAGGAUCGGACACAUAUCACAUGUCCUUACCCGCGUUGCGUCGGAAUUUUUUUCAUAUGUUUGAAAGAUCAGCACAAGUAUUUAUGUUUAAUACACAUCAUAAAACCUUGAGUUGUUUCUGCAAGAUCUAGAGAACAAAAUUGGAGAAACUUGAAGGUAGCUUAGAAGAACCUAAAAGCAAUAAACGAAAGCUAGAUGAAAGGUUGAAAUUAGCAUUAACCAAGCCUUCUUUUCUUCUAACUCUGGGGAGAGUCCAUAUUCGAUGGGAAAAUUGGCAAAAAGUUUAGUGGAGUAUUAAGCUUGUUGCUUAACGGUACUUCCAACAUUGGGUUGAGGGAGACCAAUUGUUUUGCAAACGCAACAGCUAUGGAUGGGAUAGAAAGCUCAUGUAUGCUUAAAGGUAGGUGAUUGUAAUAGAUUAACCAUUGGAAUUCAUCUAAUAAGAUAGAAAUGGCAUUCAGUUGAAGUUCACAAUGAAGAAUGGUUAUGUCAGUGUAUAUGGCUGCCACUUUUCUUUUCUACUACUUUGAAUAAAGCUCAUAUUUAUUUCUAGACAAGCAUAUCUUAUACAUAUGCGGAGGAUAAGUUAUUAAACUAAAAACUAUUCUUUUUUUAAACUCAGAUUAAUCAAUAGAAUUCGCAUAAGUUCAACAUAUGCUUCACUUUGUUUUUUUCCUUAUAACUCACUAAAAUUUGUCUUCUCUCUCAAGGAAAAGAAAAAGUAGGAUGUAUAUACUAACGAAUAAAUGACAUUCAAUUUAAACACUCGCAACGAUGAAUUUUGAAAUGAACUCCUUAAAUAGAAAUGAAUUCAUUUAUUGCUCCAUUCAUUCAUUUUCUGUUGGUUACAGACCUGAUUAAGUUAUGAACAAGUAAAAAUAUCGAAAGAAAUUGGGAAACUGGACACAUAAAUUUAACAUGGAAAAACUCUUCCAAAGAGGAUAAAAAAUCACGGACAAAGAUAAUUUUACUAUAAUGGCAAAAGAAUGAAAGUAUAAAAAUGGAGAUAAAAACUAAACCCCGAAACUCGAAAACAAAGAACCUUCAAAACGUAAAUACAAAAUUCUCCAAAAAUUUUAUGAGAUAUAAUCUUUUUGGGUGUAUUUUCUAAGUUUGUAAAAGAACUUAUUUAUAAGACAAAUUCGUAGGUCAAAUAAUAAUAAAAUAAUCUAGACUAAUCAGAGUUCGAAUGAAACGAAUAAAUAGAGUUUAAUUAUCUUUCAAAUUUGAUUGAAAUAUGAGGCAUACUCAACAAGUUUCCACCUUAACUCGUAUUUCCACGUCAUUUUUUCCAAAACCUACCACGGGCCUAUCUUGAACUAUGCAGGGAAUUAACUGAGUCGAAUCUGUGCUUAGAAGCUGGAAGACUUCUAGCCUUUGAUGUAACACCCCAAACCCGUCCUAGACGUUAUGGCCGAAUCCGGAGAUGUUACAAAAAAGGAUUUUGAAAAUAGUGAUAUUUCGACCAUCCAUGUUUAUUGUGGUUGUGUUAAUACUAUAUUGUAUUUAGCUAUUUUAGUUGUUUAGUAAGGAUUGUAAUAAAUCUUCAUUACGUUAGCAAUCUCGAAAUCUCUAUGCAAUUAAGAGACUUGUAUAGGUUGAUGCACAAAUUAUUAAGAGCAUUUAUAUGUUCAAGUGAGGAACGUUAUUUUGCAAGAGCGCAUUUGUGAUUGUAAGAUUUUGUAUUGUGGUUUUGCAAACUAAGUUCUCUAAGGGAGAAUUUAGUGGUGAGUGAUCUAGUCUUUGAAGGUACAAGAGUGAGGAAUCGUCAUUGGGGUGUGAUACAUUUAGGUUCAUUGGUUGUAAUUGUUUAAAUAUAGUGAUUCUUCUUACUAAGCAAGGCUUAACAAACGUAGGAAACUGAACUGCGUAAACAAACUUUGAUGCUUCCUAUUUUGUUUUUGCUUAUCACAGUGCUUGUAGAAGUACACACUUUUGUAGUAACUUUCAAUACGGAGCCAAUUGUUUUGUAGACACAAUGGCUAUGACUGGAUGGAAAGUUUAUGGUUAAACUAUUCUCUUUAAAUUCACAUUAGUAUAAAAUAAAAUUUAAAUUAAUUUAAAAUUUUAAAAUAAUUUUAUUUUAAUUUUUAAAUCAAGCAAUUUGAUAGGUUAAAAUUAACUAUAAAAUAAUUUAGGAAUUUAUUAACCACAAAAAUAAUUUAAAAACUUAUGUAAACAAAUGAAGAGUUCUUUUAAUAAAGGUAAUAUUUAUUUCUAGACAAGUGGCUAAGGGUAUGACAUUAGGCUAAAACGAAUAAUUGCAAGUUUUGUCAAAAAUCAUAGUUCUAUUUUUCAAUUUUUUUCUAAUAGUCGGUCCAUUCUUUUUUAAUCUUUGAUUAAUGAGCAGAAUUCACAUACUUUGUUUUUGCUUAUAGCUCAAUAAAUCUGUCUUCAAUUUAACGAAUAAAUGAUACAUAAUAACGAAUAAAUGGCAUUCAAUUUAAACAUUAACAGUGAUUAAUCUUCAAUUGGCCAUUCUAUAUCACUACCAAUUGACCAUGCAGUUUCUUGAGCUGUAGCAGACUCUUCCACUACGAUUUCAUCAACUGAUUGGCUUGCCUGCAAAGCAAAUUAAACCUUCACUUAUUACUGUUUGCUUUUGAUGAUUGAUGAUGAAGAAAGUAAAGCCAGUUUUCCAAAAUUGAACAAAGGAUGUCAUAUUAAGAACAAGAACUGUGAAUUGAAAAUAAUAAUGCAACAAUGAUAUCUAGAAAGAAAUAUUGACAGCCAACGGAAACCGAUUACAGUUGAUGCAAUUUCAUUUAAAGGAUUAGAAAAAAAGAAUUUCUCUCAGGCUACCAAAAUAAAAAUAUUGCAUUAGUGCAUAGAAAUUAAAGCUUAGUAAAAAUAUAGAGUUUGGGAGAAUAAUGUACCUGUGUUUUGGCAUGCACUGAUUGCUUUGAAUCAACACUAAAUCUUGUGGUUACAUUGGGACAACCUUUUACUUUUAAACACCUCAAAGAUUGGAAAACAAAAUGAUAACCCACAGGGCUGAAGCGCACGAGGUUUGGUAGCUCCUCAAGCACUAAGUAACGGAGCUGAGGUAGGCGUAUCACUUUCUCUUCUUCCUUACUCACAUUUGACUCAUCUCCUUCAAACACCUGCUCUAAUUUGGAGACCCUUUUAAGGUGUAAUCGAUCUAGGUUUGGAAGGCCGCCAUGAGCAAGAGUAAUGGGGAAGAGACAUUUCAAGUUUUCACAGUUAAAGAUUUUAUCCAGAAUAUUCAAAUAACUCUUCAAAAUUGGAAAUUGUCAAAUAUUUAUUACAUGUUGAUGUUCCUCCUCUCCUUUCAGGGACUGCCACAUUGCUUAUUUGCUUCUUUUCUGUCAUCUCCGAGAAGUACAAUUCCUAUAAACAUAUCACCAAUUUAAGAAUAAGCAGAAGAUUUCUUUUUCAAUCUUUUAUAGUCAAAGAAUUUAAAUUUUUAAAAAGUUUACCGUUCAACUCAAAUAAUCAUAAAUUGCAAAAAAAAAAUGUCCAAAAAUAUGGUGCAAAAACACAACAUAAAUAAUAUUACGUAGUACUAGAUAGUGUUUGCAAUAUACAUAUAAGAAACAUAAAUAAUAUAUAAUUCUCAUAUAGAUUAUAAAAGUAUUCAGAUGAAAUGUUAUUUAUGUUACUAAUUGGUAUUGUAAUUAACUAAACUACUUAAAAGGUUUAUUUAGAUUAGUUUUUAGACAAAAAUUCUAAAUGAAAACUUUUUUUUUAAAGAGUUAUACAAGCAUUUAUUUUAUAAAAAAAAAAUCAAAAGGUGAAUAUUUUAAUAAAUAAUAUAUAUAAGAAGGUCUUACUUGCAUAUUAGUUGGAACGAUAAAAGGUGUCAAUUAAGGACAAUCUCUCACUAUUAGCACGUGUAAAGAUGACGAUGUCAGCACGAUGUCGUUUCUAUCCCUUCCUUUCAAUUGAGGCAAAUUAAUCAAUUGAACUUUAUUCAAUCAAGCAAGACCUUGUGACAUUGAGAUUAACACUUCUGGUCCUUGGAUUAUUUCUUGUAAUUGGGAACAGCUCUCUAUCCUCAGAGUUUGCAAUUGCCCAAGACUUUUAGCAACACACAUUGGGAAGAGAAAUUUCAACUUAUUGCAUUCUGUGACUUGUACUUCCCUUAGGCAUUUGAAGCUUAUGGUUGACAGUUGUGAGUGUUGGAUUAUUUAAUCCAUUCCAAAGCACCUCUUUAUCUUAAGAGUUUGCAAAUUGGGCGCAUUUAGUUUUUUAGAGAUACCUUGAGCAACAAUAAUUGGAAAGUGAGAUUUCAGGCUUUCACAUUCCAAGAUAUCAAUUCGAAUCAGAUUUGGAAAGCAAAUAGGUAGGGGAUGAUGUUGUGAUGACGUUUGAUCUUGCUCCGAUUCCUCGUAUUUACAUGAAUGCAAAUUGCUCAAUUGUUCAUUUGUCAUCUUCCCAAUCACCAAUUCCUAUAAACAUAUCAUCAAUUUUCAAUUUCAAAAUGUUCAAAGUUGUCAACAACUAACUUAACAUUUCAUCAAUUAAUUUCCUUACAAAAAAAUUAUUUUACCUUAAAUCAAUAUUAUACUCCAAAAAUAGGUACAAAAACAGUCAUAAAUAAUAUCACAUAAUCUAUACAUAUAAAUUAUUGGACAGGUGUAACAAUGUAAUUGAGAAUUACUUAAACUCAUUUUCAUAUAUUAAUACAAAAAAAAAACCACUUGUGUAAAAGGCUAUAUUUAAAAAAAUAUAUAUAUAUUUUUUCUAGUUUAUUUUUUAAUACAAAUUCUAAAAUCAUCUAUAAUUCCUUCCCACAUUUAAAUAGAAAGAUACAAACACUUGAGUGUACUCGAACCUAUAUCCUCCUAUUCAGACAAUAAUAUUGAUACCAACUAAACUAAAACUUAUAUAUAAUUUUAUAUAGCUUAUUUUUGUUUACCCACAUAAUAGGUAUAAUAUAAUUUAGUAUUAGAUAAAUAGUUUGCAACAUAACAAAAUAUAAAGUUUGGAUAAUUUUUUUUUUUUUGAAAAUUUCAAAAUCCAAAUAGUCUUUUAGUUCUUACUUGCUUCAAGAAAAACAUAAAGAACUUCAAUUAGGUUGGGUUUUUUUUUUCCUUUUUUUGAGCAAAAGUAAGUAAAACUUAAUACAAAAAGAAAGGAACUUGAAGAAAGGGAAAAAAAAACAAAAUAGAAAUCAAGGUUGAACUAAAAUAAGGAGAAACUUUCAGAAAGAAAUUGAAGUUGAUCUGCCUUGGUUUUCUUGGUUUAGUAGCCGAAGGAUUUGGGUUUUCCUUUGCAACAAGUUGGUGCUAAUUGGUUUGCCAAUGACCCAUACAUUUGUUUGGGAAUUAACAGCCACAUGACAUGAAAUAUCUACUUUUAAAAUAUCAACUUAGAAAAAAGUGAAAGUCUUUGUGUUAAUUAUUUAUAUGAUUUUCACAACAUUUAAAAUAUCUACUUUUCUUCAGUUUCUUUUUCUUAAUUUUCAUUUGUUAUUAGAAAUGAAAAUGUUUUUUCUUUAUUCAUUUUUAUACAUUUAAGGUGUAUUUUCUUUUAUUUAUUUGUUUCCAAAUUUUAGAGACAAACGUAAGUAUACUUGUUAAAUUUUAUUUAUUUUUAUUAUAUAUAAAGCUCUUUUCCUCAAAAUUAACUAUAAAUAACAAUAGAGUUUUUGAAAUUUCAAACUCAUACGAGAGAUUUUCAAAAAUUCCAAUGUUAAAAUUAUGGAUUUGGAUUAAAUUAUCCAAAAAUGCCGAAAAAUAAAAUUUACCAGAAUAGGUAAUCUUUUGUAAAAAUUAUAGGAGUAGGCCAAUUUUACAAAAACACUCCUAGUUAUAAGCGUUAUAGCUAAUUUGCAGAAAAACCCUUCCAGUUGGAAGCGUUUUUAAUGUGUUGCCAAAAAAAAAAACGCUUCCAGCUGAAAGCGCUUUCUACCAAAUCAACUGAAAACGCUUCUACCUAAAAGCGUUUUUCCCCAACGAUAACUCCAAUGACUACUUUCUCCAAUGACUAUUUAAUUAGCCAUUGGACUUGGACCCCCACCCACCCUUUAUGGUUCCAUUUUAUUUCCUAUAUAACCCUUUCCCAUUUCAUUUUUCUUCUAAUUCAAUCUCAAAUCUCUCUCAAAUUUCUCUAAAUUCCCUCUUAAAUUCCCGCUCAAAAUUUAUUUCUCUCUCAACUUUAUUUUUUAUUAAAAUUAUCUCAACAUUUUUAUAAAUUAUUUUUUAUUACAAAUUAUUCGGCAUUUUUCAAAAUUAGCAAUGACAAAAUCUCUAAUUCGUUUUGAUGACAACUGCAUUUCCGUUGACCAAUUGCAAAUGGUAAGAAUAUUUUUUAUCAUAUUUCAAUGUUGUUUCUUUUUACUAUUUUCUUGUUAUAUUUGAAUUUAAUAUUUUGUAUAUUUUUUUACCUAAAUAGGAAGAAUAUCAAAUUUUGGAGACGUAUAUUCAUAAUCUAUCCACUCCUCCAUCACCCUUGAUCGAACCCACUUGAGAUCUUGAUUUUCGUAUGUGACCCUUGUAGGUAAGGGGUGUAAGUUAGACUCGACACUCGUAAACGCGUUAGUGGAAAAGUGGAAACCCGAGACGUACACAUUUCAUCUUCCAUGAGGCGUGUGUACUAUCACUUUGGAGGACAUGCAACUAUAGCUUAGGUUACCGGUGGAUGGACUGGAAGUGACUGGGUCAGUUCAAGCAGCCGAUUGGAAAGACGUAUGCAAGGAACUUUUAAUGAGGGUUCUAGAGAUGGUUUUUGGAGCCCAGAUAGAUAUGAGUUGGUUAAGAAGAAAUUUUGGUGGGCUUGAUGAGGAUUCAACUGAAGUCUAAAAUAAUAACACGCUUGGGUUGUAACACCCCAAAACCCGGCCUAGAAGUUAUGACUAGAUACUCAGGGAUUAAAUCAACUCGUUCAAAGCUUCGAUUCAAAUCAAACUCAAUGUAUGCUUCGAAAACAUAAAAUUUUGGCAAAACACCCAUAGAUGGUUAGAAAAGCCGAGUUCGAAAACACUUAUUUAAAACCCGUAAUUCAUAUUCAAAAUCACGCGUUUUGAAAGUACUAACGUGAGCAGAUCAUUUCCAAUAUUAAAAAAAUCAUUCGUUACAAACCAUAUAUUUUAUUUUCAAAAAAUACUUAAAUGAUUACUUAACCUUGUAGCGAAAAAUUUUCGAAGUUUGUUUUAGUUUGAAAACUGAAAUCUAACUUGUUAGCUCGUGUGAUUUGCAGUUUAAUGCUCAAAAAUAUUAAUGUCGACGAAUAAAACAAAAACCAAAACUAGGACAAAAAACAUAUUACAGUCCAAAAAUAAUUAAAUCAUAAACCCACAAAUAUUUUAUUUGGUAACCAAUCCGAGCUCUCGCACAUCGUUCGGUCCUAAGUCAGAAGUUAACCUAAAACGAAUUAAACAAACAAAAGAGAUAGGAGCCCAGUGUGUGUCUCAACCCACUAGCAUAAUUUUUAUUUAACAAGCACAUGCGUAAAUGUGAUCACAAAAUUUUACUUUAAUGUAUCAAUAACAUAUCAGAAUGUUGUAUUACCAUAAACAUAUAUAUUUCAGAUCAUAAUAUCAUAAAACCGGAACAUAUUUUGGUUUGGAAUAUCAUAAUUUCAUAUACAAAUAUAUCAUAACAGAAUGUCAUGUUUUCAAAAGUGCAUAUGUCAUACCAGACCAGAACAAAUGCAGAGACAAAUCCUACCUUCAUCUGCUACACACCAACUCCGUCCAACGAAUCACACCAUUUAGGACUUCAAGAGUCCAUCCAUCCAAAUCACACCGGAUCGUGGUGGUAUGCCACUCAUAAUAGUGCAGCUCAGUUCCCAAACAUAUAUCACGGUUUAACCGCCGAAAAUGCAAUAAUGCUACUAGAAAACACUUCUUUCAACAAAUCAGAACCACCCAAUACAUAUGCUAAAUCACGUUGACAUACAUAUCACAUAGUUUGUAUGCACGCAUACAUAAACAAAUAUUAUACGAAACGUAACUUACAUAUAAUUCAUAUAGAUCAUAGCAUAUCAUAUUCAUGGUCGAAUUGGAUAGCUUAUCAGAACAGAUAAAAAAAUAUGUAUAACACACAUGGUUUACAAAAUAGUCAUGCUUAAUCACAUACCUACUUAUAGCAGAUAAUAUCGCAUUAUUAUAUUUAUCAAAAUUUAUUUAACAUACUUCCUACACUUACCCAUGUUUGUUUUACUAAAAAUUAUGCUUUCUAGGCUUACAUAAUGCCCCCAGAUCCAAAUUCUGAGUCCUUUAGUCGACCCCUAAUUGGCCUAAAAGACCCACUUAGCCCAAAAAGCUAGCCCGUAUGGUCCACAUGGUUUAUCCACAUGAUUUGUAUGAUAUCACACGGCAGUGUGAGAACACAACCUGCAUGACAAGCCAUAUGAAUUGUAAAAACACACAUGGUUGUGUGCCCCACACGGGCUACAAAAUCACUCACGGUUGUAUAUCUCUCACGACCUACCACACGGUUAUGUGUCACUAGGCAGUUUCAGAAAACAACUUUGUUUUGCAUAUUUUUUGAAUUUUUGAUGAGUUUUUCGAGUUAGAUCACACGCCUGAUUGCUGAUUUUGAUGUAGAUUCAUGAAAGAACACACCAGAACCUAAAAUCAAUAUUCCAAAUGUAUCAAAUUAGCAACAAAAUGCAACACUAAAUCAAGAUUGACUCACUAACAUAACAUUAAAGCACCUAGCACAAAGAAAACAACAACAACAAUAUCUAAGUCGUCGAAGGAGUGCCCAACACCUCUCGUUCUUCUUCUAAAAAUGCUUCGAACUCAUUAAGUACACAAAAUACACAUUAAUACCACACUAUUAAAGCUUUAAAACCCUAAAUGCCCAAUAAAGUAAUUUUAAAACAUGGCUGGAAAAAUGGAGGAUGAAGCAACCUUACCCUUAAUGACUAAAACUAAUAGCACAAAGGACGAAUGAUACACAAAUUAACAAAAGAAUAAAAAAAGAAGAGAGAAAAAAAGCAUGAAAAACUGAAAAACCAACCAUAAAGAAAUAAACUAAAGAGAAAGUGAAGAGGGAGGGAGAGAGUAAGGGGAUGGUAUCUUUAUGGAAGAAAGUUCUGCAGUUUGGAUAUAAGGGCAAGUUAACAAUGAAGAAUGCUUAAGAAAUGAGAUUCAAUUGAAGUUAACAAUGAAGAAUGCUUAAGAAAUGAGAUUCAAUUGAAGUUAACAAUGAAGAAUGCUUUUAAUGUGCCCAACAUUAGACCAAGACAAAUAAUUGUAAGUUUUGUCAAAAAUCUUAAUUUUCUUUUUUAAUCUUUCAUUAAUGAGCAGAAUUCUCAUACUUUGUUUUUUCUUAUAGCUCAAUAAAUCUUUCUUCACUCACAAGAAAAACAAAAAGUAAGUGGUACAUAAUAACAAAUAAAUGGCAUGUAGUUUUCUAAAUUAACUUCUUAAAUAGAAAUAACUUCUUUUACUGCUCUAUUCAUUUUAAAAUUCCUCUUUGGCCCACCAUUCUAUAUCACUACCAAUUGGCCAUGCAGUUUGUUGAGCUGUAGCGGAUUCUUCCACUAUAACCGAUUUCGUUGCUCAUUAUCUGACGUGCCAGGAAGUUAAGAUUCCCUUAUAAAAAUGGGAGUGUGUAAUGAUGGGCUUCAUUAGUGGGUUGCCUUCAACACUUACUAAGAAGGAUUCUGUAUAGGUCAUCGUGGAUCGAUUGAUCAAGUCUGCCCAUUUUAUUCCAGUUUGGACAGAUUAUUCUUUGCAGAAGUUGGCCAAGCUCUAUAUUUCUAAGAUUGUGAGACUUCAUGGGGUUCUAGUUUCGAUAAUUUUAGAUAGAGAUUCUUGAUUCACGUCUCGAUUUUAAAAAACUUCAUGAGACUCUGGUUUCGAGAUUGAACUUUAGUACUGCAUUUCAUCCUUAGGCCGAUGGUCAAUCUGGGUGGGUAAUUCAGAUACUGGAGGAUAUACUUUGGAGUUGUGUAAUUGAUUUUCGAGGUAGUUAAGAGGAUUUCCUGCCUUUGGUUGAGUUCGCCUACAACAAUAGUUUUCAGUCUAGCAUCCAGAUGGCAUCUUACGAAGCUGUGUAUGGUCGUAAGUGUCGUACUCCACUAUGUUGGACUGAGCUGGGGGAGCGACGUGUUUUGGGUCCUAAGUUGGUUUUUGAAACUGAGGGCAAUGUCAGAUUAAUUCGGGAUCAUCUUAAGACAGCUUUUGAUAGAUAGAAGUCAUAUGCAGAUCUGAAAAGGAAGGAUAUCUAUUACUCUAGGGGUGACUUCAUUUUUCAUAAGGUAUCUUUGUGGAAGAAAGUUCUAGGUUUAGAAGUAAGGGCAAGUUGAGCCCUAAGUUCAUUGGGCUGUAUCGGAUUCUGAAGCUUGUGAGACUGGUCACUUAUCAGUUAGAGUUACCUCUGAAGUUAGACCGUAUCCUUAACGUAUUUCAUGUCUCUAUGUUGAGGAGGUAUCGGUCUAACCCAUAUCAUGUUGUUUCUGUUGAGGAGAUUAAGGUUAGACCGGGUUUGACAUUUAAGGAUGAGCUAGUUUAAAUUUUAGAUCGACAUGUAAAGGCUUUGAGGAGGAAGUCUAUUCCGUUAGUUAAGGUUUUAUGGUGAAAUCAUGGCAUUGAGGAAGCCACGUGGGAACUUGAGGACUCGAUGCGUCAGUAGUAUCCUCAUCUGUUCGGAUCAGAUAAAUUUCGAGGCUGAAAUUUCUUUUAGGGGGUAGAGUUGUAAUGCCCUGACUAAUUUUACUUUGUUUUUGAGAAUUUUAUCAUAAAUGUGUAUCUACUUUAGUGGCUAACUGUUCUGGGUGUGUGUUUGAGGUCUUGGGUUUAAGCCCUACUGUUGGGAAAAUAAGUUAUUUUUUAUCCUAGCCUAUUCCUUGACGAUUGGGUUUAUAUCUUAUCUUCAGUAAACUUAUAUCAGAAUGAGCUUGCUGGUUCGAGUGGUAAGGUGUUAGCUUGUCUUGAGGUCUUGUGUUUGAGUCCUUGUGUGAAUUGGAAUGAUAAUUUUUGCUUCGGUUGUCAGAUAGAGAUUCGGUGAAACUAAAACUUUAAGGUAGUUGGAUGUGGUUAGUUGGUAGGAUUCUAAGAGAUAAGGUAGGUAGUGGGGGGAGUUAGGAUUUUCUGUUACCUUUGAUUUAGUUUUUAUUUUUUAAAUUUUAUUUUUGAUUUUUCCCAAAACUCCUCCCCAUUUUCUCAUUUUUUUCCUUUCCUUUCUUCUCUCUAUUUUUUUUCUCUUUCUCUAAAAAAAUUCCUCCCUUUCCACUCUACAGUCUUUCGUUCCAACUAAACCAUGUGCCAUUGUUAUUUGACCGAUAUUGUGGUUUGCUCAUCACUCUCUUUUGUCUUAAAUUCCGAUUGUAAUUCGAUUUAGUAAGUUUGGGUAGGUGUAGUUAUUGCUUUUGGUUGGUGUUUCUUUAUUGACGGUGUUUUUGUUAAUGCCAUUUAGGGGAAGACCAAGGGGCUCAGGAUUGUCCGUCGGUGACUUAGUUGCAAUGUAACUACCAUCGUUCGAUUGAAGGUAAUGGUUUGGUUGAAUAAUGGGUUGAAUGGAUCAUUUUGGUUUCGAUUUUAGUAUUGAUUUAAUCAACUAAUUCGGUGAUUUAUUGGUUAAUUGUAGGUUUUGGUUAUCUCGUGGGAGCAUUCGCAUCAAAUUUGAAUCAGAUGUGUAAUGAAAAUACGAGAAAACGAGGUUCGGUGAAAGUAAAAAAAGUGGCCAGUCGACGCCAAAUGACGAAAGCCGUGUGGUAUUUCUAUAAAUCGAACAUAAAAAUAAAAUUACAAUACAAUUAUAUGCUAAUGCUAUGCGAUAUUAUCACAUUCAUACUUUGAUUCAUAUCAUACUUAAUUUAAUAUUAUUCCUUCAUUACAUAACCAUUCACUACUUUAAUUUCCAAAUCACAUUUCGUUAUAUAAUUCAUUCCAUUACAUCAAAUUGCUAUUUAAUAACAUUUUCAUUUCCAAACCAUUAUCAUCUCAAGUCAUGAUUUUAGUUUUAUCAAUUACUUCCCCUAUUAACAUGCCUCAAACUCGGAUACGCGAAUCCAACCAACACAUCAAAGUUUGUCACCAAGUGCCUAACAAAUAAACCAUAGAAAUUAAUUGCACCCUGCGCUAGCCAGUAAAAUCAAAAAAUAAAUGUGCCCAGCACUGGUCAGUAUAAUUGACAAAUGGGGUGCCCAACACUCCAUGACACAUAGUUGUAAAACCUUAAACUCUUCCUAUCCUGUCGCAUGCCAAUUAUACCCAACCCUACCCGAACAGUUAAUAGGGUAAUAAUUUUCUCAAUUCAAUUUCUAACAAAUUACACAAUCAUACAUCACCAAUUAUCAAUUCAAUCAUUCAUUUACCAACAUAACAAAACAUCUCAUUUCCAUAUAGAAUAUAAUCUCACAUGCAUCUCAUUUCAGAAUAUAAUCUCACAUACAAUAUAUGCUAUUAUUACAGCUAUACAAUUUAAUCAUUUAUCACCAAUAAUUAUUUGAUCAUAACAAUUCAAUUCGAAUUUAUCAUUUUGCAACAUUACUCUAGUAAUUAACUUACCUUAUAUACUUACCUAAUAAUACAAUGUGUAAUAGUAAUAAAUACAAUAGUUUAGAUUAUAAAAACACCAACAAUAGAUUUCAAGCUAUUCGACAUUGACUUUAUCUUUCCCUUUCUUACUCGAGGAUUCCGAAACGACAUUUGCUAUGGAAUAAAACAAACCACACAUUUCAUCAAUACACAAACAAUUUCACAUUUAAAUAUCAAAUUAUGUAACUUUUGUACUUUAUUCAAUUUAGUCCCUAAAAUCGGGAAUAGCCUAACUUUCACAUUAAACCCUAAAUUUUUAUACUAAUUUCACUACAAGCCUAAUUUAAUUCCCUAUUUCUCAAUUUCAUCCCCUAAUUUUGAGUUUCUCACAAUUUAACCCAUUUCACUUCUAAUCUAAAAAUCUAUCAAAUUAGUCCCUAAAGCUUUAACUACUCAACAAUGGUAACAUCUAAAGUCUUAAGCAGCAUUGAAAAAUAAGACAUGGGUUGAAUGGAAAAAUAAAACACCGAAAUUCCAAAAACAUAAAAAUUACAAGAAAAUAAAUUGAAGCUUGAAUGCUUAAACCUCUAAUGCCGAAUACUUCUUCUUCUCCCUUUAAUUUCGGCUUGCAUGAAGAAAGAAUAAAAAUGUUUUUAUUUUAUGUUCCACUAACUUGUUUUAUGUUUUCUAUUAUAUUAUGUUUUAUGUUAUUAAUUUAUUUAUUCUAAUUAAAAAUUUACAACAUUUUUAACAUUUAAAACCAUGUUGCCGUCCACUUAUAAACCACAGGUAUAAUUACCUUUUAAGUCCCCUUAAAUAAUUUCUAAUUAGAAUUCUUUAGUAAUUCAUACGUUUAUCACUUACGCGAUUUAGUCUCUAUACUAAAAUUAAGCCUUAAUUCAAUUAAAUUUCUUAAUCGAAAUUCAAUUCGCUACUAAUAAAACUCUAUAAAUAUUUCAUAAAAAUAUUUACGAGUCCGGUUUAUGGAAACAGAGUCCCAAAACCUCACUUUCCGACACCACUGACUUUUAGAUUAUUUCAAGGAUGUUUGUCAAUUAAGCACUAACACAAAGAAAAUACUUGAGCUGAUAGAAAACAAUACAUGCUCACAAGUGUAUACAAGAAAAAGAUAAAUAAUUGAAGCACAAAGGUUGAGAAAAAGAGUUGUUGAUCUUUCUUGAUAGCUCUUAAUCUUUUGUAAUCUUUUUGUUGUUGUUGAACAUUUGAAAGCUGGUAUUGAUAGUCCCAAAUUGAUUUCCAACCAUUGUGGUUGUUGUGGAAUUGAAUAGAAUCAUUGGGUUGUAAAAACCAAUGCAUUAAUGUCACCUACAACAACAAGUAUCGAUACCUUUGGAGGGGUAUCGAUACUUUGGGCAUUUAAUGUCUCAAUUUAGUGAUCAUUAAAGCCUAUAGUAUCGAUACAAUAGGGUAUGUAUUGAUACUCGGACAAUUUAUUGUUUAAUUUUCAAAACAUUGAACCUUAAAACAGUAUCAUUACCAGGAGAAGGUAUCAAUAUAUUUGGUAAGGUAUCGAUACUUUGUAUUUUUCCUCAAUAUUUUUUUAGAAAUAGAAGCUCAAUUCGGUAUCGAUACUAUGAAAGAGUUUCGAUACUUUGGUCAAGGUAUUGAUACUCUUUUAUUCGUGCUCCUUUUUUUGAAUUUCGAAACUUAAUUCGGUAUCAAUACUAGAAAGGGGUGUCGAUACUUGAGGCUAAGGUAUCAAUAUCUUAUUUAGGGUAUCAACACUUUGAUCCCUGUGAGCAUUUUAACUUGUUUAAAAAUGUUAGAAAAAUUGUUUAUUGUAUUGAAGAACUUCCAAAAUAUUUUUCAAGUACUUGAAAGAUAUUUCUCUCUCAAAAUAUUUUGAAACAAAUUUUUACUUUCAAAUUUAUCAAGUUUUAUUUCAAAAACAAGUUUUACUCAAAAACAUUAUAUUUUUUAUAUCAAAACUCUUAUCAAAUUAAGGCUUGACUUAACAAAAUAUAAUCUUUAAACAUUACAUCUAAAUAUUAAAUAUUAAAAAUAAAUUUAUAAACAUAUAAUAUACAAUUUAUUGUUAUAAACUAAUAAAUAAUUCAUUAAAAUUAAUGUUUUAAUUAACAUCUCUAUGAGAAAAAUGACAAUUUAAUUCUUUUUAAAAGUUUAAUAACCAAAUUUAGAUUAAAAAACAAGAGUCAAAUUUAAUAAAAAUAUAUAAAAAUUGAGGGCUAAAAUUGUCAUUAUACUUUUAAUUAAUUCUUUUUCUUUCACCUAUGCAAUUCUAUAAUUACAUUACAAAGCUAUUCCAUCCAAAACCAAAAGAAGUAAAUUUGUGGUUGAGCCGGAAGAUAGCAUAAAUAGAAAACUUGAUGCCUGUGAAGCUAAAACUCUCCCUAUGUAUAGAUAAGCAACUUCGUACACAUCACUUCUCUAGUUGUUGCGGUUGCCACUAUAUUAAUUUUUUCACUCCUCAAUUACAACACUAAAUACUAUUAUAAGUAAACAACAUUAUUGAAAAGUGAACUAUUAGUUAAUGAAGUCCUUGAGUGUUGGGGAGAAGCAAAAAAAUAAAAAUUAAAACUAGGGGAUAAAUUUAAAUUGUAAUUUUUACAAUAAUAAAAAUGCAAUUCCGCAAUUUUAAUACUUUAAUUUAUAAGGAUUAAAUCAAUUUUUUUUAUCAUUUUUAAGAGGGACCAAAAUGUAAUUUUACCUUUACUAUUUAAAAUUUAAAAAAAAAUUAAAGAGCUUCAAUAAAAAAAAUCAUUUUUGGGGUCGGACCUACAAGCCCCUAAUUAUGCUACUACUUGGGUGGAUGCAAUACAAAAAGUUUUUGAUAUUUGAAACUCCAAAAAAAAAAAAUUGACUAUAAAUAUCAUGCAGAGGAUUAAAUGAAUGUCUUUGUUACAUGGUAUGGUUGUAAAUGUAGUAUCGUUUACUGUUUUUCAAUAUUCUUAAAUAUUUUGAAGGGUGUUAGAGAGUUGUAUUUCUACAUUUAUAUUUGGAUAUUCGUCGUAAAUUAUGAGUGUAAUACUUGAAUUUGUAAGUUAUUCAAGUUUGAAAAAAGUUCGAUUUGAUAAUUAUCAAUCGAGUUUAAAUUCAAACAAUUCGAAUUAUGAAUUAAGUUAAAAGUCAAACAUCUUAAUAUUUGAUUAAAGUAUCUUGCGAGCAAUCGACCUUCUUAUAUAUUCUUUAAUUAAUUUUCAUACUGUGCAAUGUAUAGAUUUAUUGUAUGUAUUUAUAUAAAAAAAAGUUAAUAUAAAAUUUGUAUUUAAAUAUCAUGGAAAAAAAAAUUAAAAUGCACGUAACUUCUAUACAAUAAAUUAAGUGCUAAAUUAGAGAUAUGAUUGAAUGACUGAAAACAUGAAUAUAACUUACAUUUGAUUUGUGCCAGUAGAGUAACGUGUUAGAAACAUAAAAGUUUUGGCUCCUUACUAAGGUUACUAUAGUAAAUACAGAAAAUAAUCUUGGAAAAUUUAUAAUCUUAGAGGCUCAUAUAAUUUUUUUAAAAAUAUAUUGAUUUUGAUCUUGACUGUUGAUAUAAAUUAAAUUGUACUAUUGAAUCUGAAGAAGCUCAACUAUAAAUAGAGACCGUCCCAUUUGUAAUCACCCCAUUGUAGCUCAUAUUCUUGAUUAAGAUCAUACUUUUACGAGUAUUAAAUCGAACAUUCGGCAUGGUUAUUGCUUUUUUGUAGCUUUUUUUGUUCUCUCGUUGUUUCUUUAUUUUUUCGGUGCCCACUUUCGAGAGUAAGAUUGAUUUAGGCGAAUUUGAAGCAAAAGAAUCACCCAAUACCACGCGAUUUGCAAGACUAUAAAGUUUUAGGCGCGUGACAAAAUUUUGUGGUUGUAAUUUGCUCCAAUAUUACAUUUGCUUUACUAGUUUAAAGUGUAAAGAUUAAGGACACAGAUUUGAAUUACUUCUAUGAUUGUCAUCAUUUAUUUCAGGGAAAUGUAGGCUUAAUGGAAAGCCACUUUAUAUUCAAUAGAUGGUUAUUGUUAAGGUAUUAUUUACUUCGAAACCAAGACUGUUCAAACAUGGAUGAAGAGUGAAGAGAUCAAUCUAUUUUUUGUUUUCCUUGAUGAAAAUCUAUGGUUUUUUUUAAAAAAAAAUUUAUCUAGUAAAAAUAACUUUCCAUCCUCAAUUUGCAGCUAUGUCAUUAGCAACAAUUAUAUUAAUAUGUUAUUGCUUAUACUUGUUCUUUGAAGGUGGAAUUAUGUGUUCCAAACCUUGAAAUUCCUGGCGUUGUACUUGAUUUAUGAUCGGCUAUCACUUCUGCAUUUUGCAAAGAAAACUGAUGCGAAGCAGAGUUUUAAAGCUUUUACGAGCUUUGGUUUCCAUUACUGAAGCCGUCUCUGAUUGUCCUAAAACAAUAAGAGUUGUUUCUAAUGAUCUGAAUGGUUUUCCCCAAUCAGAAUUAGACCAGUUUCCUAAUAGUUUGAAACAAGCUUCGAAAAUCACCAGGUCCAAUGAGUUUUCACAGUCCACAGCAAUGUAAAGAACUGCAACCUGAAGGAGAUUUGAAGUCAAAUUCCACUCCGAGCUGGCUGAAUUGGGUGUGUGGUGAUGAGUUUAGGGAGCUGAUUGGUGAUUGUAUUCUAGUGUCUCUAGUAAAAUUUUUAAAGAAGAAUCAAUAUGUUGAAUUCUGAAUCUAAGGGGUUUAACUUUGGAUUUGAACUCCAUAAAUCUCACUGUUUUUAAUCUGAAUUAUAAAAGUGAGUACUUUUGGAUUGGGUUGUACUUAGCAGAGAACUUGUGUUCCUUAUACUUCAAUUCCUUGAUGAGGAGAAAUUUAAAGACACUGUUCAUAAUUAUGCUCUUAUCUCCGCAUUCUUUGUUUUUGCUCUUUUCUUUUAUUCUAUCUUUUUAUAAUUUAAAUCUUUUAAUCUGUUCAUGCAUUUUUUUUGUGUAUUUGUUGAUUAAUAUGUUUAAAUUGAAUAGAUUGGAGCAAGAGUCGGGUUUCUAAAUAUCUCACCUGGAGGAGGACUACAAGCAGCUCAGUUUCAUUCUGGUAUUCGUUCUCCUACAAAGCAUUUUUAACUAUUCAAAUUUUCAUAUACAGGUUAAUUCUCAUCGUAGACCCUGUACAAGGCAUAGUUUUGUGUUGAGGUUAAAUUUAAAAUAGGGUUAUGGUUGAUUAGAUUUAUGGGUGUCUUGGUAUAACUAGUCAAGGCAUAGUUUUUGUGUGGAGGAGUUGGUAUUGGGAAAUGAUGAACACUAGUGCUGGUCUUCUUAUGAAAUUUGUUUAAGAUCUGAUGGCCUUCUUUAUUAAGUAUUGCUUUUCUUUGGCGAGGGCAGCUUGGAAUAAAUUCUUCCAUUUUAUUGGCCUUCUUUAAAGUUAAAAGUCAAUAUUCCAUUAGUACAUAAAUCUCAUUUUAUUGGGAGACUAAUGCUUCCAUAUAAAGUGCUUCCAUAAAUUAUUCUUCUAUUUUCACAAAUUUUGAUAUUUGUUUCCGUGAUUGGAAAAAAUUAAAGGUUAAAUACUUUUUUUUUAAAUUAGUAUUUUUAUCAAAUUUUGCUUAAAAUUUGUUAAAUGUUUUGUUUGUCAAAAAAAAUUGCUUAAUAUAUACCAUAUGUUUAUUAAAUUUAUAAUAAUUUGUGUAAUACCCCCUACCCGUAUUAGUCGCCGAAAUAGAGUAUGAGGCAUUACUAGAUUUUACCGAAUAAAUUUUUUUUUAAAACUCAAUAUAACCCCUUUAUAAAUAUCUAAUCUUCCCUGUAAAUUUUAAACCGAGACCAAUCCAACACAACCAAUCCAUUUCAAUAUAUUUUCAAGAUAGAUUUAUUGUAUUCAUAAGAUAAUCUCAUCACAUACCAAAACCAAAAUUUGUUAGCCAUACCAAUGGCUAACCAUACAUUCAUUUCACAUUAACAUCUACUUUACUAGCUUAUACAUGCCAUUGAUUUCCAAAAUAAAGUUUCUUUAUAUACCGAUAUCUUAAGGUUGAUAGUGUGAUGCGUCUCCGACCAAAUCCGACCUCUGAGCUCUUAACACUACAAAACAGGGGAAAAGGAAACAGGGUAAGCACUUUGUGCUUAGUAAGCUCAUGUAAUAAGAAUUAUACUUACCUAAUAUUUUCAAUACAAUGCAAUAAACAUUCAUACAUCCAUUCAAUACAUUAUUCCCCUAUCAUGCACAAACUCAACAUUCAAAUUAGUCCAAUAAUUUCCAUAUGUAUCAAAUAUAUAUAUCAUGAUUGAUGAGCUCAUCAAUUCCAUGAUUUCCAUUCCCUUGUUAUUUUUCCAUUAUCCCAUUGAACUUCUAGGAAUUUCGAUGGAUUUUCAGGGGUACACCUAAUUGUACAAAUCCGGGUCCGUCAAUUCAUAUUCAUGUGCGCACAUUUCCAUUUCAGAGAGCACACUCCCGCGAACCUCAUCCUUAGAGCGGGAUUACCAGUCCAGGCUAAAUCCCCUGUAAUAUAAACUCAUAAAGUAUUGUCGGGAUUACCAGUCCAGGCUAAAUCCCCUGCAACGACAAUUACUCUAAUGAGCUUGAAUCUGAAUUACCAAUCCAGGCUAAAUUCAGACCCUAAUUCGGAUUACCCGUCCGGGCUAAAUCCAUUUUCCACAUAUUCUUCGGGAGGGCUAUAUCAAAAUAGGAUCACCCGUCCGGGCUAGAUCCUUUUUACCGUCAAUUCCUUUUUAGAGAUCCAUCGAAUUUUCCUUCCAUUCAACCGGGAUUUCUUCCCCUUUUUAUCAAAUAUAUCAAUGUUUCAUCAAUUUUAAUAUAAUGAACAUUCAAAUCAUAUUCACAUCAAUAACAAACAUUUCAAGCAUUUAAGAAUAUAAUUCAAGUUAAACGAACUUACCUCGAUACUUGUUCGUAAACAAAAAUCUACUAAUCCCGAACUUUUUCUUUUCCUCGAUCUAGCUUCGUAUUUGAAUUCUCUAGAUCUAAAUAAAUAAAUUUAAUCAUUAAUCUAAUACAUUUCAUGUUCAUAUGUAACAUUCUCUAUAAUUCCAUUAUUAUUUAUAGUGCAUUCAAAGCUGUCUCGCUGAGUCACAGUCACUAAAUUAUUUAUAUCUUGAGCUACGGAACUCCAAAUUUAAGAUCCGUUAAUUUUUCCUUAAACUAUACUCACAUAUCUUCUUACCUUGAAAUUUUCAGAAUUUUUGGUUUAGCCAAUAAGUAGAGUUUAUUCUUUAAAGUUUCCCUUGUUUCACUGUUUGACAGUUCUGACCCCUCUUCACUAAAAAUUAAUUAUCUCAUUGUACAAAAUUAAAAUAAUGUUUCCGUUUGUUUAUUCUGAAAAUAGACUCAUUAAUAAUUCUUACCAUAUAAAUUAUAACUCAUAAUUAUUUGUUUACAAUUUUUAAUGAUUUUUCAAAUUCAGAACAGGGGAACCCAAAUUCAUUCUGACCUUGUCUCACAAAAUCUAUUAUAUCUCAUAAUUUACAAUUCCAUUGCUUACAAAAUUUCUUCUAUAAGAAACUAAACUCAAUAACAUUUAAUUUCAUAUUUUAUUCAUCCUCUAAUUCAAUUUCUAAAAUUUUUGGUGAUUUUUCAAAGUUAACCUACUGCUGCUGUCCAAAACUGUUUUAGUGCAUGAUGUUAAUUACCAUUUUUCCCUAAACUUUCAAUAAAUGAUAAUUUCAUCCCUGCUCAAUUUCACUAAACUACUUUAAAAUACUUUAUAAGCUUUGGAAAUCAGAAUUUUAGUACUAGACUUUAAUUCCAAACUUUUUCACAAUUAGGUCCUACAAAUCAAUUUCUAUUGAAAUUACCUAAUAAAAUCAUCUCAUAAACAAAUUAAAGCUUCAAUUUCAUCCUAUUCCAUCAUAAACUUCCAGCACAUAUUCAUAUAAACUUUCAAAUUCAUUCAUAAAAUCAAAAACUAAUGAAUUUAGUAAUAGGACCUAGUUGUAAAAGCCUUAGAAACACAAUAAUUACAAGAAAAAGGCAAGGAUUAACUCACUUGGUGCAAAAAUUAUGAAAAACCAGAUUGAAGAAACCCUUAGGAAUUUUUUGACUGAUGAGAAUGCAGAAAAAUAAAGAGAAAUCUAGAUAAUUCCACUUUAGUCCUAACUUUUAAAGCAAAUUUUGCAAUAUUCCAAUUUUACCCUUAAUUCUUCAAUUCUCCUCGAUUUUUCUCAGCUUAUGCCGCCCAAAAUAUCUCCUUUUGAGGUUAUUUGCAAUUUAUGUCCCUCCUCAUUUAACAAUUGAGCUAUUUAAUCCUUCUAGUAACUUUAACACAUUUUUCAAUUUAGUCCUUUUCACUUAAUUGACUAUCCAAACAUUAAAAUUUUCUAACGAAAUUUUAAUACCAUAUUAAUAACACUUCAUAAAUAUUUAUAAAAAUAUUUUUGACUCGGUUUUAUGAGAUUGAGGUCUCGAUACCUUAUUUUUACCCAAUUUCUUCAAUAAUUUCUUUUUCUAACUAACCACUAAAUCAAUAAAAUUUUUCUAUCGAUAUUUUUAUACGAUUUUCCUAUCAUAUCAAUAUUCAUGCAAAAAUAUUAAAAUAAAUUUCUCUUUAAAUCGGAUUUGUGGUUACGAAACCACUAUUCUGAUAACCUUGAAUUUGGGCCAUUACAAUUUGCUUCUAAAAUAGAGAUGGUUAGGUUUUAAUUAGUAUUAACGAUGGAACAAAGUAUUAAUAUAAUAAGUAUAACCAUUUAUAUUUUUUAAGUAUGAAAAAUAAAAUCCCUAAAGUAUGAACUUUUAAUGCAUAUCUUUAAUUUAUUUAGGUAAAGAUAUAUUUGAUUUUAUUUAAGAAUGAAUAAAAAAAUCAAGGAAUACAUAAUCACAUUACAAUGGCAUUGUAUUCAAAGUGUUUCUCAAAAUAACCAUCUCAACUUUUAAUAUAAUAUCAGAUUUAGUUAUUAAUAUUUAUAUUCUCUUAUCAAUUUCACCUUUCUUUUUUUAAAACUAAAUUUAGCUAUUAAUUUUUAAGCUCCAUAUAUACUUCCUUUUAAUAUGACAAUAUUUGUCUUAUAUAUCACGUCAAUAAAUAAUUUAAAAUUUUAAAAAAUAACAUAAAAUACACGUAGAUAAAUACAAUAAUUUAUCUUAUCAUUUAUUUAUUAUUAUUUUAAAACAAUGAAUUAGAUCUGUACAAAAGAAGUAUUCGAUAAGCUCAUUUGAAUUGUUACUCAAAUAACUCCAUUUUAAGCUCUCCUUAAUUGCAUUUGUAAGUACCUCAUCUUAUUUGCAUGUUUUAAUUUAAUACAACAUUUUUUUGAGAUAAAAUCCAUGUUAGUGAUUUGAAUUAAGGCAUAAUAUCUUACAUACCUCAUUGUGAUAUUACUAUUUUAGGUUAAAUGUAUUCAUUUAAUUAUAUAAGUAACACGUUCCUUUUUUUUAAGAUAUAAAUAAAUAAACAUAAAUAGUAAUAAACAUAUUAUAAAUAAAUAAAAGAAACACAUUAACAAUAGUAGUAUUUAUUAUAUAAUUAAACAAUAGUUUAUUUUAAAUGAUUUACUAAACCAGUUUUAAACUAGCAUGAAGAUAAUUAGUUUGGAUAUGUUUCAAUUAUAUUAGGUUAAUUUAAUAAAUAACUUUUAAAUUUUUAUUAAUGUUAAUUUAUUUAACUUAACGAACGGAUAUAAAUAAACAAAGAUCCAACUCAUAAACUAUUUAUUUACAGCUUUAUACUUGACUUAUACAUAUUUAGAACACUUAAGUAACGGUAAUUUAUUGUCAACUUUAGACUUCAAGAACUACGAAAUGGAUAAGAGUUUAAUGGAUUUGUGAACGAAUAUCAAAAUGGAGUACUAAAUUUGUUUGCAUUUAAAUUUUUAUAUUUAAAUAAUUUAUUUAAAGUGAUUGAUCUACAAGUUAACUCACUCAUUAACUUAUAUUUAUACUUGAUCUGAGAAAAUUUUAAUUUUUAUAAUUAAUAAAAUUUAAUUUACAAUUAAUUUUUACAUUAACCAACUAAACUUUUAUAAAGAAAAUUAGAAACCCCAUCGGUUAAAACUACUUAUUUUUCCUUUUAAAAAAUCUAGUUAUUUUUUUAAAAAAAGUAAUGUUUUAUUAUUUUAUAUAUUUAAUAUAAAAUUAUAUAAAUAUUUUAUUUUAUUUUUCAUUAUUCUUUACAUCCAUUUUAUGUUCAUGUUCGGGUUUAUUAAACUAAUAUUAAAAUUAUGCAUUUUAAUAUUUAUAUUAAUAUAUUAAUUUAAAAUAAAAACAUAUAUUUUAAUUUUUUAUUUAUAUACAUUAAUAUAUCAUUAUUUUAUUAUUUUAUUAUUUUUAAAAAAUUAAUAAUAUUAAUAUAUAUUUUUUAAAAUAAUUUUAUUUUAUUUUUAAUAUUUUAUAAAAACUAAAUGUUAUAAUAUUUUUUUUAUUUUAUUAUAUUUAAUGUAAAUAUUUUGUAAAUAAUAAUAUUUUAUAUUUUAUUUUAAACUAUAUAAAAAAGAUGUUAAGGGUAAGAUGAUAAAUUAAUAAAUAACGCUUAUGUUUUAACUCAUAGAAAAUACAUGAUAAGAAGAUUAACUGUUUGGCACAAGUGUAAGCCGUGUUACCUUAUCCCCUGCCCCUAAUAUUGUAUCGAAAAACGCUUGGUAAGAAGAGUGAUAUAUAUCCAAUUUUCAACAACCAAACAAUUUGAUGUAGUAGCAUCUAUCUUUUAUCCAUCAUUUGAAAGUUGAGUGUUAUUUAACACAACACUCCUCUUUUACAUCAAGCCUACCAAAUGUGACCAGACUAUCAAUUUGGCUAUGAUUCUAUAUAAAACGAUAAAAAAAUUGAGUUUUUUAAAAUUAGAAAUCUUGAAAAUACAUAAAUUUGAAAAUUAAAUAAAAAUAGAUAAAAUUUAAAAAAUAUAUAGAUAAGUGAGAGAAAAUUAGGGAAAAUUAUUUUUCAUUAUGAGAAAAGAAUGAGAAAAAAAGAUUAGAUUUGUUUUUUUUUUUUUAGUUUGGAUUUUGAAUAAUGUUGAAAAUUUUGAAGUUGUCGCAGGGUGUUAUGGGAAUUGCCCACUACCCCAACCAUUAUGACAAAACAACUUGCCAUAUUUGGAAGAUUGGCAAUUUAUUGAUCUGUAUCUUUAGAUUGAGCUGAUAUUGUAGAGCGAAUCAAGCUCAUCAAUAAAGAUCAUAUCACUUGGAGAAACUUAUUUAGAAGAUUAGAUCGGGUUGGAUUGGAUUGCUUAUAUCAAAUUCUAUGGAUAAAGGAAGUUGAAUCGGAUCGAAAAAGUAAAGAUUUAGCCGCCAACCAUCAAUGUUUAUUGUGGUUGUUUAUAUUAUAUUGUAUUUAGCUAUUUUAGUUGUUGUUUAGUAAGGAUUGUGAUAGAUCUUCAUUAUGUUAGCAAGUCUCGAAAUCUCUAUAUAAUUAAGAGACUUGUAUAGGUUGAUGCACAAAUUAUUAAGAGCAUUUAUAUGUUCAAGUGAGGAACAUUAUUUUGCAAGAGUGCAUUUGUGAUUGUAAAAUUUUGUAUUGUGUUGUGCAUUUGUGAGGAACAUUAUUUGUGAUUGUAUUAUUUAGUGGUGAGUGAUCUAGUCUUCGAAGGUAUAAGAGUGAGGAAUCAUCAUUGAGAUGUGAUACAUUUAGGUUCACUAGUUGUAAUUGUUUAAAUAUAGUGAUUCUUCUCAUUGACCAAGGCUUCACAAAUGUAUGGAAACUGAACUGCAUAAACAAAUUUUAAUGUUUCCUAUUUUGUUUUUGCUUAUCAUGGUGCUUGUAGAAGUGCACACUUUUGCAGUCACUACUGCUCAUACAUUGCUUGUUACUUAGCAACUAUUUUAGAUCAACAAAAAAUCAUUUAAAUGAAUUAAAUUUUAUUAAUAGAGUUUGAAAAAGAAUAUUUUCUUGUAUAUUUUGCAUUUUUUUUUACUAAAAGAAAGGGAUCAAAUUCAAUUUCACAAGUCUUAGUGAGAUUAGUUUGAAAGAAGUUCUUCAAUAGCAUGGAACUUGACUGGAAGGUGUUACUAAAUUUGUCAUAUUUUGUUUUAAAUUUGUUAUUGGAUUCUAUUGAAUAAUCUUUUUCUUUCUUAUGUCUCAGUAUUGAACAAUCUUGAGCUUUAUUACAACACAAGAACAUUAGUUUCUAAUCACAAUUAAGCUUUGUGCAAAAUGAAUAUUAUAUUAAGAUAUUGAAAUUGAUCUAUUUCUUUUAUCCAUUUUCAUGAUUUAUGGCAAUGUUGAAUAUUUUGCUGUAGAAAUCAUAAUUUUUAUAUAGAAUUUUCUAUUUUUUAAAAAUAAUAUUGAGUUUUUAAAAUUAAUUUUAUAUAGAAUAGGGUUAAAUGGAGAGAAAGUAUAAAAGUUAAGGGUUAAAAUUGUCAUUAUACUAACUAAAAAAGUGUGGUUGUUAGCUAUUUAAUAGUUGGGUAAAAAAAUAAUUUCAAAAACGUUAGUGGCCAAAUUGUAACUCUUUUAAUUAAAAGACACAUAAUUGAGGGAUUAAUAGUGUAAUUUAACCUUAUCUUUUUUAAACAUAUGGAUUAAUUCACAUUUAUUUGGAAUGUGUUAUUAAUUCACAUAUGAAUUUAAGUAGUGGUGGAGCUAGAAAAUAUUUUGGGGCUAAAAUUAAAUUGUAUAUUUUUAUGAUAGCAAGAAUGCAAUUUCACUAUUUUAUGAUAUCUUUAUAAUUUUUAAAGGAUUAAAUCAAUUUUUUUAUCAUUUUUGAGAUUAAAGUGUAAUUUUACUAUUAUUAAUUUAAAAUUUUAUAAAUUAUAAAGGACAUAAGUGAAAAAUUUUCCAUUAAUCAACACCCUUGGCUCUACCACUUGAUCGAACACAUAUCACGAGUCCUUUCCCGCGUGUGUCAGAUUUUGUUUAUAUGGUUGAAAUAUCAUCACAUGUAUUUAUGUUUGAAUACACAUCACAAAACCUUGAGUUGCUUCGGCAUGACCUAGAUAAAAAAAAAAUGGAGAAACAUGAAGGUAGCUUAGAAGAAUCCAAAAGCAAUAAACGAAAGCUAGACAAAAGGUUGAAAUCAUCAUUAACCAAGCCUUUACUUUUUCUAACUCCAGGAAGAGUCCAUAUUCGUUGAGAAAAUCGGCAAAGACUUUGGUAUCUUUUGGAAGGACUUGUAAAGAAACAAUUUUUUAUAUUUACGUUCUGUAAUGUUUUUCAUAUUAACAUUAUUGAUGUUUCUAAAUUUACCUUCUGUAAUGUUAGAGUUAGUUGAAGAGUCGUCAGAUUCUGGAGAGGAAUCAAUUUUUAGUCAUCAGCAUAGGAUGGAAGAUGAGAAGUUGCUGUCGGCAGUGUUGGGAGAGCAAAGGAGAAGGUAAUAAGGCUGCAACUCAAGAGGAUGAAGGCAAAUCAGAAAUUGGUAGAUGACAGAAUUGUGAAUAGGACUCUCAGAUUCUGGGUCCAACUUAUGCAAUAAUUCUAUGAUCUGGGAAGCGUGUAGAGAUCGACAAAUGAGUUUGCCGUGAUUGCUGCGGUCCUCUCCAACAAGAAGCCAAUUGUUUUGCAGACACAGUGGCAAUGGAUGGGAUGGAAAGUUUAUGGUUAAACUGUUCCCCUUAAAUUCACGUAAGUAUAAAAUAAAAUGUAAAUUAAUUUAAAAUUUUAAAAUAAUUUUAUUUUAAUUUUUAAGUCAAGAAUUUUGAUGAGUUAAAAUUAUAGGCUAAGGGCUUAUUUAAUUACAAAUAUAAUUUAAAAACUUGUUUAAACAAAGUGUAAUAAUUUAACGGAAUUUUUAAUAUAUUAGCCAAAGAAAUUCAUCUAAGUAACAAUGAAGAAUGCUUUUAAUGUGCCCAACAUUAGACCAAUACAAUAAUUGUAAGUUUUUGUAAAAAAUCUUAAUUUCAUUUUUUAAUCUUUUUUCUAAUAGUUAGUCCAUUCUUUUUUUAACCUUUGAUUAAUGAGCAGAAUUCACAUACUUUGUUUUUGGUUAUAGCUCAGUAAAUCUAUCUUCAAUUUAACGGAUAAAUGGUACAUAAUAACGAAUAAAUGGCAUUCAAUUUAAACAUUGACAAUGCUUAAUUUUCAAAUAGAAAUUUCUUCAUUUACUGCUCCAUUCAUUUUAAAAUUCAAAAUGUCUUUCAUCUUCCUCUUCGGUCCAACAUAUAUCACUACCAAUUGGCCAUGCAGUUUCUUGAGCUGUAGCAGAUUCUUCCACUAUAAUUUCAUCAACUGAUUGGCUUGCCUGCAAAGCAAAUUAAACCUUCACUUAUUACUGUUUGCUUUUAAUCAUUGAUGCUGAAGAAAGCAAAUCCAGUUUUCCAAAAUUGGACAAAGGAUGUCAUAUUGAAAAUAAUAAUGCAACAAUGAUAUCUAGAAAGAAAUAUUUAUUAACAUUAAUGGGAGACAACAUUAAUGGCAAACAAUACAAAGUGGUGCAAGUUUAGCACCCUAAAGUUGACUUUGAAAAAGUGGCAUGGGAUAAUUUUUUUGGUCCUUGAGAUAAUGGGCUAUUUAUUGUUUGGUCCUUAAACCUCAACUAUAAAUAGGCCUUCUCAUUUCUCAUUUCAAUCAUCCCAACCAAUCUUUCUCUCUUAGUUUUCUCUCUUCUCCCAUUUGAGAAUUCUCAAGGAAUUCUAUUUGUUUGUAAUAUUGUGAAGAUAGUAAAGUUAUCAUCUGGUGUUAGUGCCCGAAAUAAAUUAAAUUGUAUAUUUUUAUGAUAGCAAGAAUACAAUUUCACCAUUUUAAUAGUCUAUAUAUUUAUAAUUUUUAAAGGAUCUGAUAAUUUUUUUAUCAUUUUUGGGAUUAAAAUGUAAUUUUCUUAUUAUUAAUUUUAAAUUUUAUAAAUUAUAAAGGACCGAAGUAAAAAAAUUCCCAUUAAUCAACACCCUUGGCUCUACCACUUGAUCGAACACAUAUCAUGAGUCCCUUCCCACGUGUAUGGCUGAAAUAACAUCACAUGUAUUUAUGUUUGAAUACACAUCACAAAACCUUGAGUUGUUUCGGCAUGACCUAGAGAAAAAAAAAUGGAGAAACAUGAAGGUAGCUUAGAAGAAUCCAAAAGCAAUAAACGAAAGCUAGACAAAAGGUUGAAAUCAUCACUAACCAAGCCUUUACUUGUUCUAACUCCAGGAAGAGUCCAUAUUCGUUGAGAAAAUCGGCAAAGACUUUGGUAUCUUUUGGAAGGACUUGUAAAGAAAAUAUACCAAAUUAUUAAAUUAUUAAAUAUAUCUGGAUUUGCCCAAGUAAAUGGAAAAUAUACCCACUUACCACUUCAAAUUGAAGUAAUGAUUCCAAGAAUUUGAGUGUGGAUAAGAAAAUUCCAAACAGUCUUUUCAGCUCUGUUUUAGUUCAAGAAAAACAGAAAAAGGUAAUAUUAGAUCAAGAAAUAUAUAGCAAAAUUAUAUAUAAAAAAUCACAAUUAAACUUGGCUGUGCAUUUGUUUUGCAAUUAAAGACUUGACAGGAUAAGAGACGGGACGACCUAGAAAAGUGUGAAAGUCUUUGGGUCAGUUUUCACUUUUUCACCAUUACACAUCUACAUUUUUCAUAUUUGUUUCAUUUGAAGCGUCUUUCAAGAAAAUAUGUUCUUUUUCUUCUUAUUUUUCAUUUGCUAUCAGAAAUGAAGAAGAGUUUUCUUUAUUCAAAGUGAUUUUUAUAUUAUUUUGCAAAUUCUAGACAUAAAUUUCCAAUGUUUAUGUUAUAUAACUAGUUUUCCUUUCUUCAAAAUUAAAAAUGAAUAAGAACAUGCUUUUUAAUUUGAAAUUUCAUACCAGAUCAUGAAUUUGGGUAUCUUCAACAAAAAGUUGAGCUUUACAUAACAUGUUCCAUUGUCAUUUUGGUAUUUUUUUUCCCGUAAUCAAAAUAAUGUAUGAAAGAUAAAAUAUAUAAUUAAUACAUCACUUUUUAGAAAAUUUUAAACAAUGAUCAUUAACAGUCUCAAUAGUUUUAUGGGUAAAUUACAAUCAAAUUAUUAAAUUAUUAAUAAUGUCGAAAUCUUUUUGAAAUCAACUUUUGAUUUUUAAAAUGACGAGAAUGAGAGUUCAUCAAUCCUUUUUUAUUAGGUGUAAUCAAAUCACUUCGUAAUUUAAUCAUAUUAAUAAAAAUUUAAAUUUACUAAAACGACGAUUUUUGGUCUAUAAAAUCUAAGAAAUAAGUUCAGGAGUCGGUUAUGCACGAGGAAUGGUUAGUAUCCUCGUAACGUCUAAAAUUGGUACCUAAGUGAUUAAUUGGUGUCUUAAGGUCGAAAGUUAAAAAUUUGAAAAGAGUUUAAAAUACGACCCCCUCUUUUUAUUAAUGUAUUUUUUAAGUAAAAUCCCUUGAAUAAAUCAAAAGUGUGUAAAAUGUCCUCUUAUCUAGAGGUAACAAAAAGGCCAUAUCCUGUAAGUUAGGACACGCCAUCUAGAAUCCUCGAAAAUAAGUUUUCUCUUUAUUUAAUUACUAUUCAAAUCUCAAGUGUUUUAAUUUCGAAAGAGAUGUUCAUGAUCAGCUAUCUAGGUUCAAAGAGAACGUCGAACCCCAUAAGUUAACGCACGACUUCUCGAAUCUCCAAAUGCGGAACAUUGCCAUAAUUUUAAAAUUUUCCUUUUUAUGCAUCGAGUAAAAAUUAGUGUAACACUUAAAAUAGUAUAUAUUUAAUUUAUUCGGGCAUCGUACGAAAAACGGAAAAUCUGUUCAAACAAGGUUCGUGACAUGAUUGCGGUCAUAAUAAAAUUAAAUGAAGUAUAUAUAAAAAAUAAUGGUAUAUGGAAAAUAAAAAUGUUGUGCUAGUAAGUGGCAGUGCGAUAUCAAUUUGUAGUAAUAAUAACAUGAUAAUGAUAAACAUAAUAAAAUAUGAAUGUAUAAUAAUAUUAAUAUGAACAAUAAAUGUGCAAGUAAAACGUAAAUAAUCUAAUUUAAAAAAUAUAUUUAAAAAAUAAAUAAAUAAUGACGACAAUAAAGGCAAAAGCAGAAGAGAUAAAAAAUAAAAAUAAAAAAAUGCACAAUAAAUAAAAAACAAAUAAAUUUUAAAUAAAAAGGAAAUAAUAAGUAAAUAAAUCAAAUCAAAUCAAAUAAUAAAUAAAUAAAAAUAAUAAUACAUAAAAAUGAAUAAUCAAGAAAGGGUCGAAACUAAAUAAAUAAGGAUUAAGUCGACAUUGAAAUGAAAAGAGUAUUUUAUAUACUCUAAUGACCUACACACGGAAAUAACUGUACGUUGAGUAUUUUAUACUUAAUGGUAUUAUUAUAAUUUAAACUAUUUAAUAUUAAUAAAUUACAACAUCAACCAUAAGCUUUUUUUUUAAAUCGUUUAAACUAAUUAUACAUAAUUAUAUAUCACUUCAUAAAUCUUAAAUUCAUAUAUAUUUUUUAUAUACUAAUUCAAUUCAUAUUUUAAUUCAUACAUUCUUUCUCGUACUUUUCAAUAGUGUCAAAUCAAUCAAUCUCAUUUUCAAAUUUUCAUUUCAAUUAUUUACUCUAUUAACAAGGCUCGGACUCUGACAGAUACGUGGAUUCCACCCAAACACACUAGAAUAUCCAACCUAAUACACCCGGAAUAAUAUAAAUCCUCCAUAACACACCAGUAUAUCAUAUCAUCCCAAACACACCAAUAAGGAAUUAGAUGCCUCUUCGGAUAAACCGAAACAUAUAAUAACAAAAUCAUCUUCUCGGCCAAACUACAAAUCUCCUCAUCACAUUACAAAUCCUAUGACAUGCCAUUUGUAUCCAAUCUAGUCCGAUAAGUUAAUAGGGCAUUAUUUUACUUUUCCAAUUUCGAAUUCAUUUCCACAACAAUUUCAAAUAUUCAAUCAAUUCAAAACAUCUAUUAUUUCAAUUCACUUAAAAUUCAAUAUUCACACAUAUCUUAAUUUCAAAUUUAUUACUUACCUUACCUUAAAUAUCCCAUGAUUACAAUUUCAAUAUAGCAUUUAGUAAAUAGAUUAAAUUAUAGUAAUACAAACCCGGAAUAAGCGUUUACUCCUCAACGAUAUUUUCUUUUCCUUUGGAUGUCGAUGCCUCGUUUUCCUUGUUAGCUACGAAAAUAAUAAUUAUUUUCACUAUUAAUUACAACAUUAAAUUAUAAAAAAUAAUAAUAAUUAAAUUUUAUUCAAUUCAUGCUUAUUCCCAAUUUAAUUCUAACUAAGCUUACUUACAUUUCUAGCUUAAUUCAUAUUUCUUUUCUAUAUAAUUUAUUGUCAUAUUUAACUCAACUAUUCAAUAUUCAUAAUUAAACCCUAAUUUAAGACUUCUUAUAACUUAAUCCCAACUAUGUAAAACUUAUAGCUUACUUUACAAUUUGAUCCUUUAAUCAAUUCUAACUAAAAUUUCUAUCAAUUAAACCCCUAAUUGAUCAAUUUGUUCAACAUGAACUAUAUUCAAAAACUUAGGAAUUUCCAAAAUUUCAACUUGAUUUCAACAAAACUUUGUUCCAAAACUUUUAAAACAUCAAAACUAAGUAAAAAGGACUUAUUUGACUUACCAAUUAAAGCUUUAAGCUUCAAAAUCCAAGUUUUCCCUUUUCUUUUUCUUUUCUUCUUUCCUUUCACUAUUUCGAAUUGCUCUUUUCUUUUCUUCUUUGUUUUUUUUUUCUUUUACUUUUUAUUUACUUACUUUACUUUACUUUAUUUUAUUUGCUUUAUUUUUUUUAAUUACUAAAUAAUUAAUAUAAUAUCAAUAUAAAAUAUCUUAUGCUUAAAUAUUAAGUAAACCAAUUGUUUAAUUACAUUUGUACAUAUUUAUUUUAUUACACUUGUAUAAAUUUUAUACCAUUUAUUUAUCAAUUAUCUUAUUUAUUUAAUAAAAAUCUAUUUAACAACAAAUAAUAAUAUUACAAAUGUACAUAUAUAUUUUAUUUAUAAAUGUACAUUAUCAUCUAUACCAUACAUUUGUCAUCAUUUAUUUUAUUUAUCACACAAAAAAAUCUUAUAAUUUAAUUUUUUUAUCGAAUAAAUAUCUAUCUAAUAAUUUAAUAUAAUUAUUACAAAUGUAUAUACUUCUAUCAAUACAUUUGUAUUAAAUCACUACCAUACAUUUGUCUUUGUUUAACUUAUUUCAUAAUAUAAUAAUAAUAACAAUUAAUAUAAUUUAUUAUUUAAUAUUAAACCUUAAUGAUUAUCAAUGAAAUUUUAAUGAAAAAUAUCACAUAAAAAUCUUCAAUCUUACCCAGCUUACGCCGCCUCAUACUUAUGAAUUGGCUUAAUUAUCAUUUUGAUCCUUUAUACUUUCUUUUAAUCUAUAAUUAAACUUUUACCCUUUACUCUAUUUAGUCACUUUUCCUAAUUAUUCUUAAUUAGACUAAAUUCACCUAAUUAAUACCUAAUUAAGCACUCAACUAAACUCAUAAUUACUUCUAAUAAUUAUUUAUGACUCAGUUUACUAAGACGGUGGCCUGAUAAUGUACUUUUCAGAUGCUUGUGAAUUUUGGGUCAUUAUAACCAUCCUUCCAAAAACACGCAGAUCUUAGGGGCAUUCGGGUCGGGUCAUCAGGUCAGCCCCAAAACGACGUUGUUUUGGGGCGUUUUGGAACACCUCGAAACGGUGUCGUUUUGGCACCCUAUUUAGCUAAAAACAAAAGCUUCAAAAAAUUAUUUUUAAAACAGUUUAAAAAAAACACUUUGUUCUUUUUUUUUUCUCUCCAUCCCUCCCAAUCCGGCCUAGGGAGCCGCCAAGCUUCGCCGUGAUGGCCACCAAUCGCCGGUGACAGCUCCAUCUUCCACGGUGGCCAAAAAAUGAAAAAGGUACAUUUUUUCAGCCUUUUGACUUCCAAAGCCCAGAUCUGAGGACUAAGAGCCUAAAAAGGUAAAAAAAAAGAAAAAGAAAGUUUCGAUUUUUUUCUAUUCGCCUUUUUAAAAAAUAUAUAUAUGUUUUUUUUUCUUUUGAAAAAAGAAAUAAACAAAAAAAUGAAAUCACUUGAUCUGUUUUGAUUUCUUUUUUCGAUUAAUCUCAUUUUUUAAUAUUUUUUCCCCAAAAAUACUUUUUAAUCCGACCUUUAUAGCUGAUUUUUACAUAUUAUUUUUAUAUUUUUCUACUGUUUCAUACUGUUCAUUGCGUGUGUUGCUUCUUCUUGGCAGGGGUUGUUGGCAGUAGCAGAGGUAGGGUGCAGCGCUGACAUGGGAUGAGCAGCGGCGCCAGGGGCUAGGGGCUAAGGUUUCUUUUUUCUAAAAAGAUGUUUUGGGGAUAGAGUAAUUUUUUCCUGGUAUUGUCGAAUCUCGACUUCUUUGGUGUUUCUCUUCUUCAAGUAGCCUCAUUCUAACCCACUGCAACUUUAGGGAUAUGAGAAUUGUAAUUUCAAUCUACUCCGUUGCAACCUCAGAGAGAUGAGAUUUGUAGCUUUAAUCUGCUUCACUGCAACUUCAAGGAGAUAAGAUUUGCUAUCUUCAAUCUGCUCUACUACCACUUCAGGGAAAUAAGAUUUGUAGUUGUAAUCUGCUCCACUGCAACUUCAGGGAGAUAAGAUUUGCUAUCUUCAAUCUGCUCCACAGCCACUUCAGGGAAAUAAGAUUUGUAGUUCUAAUCUGCUCCAUUACAACUUCAGGGAGAUAAGAUUUAUAGCUUUAAUCUACUCCACUGCAACUUCAGAGAGAUAAGAUUUAUGGUUUUAAUCUGCUCUACUACAACUUCAGAGAGAUAAGAUUUGCUAUCUUCAAUAUGCUCCACUGCAACUUUAGGGAGAUAAGAUUUGUGGCUUUAAUCUACUUUAUUGCAACUUCAGAGAGAUAAGAUUUGAUAUCUUUAAUCUGCUCUACUGCAACUUCAAGGAUAUAAGAUUUGCUAUCUUCAAUCUGCUCCACUGUGACUUCAGGAAGAUAAGAUUUGCUAUCUUCAAUCUACUCUACUACGACUUCAGGGAGAAAAGAUUUGCUAUAUUCAAUCUGCUCCACUGUGACUUCAGGGAGAUAAGAUUUGUGGUUUUAAUCUGCUCCACUACAACUUCAGAGAGAUAGGAUUUGUGGCUUUAAUCUGCUCCACCGCAACUUUAGGGAGAUAAUAUUUGCCACAAUAACUUUAAUCCAUCCCAAUGCAACUUCAGGGGUAUAGAAUUUGUGGUUCCACUAAUCUAUUACACCGUUCUCUAGGGAAUAUGACCUUUAAAACCCAUUUCAUGGGCCUAUAUUUAUGCAAAGCGAUUAGGAUACUAUGAUCAAAAUGAAUCAAAUGCUCCUAACUAGAUGUGUAUGAAUGAUAUUUGCAUGAAUGCAUAAUGUCAUUUUUUGAGAAUGAUCCCCUUUUAAUGCUUAGGUUGACAUUGCUCGUUGUUCAUCAAGGUUCUAUUACUAGCAUAUUACCUUGCUUCUUGUUUAGUUGGUAUCUUUGACAGAAAACUCGAAAAAAUAAUCACAAUUUAGGGUCCGUUUAAUUGCCAGUAAAAUGUUUUCCGUAAAAUGAUUUUUGGAAAAUGUUUUACUUUUCUGUAAAAUGAUUUACUAGAAAAUAUUUUCUGGUGUUUGAUUGAAUCUGUGUAAAAUAUUUUUUGCUGUUUGAUAGAUUUCCUGAAAAUAUUUUCGGAAAAGUUGUUUUUACAUAUAUUAAUAUAUAUUAAUAAAUUUUUAUAUUUUAAAUUGUUUUUACAUAUAUUGGAAUGAUUUAUUUAUAAUAAUACUCAAUUAUUAAGCUACAAUAUUAAUCGUUAUAAAUUGAAAAAAAACUAAUAUCAAAUAAAUUAUUUAUAAUUGUGUUAAAAAAACAAGUAUUGAAUAAUUAUAAAUUGCUUCGAAACCACAACGAAUACUAGAAAUAAUAUUAUCCAAAUACAUAAUUAGUAGUACACCACAUAGUAACAACAUUGUCCAAGUGCAUAAUAUUACACCACAUAAAAGUAUCAAUAUCUUCAACCAUGAGAAAAUUUUUGAAGCCAAAUUUUUCUAUGCUUCUUACUUUUAACUAAAAAAGCUUUGGUUAAUACAAUACUUCAAUAUAUUUGAUAAGCAUAUGAAAAUGAAAGCAUGACAAAUUAGUUUUCUUGUAGGAAAUUGCAAUUACUGCAAGAUUUUGUUAUAUAUUAUUAGGAUUUCAAUAUCAUGUAUAAUUAAUUAAUUAAUCCCUCAUUAUAUAUUUAAUCAAGAAUUUGAAUGGAAAAUUUGAAUGAAAUUCAUUUAAAAAUCAAUAUAUUAUUAGGUGUAAUACUUUAAUAUUUAACAUAUUAUUUAUAAAAAAUAUACAUUAACAGUAAAUAUUAUUUUUUAUUGCAAAAACAUUAUUAAAAAUGGUGAUGCCUCUUUUUUAAAAUAUAAAAAAUUAAAUUAUAAAUUGCUAUCAAGUGUGUUUUCUUUUUUUAUUUCGAAAUUUUAAACAAAAAAAAAGGAAAAAUGUUAUAAAAAUUUUUUAUUUCUAUUUUUUAUAAUUUUUUAAAUUAAAAAUUGAUUAAUUUUUAUAAAAAAAAUAAUGUUUAAGUGCACUGCUAUAAUUGCCAUAAUCUCAAAUGUCCAACAUAAGUUUGUUUGCUCUAUUUUCAGCAUGAAAAAAGCAUUCAAAUGUUUAUAACAAUAUCAACGAAAACAACAAUCCAAGACCUUUUUAAUGUGCGUAAAACAUCUGAUUAACUGAAACCAAACUUUAGCAUUCAAAUGUUUAAUGAAUAUUCUCAAAAAACUGAAACAGAUUGAACAAAGGAAGUUGGCAAAAGCCAUGUGGGGAUGGCAAACUCAAAUUCCAGAUAUCGAAUGAACAUUCUGAUGAAACACAAGCGAAAGAGCUCAUUCUGAUGAAAUAGAGGCAUUGAUGUUACUUAAGGACCUUCCUUUGUAGUCAAACAUGCUAGAUAUCAAAUGAACAUUCAUCACCCCUUUUCUCUAGCAUCAAAUACUAACAGAUCAUUAAGUGCUAACAAAUACUAACAGAUCAGUAAAUGCUAACCAGAGAAAGGCACAUAUGCCAAUUCAUACAUUAAUCAUACAUUGCUCACUUUACAAUCAGUUCACAUUCGGAUGCUAAAUCAUGCCAAAAUUACCAAAAUUCAUGACAUAGGCACAUAUGUAUUUACCUACCAUCAACCAAAUAUAACAGUUCAUCACUGCCAUUUUGCAAAUAAUUCAACAAAGAUCUUAUCACUGUUUCGUUUUUCCUUACAAUUUCAAGGAUUUGAAGGAUCAUAAUCUCGUAUGAUGAAACUCAAUUUGAAUGAAUAAAUGAAUCGAUCAACAGCUUAUGUUUAGGAAUUUUCAAUUUCGAAGCAGUUUACUAUGGAUAAGAACAGAAGUCACAUUGGACCAAAAGUAAAAUCCUACGUUCGAAAUUCAAAGUUCAAACCGUCAAACAAUGACUAGACCUAAAUUAACAAUUAGGCAUCAAAGCAAAACUUCAAACGUUGAAUUGAAGGUCACACAAUACUGUAAAGGUAGGGGGUUGCUAUGCUAAAAUUCAAAUCGAAACUCUAAAUAUUGUCGACUUUAUAGUCAAAUUACAAAGAUAAAAGAUGGGUUUCGUACAAAAUUAACCAUGAAAAUGGCUUGAAGCAUUCAUGAAUCAUGAGACCAUUACCAGGAAGUAAAGCACCAAAAUUAAGCAUUCAGCAAAAGACAGCUUACUAUAAAUGGCUAAAGCAUCCGUUAAGAGACCUUACUCUAAGUCUGAAAACCAACACAAAACAAGGGUUCUUUUACUUUUAUUCAGAAACUUCCUAGUUCACAUACAGAGUUUGCUCCUAGGCCAUUGCAUCUCCAUUCAAUGUAUUAUUCCGCUAAUAAAGAAAAACCACAAAAACAUUCUUUCCACAACCAACUGGGAAAAGAAAAGUAAAAUAGGUUCAAUUAUAUAUUCCCAUUCAACAGGAUACAACAUAUAUACUCAUUCUCUACACAGAACAUUAUGUAUAAAGAGGGCAGAAUAUAAAUCAACAACAAAGAUGAAAACAUUAUAUUUACAAAAGAUUACUAGAGAUAAUACAACCAUAAAGAUCAAUCCUUUUUCCAGAAAACAUUAUAUCGAACAUUAUAUCGAACACACAAACGGCCACAGAAAUAUUACUUUGAUUACAAAGCCCAUUAAUCAAAGUUGAAAAAAUUACAACAUCAGGCUCAACACCUAACUUCAGCAUUUUCCCCAAAACAGAAAACCCAAAAUCAAUUCGACCUAAUUGACAAAAGCAAUUAAUCAAGAUGCUCACAGAAUAAACAUCAUGGGAAACACCUAAUAAUUCCAUCUGGCUACACAUAGAAACAACAAUGGCAUAAUGUUUAAUUCUAACAAUGGCUGCAAACAAUUUAGUAAAUUCCACAAUUGAAGGCUUUGGGUACUUUUCAAUCAUCUUAUUGAACAAACUCAAAGCAUGAUCAACAUUAUCGAAGCGGUGGUCUGUUUUUCCCUUUCCUCUAACAGGCAUGGACAUGGGUUUCUUACUUAGGCAGUCGAAAAGAGUAGAAAUUAGAAAGAUGGCUUCCAACAUUAACAACCAAACGAAGAAUAAAAGAAUAAGGAAGCCUACCUAUCAUUUAAAAGCAGAAAUGGCAGCGGCAGUAGCAGCCAAAAAGAAAUGAAAAAUAAACGGAGCAUAAAAGCCAAAAAGAAAUGAAAAAUAAACGAAGUAACAGUCGAAAAAUAGAAUUGCAACGUACCAACAGCGGUUUCCAGUUCUGAACCAAAAUGAAGCUUUCAAGAACGAAAAUUUGAAGGAAUGAAGGAAGGGAGAAUAAUGGAUGAAGGGAGAAGAAUGCCUGUGAGCUUUAGGAAAAUGUCUUACGGAGAUUGAAUCGGUAAGAUAAUUUCCCAAAAAUUGUAAGGCAUUUUCCCAUGUUUUGGAGUUGAUUUUCCAAAAGGAAAAUAUUUUCCUUCAAUCAAACACUGGAAAAUGGGGAAAACCAAUUCUGGAAAAUAUUUUCCCCUAUCAAAUAGACCCUUAAACUAUUUGUUUCCAAACAUUUCCAACUUUCAGAUUUGGUCGGUUCUGACUAGUGGUCCUGUUUCAAGUCAUUGUAUUAUUUAGAAAAUCUUUCAGAGCAAUAUGCAGAAAUCCUUUUACUUGAAUAUUAUUAGUCCAUUAAUCAUUAUUUCAAUGAAAAAUGCUUGAAAAUGAUCGUAACAAUGGACAAGAUUGAAAUUUAUUGGGAGUAGAGCUUGAAAUGAAUAGUUAAUCAAAAAUACCAAACAUUACUAAGAUACAAAAUGAGUAAGAGUAAAAUAGAUGCCCUACAUAUCGUAGCAUGAGCUUUUCCGCACUAGCUUUACGAUGACCUUUUUUAAGUCUGAUAUGUGUUUAGGAGAUCCAUAGUACAGUGUUGAUGCCCUAAUAUAUAACGUUUUUCCUUCUGAAAAAACUCGACCAUCACAUGUUCAAUCUUCAAUCCAAAUUUGAGUUGCCUCUUUUCUUGGGUUUUCAACUCAAAAACCCCUUUGGUUUCAAUGUGCCAUUUGCUGGUUUUCGCCUUGGCCUCUCCCCAUUUUUUUAGGUGAAGUAUUUCUUGACUGAAUCAAAAUUUACAAGAUUAGGAAGGCUUUUGCCAUCCAUCUCAGUCAAAAUUAAUGCUCCUCUAGAAAAUGCCUUCUUUACCACAUAAGGUUAUUCCCAAUUUGGCAUCCACUUUUCUAUGAAAUCCUUUUAUAUGGGAAGGAUCUUUUUUAAUACCAGGUCCCCCUCAUAGAAUUCUCUAGGGUGAACCUUUUUGUCAUAAGCUCGCAUCUUUCAUUUUUGGUACAUCUAACUAUGAAGGAUUACUUUUAACCUCUUUUUUUUCAAUCAAAUUCAGUUGAUUAUAUCGAGAUUGGAUCUAUUUUGGUUCAUAUAACUUCAACUCUAACAAAACUUGGAGAGAAGGAAUCUUGACUUCAAUGGGCAAAAUCACAUUUAUUCCAUAAACUAAUGAGAAAGGCGUUGCCCCAGUGAAGGUCCUGCCAAGCGUUCGAUAAGCUUAGAGGGCAAAAGGUAACUUCUCAGGCCAAUAUUUAUAAGUCUCAGUCAUUUUCCCUACGAUUUUUUUAAUGUUCUUUUUGGCUGCCUUCACCGCACUAUUCAUUUUUGGGCGAUAUGUAAUGAGUUGUGGUGUUUGAUCUUGAAUUAACUAUAGACAUUUGUUAUUGUGCUGUUGUUCAAGUUCAAUGAAUUGUCAGAUAUAAUUAUUUCUAGCAUAUUAUAUUGACAUAUGAUCUCUUUCUUCAAGAAUUUGCUGACUGCUGACUUCGCGACAUUGGCGUAAAAAGUGGCUUCUACCCACUUGGUGAAGUAAUCAAUGACCACAAAGAUGAAUUAAUGUCCGCUGAAAGCUUUUGGAAAGGUCGACCCAAUGACAUCCAUGCCCCACAUAGAGAAAGGCCAUGGAGAAGUCAUAACAUGAAGAGGUGAAGGAGGCACAUAAAUUUUGUCUCCAUAAAUUUGGCACUUAUAACAUCUCUUGACAUAACUGAUACAAUAUCCUUUUAUGGUGGACCAAUAAUACCUGAAUCACAUUAUUUGCCUGGAUAUUGUAAAACCAUUAGCAUGUGUUCCGUAGACACCCUCAUGGACUUCUUCUAAGAUUUUCUUAUCAUCAACAGUGUCCACACAUCUUAGUAGCACCUGAUCUUUUCUUCUUUUAUAUAAGAUCUCCUCAUCUAAGACAUAGUCAUUGGCCAGUCUUCUCAACGUCUUUUUAUCAUUUUCAAUUGUUUGAUUGGGGUAUUCAUGGUUCUUUAUAUAUCGCAGUAUAUCGUGGUACCAAGGGUAAUCAUCCUUUUCUUCUUCUUCUAUGUUGUAACAAUGAGCCAGAGCCUCAUAAAUACUCAUAUGGAUAGGUUUUACAUCCUCUUGUUUGUUCACUUUGAUCAUAGAAACUAAAGUAGCUAGGGCAUCAGCCAUCUGAUUUUCAUCUCGCGGGAGGUAGCAAAAAGUGAUGCCAUCAAACUCCUCAAUUAACUCAAGAAUCAAUCUGCGAUAACUGAUCAAUUUGGGCUCUCUCCUCUCCUAUUCACCUUUGAGUUGAUAGAUCACGAGUGCAGGAUCCCCAUAUACAUUUAGUAUUUUGAUAUUGCGUUCUAUGGCUGCAUGGAUACCCAUGAUGCAUACUUCGUAUUAUGCCAUAUUGUUUGUGCAAUCAAAAUCCAAUUUACUAGUAAACGGAUAAUGAUCUCCGUUUGGGGAUACCAAGACUACCCCGAUUUUGUUACCUAUAACAUUUGAAGCUCUGUCAAAAUUUAGCUUCCAAGGAUGUUUGUCUUGAGAAUCUUCUUCGGUGGUUACAACAUACAUAAGAUUUUCAUUUGGGAAAUCAAAGUUCAAAGGCUCGUAAUCUUAUAAGGCUCUACUGGCUCGAAAAUCUCUUAUUGCACUCCCUUUCAUUACCUUCUAGUUCACAUAAGUUGUAUCAAAUUUAGAAAGCAGAAUUUGCCAUUGGGUCGUUCUGCCAUUUAAAGCAGUUGACUCCAUCAUGUACUUUAGAGGGUCCAUUUUUGAGAUGAGCCAAGUUGUGUGGUACAACAUGUACUGUCUCAGUCUUCGGGUUGUCUAGAUUAAGGUGCAACACAACUUCUCAAUUGGCGAGUAUCGUGUCUCACAUUCAGUGAACUUCUUACUAAGGUAGUAUAUCGCUUUUCUUUCCUUAUUGACUCUUCAUGUUGGCCAAUCACACAUCCCAUAAAAUUCUCAAAUAUGACCAAAUACAGUAUCAGUAGCUUAUUUAGACUAGGUGGCAUCAGUAUUGGAGCAUUGGACAAGUAAUGUUUGACAUUGUCGAAAGUCUUUUGGCAUUUUUUAUCCCAUACACCUGGACUAAGUUUCUUAAGGAGACGAAAUAUAGAGUCACAUUUCUCAGUUAAUUGUUAAAUGAACCGGGCGAUGUAAUUUAAUCUCCCUAAGAAACCUCAGACUUCCUUUUGAGUGCGCGACAGAGGCAACUCCUAUAUAGCCUUGGCUUUAUCUGGGUCAAUUUUAAUCCCCUUUUCGCAGACUAUAAAACCUAACAAUUUUCCCGAUCUAGCCCUGAAGGUACAUUUUGUUGAUUGAAUUUUAGCUGAAAUUUUCUCAACCUCAAGAAUAAUUUCCUCAAGACUUGUAAGUGCUCCUUUUCUGUUUAGGAUUUUACAAUCAUAUCGUCAACGUAAACGUCGAUUUCUUUGUGCAUCAUAUCAUGAAAUAGGGUUACCAUGGCUCUUUAAUAUGUCGCUAUUGCAUUUUUUUGUCUGAAUGGCAUCACUUUAUAGCAAAAGGUUCCCUACAUAGUUACGAAUGUGGUAUUUUCCAUAUCUUCAGAGUGCAUCUUUAUAUGGUUGUAACUGGAGAAGCCAUCCAUAAAGGAGAAUAGUGAAUAACCUGCCGUGUUGUCCACUAAGGUAUGAUAUGAGGCAACAAAAAAUUAUCUUUUGGGUUAGCCUUGUUUAAAUCCUUGUAGUCUACACAGAUUCGUAAUUUCCUAUCUUUCUUAGGGAUGAGGACUAUAUUGGCUACCCACUCCGAGUAUUUAACCACUUGUAGGAAACCAACGUCAAAUUGGUUCUUGACCUAUUCUUUUAUUUUUAACAAGAUGUCAAGCGUCAUCCUUCGAAGUUUCUAUUGAACCGACUUGCAUUCUACUUUUAAAAGAAACCGGUGUACCACGAUAUCAGUACUUAGACCAGGCAUGUCUUGAUACGACUAUGCGAAGACAUCUUUGAAUUCUUGGAGUAACUCAAUGAGGUAUUGCUUUGUCUCUGCAGUGAUGCAAGCUCCGAUCUUUACUUCUUUCAUUUCUUGUCCGUCUCCUAAGUUCACAAUUUUUAUUGACUCUUUGUGAGGUAGAAUUUGUUUCUCCUCUUGUUCUACCAUCCUUAACAAAUCAGGGGAUAGGUUACAAUCUCGAUCAUCUUCAAAGUCUUGAGGUUCCUCUAAACACAUAUCUUGCUCAAAAGGAGAUUCUGAGUCAGUAGCAGUGUCAUUCAUAUCAUUGAUAUCUGGAAACCUGUUAUAGGAAUGAAUGAAGACCUGAAGAAUAAAUGAAUCUAAGAGUAAUUAUUUGUGUGGUAUAAGUAUGAAUGAAAUGGAAAGAAUAAAAGAUUGUUUGCAAGAAUGAGACACAAAGAUGCAUUUUAUUAAAAUAAAAAUAAUAGACAUAUGUCUUUUUCACAAAAGGAUUCUUAUUGCUCCCUAGCUUAGAACAAUAAAUGUGUUUUGAAUAUUACUCUGAAUUAGUUCUAAAAAUUACAGGGAUCUUAGUAUGAAUAAUUUUCUAUUGAUUUAUAAAAAUAUAAAAGACAAAAACAUACUCAAAUAAUCAUAUAACUUACUUUGAAAAUAAAAUGGAUUUUUGGCGAUUCCCUAAGUGAGUUGGAAUCCAAUUAAUGAGUGACACCAACUCAAUAAAAAGCUUAAUAAAUAGUGUCGAUAAAUUACAUCAUCUAUCUCUCAACUUUGAGUAAACUUUUGUUUUGAUCGCUUAACUAAAAAAUAUUACAAUUUAAUUAUAGACUUUUUUUUUUUGCUUUCUUCUACUUUUCUUGAGCUAAAAGACUAAUGGUGAAACUUUUUAAAUUGGUAUAAUAAUAAUUUUAAGCUGAAUUUUAACCCUCUUCUUUUAUUCUUUCUAAACACAAUUGAUUUGCUUGGAAGUGACAUGAUAGUUUAUUUAUUACAUAAUUAUCCCAUGGCUAUUGCACAAAAGAUAACCCAAGAAAGUUUUUAUAUUAAAAUAGGCUCAUUUGACCUAUAAGAAUUCGCUCAAUUUGAAGAACAAGUGACGAAGUCUACAAAAUAUUUUGAUUUUAAUUUAUAAUUUAGUAUUCCAUUUUUUUCCAAUUAAGUAGUUAUAUUUUAUUUCCAUUACACAUCAACAUUUGAAAAUUAAAAAAUAAAUAUAAAAUUUCCAUAAAACAGUAUAGAGUAAACUACACUCAACUCAACUAAUUAUGGGUGAUUGUUUUUGGUCAACCAAUUAUGAAUUUGUUUAAUUUUUGAUCAUCCAAUUAUAAUUUUUUUAAUCUGGUCACUCAAUUAAUUGAGACAGUAUUUUUUUUGUCCAUUUCCAUUAAUUGCACUAAUAGGAGGGUGUGAAAAAUAAAUAUAAUAAUAAAUUUAGCCCUCAACUUUUACAUUAUAUCGAUUUAAUCACAAUUUUUGAAAAAUAGCCUUCAAAAUUUACAAAUAGUCUUGAUUUGAUUCUAAUUUUUUUAAAAAAAAAUUAAAGGAAUAUAUAGAAAUACAUAAAUAUUUUCAAAAAGUAUAAUAAUAAAUUUAAAUUUGUAUAAUAAUAUUGAUAUUAAAUAAAAAUAACUAUAUUAAUAUUAAAUAAAAAUACAUAAAUAUUUUCAACUUAUUUAAUAUAGAAUUUUUUAUUUUUAAAAAAUAAUUUUAUAAAGAAUUAGGGUUAAAUUGACAUAAAAUUUAAAAGUUGAGGACUGAAAUUGUUAACUACAAAAGUGUCACUUUUAGCCAUUGAAUGGUUGGGUGAAAAAAAAACAAUUUGAAAAUGUCAGUGGCCAAAUUGUAACUUUUUAAAUUAAAUGAGACAUAAUUGAGGGACUAAUAGUGUAAUUUAUCCUUUGCUUUAAAGAUAUGGAUUAGUUCACAUUUUUUUGGGUUAAUGUGUUAUUAAAAGAUUAAAAUCCAAAUAUCAUUUUUCUUCUUUUCUUUCCCGUGACUGGUUCCGCUUUUAUCGUCAGGCAUCUUUGGUUUUUUUCCUUUUUGCUUUUCUAGUGCUUUUCUUCUGAUCGGCGAUCACCGCCGCCGCCAGCACCACCACCACUUCUUCUUUUUUUUUUGGUGAAAUCUUCUUUUUCUUUUUCUUUCAAAAGCCAAUAGCAGUGUCAGAAGGAUCGGACACAUAUCAUGUGUCCUUACCCGCGUUGCGACAGAAUUUUUUUCAUAUGUUUGAAAGAUCAGCACAGGUAUUUAUGUUUAAUACGCAUCACAAAACCUUGAGUUAUUUCUGCAAGACCUAGAGAACAAAAAUGGUGAAACUUGAAGGUAGCUUAGAAGAACCCAAAAGCAAUAAACGAAAGCUAGACAAAAGGUAGCUUAGAAAUGCCUUCAUUUCUUCUAAUGCUGGGGAGAGUGCAUAUUUGCUGGGAAAAUCACCAAAGAGUUUAGUGGAGUAUUAAGCUUGUUGCUUAACGGUACUUCCAACAUUGGGUUGAGGGAGACCAAUUGUUUUGCAAACACAAUGGCUAUGGAUGGGAUGGAAAGGAGGGGUGCUCGUCCGGUUAACCGAUCCCGAAAUAGCUAUAAACUUUUCAAAAUUUUUAACUGUUAAUCGAAUCGAAAUUUUUUUUGGUUAAUUCAGUCGAUUAAUUGAAUUAACCAAAAAUUAUAUUUUUUUAUUUUUGGUUAAAAAAAUAUUCGAAUUAUCUAAAUUACCUGAAUUAACCGAACACAAAUUCAUGUACUACUUUCAGAAAACCUCAAUGUGCCUUGCACUUGCAUUACCCCAAAAAAGAAAUGGUAAAAUUAUAAUAGAGAAGAAGCCAAGAGGGGUUUAUUAUAUUUCUCAAAGAAGAAAAGAAUGAAAAAACAAAUAUUUAGAGUUUUCCAUUGGAGAAAGAUUGACCAAAACUGAAGGGGAAACAUGAUGCAGCUCCAAUCAGAAAGAUACGUUAAGGCAGGAAUGUACACUUAAAGACAUUGGCAGCAUUGAAAAAGAACAGUUUAGGCACCAGUCUUGGAGACUAAUGGAGUUCCUCUGUGCAAUUCCCAUUCGUGUGUUAACUAAGAAAAACAUAAAUAGCUUAGGCUAUCUUAUUCUAUGUUUGUAUCACACAAAUUCUCUUCUUUAUAUUAUUUGUUUCAGAGGGUACUUGUCUUCUUCCAUACCACCAGUGAUUUGAGGAACUCCAUAACCUUCAAAACCCUUAAUUGAAGAAUACAUAAAAUAUCUUCACAUACUUUGCUUUGUAGAAUACAUCUCAGAUUUCCCAUAAUUGAAGACAUGCAAGGUUUCAAGGAAAUAUCUCACUUAAUAUGUAUUCACACACACAUAAAUAUAUAUAAUGUUUUCUUAGAGAAAACUAAAAACUGGGUAGGCAUUGUUCACCCUUGUGUAAUCUAAGCUGAGAUGGAAAAAAGCUGUUCAAAUGAAAAGCAAGUUAUAAAAGAGAAGUAAGCUUAAAACACAGAGUUGAAAACAGUGUUCCAAGUUAAGUCCCAAGUACAUGAGCAGCUAAAAAUUUUGCACACCUCCAUUGGAAAGCUCAUGUACGCUUAAAGGUAGGUGAUUGUAAUAUACCGUUGGUGUCUUUAUUUUUUAUGUUUUAGAGUUGCGCUAAAAUGAUAAGAUAGAAACUUAAUUAAGGGUUAUUUAAACAGAGUGUAAUACUUUAAUAACUUUUUUUAAUAUAUUAACCAUUGGUAUUCAUCUAAUAAGAAAGAAAUGACAUUCAGUUGAAGCUCACAAUGAAAAAUGGUUGUGUCAGUCUAUAUGGCUACCACUUUUCUACUACUUUUAAUAAAGUUCAUAUUUAUUUCUAGACAAGCAUAUCUUAUACAUGUGCGGAGGAUAAGUUAUUGCUACCAAUUACUUCAUUUACUGCUCCAUUAAUUUUCCUAUUCAGAAAGCUCUACUAGAGCAGUGACUUGAUCAUUCCACCAUCUUCAAAUAUGUUUCCGCCACUCUAUAUCACUACCAAUUGGCCAUGCAGUUUCUUGAGCUGUAGCAGAUUCUUCCACUAUAAUUUCAUCAACUGAUUGGCUUGCCUGCAAAGCAAAUUAAACCUUCACUUAUUACUGUUUGCUUUUGAUGAUUGGUGAUGAGGAAAACAAAGCCAGUUUUCCAAAAUUGGACAAAGGAUGACAUAUUAAGAACAAGAAGUGUGAAUUGAAAAUAAUAAUGCGACAAUGAUAUCUAGAAAGAAAUAUUGACAGCCAACAGAAACCGAUUACAGUUGAUGCAAUUUCAUUUAGUCAUUUAAAGCAUUUAAAAAAAAAAUCUCUCAGGCAACCAAAAUAAAAAUAUUGCAUUAAUGCAUAGAAAUUAAAGCUUAGUAUUGGGCGAAUACAUAGAGAAAAUAAUUGAAUGGAUGAAUUUCUGUUUUAAAGCUUAUUGUUGAGUUUGGAAGAGUAGUGUACCUGUGUUUUGGCAUGCACUGAUUUCUCUGAAUCAACACUAAAUCUUGUGGUUAUGUUGGGACAACCUUCUACUCGUAAAUCCGUCAAAGAUGGGAAAACAAAAUGAUAACUCAUAGGGCCGAAGCUCACGAGGUUUGAUAGGUCAUCAAGCUGUAAGUAGGUUAAUCGAUAUAGGUGCAUCACUUUCUCUUCGUCCUUACUCACAUUUGACUCAUCUCCUUCAAACACCUGCUCUAAUUUGGAGACCCUUAUAAGGUAUAAUCGAUCUAGGUUUGGAAGGCCACCAUGAGCAAGAGUAAUGGGGAAGAGACAUUUCAAGUUUUCACAGUUCAUGAUUGUAAUCGAACUCAAAUUAAGGAAGCAAAUAGGUUGGAGAUGAUGUUGUGAUGGAGUUUGAUCCUUCUCAAUUAUUUGCUCCAAUUCCUCACAGGUAGAUAUAUACAGCCUCCACAAUUGUGGCAAAUUUCGAGCGAUGGUAGGUGAGAAGAUGCAUCUUAACCUUCUGCAAUCAUCGACUGUCAAUUGAGUGAGAUUUUGAAAGUGUUCAACUUGGAUGGGACCACUCCAUAUCACCCGCAAUUCAAUUAGUUCGGACAACGUUAGCCUCUCCAGACUUGAAAGAUUAUAUCUAGGAUAUUCAAAUAACUCUUCAAAAUUGGAAAUUGAUGUUCCUCCUCUCCUUUCAGGGACUGUCACGUUGCUUGUUUGCUUCUUUUCUGUCAUCUCCGAGAAGGACAAUUCCUAUAAACAUAUCAUCAAUUUAAAAAUAAGCACAAGAUUUCUUUUUCAAUCUUUUAUAGUCAAAGAAUUCAAUUUUUUAAAAAAGUUUACUGUUCAACUCAAAUAAUCAUAAAUUACAAAAAAAAUCUCCAAAAAUAUGGUGCAAAAACACAACAUAAAUAAUAAUAAUACGUAGUAGUAGAUAGUGUUUGCAAUAUAUAUAUAUAAGAACAAUUUAUUCUUUGCAAAUUAUAUAUAUUUCUCAUAUGGAUUAUAAAAGUAUUCAGUUGAAAUGUUGUUUAUGUUACUAAUUGGUAUUGUAAUUAACUAAACUACUUAAAAGGUUUAUUUAGAUUAGUUUUUAGACCAAAAUUCUAAAAUGAAAACUAUUUUUUAAUGAGUUAUACAAGCAUUCAUUUAUUUUAUAAAAGAAAAUCAACAGGUGAAAAUUUUAAUAAAUAAUAUAUAUAAGGUGGUCUUACUUGUAUAUUAGUUGGAACGAUAAAAGGUGUCAAUUGAGGACAAUCUCUCACUCUUAACACGUUUAAAGAUGAUGAUGUCAGCACGAUGUCGUUUCUAUCCCUUCCUUUCAAUUGAGGCAAAUUAAUUAACUCAACUUCAUUCAAUCGUUCAAGACCUUGAGACAUUGAGAUUAACAUGUCUGGUCUUUGGAUUAUUUCUUGCAAUUGGAAACAGCUCUCUAUCCUCAGAGUUUGCAAUUGCCCAAGACUAUUAGCAACACACAUUGGGAAGAGAAGCUUCAACUUAUUGCAUUCUGUGACUUGUACUUCCCUUAGGCAUUGGAAGCUUAUGGUUGGUACUUGUGAGUCUUGGAUUAUUUCUUCCAUUCCAAAGCAUCUCCUUAUCCACAAAGUUCGCAAAUUGGGCACAUUUAGGCUUUUAGAGCUACCUUGAGCAACAAUAAUUGGAAAGAGAGACUUCAAGCUUUCACAUUCCAAGAUAUCAAGUAGAAUCAGAUUUGGAAAGCAAACAGGUAGGGGAUGAUGUUGUGAUGCCGUUUGAUCUUGCUCCAAUUCCUCAUAUUUACAUGAAUGCAAAUUGCUCAAUUGUUCAUUUGUCAUCUUCCCAAUCACCAAUUCCUAUAAACAUAUCAUCAAUUUUCAAUUUCAAAAUGUUCAAACAUGUCAACAACUAACUUAACAUUUCAUCAAUUAAUUUCCUUAGAAAAAAUUUAUUUUACCUUAAAUCAAUAUUAUACUCCAAAAAUGUGGUACAAAAACAGUCAUAAAUAAUAUCACAUAAUCUGUACAUAUAAAUUAUUGGACAGGUGUAACAACGCAAUUGGGCAUUACUUAAACUCAUUUUCAUAUAUUAAUACAAAAAUAAAAAACCACCUGUGUAAAAGGCUAUGUUUAAAAAAAAUUUAAAUAUAUAUUUUUUCUAGUUUAUUUUUUAAUACAAAUUCUAAAAUCAUCCAUAAUCCCUUCCCACAUUUAAAUAGAAAGAUACACGUGCUUGAGUGCACUCGAACUCACAUCCUUCUAUUCAGACAACAAUAUCGAUACCAACCAAACUAAGACUUGUAUAUAAUUCUAUAUAGCUUAUUUUUGUUUACCAUAAUAUAAUUUAGUAUUAGAUAAAUAGUUUGCAACAUAUCUAAAACAUAAAGUUUGGAUAAUAUUUUUUUUUUGAAAAUUUUAUUAAUCUUAUUAUAUGGUAUUAUAAUCAACUAAUUUGUUUAAAAGGUUAUUUAGAUUAGUUUUAGACCAAAAUUAUAAAAUAAAAUAUAUCUUUUGAACAACUAUUCAAACAACGAAUUAUUAAAGAAAAAAAAGAAACAAAUAAAUAAAUAAUAUAAAACAAAAAGAAAUAUCUUACCUGAAUCGUAGUCGAAAUAAUAAAAUGUGUCAAUUGAGGACAAUUGUGCACUUUUAACUUCUGCAAAGACGAUUGUGUGAGCAAAAUGCCGUUCACAUCCAUUUUUUUCAAUUGAGGCAAGUCAAUUAACGAAACCUGAAAUGAAAAGCAUAAUCAAAUUUCCUAAUCUUUGACCAUGGGACAAUAAGGAAAAGAAAUGUCAAGUUAUUGCAGUGAGAUACACAUACUUCCCUUAGACUUUGGAGUAGACAUUUGUAUGCUACUUGUCGGUCUUGGAUUAUAUCUUCCAACUGCGAGCAGCUCUUUAUCUUCAAAGUAUGCAAUUGCCCAAGGCUAUUAGCAACUGACAUUGGGAAGAUAUAUUUCAAAUUAUUGCAUCUCUCUAUUUCAACAAUCUUCAGACUUUGGAGUAGACAUUUGUAUGCCACUUGUCGGUCUUGGAUUAUAUCUUCCAAUUGCGAGCAACUAUUUAUCUUCAAAGUAUGCAAUUGCCCAAGCCUAUUAGCUACUGACAUAGGGAAGAUAUAUUUCAAAUUAUUGCAUCUCUCUAUUUCAACAAUCUUCAGACUUUGGAGGCUUAAAUAACGACUGGGCCAUUCUUGUUCUAUGCUCCUCCAUUCAGCAAUUGGGAAUAACACUUGCAUCUCACCACAAUCUGAAACUAUAACCUCUUCAAGCUUUUGUAAUAAACCUUGCGGUUGGGGAGCAUUGCACAUCUCUUCCAAAUGAAACAUAUGACUUAAUGAUAACUUCCUCAAAUUAGAGAGUGCAGUGAUUGGCACUUGCUGCUUUGAUGCAUCAAUUAGGCAUUGCAUAGAGCGGCACCGUCGAAGAUCUAAAGAAGUCAACUUUCUAAAUCCCAAGUCCAAGCUCGGAAUAAGGUUUGGGUGACCCUCCACCUUAUUCAAUUGAAGAGAUUCAACAUCUUCAAGUAGUUGCUUGCAUGCAUCUACAGACUUAUUGAUUCUCAAAGAUCUUGAGAUUGGACAAGUUUCGCUCUUUUGGUAUCUUCCUAUGCCAAUGCAAAAAUCAAAGCUCCAUAAUCUACGAAACAUAAAUCCAUCUGGAAGAUGUUCAGAAGAAAUAUCCAAUGAUAUUACAACCAACUUUGGCAAUGAAUUCAACUCUGAUAGGCUGGAAUAGCUUUCCCUUUUAGUUGAAUUCUCAGUCGCCCAUUUUAAUGAGCUACAACCAUGCAAGUAUAGUUCUUCUAAAUUGGACAAUCUUCGUAUUAAAUUAGGAGUGAUUCUUCGUAGUUCAUAACAAUACGAUAAAUCCAACAGUCUUAGAUUUUCCAAAUCACCAGCUUCAGUCGGCAAUUCAGUGAUAUCAGAUCGACUUAAAGAAAGAAUAUGAAGUGUCUUCAGCUUCCCAAGCAUUGAGAUGUCAGAGAGUUUACAAUCAAUCAAAUACAAAGUCUGAAGGUUCAUAUGAAACUGAAAUGUAGACAGAGAUAUCAACAGAUGAUUCAAAGCACAAACUUGUAAUGCCUUCAUACCCUCAAAGAAUUCGCUUGAAGUUUCCAUUAAACGAUUGCCACCAUGUAAAAGAAGUUUGAGGUAUGGAAAACCCACUCCUUUAGGAAGUUCAUCCGUUUGAUCAGUUUCGAAGGAGAUUGCUGUGUAAUGCUUGAAACUUUCAUCCAUCGGGAGUGUUUCAACAGUCCCAAAAGAAAUCUCCUUUCUUGAAGAUGCUAUCCACAAAGCAAAUUGGCGAACCACGUCAUGCAUUUUGACAUGCCUUUCUCCGCAAUCUAGCAACAAACCGGAGUUCUUGAGGGUCUCAAUUGAUGCAAGCACUUCACUUCUAACAUCUUUAAUUGAGUCCAUGCCUUUAUACAACUCCAGUCCCCAUGCAUAUCCUACCAAGUUCUCCACAUAAAUCUCAUCGUCUUCAGGAAAUAAAGAGCACAACAAGAAACAUGUCUUGGUCACCAUAUUCUUCAAGUAGUCGAAGCUCGCCUCAAGACAUACAUAGGCAUUUUCUUCAUUAACAUCCUCAAUUUCAGUCAAUCUACGUUCUUUGAGUCUCCGGUAUGCAGCUUGCCACUCAUGAUGGGUUUUACCUUUCAAGGCACUGCCCAGCGGAGCUAUAGCUAUAGGCAAACCCUCGCAUUUUUUGACAAUUUGAUUUGCUAGGAUUUUAAUAGAAUCAUCAGAAAAGUCAUCUAGACCUGCUUUCUUUUCAAACAGAGUCCAAGCUUCAUCAUCAUUCAAACAGCCAAGUUGUACCACGUUUUGACAAUCCAUAGCUUGACAUACUUGUUGACGGCGUGUUGUUAAAAGAACUUUGCAGCCUUUAUGAUCAUCCCCAAUUGGAAUUCCUAUCUUCUCCUUUAAGUUGAUAGAUUCCCAAAUAUCAUCAAGGAUGAUAAGAAUCCUCGGUUCAUUCUUCAGCCGUAACCAUAAUUCUUGCUCGGAUCUUCUUCCUUGUUCAUUCUUCAUACCAAAGCCUAUGUAUUGUGCAAUUUGAUCUUGAAUUCUCUCAAGAUUUGGCUUUUGAGACACAGUCGUAAUCACAACUUUGUCGAACAAAUUCAGUUUUUGAGCCUGACUUCCAACUUCACGAGCCAGGGUGGUCUUGCCCACCCCUCCCAUCCCCCACAACCCAAUCAUGUUGAUAUUCUUAUCUUUUAAGGCUUCAAUGAUUUGAUAGAAUGCAGUCUCUGAAGAUUUCGAAAACACAAAUUCUUUAGAACAUAGGAAAUCUAUAGUGGGAAGGGCAGUAGGAGCAGGGUAACCGACUGGUCCAAGUUGACCAAAUUUGUCCAAAAGCUCAGAGAUAUCCUGGAUUUUCUUCAUUGCUUUCUUGCUUAAUUGAUAUCUCCAACUCCAAUUAGGGCACCAAUUGAGACACCUCUUAUUCAGUUGGAUUUCCUCAUCCAGAGGUCCCAUAUCAGACAGUGUUUCGUCUGCCCUUGAUUGCAAGUUCUGUACAUCAUCUUCAAUUAGUAGAAGCCGGUUUUUAGCUUCGUCAAUCUUAAGUAGUAGACGCUUUCGUGCAUCUGCAAGUUCACGCUUUUUCUCUCGGAGCUUUUCAACAUUGUCAUGAAAGCGACAGAUAUAAUCAAGUUGACGUCCUACCGGCUUCACCACAUAGUUCACAACCAGUGUUCCAACUGUGUUAGAAAGGGCAGCCUCGCAAAAUCCGCAACCCAUGCUUGACAAGCUCAAAUUGAAGAAUAUGAUGUUCCAAGUUCAAACACUGUAGUGAAUCAUAAGUAAUUACCUUUAAAAAAAAUUAAAGAAUCAAAAAGUGUUUUGAAGAUUAAGACACAACUUCAUAUCCAUACCAAGGAUGGUGAAAGACAACUCAACCUAUGAGAAUCAACGUGCUGUUCUUUCAACUCAGUCGAGCUGAAAACACAAGAGAAAUUUAAUAAACAAAUAAAAUCAAAUACGAGUGAAAUGUCAUAUAAUUAUAACUAAAAAAGACAGUUAAUUACUUAUAAAAAUAAGAAUUCAAAAUAUUGUUACCCUCACACUAAUAAUAUUAUAGAUAUAAUGGUGGAAAAAAUAAUAAACAUAUCCACUUACCAUUUCAAAAUCCAAACAGUCUUUUAGCUCUUACUUGCUUCAAGAAAAAUAUAGAACAACUUCAAUUUAUAUAUAAAAAACAGAAAUGAAGCAUAUAUAAAAGAUUUACCUCACUUGGGAACUUUUAAAAUCAAACUACACUUAGGGAUCAGAAGAUUCUCACUUCAAAACAAUCAAAAGGGAGGGAUUUGAAGGUUGGUUUUUUUUUUUAGCAGGAGUAAGUAAAACUGAGUUUAUCUGCCUGGAAAAUUCAACCGCUCGGAAAAUUUUACUAUUUCAGUAUGACCUCUGAAUCUCUACGAUGCUCCGCCACUAAAAACUAAAUUUUCUUGUAGACAAACAAAGACAUGACAGGAUAGGAGAAAACUUAACAAAAAGGUCGGACUCUUCGGGUCAUAUUUUUACCCUGGUUUGCUCUAUUAGAAAAGAGUUAAUUACAUCAACCAUCUCUAAAUUAUGACUACCAAUUUAAAUUGGUCCCCAAACUUCAAUUUAUUCUAAUUACAUCUCCAAAUUAUCAAUACUAUAUCAAUCAAGUCCUUUUGUUAUUACGAUCAUCAAAUGACACAUCAAAUCUUAUGCAGCUGAAUUUAAAAUGAAAAAUUUAAGGAAAUAGAAUCAUAUUACAUAAUUUUUAAAAUUAAAAACAAAAAUUAAGUAAAAUUGAAAUUAAAAAAAAUGAAUGAUAAAACUUUCAUAAAAACUUCCAAAACCUUAAAACUAGGGGUUUUUAAAACAUUUAUUUUUAAAAUAUUCAUUUUUUAAAAUUUUCAUUUUAAAUUAUUAUAUCACAUUAGAUGUAACAUGUCAUUUAAUAAUUAAACUGGGUAAAACGACAUCUGUAGUCUCUCUCUUAAUUUUGAUAUUAAGCAAAUUGGUCCCUUUAAAAAAUCAAAUCAAUUUCGUAAGCAAGCAACUAAUGCAUUCUAUUAAUUUGAUCAUGAUUUAACAAAUUUAACCCGCAAUAUUUUUGUAAAUCCAUAAAUGUUGAGACUAAAUUUGUUGAUUUUAUUUACAAGUAAGACCAAACUAAAAAAAAUGUAAAUACCAAUGGCUAAAUUUGUUAUUAUACCAAUCAAAACUAUGCAUAAUUGAUAAGGAUUUAGUUACUAAUUGUCUAAAUUGACAAGGAUUUAGUUACUAACAUUAAAUUGUUCCUUUUUUUUUAGGGAGACUUAUUUACUCAAAUUCAAAAUUGAAAGCGAUUGGAGAGAUUUUUUUACCAUCAAAUUAAUAAUCUUGGUAACAUUUUUUUUAAAAUGUUAAAAUUUCCAUUCCUCGAAAUUAACAAUAAAUAAGAAUAGGCUUUUCAAAAUUCAUAUUUUUUUUUAAAUACAGAAUUUUCAAUGUUGAAAUCAUGGAUUUGGCUAUGGAAACCCCUAUUAUUUCCUUAAUAAUAAUUUGUUAAAAUAUGUUUAUAAAUAUAAUUUUAAUAUAAAAUAUUUUCAUUCACCCGUGUGUGAUAAAAUCUAAUAGAUAUAGAAUUGAUUUCUCUAUUUUAUUUAAAUACAAGUAUUGCAUAGAAUUGACUAGAAAAGUAUAAAGGAAAGCAAGAGUUAGAUAUGAGAAGUUUCUAUUUCAAUUUAUCAAUUCAUAUUAGUUGAUAAAAUUAUAAAUUGGAAGGAUAUAUUUCAUUACACAAAUAAAUAUAAUUCUAAAGAUUAAAAUUAAUUUAUUUAAAUUUUAAAAAAAAAUUAAAACUAAAAACUACCCAAUAGUAAUUGUUGAGUUUUUAUCUCUACUAAAUUUGGUUAAUGGAGUUGAGAGUGACACCAUGACUCUAUGUCAUAUAUAGAUUAUAUAUAUAUAAUGUGUUUGACUAAGUUGGUGUCACGAGUCAGUUAGGCACUAACUCAACCGUAAAAUAAUUAAAAUAUCCUUACUCUAAAAAGUAAUUAAUAUUAUUUUAAUAUUAAUAUAAGGGUAUUUUCAACUUUUCAUACUUUUAUUUAAUAUUCAAAUAAAACAACUCAAAGAUAGUAUUUAAGAAUCAAACACAAAACUAACAAAUUCUAUGAAAAAUUCUUGCCACUUCCAUAAUAUAAUGUGUUGAAAUAUUUUUAUAAAUAUUUUUAAUAUAAAAUAUUUCCGUUUGUGAUAAAAUCUAAUAGAUAUAGAUAAUAUAGAAUUGGUUUUUCGAUUUUAUUUAAUAAAAUGAACUUUAUAGCUUUUAUUUCAUUUUGUUUGUUUUAUUUUUGUCAAAUCAUUUAAGUUAAUAAAAUUAUGAGCGAGAAAAACUAGAUUCAAUUAAAAAAAAAUUGAAAAAAAUUAAAUUUUAAGUUAAUUGAAUUGAUUUGAAUUUUACAAUUCAAUUUUGCUUUAAAAAAUUAAAUUUUAAGUUAAUUGAAUAGAUUGGUGUAAAUACCUCUUUAAUCCCUAUCAAUUUUCAAAAUGAGCAAAUUAGUUUCUUUCAACAAACAAAAAGAAUUAAAAUAAUUUUCAAAAAUUUAAAAUAUUUAUAAAAAUUCUAAUUUUUUAAUGAUUUUAAAAAAAUUCUAAAAUAAUAAUUUUGAGACCUAAAUAAGUUAUUAAUGAUUGAAGUUUAUUUAUUUUGCUUUUUUCAAAUUUAAGUGGUUUAACAUUUAAUUAGUUAUACGGUAACAAUAUUUUAAUUUGACAUGUUUAAUUUUUUAAUUUAACUCUAAUAAUUUUAUUCGAUUCUAAUUUUAUUUCAAUUAAUUCAAUUCGAAAAAAUUUCAAAUCGAAUUAGGAUGAUAAAAUAGGGGUGUCAACUCGAUUAAUUUAAAAUUUUUCGUCUCGAUUUGAUCCAACAUUCAUCCCUAAAUAAAAUCAUAUACAUGUGUGUAAUGUGAUAUAAUUAUAAAUAAAAAAAAGACAGAUACUUAGUUAUAAUAAUGAUGGAAACAUAUCCACUUACCACUUCAAUAAGAAGUUGUAACUCCAAGAAUUUGAUCGUCAAAAUAAAAAAUCCAAACACUCUUUUACCUCUGAUUUGCUUCAAGAAGAACAUAAAAAGAUGAGAUGAGAUGAGAUGAGAUCAAAUAUAAAACAAAUACAUAAACACAAAUAUAAAGAGAUUUACCUCACUUGGGUACUUCAAAAUCAAACUACACUCAGUGUUGAGAAGAUUCUUACUACUUCAGUACAAUCCAAAGGGAUUUGAAGGUUGGGGUUUUUUUUUUUUUUUGAGCAAAAGAGCUUGAAGAUUGAAGUAAAAUCAGGAGAAACCUUCACAAAGAAAUUGAAGUUGAUCUACCUUGAAAAUUCAACAAACCGGGUUUUCUUGAUUUAGUAGCCAAAGGAUUUGUGUCAUGAGAUUUCUGCGAUAUUGGGAUCUAAAUUAAUGACUGAUUGGUUUGCGAAAAAAACCAACAAGGCAUGUCAGUCGACUUAGGAAAAGGUGUGUCUUUGGGUUAUCUUUUUACUCGGCUUUCCACUUUUUUCACUUUGCCCUAAGGCAGACUUAAUAAUUAGCACCAUCUGAAAAGAGUUAAUUCCAUCAAGCAUCCCUCAACUAUUACCUUCAUUUUAAAUUGGUCCCUAAACUUCAGAUUAUUCUAAUUACAUCCUCAAUUUAUCAAUACUAUAUCAAUCGGGUCCUUUUGUUAUUACAAUAGUUAAAUGACACAUCAAAUCUUAUGCAGAUAAAUUUAAAAUGAAAAUUUUAAAGAAAUAAAAUCGUGUUGCAUAACUUUCAAAAUUAAAAACAAAAAUUAAGUAAAACUGAAAUUAAAAAAAACGAACGACAACUAUAAUAUUCAUUUUUAAAAUUUUUAUUUUAAAUUAUGUCACAUUAGACGAACACACCUCAGUUCAAAAAUUCCAACGUUGAAAUUAUAGAUUUGGACAUCUUCAAUAAAAUUGAGCUUUAAUAAAAGUUCAAAAUAUGUUAACUAUUAUUAUUUAGUUAUUAGUUAAUAUAUAUAAUAUAAAAUUAAUGCAUCACUUUUAAAAAUUCAAGUUACAGAAGAUUGAAAAUUGAGAAGCUUGCAGAGAUCGACAAGUGACUUUAUGACUGGUAAAGUCAAAAAAAAAUUUAGAAGAUUAAAAUUAAAUUAUAAUUUUUACAAUAAUAAAAAUAUGAUUUUAUCAUUUAAAUAAUUUAUAUUUUUAUAAAUUUUGAAAGAUUAAAUUGAAAUUUUUAUUAUUUUAAAAAUAAUAAAAUAUAUUUUUAUUUUUAUUAAUUUAAAAUUUUAAAAAUUUUAAAACAGCUAUAUUUAAAAUUUUUACUAUAUUUUUACUAGUUUAAGGAGAUUGCUGAGGUCCAAUCCAACAUUGGGUUAGUGGGGUGGGGGCAAUUGUUUUGCAAAGAUAAUGGCUAUCGGUGGGAUGGAAAGUUCACCUGUAUUUAAACUAUUCCCUCCGAAUUCACCUUUGCACAAAAUGUAAAUUAGCUUAAAAUUUAAAAUUAAUUUUAUUUUAAUAUUAAAAUUAAGGACUUUCAUAAGUUAAAAUUAUAAAAUAAGAGUUUAUUUAAUUACAAAAAUAAUUUAAAGACUUAUUUAAAUAAAGUAUAAUAAUAUAAGAGUAGUUGGAAUUGAUGUAGUAAGAAGGAAAUGACAUUCAAUUGAAUGCUUAUUCCAGAAUAUGUUGCUACCACUUUUGUACUGCUUUUAAUAAAGUUGAUAUUUAUUUCUAGACAAAGCAUAUAUUAUUCAUGUGCUGAAGGGUAAGACAUAUGCUGAAUAAAUUUCAGAUUAAUUACCUGAGUUCAUCUAUGCUUCACUUUGUUCUUUUCUUACAGCUCAAUAAAUUUGUCUUCUCUCACAAGAAAAAGAAAAAGUAGGUGGUAUGUUUUGAAUUAACUGCUUAAAUAGAACUGACUUUAUUUACUGCUCCAUUCAUUCUUCCUAUUCAGAAAUAUGUUUAAAUAUGUUUCAACCAAUGUAUGUCACUGCCAAUUGGCCAUGUAGUUUCUUGGGCUGUUGCAGAUUCCUCCACUAUAAUUUCAUCAACUAAUUGGCAUGGCUGCAAAACAAAUUAAACCUUGAUUUAUUACUGUUUGCUUCGGAUGAUUGAUGAUGAAGAAAGCAAAGAAACCUUCCCAAAACUGAAAAUAUUGUCAGCCAACAGAAAUCAAUUUUGUUUUAAAGCUUAUCAUUGAGUUUGGAAGAGUAGUGUACCUGUGUUUUGGCAUGCACUGAUGUAUUUGAAUCAAAACUAGAUCUUGUGGUUAUGUUGGGACAAUCUACUACUCGCAAAAUCAACAAUGAUUGGAAAACAAAAUGAUAACCUACAAGGCCGAAGCUCACGAGGUUUGGUAGCCCAUCAAGCUGUAAGUCGGUUAAUCGAGGUAGGUGUAUCACUUUCUCUUCCUCCUCACUCACAUUUGGCUCAUCUCCUUCAAACACCUGUUCUAAUUUGGAAACCUUUCCAAGGAUUAUAUUUUCUAGUUUUUGAAGGCCGCCAUGAGCAAGAGUAAUUGGGAAGAGACAUUUCAAAUUUUCACAGUUCCUGAUUGUAAUCCAAAUCACAUUAGGAAAGCAAACAGCUUGGAGAUGAUGUUGUGAUGAAUUUUGAUCCUUCUCGAUUAUUUGCUCCAAUUCCUUACAGUCAGAUAUAUCCAACCUCCACAAUUGUGGCAAAUUUCGAGCCAUGGUAAGUGGGAAGAUGUAUCUUAACAUUUUGCAAUCUUUGACAUCCAAUUCAGUGAGAUUUUGAUAGUUUCCAACUUGGAUGGGACCACUUCAUAUCACUCGCAAUUCAAUUAGUCUAGAUAAGUUUAAGAUCUUCAGACUUGAAAGAUUAUAUCCAAAAUAUUCAAACAGCUCUUCAAAAUUGGAAAUUGUUAAAUAUUCCAUACUAGUUGAUGUUCCUCCUCUCAUUUCAGGGACUAUCACGUUGCUUAUUUGCUUCUUUUCUGUCAUCUCCGAGAACUCCAAUACCUAUCAACAUAUCAUCAAUCAUCAAUUUCAAAGUGUUUAUAUAUUUUUUAAACCAAUAUUCUAAAAUGAAAACUAUCUUUUUAAGAGUUUUACAAGCAUUUACUUAUUUUAGACUACAAAUUAUGAAAAAGGUGAAAAAUUCAAUAAAUAAUAUAUAUAUAUAUAUAUAUAUAUAUAAGAAGGUCUUACUUGUAUAUUAGUUGAAAUAAUAAAAGGUGUCAAUUAAGUACAACCCAUCACUUUUAACUUGUGCAAAGAUGGGGAUGCGAGCACAAUAUCAUUUCUAUUCUCUCCUUUCAAUUGAGGAAAAUUAACCAACUCAACUUCAUUCGAUAGUGACAGACCUUGAGCCAUUAAGAUUGACACUUCUGGUCCUUGGAUUAUUUCUUGCAAUUGGGAACACCUCUCUGUCUUUAGAGUUUGCAAUUGUCCAAGACUAUUUCAAAUUAUUGCAGCCUGUAACUUCUACUUCCCUUAGGCAUUGAAAGCUUAUAUGUUUGAAACUUGUGGGUCUUGGAUUAUUUCUUUCAAUCCAAAGCACCUCUCCAUCUUCAGAGUUUGUAAUUGCCCAAGGUUGUUAGAAGCAGCUAUUGGAAAGAGAUAUUUCAAAUUAUUGCAUUCUGUGACUUGUACUUCCCUUAAGCAUUGAAAGCUUAUGAUUGAUAUUUGACUGUCUUGGAUUAUUUCUUCCAAUCCAGAGCACCUCUCUAUCUUUAGCGUUUGUAAAUUGGGCGCAUUUAGAAUUCUAGGGUCGCCAUGAGCAACAGUAAUUGGAAAGAGAGAUUUCAAGCUUUCACAUUCCAAGAUAACAAUUACAGUGAGAUUUGGGAAGCAAACAGGUUGGGGAUGAUGUGAUGACGUUUGAUUCUGCUCCAGUUCCUCAUAUUUACAUGUAUUGCUCAAUUGCUUAUAAGUCAUCCUCCCAAGCACCAAUUCCUGUAAACAUAUCAUCAAUUUUCAAUUUCAAAUGUUCAAAGAUGUUAACAACUUAUCAUUUUAUUAAUUAAUUUCUUUAUAUAAAUUUUAUUUUAACAAAAUUUUGCCUUAAAUCAAGAUAUAUAUACUCCAAAAAUAUGGUAAAAAUAAGACAUAAAGAAUAUCACAUAAUCUAAACAUAUAUAAAUUAUUUGACAGGUUUAACAACUCAAUUGGGAAUUUAUUUAAAAUUAUUUUUUUAUAAAUCAAUUAAUAAUAUUAUCACCUUAUUUAUGUCUUUAAUUUUUAAUAUAUAUUUAGAAAAAACCACCUAUGUAAAAAGCUACCUUUUUUAAAAAAAUUAAAUUAAAUAAAACUACCCAUAAUUAUUUUUCACUCUUAAAUAAGAAAAACUUAAAUAUAAUUUUUUAUAGUUUAUUUAAUAUUUGAUAAAGAAUUUGCAACAUAUCUAAGACAUAAAGUUUGCUUAAUAUUUUUUUAUUGAAAUUUUUUUUAUCUCAUUAAAUAGUACUAUACUAAACUAAGUUGCUUAAAAGAUUAUGUAGAUUAGUUUCAGAACAAAAUUAUAAAAUAAAAUUUAUCAUUUAAACAACUAUACAAUGGUUUGUUGAUUUCAGACAACGAAUUAUUAAAGGAAAAAAAAGAAAUAAUUUAAUAAAUAAAUGAUAUAUAACAAAAAUAAAUCUUACUUAUAUCUCAGUAAUAAUAAAAAGUGUCAAUUGAAGACAAUUGUUCACUUCUAACUUCCGCAAAGACAAUUAUGUUAACAUACUGUAGUUCACACCCCUUCCUCAAUUGAGGCAAAUCAAUCAAUAAAACUUGAAAUGAAAAGCACAAUCAAAUUUCUCAAUCUUUCACAUAGGACAAUAAGGAAAAGAGAUGUUAAGUUAUCGCAAUGAGAUACACAUACCUCCCCUAGACUUUGGAGUAGACAUAUGUAUGGCACUUGUAGGUCUUGGAUUACAUCUUCCAAUUGCGAACAACUCUUUAUUUUCAAAGUUUGCAAUUGCCCAAGGGUAUUAGUAGCAGAUAGUGGGAAGAGAUAUUUUAAAUUAUCACAUUUUUCAACCUUUACUUCCCUUAAACUUUGGAGGGUUAUGUAUGGCACUUGCGGGUCUUGGAUUAUGUUUUCCAAUUGAGAGCAACUCUUUAUCUUCAAAGUAUGCAAUUGUCCAAGACAAUUAGCAACAGAUAGUAGAAAGAGAUACUUUAAAUUAUCGCAUUUUUUAACAUUUACUUCCCAUAAACUUCGGAGGCUUACGUAUGGCACUUGUAGACCUAGGAUUAUGUCUUCCAAUUGCGAGCAACUCUUUAUCUCCAAGUAUGCUGUCUAAGACCAUUAUCAAUAGACAGACGAAAAAGAUACUUUAAAUUAUCACAUUUUUCAACUUUUACUUCCUUUAAACUUUGGAGUCUCAUGUUCGGCAUUUAAACAUGUAAAUAUUAAGACUAUUUUUUAUUUUAUUUUUUAGAAUCAAGACCAAACUAACAAAAUUACAAUUUAAUCAUAGAUAUUUUCAAAAUUUUUUGUUGAAGAUAUAUUUUACUAAUUCAUAGAUAUACAAACUAAAAAUAUAGUCCCGCCUGAAAAUCAGUAAAUCUUGAUUAAUAUAUUUUAUUAAUUCAUAUAUCUUCAAAAAUCAUGGAUUUCAAUUUAAUCAUAGAUAUCUUCAUCUAUUCUUUGGUUGUGGCCCAAGUAAAUGGAAAGUAUACCCACUUACCCCUUCAAAAUGAAGUAAUGAUUCCAAGAAUUUGAGUGUAGAUAAGAAAAUUAUAUAUAAAAAUCACAAUUAAACUUGGCGGUUGGUUUGCCAAUGGCCCCAUGCAUUUGUUUUGCAAUUAAAGACUUGACACGACAAGAGACGAGACGACCGAGCAAAGAGUGAAAGUCUUUGGGUCAGCUUUCACUUUUUCACCGUUACAAAAUAAUACAUCUAUGUUUUUCAUAUUUGUUUCAUUUGAAGUGUCUUUCAAGAAAAUAUGUUUCUUUUGUUCUCAUUUUUCAUUUGCUAUCAGAAAUGAAGAUGAGUUUUCUUUAUUCAAAGUGAAUUUUCUAUUAUUUUACAAAUUCUAGAGAUAAAUUUCCAAUGUUUAUGUUAUAUAACAAGUUUUUCUCCUUCAAAAUUAAAAAUGAAUAAGAAUAUGCUUUUAUGAAAUUUCAUACCAAAUCACGGAUUUGAGGUUCAAAGGAAAUAUGAAGAACUUCAGCAGCAACUUAAAGCAGAGGCGGCAGUGAGGGAAGCAGAUGCCGCAGCGAGAGAAGCAGCGAUAGAAGCAGAGGUUCAAAAGAAAUAUGAAGAACUACAGCUACGACUUCAAAAAGAUGCGGCAUCGAGAGAAGCAGAGCAGAGCAAAAAGUACGACGAACUUCAACAGCAGCUUCAGAUUAUGAUGAAGAUGUUUCAGCAGUCGCAACUUCCGCCGUCAUAGUGUAUGUUGCAUAAAUACUUUUAACGCUUUUGUAAAGAAAAGUAUGAAUUCACUUUUAUUUAUCAAUUAAUAUUAUUUUAGUCAUUUAAUUUGAAAUAUUAUAUAAAUUUAUUGUUUUUGGUUAGUUUAGAUCUGGUUGCUUUUGAUUUGUUGUUGCAGGAGGGCUGAAAAAAAAUUAUUUUAAAAAAUCCCAAAAUUAGUGGCAUUUUUUAAAAAAGUGCCGCUAAAAGUCAUAUCAAAAUAGUGGCGUUUGUGAAAUAAGCGCUGCUAAAGAACACUACUUUUAGCGGCGUUUUUAAACAAGCGCCGCUAUAGAACAUUACUUUUAGAGGCGUUUUCUUCCAAAGCGCCGCUAAAGAAUGUGAUCUUUAGCGGCGUUUUCUUCCAAAGCGCCUCUAAAGAACAUGAUCUUUAGCGGCGUUUUUUUUCUAAGCGCCGCUAAAGAACAUGAUCUUUAGCGGCGCUUUUUUCUAAGCGACGCUAAAGAGCAUGAUCUUUAGCGGUAUUUUUUUAUGUAAGCGCCGCAAAAGUUAGCGACGUUGUCGUUAGCGGCAUUUUUUGUGGCGCUUCUUCAAGCACCGGAAAUGGAGUUAGUGGCGUUAAAAAGCGCCGCUAAAGACCUAAAAAAUGCCGCUAAAAACCUAUUCUGCUGUAGUGUAGGAGGAAUCCAGCUCAUCAAUAAAGAUCAUAUAAAUUGAAGAAACUUAUUUAGAAGAUUGGAUCGGGUUGGAUUGGAUCGCUUAUAUCAAAUCCUAUGGAUAAAGGAAGUUGGAUCGGAUCGAAAAAGUGAAGAGUUAGCUGCCAACCGUCAAUGUUUAUUGUGGUUGUUAAUAUUAUAUUGUAUUUAGCUAUUUUAAUUGUUGUUUAGUAAGGAUUGUGAUAGAUUUUCAUUAUGUUAGCAAGUCUUGAAAUCUCUAUGUAAUUAAGAGAGUUGUAUAGGUUGAUGCACAAAUUAUUAAGAGCAUUUAUAUGUUCAAGUAAGGAACGUUAUUUUGCAAGAGUGCAUUUGUGAUUGUAAAAUUCUGUAUUGUGGUUUUGCAAACUAAGUUAUCUGAGGGAGAAUUUAGUGGUGAGUGAUCUAGUCUUCGAAGGUAUAAGAGUGAGAAAUCAUCAUUGAGGUGUGAUACAUUUAGGUUCACUGGUUGUAAUUGUUUAAAUAUAGUGAUUCUUCUCACUGAGCAAGACUUCACAAAUGUAUGGAAACUGAACUACAUAAAUAAACAUUAAGGUUUCCUAUUUUGUUUUUGCUUAUCAUAGUGCUUGCAGAAGUACACACUUUUGUAGGCACUAAUGCUCAUACUUUGCUUGUUGCUUAGCAACUGUUUUAGAUUAACAAAAAAUCAUUUAAAUGAAUUAAAUUUUAUUAAUGGAGUUUGAAAAAGAAUAUUUUUUGGUAUAUUUUGUAUUUUUUUUUUACUAAAAGAAUGGGAUCAAAGUCAAUUUCACAAGUCUUAGUGAGAUUAGUUUGAAAGAAGUUCUUCAACAGCAUGGAACUAGUCUUGAAGGUAUUACUAAUUUGGUCCUAUUUUGUUUUAAAUUUGUUAUUGGAUUCUAUUGAAUAAUCUUUUUCUUUUUUAUGUCUCAAUAUCGAACAAUUUUGAGCUUUACUGCCAUAUAAUAUUAAGUUUUCUUGUAUGAACUUUAGUUUCUAAUCACAUUUAAACUUUGUGCAAAAUGAAUAUUAUAUUAAGAGAUUGAAAUUGAUGUAUUUUUUUAUCCAUUUUCAUGAUUUAUGGCAAUGUUGAAUAUUUUGUUGUUGCAGAAAUCAUAAUUUUUAUAUAGAAUUUUCUAUUUUUUAAAAUAAUAUUGAGUUUUUAAAAUUAAUUUUAUAUAGAAUUAGGGUUAAAUGGAGAGAAAGUAUAAAAGCUAAGGGUUAAAAUUGUCAUUAUACUAACUAAAAAAGUGUGGUUGUUAGCUAUUUAAUAGUUGGGUGAAAAAAACAACUUCAAAAACAUUAGUGGCUAAAUUGUAACUCUUUUAAUUAAAUGACACAUAAUUGAGGGAUUAAUAGUGUAUUUUACCCUUAUCUUUUUUAAACAUAUGGAUUAAUUCACAUUUAUUUGGAAUGUGUUAUUAAUUCACAUAUGGAUUUAACUAGUGGUAGAGCUAGAAAAUAUUUUGGGGGCCAAAAUUAAAUUGUAUAUUUUUAUGAUAGCAAGAAUGUAAUUUCACCAUUUUAAUAGUCCAUAUCUUUAUAAUUUUUAAAGGAUUAAAUCAAAUUUUUUUAUCAUUUUUGGGAUUAAAGUGUAAUUUUACUAUUAUUAAUUUUAAAUUUAAUAAAUUAUAAAGGACCUAAGUGAAAAUUUUCCCAUUAAUCAACACCCUUGGCGUGUCGGAUUUUUUUUAUAUGGUUGAAAUAUCAUCACAUGUAUUUAUGUUUGAAUACACAUCACAAAACCUUUAGUUGUUUCGGCAUGACCAACUGGAAAAAAAAUGGAGAAACAUGAAGGUAGCUUAGAAGAAUCCAAAAGCAAUAAACGAAAGCUAGACAAAAGGUUGAAAUCAUCAUUAACCAAGCCUUUACUUUUUCUAACGCCGGGAAGAGUUUAUAUUCGUUGAGAAAAUCGGCAAAGACUUUGUUAUCUUUUGGAAGGACUUGUAAAGAAACAAUAUUUUAUAUUUACGUCUGUAAUGUUUUUCAUAUUAACAUUAUUGAUGUUUCUAAAUUUACCUUCUGUAAUGUUAGAACCAGUUGAGAGUCGUCAGAUUCUGAAGAGGAAUCAAAUUUUAGUCAUCAGCAUAGGAUGGAUGUUGCGGAAAGGAUCGAUUCGAGAACUCCGAUAUGACUACAAGUAAAUUGACCGAAACGAAAAAUAAAGUGAACACAAGGAUUUACGUGGUUCGGCUUUAAUGCCUACGUCCACGGGCAGAGGCGAAAAGAAAUUUCACUAUAACAAGAUGAAGAUUACAAGUGUUUUACACUCAAGACACAACCCGAGAACCUCACAACUCUCAACCCCUAUAGAAAACCCGAAAGCUAAAAUCCUAGCUUUCAAAGAACAAGCUUUGCUCUCUCUUGGUUUGGGAUGAUCAAUAUGGCUAAUGAACCUCUCUAUUUAUAAGAGAGUUCAAGGACAUAAUUGUCCAAAACUUUGGCAAAGAUUUGUGGUUGAAAAUGGACACCAACAACCAUCCACUAAUCCACUACCACCAACAACCCACUACCAACAACAACAAUCCACUACCAAUUUUAAGCCAUUUCUUAACAAAUCUCCACCUUGGCUUGAAAUUUACCAAGCUGAACAUCAUAGUGAAUUCCUCGAACUGGAUCACCUCUUCCAAACGCCUCUCUGGCGCUAAUCAAUCCCGAAUACCUAUCAAGUCCAAGCAAUGCUUGAACUUAUAUGCAGGGAUCACCUUAGUUAACAUAUCUGCAGGAUUCUUCUCGGUAGCAACCUUGCUGAUAACAAUGUCACCUUGCGUAACAUGUUCCCGAACAAAAUGAUAUCUGACAUCAAUGUGUUUGGUCCGUUCAUGAAACAUCUGAUUUUUAGUCAGAUGUAUGGCACUCUGGCUAUCGCAAAAUACAACAGUGAAAUCCUGUUGUAAACCCAAACUGCUUACUAGACCUUUCAUCCACAAUGCUUCUUUCACUGCUUCUGCUAACGCCAUAUAUUCCGCCUCAGUCGUAGAUAAGGCUACGGUAGACUGUAACACAGCUUUCCAACUAAUGGCUCCUCCAGAAUAAGUGAAAACAUAACCCGUCAGAGAUCUUCUUUUGUCCAGAUCUCCAGCAUAAUCAGAGUCCACAUAGCCCGUGACACUGCUAGUGCAGUCACUCUGAUCAUAUACCAAGCAUAAAUCUGCAGAACCUCUCAAGUACCUGAGAAUCCAUUUCACGGCCUGCCAGUGUUCCUUGCCAGGACAACUCAUGUAUCUGCUGACCACACUAACUGCAUGUGAAAUGUCUGGACGAGUGCAAACCAUUGCAUACAUCACGCUUCCAACUGCACUCGAGUAUGGAAUGUGAGACAUUUGCUGCUUUUCUUCAUCAGAUUGUGGUGACAACUCUGCAGAGAGUUUGAAAUGUGGUGCCAACGGAGUACUCACAGUUUUCGCUUUAUCCAUGCCGAAGCGUUGAAGAACCUUUUCAAUGUAGUUCUUCUGCGACACACGAAGCUUGCCCGCCUUGCGAUCUCUGUGAAUAUCCAUGCCCAAAAUUUUCUUGGCAGCACCCAGAUCCUUCAUCUCGAACUCACCACUCAACUGCGACUUUAACUUGUUGAUUUCCGACAUGUUUUUGGAAGCAAUUAACAUGUCAUCAACAUACAGCAACAAAUAAAUGUGCGAACCAUCUGAGAGCUUCCGAUGAUAGACACAAGCAUCAUAGUCACAUCUUGUGUAACCAUGCUGAAUCAUGAAGCUAUCAAACCGCUUGUACCACUGCCUUGGGGAUUGUUUCAAUCCAUAUAAAGACUUCUUUAAUAGACAGACAUGGUCUUCUUUACCAGGAACUGUAAAACCCUCUGGUUGGCGCAUGUAGAUUGUUUCCUCGAGCUCACCAUGCAAGAACGCUGUUUUUACGUCAAGCUGCUCAAGUUCUAGAUCAGACUUGGCCACCAUGGCAAGUAAUACACGAAUGGAAGAAUGCUUUACGACUGGGGAGAAAACUUCAUUGUAGUCAAUCCCCUCUUUCUGAGUGAAGCCUUUAGCAACCAAUCGUGCCUUGAAUCUAGUUGCUUCAACCCCUAGGAUGCCUUCCUUUUUCUUGAAGACCCAUUUGCAACCAACUAUCUUCUGGUUACUUGGCGGCUUAACCAACUCCCAAGUAUGGUUCUUGUGAAGAGAUUCUAUCUCCUCACUCAUAGCAAUUGCCCACUGUGCCGACUCAUCACACGUGACAGCCUCAUUAUAACUGGAAGGUUCUAUACCAAUGGACUCCGCCACACUGAGCGCGAAAGACACCAGAUUAGCGUAACGCGGAUUUGGUUUGAUUUGUCUCUUCGUUCUUCCAGUGGCAAUGCUAUAUGGUUUUUCUUGAGGUGACUCAUCUUCAUCGGAAUCUUGCACCUCAACUUGAUCAUCCUGGACUGAAGUACCUUCCGUAGGAAUUGGAGCGUCCACCUGACACUCCACCUGCUUCUCAACACCGUGAUCUCCCAUUCUAUCUGACUCCUCCUUUUCCCGGGAAUUUGUGGUGGAUCGAAGCAUGGAUGACUCAUCAAAAGUCACAUCUCUGCUGAUGAUGAACUUGGACGAAACCGGAUCAGGACACCACAACCUGUAUCCUUUCACCCCUUGGCCGUAUCCAAGAAAUAUGCAUUUCUUCGCCCUCGGUUUGAGUUUUCCCUCAUUUACAUGAGCAUACGCAGGGCAGCCAAACACUCUUAAACCAGAGUAAUCAGCAGGAGAACCAGACCAUACUUCCUCAGGAGUCUUCAGCUCAAUAGCUGUUGACGGAGAUCUGUUAACCAAAUAACAAGCAGUAUUAACAGCUUCAGCCCAAAAUUCUUCACCGAGCCCAGCAUUUGAUCGCAUGCAACGAGCUCGCUCCAAGAGAGUUCUAUUCAUGCGUUCUGCAACUCCAUUUUGUUGUGGUGUUCGACGAACAGUGCGGUGUCUCACUAUUCCUUCAUUUUUGCAGAACUCAUUGAAUUCACCUGAGCAAAACUCCAAGCCAUUAUCCGUCCGGAAUCGCUUGAUCUUCUUUCCUGUUUGAUUUUCGAUCAAAGCUUUAAAUUGCUUGAAGUUGAUGAGAACCUCAUACUUGCUCUUCAGAAAAUACACCCAAACCUUUCUCGAGUAAUCAUCGAUAAAGGUAAGCAGAUAUCUGUAACCACCUUUAGAAAUUGUCGGAGAAGGCCCCCAAAGGUCAGAAUGGAAGUAAUCCACUGUGCCUUUUGUCUUGUGAAUCCCAGUGCUGAACUUUACCCGAGUCUGCUUACCGAAGACGCAGUGCUCACAGAAAUUCAACUUUCCUGUACACUGCCCAGACAAUAAUCCUCGUUUGCUUAGCACCGAUAAGCCUCUCUCGCUCAUAUGCCCGAGCCGCAUAUGCCAUAACUUCGUGGUGUCAGAAUCUAGAUCAUCUGAUGAUGACACUCCCGCAACACCUGUAACCGAGGAACCAUCGAGGAAGUAAAGGCCCCGCUCCAAAUUACCACGUAUCACAGUCAAAGCACCCGAGAAUACCUUGAGAACUCCACCUUCAGCAGAGUACCGAAAGCCUUUCUUGUCCAACGUACUCAAAGAGAUCAAAUUUUUCUUCAUUUCUGGAAUGUGCCGAACAUCAGUUAGAGUUCUAACAAUACCGUCAAACAUCUUUAUACGAACUGUGCCAAUCCCCAUGACUUGACAUGCGUGGUCAUUUCCCAUUAGUACUGAACCAGAAUGCUUCUCGUAUGUUGAGAAUGCAUCUUUCGAAGUACUUAUAUGAAAUGUAGCUCCCGUAUCAAGAAUCCAUCUCCCACCAGCGUAAGAGUCGGAUACUGCAAGAACGAUCUCGGCAUCACUUGAAGAAUCUGCAUCAGCUACAUUCGCACGAUCAUUUUGUUGCUCCUGUGAUUCUGAUUUCUCCUUCCUUUUCGGACAAUCUACCUUCAUGUGCCCGUACUUCUUACAGUAGUAGCACUGUAUUCUCUUCUUGGACUGCGAUCUAGGAUGGCUUUUACUUGAACUUCCACCCUUUGCCUUGGAUCUUCCUCGAGCAACCAAGCCUUCGCCUUCAUUGUUUUCGACCACCUUACCAGUGAUUUUCUUCCUCAACUCACUGGAACUUAAGGCAUUUUUCACCUCCUCUAGAGUCAGGUCAUCACGACCGUACAUCAUUGUAUCAACAAAAUUCUCAUACGAGGGAGGCAAAGAACACAAAACAAUUAUUGCUUGGUCCUCAUCAUCGAUUUUGUUAUCGAUAUUAUUCAAAUCCAUGAUAAUGGAAUUGAAUUUAUCCAGGUGCUGGGAAACAGGUGUACCUUCCUCCAUCUUCAGGGCAUAGAGUCUUUGCUUGAGGUAGAGCCGGUUCGUCAAUGACUUCGUCAUGUACUUGCUCUCUAACCGGAGCCACAAACCGGACGCGGUUUUCUCAUCCGCUACUUCUCGUAGCACUUCAUCUCCUAGACAUAGCAGAAUAGCACUAUGUGCUCUUUCUAGCAUGUCAUCCUUUUGCUCUUCCGAAAGCGUGCUUGGUAAUUUAUCUUUACCAGACAAUGCUUUUAGCAAUCCUUGUUGAACCAGCACUGCCCGCAUCUUGAUGCGCCAUAAACUGAAACUAUUUUUCCCGGUAAAUUUCUCGACAUCAUACUUAGUCGAUGAAACACUUGUAGCCAUAAUUUGGAACCUUUGAAUGAAUGAUAAUAUUUUCUUCCUGAUGUGAAAGAUCAGACAAAGCUGCAGUCACAGGGCAAUUCAGAAAAUAUUAUCACUCCUUCAACUACGCUCUGAUACCAAUUUGUUGCGGAAAGGAUCGAUUCGAGAACUCCGAUAUGACUACAAGUAAAUUGACCGAAACGAAAAAUAAAGUGAACACAAGGAUUUACGUGGUUCGGCUUUAAUGCCUACGUCCACGGGCAGAGGCGAAAAGAAAUUUCACUAUAACAAGAUGAAGAUUACAAGUGUUUUACACUCAAGACACAACCCGAGAACCUCACAACUCUCAACCCCUAUAGAAAACCCGAAAGCUAAAAUCCUAGCUUUCAAAGAACAAGCUUUGCUCUCUCUUGGUUUGGGAUGAUCAAUAUGGCUAAUGAACCUCUCUAUUUAUAAGAGAGUUCAAGGACAUAAUUGUCCAAAACUUUGGCAAAGAUUUGUGGUUGAAAAUGGACACCAACAACCAUCCACUAAUCCACUACCACCAACAACCCACUACCAACAACAACAAUCCACUACCAAUUUUAAGCCAUUUCUUAACAAUGGAAGAUGAGAAGUUGCUGUCGGCGGUGUUGGGAGAGCAAAGGAGAAGGUAAGAAGGCUGCAACUCAAGAGGAUGAAGGGAAAUCAGAAAUUGGUAGAUGACAGAAUUGUGAAUAAGACUCUCAGAUUCUGGGUCCAACUUAUGCAAUAAUUCUAUGAUCUGGGAAGCGUGUAGAGAUCGACAAAUGUGUUUGCGGUGAUUGCUGCCGUCCUCUCCAACAAGGAGCCAGUUGUUUUGCAGACACAAUGGCUAUGGAUGGGAUGGAAAGUCUAUGGUUAAAUCCCCUUAAAUUCACGUCAGUAUAAAAUAACAUGUAAAUUAAUUGCAAAAAAAAAUUUAAAAACUUGUUUAAACAAAGUGUAAUAAUUUGACGGAAUUUUUAAUAUAUUAGCCAAAGAAAUUCAUCUAAGAAAUGAGAUUCAAUUGAAGUUAACAAUGAAGAAUGCUUAAGAAAUGAGAUUCAAUUGAAGUUAAGAAUGAAGAAUGCUUUCAAUGUGCCCAACAUUAGACCAAGACAAAUAAUUGUAAGUUUUGUCAAAAAUCUUAGUUUUCUUUUUUAAUCUUUGAUUAAUGAGCAGAAUUCACAUUCUUUGUUUUUUCUUAUAGCUCAAUAAAUCUUUCUUCGCUCACAAGAAAAACAAAAAGUAAGUGGUACAUAAUAACGAAUAAAUGGCAUUCAAUUUAAACAUUCACAAUGAUUAAUCUUCAAUUGAAAAAUCACUAUCUUUAAUUCAACAUGUCUUUCAUCUUCCACCAUUUUAUAUCACUACCAAUUGGCCAUGCAGUUUCUUGAGCUGUAGCAGGUUCUUCCACUAUAAUUUCAUCAACUGAUUGGCUUGCCUGCAAAGCAAAUUAAACCUUCACUUGUUACUGUUUGCUUUUGAUGAUUGAUGAUGAAGAAAGCAAAGCCAGUUUUCCAAAAUUGGACAAAGGAUGACAUAUUAAGAACAAGAACUGUGAAUUGAAAAUAAUAAUGCAACAAUGAUAUCUAGAAAGAAAUAUUGACAGCCACUUGAUGCAAACCGAUUACAGUUGAUGCAAUUUCAUUUAGUCAUUUAAAGCAUAUAAAAAAAAAAGAAGAAUGAAUUUCUCUCAGGCAGCCAAAAUAAAAAUAUUGCAUUAAUGCAUAGAAAUUAAAGCUUAGUAUUGGGAGAAUACAUAGAGAAAAUAAUUGAAUGGAUGAAUUUCUGUUUUAAAGCUUAUUGUUGAGUUUGGAAGAGUAGUGUACCUGUGUUUUGGCAUGCACUGAUUCCUCUGAAUCAACACUAAAUCUUGUGGUUAUGUUGGGACAACCUUUUACUUUUAAAUCCGUCGAAGAUGGGAAAACAAAAUGAUAACCCACAGGGCCGAAGCUUACGAGGUUUGGUAGGUAUAAUAUUAUGUAUUGUGCAAUUUUAGCCUUGAAAAGCAAACGCACAGCAUGCAUCCUUUGGAGGGGCAAUGAGUUUAUCUUGGUGAGAUUAAAAUCAAUAGUGAGAUAUUUAUUUAAAUAUAAAUGUUGUGGUGAGAAGAGAUUAAAAUAAAAAAUAAUCAUUAUAGAUAUUAAUUUAUAAUGUAUUUAUAAUACAAUAAAUAAUUAAAGUUAUAUUUAUUUUUGACCAAUCAAAACACUCAUUCUUUUGCCUUCUCCUUCUUUAAAACAGCUCUAGUGAAAAAUCACAAUUUUAGUGCAAUAGAAUGCCUCAACUGAAUCAAAUCACAGACGAGAAAUCUAACCUCAUCGGAGCUAAAUGGGAUCUAAAGGGAUCCUUAAUUAAAAGCAUAUUGCAGUCAAACCACGAGGUGUGGCAUGUUGAUUACACACCUCGUCCCUUAAUCAUGUGGUUGAGGAGUUUAAUCUCCACUCAUGGAAAAAGAACACAUUUCAUGGUUAACCGUUUCAUCUUUUCGGAGAACACCCGCUGCAGGGGGAUUAAUCACUUUUAUUGAUGUUGGAAUACCUCGGUUUAAAAAAAAAAACAUAAUGAUUUAUUUAACUUGCAUUAUUUGUCAAAUUAUCCCAAAAUGAAUGGAAAAAUUAACUUUUGUUAAAUUUACUGACGUGGCAUCAUGUGUAUGUUAUGUUAGCAAUUUAAUUUUUAAAAAUUAAAAAAUAUUUUUAUAAUUUUUUAUAUAAUUAUUAAUACUUUUAGUAGCUUUUUAUUUUAAAAAUAAAAUUUAUAAUUUUUAUUAAUUUUUAAAAAUUUUAAAAAUUAUUUAUUUAUUUAUGUGGCAUACACGUAGCAAUCAUCAUUUUAAAAUUUUUAAAUAUUUAAUAAUAUUUUAAAUGAUGGUUUUUUAAAGGAAAUGAUAGUUUUCAAAAUUGUCAUUUUAAUUUAUAAUUUAUAAAUAUAUUUUUAAAAUAUAACCAUGAAUAUGUUCUUAAAGUAAUGCAUCUUGAAAAGUGGACAAAAAUAGGAGUUUUGAUUAAUUUCCUUAUUUUUGCAUGAAUAAAAAGUCCUACGGUAUAUUUAUGAAAAAAGAGUGAGUGGUUGAGAUUAUAUCUAAUUAUGGGUUAGUUCGAUAUAAAAUUUUAGAUUUAUUUUUUUAUUCAGUUUUAAAAUUCUUUUUAAGUCCCUCUCAGACUAAAAAUAUUUAACUCGAGUCCAAUCCACCAGUAUUAAUUUUUUUAGAUUAAUUUUUAUAUAAAAAGUUUUAAAAAUAUAGUACAUCAAAUCCAUUAAAAACAUUAAAAUAAAUAUUUCCUAACAAAUUAAAAAUACAUUUAAAAAAGGCUUUAUACUUAAAUAACGAAAUGUUAUCUGUAAAUUAAUUUUUCAUACCAAAUAUUUCAACUAAUUUAAAUUCUUAAAAAAUUAUUGAUUGAUUCUUCGUUCAAUUGACAUGGGUAUUGUUAUGAGGACAUGGUUUCAAGUGUGUUGAAGCGCAUUAUCCUCCUGUUUAUAAAUUGGAAAAAGGCUAUAAAUAAUUUUAGACAUUACGUAAAAAAAAAAGAACAAAUAUAAAUUAAAAUUGUUAAAAGAAGUUCUUAAAAAAUUGAAACUUUCCACCAUAUCAAUCCACUCCAAAACUUGUAUCUUAACAUCUAUAGUCUGAUCUCUUAUUAUAAAAUUACAGCCUCGUUCUUAUCAAAAAUAAAAUCUUCAAAAAGAAUGUACCUGUGGAAGAAAAAAUUAAAAUGUUUAAAACAUUGUUGUACUGCAAUUGGUGGGUCAAACUGAGGCUCUGCGGCUGUUCAUACCAUGCCAAACUUCAUAUUUCCACCACUUAUUUUAAAAAGAAGGUUUAAUUUUGUCUUCAGUCCCUCUACUCUUCAAACUCUUAAAAUUUAGUACAUUUACUUUUAUUUUUAGAAAUUCAUUUUUUUCACUUGUUUAAUUUGAAAUUUUAAAUUGAAUUGAUAAAUUUUUAUUAAAUUUAAAUAUGUUUCAUUUGAAUAUUUAAAAGUGGAAAUUCAAUUGAUGACACAUAUUUAAAUUUAAUAAUAUAUAGUUAACAUCGUUAUCAAUUAAUUUUUAACUUUUAAAUCAAAUAAAUUUCUAAAAUAAAGUCGCGAAAAUGAGGAAAAAGAUUUGAAACCACAAUAUAUAUAUAUAUAAACCUAUAUAUUAAGGUGGAAUCUGGGAUGUAUUAGAUUGAAGUGGAAGUACACACAAAUUGCAUGUGCAAAAGCAUGGUCGGUUUAUAGUGUUCUAAGUAACCGACACUAGUGGUAGUCGUCGGCGAUCUCUCUCAACAUGCAUUGAAUUUAACAAAAGCUACGUGUAUGCCACAUAAAUAAAUAAAUAAUUUUUAAAAUUUUUAAAAAUUAAUAAAAAUUAUAAAUUUUAUUUUUAAAAUAAAAAGCUACUAAAAGUAUUAAUAAUUAUAUAAAAAAUUAUAAAAAUAUUUUUUAAUUUUUAAAAAUUAAAUUGCUAACAUAACAUACACAUGAUGCCACGUCAGUAAAUUUAACAAAAGUUAAUUUUUCCAUUCAUUUUGGGAUAAUUUGACAAAUAAUGCAAGUUAAAUAAAUCAUUAUGUUUUUUUUUUUAAACCGAGGUAUUCCAACAUCAAUAAAAGUGAUUAAUCCCCCUGCAGCGGGUGUUCUCCGAAAAGAUGAAACGGUUAACCAUGAAAUGUGUUCUUUUUCCAUGAGUGGAGAUUAAACUCCUCAACCACAUGAUUAAGGGACGAGGUGUGUAAUCAACAUGCCACACCUCGUGGUUUGACUGCAAUAUGCUUUUAAUUAAGGAUCCCUUUAGAUCCCAUUUAGCUCCGAUGAGGUUAGAUUUCUCGUCUGUGAUUUGAUUCAGUUGAGGCAUUCUAUUGCACUAAAAUUGUGAUUUUUCACUAGAGCUGUUUUAAAGAAGGAGAAGGCAAAAGAAUGAGUGUUUUGAUUGGUCAAAAAUAAAUAUAACUUUAAUUAUUUAUUGUAUUAUAAAUACAUUAUAAAUUAAUAUCUAUAAUGAUUAUUUUUUAUUUUAAUCUCUUCUCACCACAACAUUUAUAUUUAAAUAAAUAUCUCACUAUUGAUUUUAAUCUCACCAAGAUAAACUCAUUGCCCCUCCAAAGGAUGCAUGCUGUGCGUUUGCUUUUCAAGAUAAAUAUCAUUCUUCAUAUCAAAGCCUAUGUAUUGUGCAAUUUGAUCUUGAAUUCUUUCAAAAUUAGGCUUUUGAGACACAGUCGUAAUCACAACUUUGUCAAACAAAUUCAGUUUUGUAGCUUGACUUCCUACUUCACGAGCCAGGGUGGUCUUGCCCACCCCUCCCAUCCCCCACAACCCAAUCAUGUUGAUAUUCUCAUCUUUUAAGGCUUCAAUGAUUUGAUUGAAAGCAACCUUCGAAGAUUCCGAAACCACAAAUUCCUUAGAACAUAGGAAGUCUAUAGUGGGAAGGGCAGUAGGAUCACGGUAACCGACUGGUCCAAGUCGACCAAAUUUUUCCAAAAGCUCAGACAUAUCCUGAGUUUUCUUCAUUGCUUUCUUACUUAAUUGAUAUCUCCAAAUCCAAUUAGGACACCAAUUGAGACACCUCUUAUUCAAUUGAAUUUCUCCUUCCAGAGUUCCCAUAUCCGAUACUGUUUCGCCUGCCUUUGAUUGCAGGUUCUGUACAUCCUUUUGAAUUAGUAGAAGCUGCCUUUCAGCAUCCUCAAUCUCAUGUUGUAGACGAUCUCGUGCACCUUCAAGAUCACACUUUUUCUCUCGGAGCUUUUCAACAUUGCCAUGAAAGCGACGGACAUAAUCAAGUUGACGUCCUACCGGCUUCACCACACAGUCCACAAUUAGUGUUCCAACGGAGUUCGAAACAGCAGCCUCACAAAAUCCGCAACCCAUGCUUGACAAGCUCAAACUGAAGAAGGAUUCAAAGUCUGAGAAUCAAUGGGCUCUUUUUCCAACUUAGUCCAGCUGAAAACAUAAUACAAAAUGCGAAUAUCAUUAGAAACUUAAUAAAAAAACAUGACUUGAAAACUAGAGAAAAACAAAUUUAUACAUUAGAAAUUUAAAUACAAGUAUCGUAUAGAAUUGGGUAGAAAAGUAUAAGGAAAGCAAGAGUUAGACGAGAAGUUUCUAUUUCAUUUUAUCAAUUCAUAUUAGUUGAUAAAAUUAUAAAUUGGAAGGAUAUAUUUCAUUACACAGAUAAAUAUAAUUCUAAAGAUUAAAAUUAAUUUAUUUAAAUUUAAAAAAAUUAAAACUAAAAACUAUCCAAUAGUAAUUGUCGAGUUUUUAUCUCUACUAAAUUUGGUUAAUGGAGUUGACAGUGACACUAUGACUCUCUGUCAUAUAUAUAGAUUAUAUAUAUGUAAUGUGUUUGACUAAGUUGGUGUCACGAGUCAGUUAGGCAUUAACUCGAUCGUAAAAUAAUUAAAAUAUCCUUACUCUAAAAAGUAAUUAAUAUUAUUUUAAUAUUAAUAUAAGGGUAUUUUCAAAUUUUUAUACUUUUAUUUAAUAUUCAAAUAAAACAACUCAAAAAUAGUAUUUAAGAAUCAAACACAAAACCAACAAAUUCUACGAAAAAUUCUUGCCACUUCCAUAGUAUAAUGUGUUGAAAUAUUUUUAUAAAUAUUUUUAAUAUAAAAUAUUUCCGUUUGUGAUAAAAUCUAACAGAUAUAGAUAAUAUAGAAUUGGUUUUUCUAUUUUAUUUAAUAAAAUGAACUUUAUAGCUUUUAUUUCAUUUUGUUUGUUUUAUUUUUGUCAAAUCAUUUAAGUUAACAAAAUUAUGGGCGAGAAAAACUAGAUUCAAUUUGAAAAAUUAAAAAAAAAUUUAAAUUAAUUGAAUCGAUUUGAAUUUUACCAUUCAAAUAAUAAAUUGGUAUAAAUACCUCUUUAAUCCCUAUCAAUUUUUAAAAUGAACAAAUUGAUUUCUUUCAACAAACAAAAAGAAUUAAAAUAAUUUUCAAAAAUUUAAAAUAUUUAUAAAAAUUCUAAUUUUUUUAAUAAUUUAAAAAAAAUUCUAAAAUAAUAAUUUUGGACCUAAAUAAGUUAAUAAUGAUUGAAGUUUAUUUAUUUUGCUUUAAAAAAUUUUAAAAUAUAAUUAGUUAUACGGUAACAAUAUUUUAAUUUGACAUGUUUAAUUUUUUAAUUUAACUCUAAUAAUUUUAUUCGAUUUGAAUUUUAUUCUACUUAAUUCAAUUCGAAGAAAUUUCAAAUCGAAUUAGAAUAAUAAAAUAGGAGUCCUCAACUCAAUUAAUUUAAAAUUUUUUGAUUUGAUCAAUAUUCAUCCCUAAAUAAAAUCAUAUACAUGUGUGUAAUGUGAUAUAAUUAUAAAUAAAAAAAGACAGAUAAUUAGUUAUAACAAUGAUGGAAACAUAUCCACUUACCACUUCAAUAAGAAGUUGUAACUCCAAGAAUUUGAUCGUCAAAAUAAAAAAUCCAAACACUCUUUUACCUCUGAUUUGCUUCAAGAAGAACAUAAAAAGAUGAGAUGAGAUAAGAUCAAAUAUAUAACAAAUAUAUAAACACAAAUAUAAAGAGAUUUACCUCACUUGGGAACUUCAAAAUCAAACUACACUUUGUGUUGAGAAGAUUCUUACUACUUCAGUACAAUCCAAAGGGAUUCGAAGGUUGGGUUUUUUUUUUUUUUUUUGAGCAAAAGAACUUGAAGAUAUUUUUUAUCUUUAAGGAAAGGGAAAUAAAAAAAAAACAAGAACAAAAUAGAAAUAGAAAUCCAGGUUGAGCUAAAAUAAGGAGAAACCUUCACAAAGAAAUUGAAGUUGAUCUGCCUGGAAAUUUCAACAAACUGGGUUUUCUUGAUUUAGUAGCCAAAUGAUUUGUGCUAUGAGAUUUUUGCAAUAUUGGGAUCUAAAUUAAUGACUGAUUGGUUUGCAAAAAAAACCAACAAGGCAUGUCAGUCGACUUAAAAAAAGGUGUGUCUUUGGGUUAUCUUUUUACUCGGCUUUCCACUUUUUCACUUUGCCCUAAGGCAGACUUAAUAAUUAGCACCAUCUGAAAAGAGUUAAUUCCAUCAAGCAUCCCUCAACUAUUACCUCCAUUUUGAAUUCGUCCCUAAACUUCAAAUUAUUCUAAUUACAUCCUCAUUUUAUCAAUACUAUAUCAAUCGGGUCCUUUUGUUAUUACAAUAGUUAAAUGAUACAUCAAAUCUUAUGCAGAUAAAUUUAAAAUGAAAAUUUUAAAGAAAUAGAAUCAUGCUGCGUAACUUUCAAAAUUAAAAACAAAGUAUAAUAAUAUAAGAGUAGUUGGAAUUGAUGUAGUAAGAAGGAAAUGACAUUCAAUUGAAUGCUUAUUCCAGAAUAUGUUGCUACCACUUUUGUACUGCUUUUAAUAAAGUUGAUAUUUAUUUCUAGACAAAGCAUAUAUUAUUCAUGUGCUGAAGGGUAAGACAUAUGCUGAAUAAAUUUCAGAUUAAUUACCUGAAUUCACAUAUGCUUCACUUUGUUCUUUUCUUACAUGAGCUCAAUAAAUUUGUCUUCUCUCACAAGAAAAAGAAAAAGUAGGUGGUAUGUUUUCCUAUUCAAAAAUAUGUUUAAAUAUGUUUCAACCAAUGUAUAUCCCUACCAAUGGGCCAUGUAGUUUCUUGGGCUGUAGCAGAUUCCUCCACUAUAAUUUCAUCAACUAAUUGGCAUGCCUGCAAAACGAAUUAAACCUUGAUUUAUUACUGUUUGCUUCUGAUGAUUGACGAUGAAGAAAGCAAAGAAACUUUCCCAAAACUGAAAAUAUUGUCAGCCAACAGAAAUCAAUUUUGUUUUAAAGCUUAUUAUUGAGUUUGGAAGAGUAGUGUACCUGUGUUUUGGCAUGCACUGAUUUAUCUGAAUCAAAACUAAAUCUUGUGGUUAUGUUGGGACAAUCUACUACUCGCAAAAUCAACAAUGAUUGGAAAACAAAAUGAUAACCCACAGGGCCGAAGCUUGCGAGGUUUGGUAGCCCAUCAAGCUGUAAGUCGGUUAAUCGAGGUAGGUGUAUCACUUUCUCUUCCUCCUCACUCACAUUUGGCUCAUCUCCUUCAAACACCUGUUCUAAUUUGGAAACCCUUCCAAGGAUUAUAAUUUCUAGUUUUUGAAGGCCGCCAUGAGCAAGAGUAAUUGGGAAGAGACAUUUCAAAUUUUCACAGUUCCUGAUUGUAAUCCAAAUCAGAUUAGGAAAGCAAACAGCUUGGAGAUGAUGUUGUGAUGAAGUUUGAUCCUUCUCGAUUAUUUGCUCCAAUUCCUCACAGUCAGAUAUAUCCAACCUCCACAAUUGUGGCAAAUUUCGAGCCAUGGUAAGUGGGAAGAUGUAUCUUAACCUUUUGCAAUCUUUGACAUCCAAUUCAGUGAGAUUUUGAUAGUUUCCAACUUGGAUGGGACCACUCCAUAUCACUCGCAAUUCAGUUAGUCUAGACAAGUUUAAGAUCUUCAGACUUGAAAGCUUAUAUCCAAAAUAUUCAAAUAACUCUUCAAAAUUGGAAAUUGUUAAAUAUUCGGUACAUGUUGAUGUUCCUCCUCUCCUUUCAGGGACUGCCACGUUGCUUAUUUGCUUCUUUUCUGUCAUCUCCGAGAAGGACAAUUCCUAUAAACAUAUCAUCAGUUUUUAUAGUCAAAGAAUUCAAAUUUUUAAAAAGUUUACUGUUCAACUCAAAUAAUCAUAAAUUACAAAAAAAAAAUCAACAAAAAUAUGGUGCAAAAACACAACAUAAAUAAUAUUACGUAGUACUAGAUAGUGUUUGCAAUAUAUAUAUAUUUCUCAUAUAGAUUAUAAAAGUAUUGUAAUUAACUAAACUACUUAUAGCUUUAUUUAGAUUAGUUUUUAGACCAAAAUUCUACAAUGAAAACUAUUUCUUAAAGAGUUUUACAAGCAUUUAUUUUAUACAAAAAAAAAUCAAAAGGUGAAAAUUUUAAUAAAUAAUAUAUAUAAGAAGAUCUUACUUGUAUAUUAGUUGGAACGAUAAAAGGUGUCAAUUGAGGACAAUCUCUCACAAAUAACAGGUGUAAAGAUGGCGAUGUCAGCACGAUGUUGUUUCUAUCUCUUCCUUUCAAAUGAGGUAAAUUAAUCAACUGAACUUUAUUCAACUGUGCAAGACCUUGAGACAUUGAGAUUAACACUUCUACUACUUGGAUUAUUUCUUGUAAUUGGGAACAACUCUCUAUCCUCGGAGUUUGCAAUUGCCCAAGACUAUUAGCAACACACAUUGGAAAGAGAAAUUUCAACUUAUUGCAUUUUGUGACUUGUACUUCCCUUAGGCAUUGGAAGCUUAUGGUUGAUACUUGUGAGUAUUGGAUUAUUUCUUCCAUUCUAAAGCACCUCUCUAUCUUCAGAGUUUGCAAUUGCCCAAGAUUAUUAGCAACACCCAUUGGGAAGAGAAAUUUCAACUUAUUGCAUUUUGUGACUUGUACUUCCCUUAGGCAUUGGAAGCUUAUGGUUGAUACUUGUGAGGCUUGGAUUAUUUCUUCCAUUCUAAAGCACCUCUCUAUCUUCAGAGUUUGCAAUUGCCCAAGACUAUUAGCAACACACAUUGGGAAGAGAAAUUUCAACUUAUUGCAUUUUGUGACCUGUACUUCCCUUAGGCAUUGGAAGCUUAUGGUUGAUACUUGUGAGUCUUGGAUUAUUUCUUCCAUUCCAAAGCACCUCUCUAUCCUCAAAGUUUGCAAAUUGGGCGCAUUUAGUGUUUUAGAGCUACCUUGAGCAACAAUAAUUGGAAAGAGAGAUUUCAAGCUUUCACAUUCCAAGAUAUCAAUUCGAAUCAGAUUUGGAAAGCAAAGAGGUAGGGGAUGAUGUUGUGAUGACGUUUGAUCUUGCUCCAAUUCCUCAUAUUUACAUGAAUGCAAAUUGCUCAAUUGUUCAUUUGUCAUCUUCCCAAACACCAAUUCCUAUAAACAUAUCAUCAAUUUUCAAUUUCAAAACGUUCAAAGUUGUCAACAACCAACUUAACAUUUCACCAAUUAAUUUCCUUACAAAAAAAUUAUUUUACCUUAAAUCAAGGUUAUACUCCAAAAAUGUGGUACAAAAACAGUCAUAAAUAAUAUCACAUAAUUUGUACAUAUAAAUUAUUGGACAGGUGUAACAACGCAAUUGGGAAUUACUUAAACUCAUUUUCAUAUAUUAAUACAAAAAUAAAAAAAAACCACCUGUGUAAAAGGCUAUAUUUAAAAAAAAUUAAAUAUAUUUUUUUCUACUUUAUUUUUUAAUACAAAUUCUAAAAUCAUCCAUAAUUCCUUCCCACAUUUAAAUAGAAAGAUACACGUGCCUAAAUGCCCUCGAACCCACAACCUCCUAUUCAUACAACAAUAUCGGUACCAACCAAACUAAAAUUUAUAUAUAAUUUUAUAUAGCUUAUUUUUGUUUACCCACAAAAUAGUAUAAUAUAAUUUAGUAUUAGAUAAAUAGUUUGCAACAUAUCUAAAACAUAAAGUUUGGAUAAUAUUUUUUUUUGAAAAUUUUAUUAAUCUUAUUAUAUGGUAUUAUAAUCAACUAAUUUGUUUAAAAGGUUAUUUAGAUUAGUUUUAGACCAAAAUCAUAAAAUAAAAUCUAUCUUUUAACAACUAUUCAAACAACGAAUUAUUAAAGAAAAAAAGAAACAAAUAAAUAAAUAAUAUAAAACAAAAAUAAAAAUCUUACUUGUAUCGUAGUCGAAAUAAAAAAUGUGUCAAUUGAGGACAAUUGUGCACUUUUAACUUCUGCAAAGACGAUUGUGUGGGCAAAAUGUCGUUCACAUCCCAUCCUUUCAAUUGAGGCAAAUCAAUCAACGAAACCUAAAAUGAAAAGCAUAAUCAAAUUUCCCAAUAUUUGACCAUAGGACAAUAAGGAAAAAAAUGUCAAGUUAUUGCAGUGAGAUACACAUACUUUCCUUGGACUUUGGAGUAGACAUUUGUGUUCCACUUGUCGGUCUUCGAUUAUAUCUUCCAAUUGCGAGCAACUCUUUAUCUUCAAAGUAUGCAAUUGCCCAAGGCUAUUAGCUACUGACCUUGGGAAGAUAUAUUUCAAAUUAUUGCAUCUCUCUAUUUCAACAAUCUUCAGACUUUGGAGGCUUAAAUGACGGAUGGGCCCUUCUUAUUCUAUGCUCCUCAAUUCAGCAAUCGGGAAUAACACUUGCAUCUCACCAUAAUCUGAAACUAUAACCUCUUCAAGCUUUUGUAAAAAACCUUGCGGCUGGGGAGCAUUGCACAUCUCUUCCAAAUCAAACAUAUCACUUAAUGAUAACUUUCUCAAAUUAGAGAGUGCAGUGAUUGGCACUUGCUGCUUUGAUGCAUCAAUUAAGCAUUGCAUAGACUGGCACUGUCGAAGAUCUAGAGAAGUUAACUUUCUAAAUCCCAAGUCUAAGCUCGGAAUAAGGUUUGAAAUUGAACAUUCAGGACUUGUUGGAAGGAGAUGAAAAGUGAGGAUCAGACAAGAUUUUUGUUUGGGAUUUCCCUUUUAUGAGGAUCAGACAACUAGCUAUCUUCCUUUUGAGUUGAUUGUUUCUGAUCUGUGGGGACCUGGAUCCGUUGCGUGUGAUAAUAAGUGGUAUUACAUUUCUUUUAUUGAUAUGGGUACGAGGUUUACUUGGAUUUAUCUUUUACGACAGAAGUCUCAGGCUAUAGAAUGUUUUGUUCAGUUUCAACAGCUAGUCAAGACACAGUUUGACAAGACUAUUAAACAAUUUCAGAGUGAUUGGGGUGGCGAAUAUCAUAGUUUUACGUCUCUCUUAGCAUCUCAAAGAAUUGUUCAUCGGCUGACUUUCCCUUAUACCUCUGAACAAAAUGGUGUAGCUGAGCGUAAACAUCGUCACAUUGUUGAAACGAGACUUACGCUGUUGGCUCAAGCAAGUAUGCCUAUGGAAUACUGGGGAUAUGCGUUUUGUUCUGCAGUGCAUCUUAUAAAUCGACUUCCUACUACUGUUCUCUAGGGACGUUCUCCAUUCAAAGCUUUGUAUGGCACUACUCCUACGUAUGAUCAUCUUUGUGUGUUUGGUUGUUGUUGUUACCCAUACUUACGACUGUUUUUAGAUCAUAAGUUGGAAUUUCAGUCCCAACCGUCUACAUUUUUGGGAUAUAGUUCUAGUUACAAAGGGUAUCGGUACUUGUUUUCAGAUGGUAAGGUUAUUGUGUCACGUCAUGUAACGUUUGAUGAACACAGGUGUUCUCUGAAACUUGUUCUGGAAGAUGAGUGCCGCAACUGAGUUUGACUAGUAUGACGGUGUGUCCUAUUGUAUGGCCUAUGUCUCAUCAUUCUUCUUCAUUAUCACCGGUACAACAAAGUUCUUCAUUAUCACCGGUUCAACAAAGUUCUUCACCAGAUGGUGGAGUGAUGCAGUUUCAAACUAUUGCACGUCAAUUUUCUUCGAAUGGUGUCGUCGGUUCUUCACCUACUUUGGAACUUCAUAAUAGAAAUGCUCAGAUCAGAUUGUUGCAAGUACGUCUGAUGGUCAAGAUAGUAGGUUACCUGUGGUUAAUGCUCAUCCGAUGGUUACGAGGGCUAAGGCAGGAGUUUUCAAACCAAGAGUGUUAAAUGUUGAAAAUGUAGAACCUUCUACCAUUGAAGAAGCACUGGCUAUUGUUGAAUGGAGCAAUGCUGCCCAAGAAGAAUACAAUGCCCUUAUUCAGAAUUCUACGUGGGAGCUAGUUCCUGCUCCGACAUAUCAUAAAGUUAUCGGCUGCAAAUGGUUGUUUAAGAUCAAAGAAAUCCUGAUGGUUCAAUCGCCCAACGAAAGGCUAGGUUAGUUGCUAAAGGUUGUUCUCAAGUUUCGGGGUGUGAUUUUAAGGAAACCUUUAGUCCUGUUGUGAAACCAGCUACAAUCAGAGUUAUUUUGUCCAUUUUUGUUUCCAGGGGUUGGUCGCUUCGACAAGUAGAUGUUAAUAAUGCUUUUCUCAAUGGGAAUCUUGAUACUGAGGUUUUCAUGCAUCAACCUCUUGGUUAUGUUCAGUAUGAUUCAGACGACAAACCUCUCGUGUGUCGCUUGAAGAAAGCAUUAUAUGGUCUUCAUCAGGCUCCUCGCGCGUGGUUUGACAAGCUCAAGAGCUUUCUUAUAUCUAAAGGGUUUAUUGCCUCAAAGUCUGAUGCAUCCUUAUUCGUUAGGAUCACAUCAGACUCCACAUUAUAUGUUAUGGUCUAUGUUGAUGAUAUUACUGUUACUGGGAGUCCAUCUCCUAUAAUUGAAUGGUUUGUUCGAUUACUGAAUGAUGAGUUCUUGCUUAAGGACAUGGGUGAUCUUCAUUACUUCCUUGGGCUAGAGGUUACUCGUUCUUUAUCUGGAUGUCUUCAUUUGUGUCAGAGGAAGUACAUCUAAGAUAUACUUAUUCAGUGUUCGCUUGAAAAUGCUAAGAGUGUUCACACACCAAUGAUCAGUUCUUCUGUCAUGUCUAAAGAUGAUGGUGAUCGUUUAGAGGAUCCAACUUUGUAUCGGAGUCUUACUGGUAUGUUGCAGUAUGUUACUCUCACGAGGCCUGAUGUGACAUAUGCUGUUAAUCGAAUAUGUCAGUUCAUGCAUAGUCCUACCACCGUUCAUAUGACUGCUUUAAAACGUAUUUUGCAUUAUUUAGCUGGCACAAUUGAUUUUGGAAUUAUUUUUCGACCGGCUGCUAAUCUAUCUUUAGUAGGAUAUGCAGACGCCAAUUGGAGGUUGGAUUUUGAUGAUCGAAGGUCGACCUCCGGCUUUUGUGUCUAUUUUGGACACACUCCUGUGUCUUGGUGCACGAAGAAACAACAAGUAGUGGCUCGAUCUACUGCUGAGGCAAAAUAUAAGAGUCUUGCCGCAGUAACAAGUGAAGUUACCUGGUUGUUGUCAUUACUUCGAGAGUUACAAGUUUGUUCUGUAGAUACACCUAGCAUUUGGUAUGAUAGCUCUGGAGCUGUUGCGGUUGCCACUAAUCCUGUAUUACAUUUGAAAUUCAAGCAUGUUGAAUUAGAUUUAUUUUUUGUUCGUGAGAAGGUUGCUGAGGGAUCAGUUGUGGUUGGAGAGGUGCCCGCGUGUGAUCAAGUCGCUGAUGUCCUCACUAAGCCACUAUAAGUUUCAAGUUUUACUUGUUUUUGGAGUUGUCUGCGGGUCUUGUCAGUGGAGAGGAUGGAUGCAUGUUAGAAGUAUUAAACAGUAGUCAAUAUUAGAAUAGUCAAGAGCUGUAGAUAAAUUGUUAGUUAGUGAGCGGGUAUUGUACUGUUGCUAGGACUCUAUAAAUACAGUAAUCUCUAUAAUAUUGUAAAAUGGAUCUGAAAAUAUAAAUAAAUUAGUUUUUUCUUUACCUAUUUCUUCAAAUGGAAAGCCACGUUAUAUUCAAUAGAUGGUUAUUGUGAAGGUAUUAUUUACUUCGAAACCAAGACUGUUCAAACAUGGAUGAAGAGUGAAGAGAUCAAUCUAUUUUUUGUUUUCCUUGAUGAAAAUUUAUGGGUUUUUUUUUUCAAAAAAUUUAUCUAGUAAAAAUAACUUUCCAUCCUCAAUUUGCAGCUAUGUCAUUAGCAACAAUUAUAUUAAUAUGUUAUUGAUUAUUCUUGUUCUUUGAAGGUGGAAUUAUAUGUUCCAAACCUUGAAAUUCCUGGCAUUGUACUUGAUUUAUGAUCGGCUAUCACUUCUGUAUUUUGCAAAGAAAACUGACGCGAAACAGAGUUUUAAAGCUUUUACGAGCUUUGGUUUCCAUUGCUGAAGCCGUCUCUGAUUGUCCUAAAACAAUAAGAGUUGUUUCUAAUGAUCUGAAUGGUUUUCUCCAAUCAGAAUUAGACCAAAUUCCUAAUAGUUUGAAACAAGUUUCGAAAAUCACCAGGUCCAAUGUGUUUCACUGUCCAUAGCAAUGUAAAGAACUGCAACUUGAAGGAGAUUUGAAGUCAAAUUCGACCCCGAGCUGGCUGAAUUGGGUGUGUGGUAACGAGUUUGGGGAGCUGAUUGGUGAUUGUAUUCAAGUGUCUCUAGUAAAAUUUUUAAAGAAGAAUCAAUUUGUUGAAUUCUGAAUCUAAGGGUUUUAACUUUGGAUUUGAACUAAAAAAUCUUAUUAAACUCCAUAAGUCUCACUGUUGUUAAUCUCAAUUAUAAAAGUGAGUACUUUUGGAUUGGGUUGUACUUAGCAGAGAACUUGUGUUCCUUAUACUUCAAUUCCUUGAUCAGGAGAAAUUUAAAGACACCGUUCAUAAUUAUCUCCGCACUCUUUGUUUUUGUUCUUUUCUUUUAUUCUAUCUUUUUAUAAUUUAAAUCUUUUAAUCUGUUCAUGCAUUUUUUUGUGUAUUUAUUGAUUAAUAUAUUUAAAUUUAAUAGAUUGGAGUAAGAGUCAGGUUCUAAAUAUCUCACCUCGAGGAGGACUACAAGCAGCUCAAUUUCAUUCUGGUAUUCAUUCUCCCACAAAGCAUCUUUAACUAUUCAAAUUUUCAUAUACAGAUUAAUUCUCAUUGUAGACCCUGUACAAGGCAUAGUUUUGUGUUGAGGUUAAAUUUAAACUAGGGUCAUGGUUGAUUAGAUUUAUGGGUGUCUGAGUUGAUUUAAUGUAACUAGUCAAGGCAUAGUUUUUGUGUUGAGGAGUUGGUAUUGAGAAAUGAUGAACACUAGUGCUGGUCUUCUUAGCAAAUUUGUUUAAGAUCUGAUCGCCUUCCUUAUUAAGUAUUGUUUUUCUUUGGCGAGGGUCGCUUGGCAUGGUCUUUGUAUAAUAUCGUACCUAUCUCAUUGUGAUAUUAUUAUUUUAGAUUAAAUGUAUUCAUUUAAAUAUAUAAGUAACACGUUUCUUUUUUUUAAGAUAUAAAUAAAAAAAAUAAAUAGUAAUAAACAAAUUAUAAAUAAAUAAAAGAAACUCGUAAACAAUAAUAGUGUUAAUUAUAUAAUUAAACAAUAGUUGAUUUUAAAUGAUUUACUAAACCAAUUUUGAACUAGCAUGAAGAUAAUUAGUUUGGAUAUGUUUCAUUUAUAUUAGGUUAAUUUAAUAAAUAAAAGCAUUUAUGACCAUAAAAGCAUUUAUAUUGGUUAAUUCACUAUUAAUAACCAUUUUACCAAAUUAACCUUAAUGAAAUAAAAGCACAAUUCACAUAUUUUAAGGUCAUUUAUGACCAGCACCACUAUCAUUGGUCCAAUAACAUAAUAAGGACCUCUCAUUCAACUUAUCAGCAAAUAAAUACUCUUAACUUAUAGCCUGCUACUUUUACAUUUUACGCGAUUAAGUCCUUUUUAUCAAAUUAAGUAUUUAAACGGUAAAAUUUCUUAAUGAAAUUUUUAUACUAUAAUUCCAUCAUGCUGUAAAACUUAUUAAAAUAAUAUAAUAAAUAUUUUUACUCGGUUAAGUGGUCCCGAAACCACUGUUCCGAUCAGACUCAAAAACGGGUUAUUACACUUAAUCUUUUGUAAUCUUUUUGUUGUUGUUGAACAUUUGAAAGCUAGUAUUUAUAGUCCCAAAUUGAUUUCCAACCAUUGUGGUUGUUGUGGAAUUGAAUAGAAUCAGUGGGUUGUAAAAACCAAUGCAUUAAUGUCACCUACAACAACAAGUAUUGAUACCUUUGGAGGGGUAUCGAUACUUUGGGCAUUUAAUGUCUCAAUUUAGUGAUCAUUAAAGCCUAUAGUAUCGAUACAAUAGGGUAUGUAUUGAUACUUGGACAAUUUAUUGUUUAAUUUUCAAAACAUUGAACCUUAAAACAGUAUCAUUACCAGGAGAAAGUAUCAAUAUAUUUGGUAAGGUAUCGAUACUUUGUAUUUGUCCUCAAUUUUUUUUAGAAACAGAAGCUCAAUUCGGUAUCGAUACUAUGAAAGAGUUUCGAUACUUUGGUAAAGGUAUCGAUACUCUUUUAUUCGUGCUCCUUUUUUUGAAUUUCGAAACUCAAUUCGGUAUCAAUACUAGAAAGGGGUAUCGAUACUUGAGGCUAAGGUAUCAAUACCUUAUUUAGGGUAUCAAUACUUUGAUCCCUGUGAGCAUUUUAAGUUGUUUAAAAAUAUUAGAAAAAUUGUUUGUUGUUUUGAAGAACUUCCAAAAUAUUUUUCAAGUACUUGAAAGAUUAGAUUUAAAAUUUCUCUCUCAAAAUAUUUUGAACCAAAUUUUUACUUUCAAAUUUAUCAAGUUUUAUUUCAAAAACAAGUUUUACUCAAAAACAUUAUAUUUUUUUAUAUCAAAACUCUUAUCAAAUUAAGGCUUGACUUAACAAAAUAUAAUCUUUAAACAUUACAUCUAAAUAUUAAAUAUUAAAAAUAAAUUUAUAAACAUGUAAUAUACAAUUUAUUGUUAUAAACUAAUAAACAAUUCAUUAAAAGUAAUGUUUUAAUUAACAUCUCUAUGAGGAAAAUGAUAAUUUAAUUCUUUUUAAAAGUUUAAUAACCAAAUUUAGAUUAAAAAACAAGAGUCAAAUUUAAUAAAAAUAUAUAAAAAUUGAGGGCUAAAAUUAUCAUUAUACUUUUAAUUAAUUCUUUUUCUUUCAGCUAUGCAAUUCUAUAAUUACAUUACAAAGCUAUUCCAUCCAAAGCAAAAAGAAGUAAAUUUGUGGUUGAGCCGGAAGAUAGCAUAAAUAGAAAACUUGAUGCCUGUGAAGCUAAAACUUUCUCUACGUAUAGAUAAGGAACUUCGUACACAUCACUUCUCUAGUUGUUGCGGUUGCCACUAUAUUAAUUUUUUCACUCCUCAAUUACAGCACUAAAUACAAUUAUAAGUAAACAACAUUAUUGAAAAGUGAACUAUUAGUUAAUGAAGUCCUUGAGUGUUGGGGAGAAGCAAAAAAAUAAAAAUUAAAACUAGGGGAUAAAUUUAAAUUGUAAUUUUUACAAUAAUAAAAAUGCAAUUCCGCAAUUUUAAUACUUUAAUUUAUAAGGAUUAAAUCAAUUUUUUAUCAUUUUUAAGAGGGACCAAAAUGUAAUUUUACCUUUACUAUUUAAAAUAUAAAAAAAAUUAAAGAGCUUCAAUAAAAAAAAAUCAUUUUUGGGGUCGGACCUACAAGCCCCUAAUUAUGCUACUACUUGGGUGGAUGCAAUACAAAAAGUUUUUGAUAUUUGAAACUCCAAAAAAAAAAAAUUGACUAUAAAUAUCAUGCAGAGGAUUAAAUGAAUGUCUUUGUUACAUGGUAUGGUUGUAAAUGUAGUAUCGUUCACUUUUUUUCAAUAUUCUUAGAUAUUUUGAAGGGUGUUAGAGAGUUUUAUUUCUACAUUUAUAUUUGGAUAUUCUUCGUAAAUUAUGGGUGUAAUACUUGAAUUUGUAAGUUAUUCAAGUUUGAAAAAAGUUCGAUUUGAUAAUUAUCAAUCGAGCACAAAUUCAAACAAUUCGAAUUAUGAAUUAAGUUAAAAGUCAAACAUUUUAAUAUUUGAUUAAAGUAUCUUGCGAGCAAUCGACCUUCUUAUAUAUUCUUUAAUUAAUUUUCAUACUGUGAAAUGUAUAGAUUUAUUGUAUGUAUUUAUAUAAAAAAAAUGUUAAUAUAAAAUUUGUAUUUAAAUAUCAUGGAAAAAAAAAUUAAACUGCACGUAACUUCUAUACAAUAAAUUAAGUGCUAAAUUAGAGAUAUGAUUGAAUGACUGAAAACAUGAAUAUAACUUACAUUUGAUUUGUGCCAGUAGAGUAACGUGUUAGAAACAUAAAAAUUUUGGCACGUUACUAAGGUUACUAUAGUAAAUACGAAAAAUAAUCUUAAAAAAUUUAUAAUCUUAGUGGCUCAUAUAAAUUUUUUAAGAAUAUCAAAUUAUAGAUUGAUUUUGAUCUUGACUGCUGAUAUAAAUUAAAUUGUACUAUUGAAUCUGAAGGAGUUCAACUAUAAAUAGAGACCUUCUCAUUUGUAAUCAUCCCAUUGUAACUCAUUCUUGAUUAAGAUCAUACUUUUACGAGUAUUUACUCGAACACUUGGUAUGCUAUUGCUUUUUUGUAGCUUUUUUUGUUCUCUCGUUGCUUCUUUAUUUUUUCGGUGCCCACUUUCGAGAGUAAGAUUGACUUUAGGCGAAUUUGAAGCGAAAGAAUCACCUAAUACCAUGCGAUUUGCAAGACUAUAAAGUUUUAGGCGUGUGACAAUAUUUUGUGGUUGUAAUUUGCUCCAAUAUUACAUUUGCUUUACUAGUUUAAAGUGUAAAGAUUAAGGACACAGAUUUGAUUUACUUCUAUGAUUGUCAUCGUUUAUUUCAGGGAAAUGUAGGCUUAAUGGAAAGCCACUUUAUAUUCAAUAGAGAUGGUUAUUGUUAAGGUAUUAUUUACUUCGAAACCAAGACUGUUCAAACAUGGAUGAAGAGUGAAGAGAUCAAUCUAUUUUUUUUUUUCCUUGAUGAAAAUCUAUGGUUUUUUCUUUUCAAAAAAUUUAUCUAGUAAAAAGAACUUUCCAUCCUCAAUUUGCAGCUAUGUCAUUAGCAACAAUUAUAUUAAUAUGUUAUUGCUUAUACUUGUUCUUUGAAGGUGGAAUUAUGUGUUCCAAACCUUGAAAUUCCUGGCGUUGUACUUGAUUUAUGAUCGGCUAUCACUUCUGUAUUUUGCAAAGAAAACUGAAGCGAAACAGAGUUUUAAAGCUUUUACGAGCUUUUGGUUUCCAUUACUGAAGCCGUCUCUGAUUGUCCUAAAACAAUUAAGAGUUGUUUCUAAUGAUUUGAAUGGUUUUCUCCAAUCGGGUUUUAACUUUGGAUUUGAACUAAAAAAUCUUAUUAAACUCCAUAAGUCUCACUGCUUUUAAUCUCAAUUAUAAAAGUGAGUACUUUUGGAUUGGGUUGUACUUAGCACUGUUCAUAAUUAUCUCCGCACUCUUUAUUUUUGUUCUUUUCUUUUAUUCUAUCUUUUUAUAAUUUAAAUCAUUUAAUCUGUUCAUGCAUUUUUUUGUGUAUUUAUUGAUUAAUAUAUUUAAAUUUAAUAGAUUGGAGUAAGAGUCAGGUUCUAAAUAUCUCACCUGGAGGAGGACUACAAGCAGCUCAAUUUCAUUCUGGUAUUCAUUCUCCCACAAAGCAUCUUUAACUAUUCAAAUUUUCAUAUACAGAUUAAUUCUCAUUGUAGACCCUGUACAAGGCAUAGUUUUGUGUUGAGGUUAAAUUUAAACUAGGGUCAUGGUUGAUUAGAUUUAUGGGUGUCUGAGUUGAUUUAAUGUAACUAGUCAAGGCAUAGUUUUUGUGUUGAGGAGUUGGUAUUGGGAAAUGAUAAACACUAGUGCUGGUCUUCUUAGGAAAUUUGUUUAAAAUCUGAUCGCCUUCCUUAUUAAGUCUUGUUUUUCUUUGGCGAGGGUCGCUUGGCAUGGUCUUUGUAUAAUAUCGUACCUAUCUCAAUGUGAUAUUACUAUUUUAGGUUAAAUGUAUUCAUUUAAUUAUAUAAGUAACACGUUUCUUAUUUUUUUAAGAUAUAAAUAAAAAACAUAAAUAGUUAUAAAUAAAUAAAAGAAACACAUAAACAAUAAUAGUAUUAAUUAUAUAAUUAAACAAUAGUUGAUUUUAAAUGAUUUACUAAACCAAUUUUAAACUAGCAUGAAGAUAAUUAGUUUGGAUAUGUUUCAUUUAUAUUAGGUUAAUUUAAUAAAUAAAUUUUAAAUUUUUAUUAACGUUGAUUUAUUUAAUUUAAAGAACGAAUAUAAAUAAACAAAGAUCCAACUCAUAAACUAUUUAUUUACGGCCUUAAACUUGACUUAUAUCCAUUUAGAACACUUAAGUAACGGUAAUUUAUUGUCAACUUUAGACUUCAAGAACUACGAAAUGAAUAACAGUUGGAUGGAUUUGUCAACGAAUAUCAAAAUGGAGUAUAAAUUUUUCUAAAUUAGCUUGCAUUUAAAUUUUUAUAUUUAAAUAAUUUAUUUAAAGUGAUUGAUCUACUAGUUAACUCACGCAUUACCUUAUAUUUAUACUUUCUCAGAGAAAAUUUUAAUUUUUGUAAUUAAUAAAUUUAAUUUACAAUUAAUUUUUACAUUAACUAACUAAACUUUUAUAAAGAAAAUUAGAAACCCCAUCGGUUAAAACUAGUUAUUUUUCCUUUUAAAAAAUCUAGUUAUUUUUUUUUAAAAAAAGUAAUAUUUUAUUAUUUUAUAUAUUUAAUAUAUUUAAUAUAAAAUUAUAUAAAUAUUUUAUUUUAUUUUUCGUUAUUCUCUACAUCUAUUUUAUGUUCAUGUUCGGGUUUAUUAAACUAAUAUUAAAAUUAUGCAUUUUAAUAUUUAUAUUAAUAUAUUAAUUUAAUAUAAAAACAUAUAUUUUAAUUUUUUUUAUUUAUAUACAUUAAUUUAUAAAUAUUUUUAUUGUUUUAUUGUUUUUAAAAAAUUAAUAAUAUUAAUAUAUUAUUUUAAAAAUAAUAAUUUUAUUUUAUUUUUUAAUAUUUUAUAAAAAUUAAAUGUUAUAAUAUUUUUAUUUUGUUAUUUUAUUAUAUUUUAAUGUAAAUAUUUUGUAAAUACUAAUAUUUUAUAUUUUAUUUUAAACUAUAUAAAAAAAGGAUAUUAAGGGUAAGAUGAUUUAAUAAGACUUAUGUUUUAACUCAUAGAAAAUACAUGGUAAGAAGAUUAACUGUUUGACACAAGUGUAAACCGUGUUCCCCUAUCUCGUACCCCUAAUAUAGUAUCGAAAAACACAUGGUGAGAAGAGUGAUAUAUAUCCAAUUUUCAACAACCAAACAAUUUGAUGUAGUAGCAUCUAUCUUUUAUCCAUCAUUUGAGAGUUGAGUGUUAUUUAACCUAAAACUCCUUUUUUACAUCAAGCCUACCAAAUGUGACCAGACUAUCAAUUUGACUAUAAUUCUAUAUAAAACGAUAAAAAUUGAGUUUUUUUAAAUUAGAAAAUCUUAAAAAUAUAUAAAUUUGAAAAUUAAAUAAAAAUAGAUAAAAUUUUAAAAAAUAUAUAUAGAUAAGUGAGAGAAAAUUAAGGAAAAUUAUUUUUCAUUAUAAGAAAAUAAUGAGAGAAAAAAAGAUUGUAUUUGGAAGAUUGGCAAUUUAUUGAUUUGUAUCUUUGGGUUGAGUUGAUAUUGUAGGAUGAAUCAAGCUCGUUAAUAAAGAUCAUAUCACUUGGAGAAACUUAUUUAGAAGAGUGGAUAGGAUUGGAUUGGCUUAUAUCAAAUCCUAUGGAUAAAGGAAGUUGGAUCGGAUUGAAAAAGUGAAGAGUUAGCUGUCAACCGUCAAUGUUUAUUGUGGUUGUUAAUAAUAUUAUAUUGUAUUUAGCUAUUUUAGUUGUUGUUUAGUAAGGAUUGUGAUAGAUCUUCAUUAUGUUAGCAAGUCUCGAAAUCUCUAUAUGUAAUUAAGAGACUUGUAUACGUUGAUGCACAAAUUAUUAAGAUCAUUUAUAUGUUCAAGUGAGGAACAUUGUUUUGCAAGAGUGCAUUUGUGAUUGUAAAACUUUGUAUUGUGGUUUUGCAAACUAAGUUCUCUGAGGGCGAAUUUAGUGGCGAGUGAUCUAGUCUUUGAAAGUAUAAGAGUGAGGAAUCAUCAUUGGGGUGUGAUACAUUUAGGUUCACUGGUUGUAAUUGUUUAAAUAUAGUGAUUCUACUGAGCAAGGCUUCACAAGUGUAUGGAAACUAAACUGCAUAAAUAAACUUUAAUGUUUCCUAUUUUGUUUUUGCUUAUCACAGUGCUUGCAGAAGUACACACUUUUGUAGUCACUACUACUCAUACUUUGCUUGUUACCUAGCAACAGUUUUAGAUCAACAACAAAUCGUUUAAAUGAAUUAAAUUUUAUUAAUGGAGUUUGAAAAAGAAUAUUUUCUGGUAUAUUUUGUAUUUUUUUUUACUAAAAGAAUGGGAUCAAAGUCAAUUUCACAAGUCUUAGUGAGAUUAGUUUGAAAGAAGUUCUUCAACAGCAUGGAACUUGAUUUGAAGGCAUUACUAAUUUUGUCCUACUUUGUUUUAAAUUUGUUAUUGGAUUCUAUUAAAUAAUCUUUUUCUUUUUUAUGUCUCAAUAUUGAACAAUCUUAAGCUUUACUGCAAUAUAAUAUUAAGUUUUCUUGUAUGUUUCUAAUCACAUUUAAGCUUUGUGCAGAAUGAAUGUUUAUUAAGAUAUUGAAAUUGAUCUAUUUUUAAAAUCCAUUUUCAUGAUUUAAGGCAAUGUUGAAUAUUUUGUUGUUGCAGAAAUCAAAAUUUUUAUAUAGAAUUUUCUAUUUUUUUAAAUAAUAUUGAGUUUUUAAAAUUAAUUUUAUAUAGAAUUAGGGUUAAAUGGAGAGAAAGUAUAAAAGCUAAGGGUUAAAAUUCUCAUUAUCUAACUAAAAAAGUGUGGUUGUUAGCUAUUUAAUAGUUGGGUAAAAAAAUAAUUUCGAAAAUGUUAGUGGCCAAAUUGUAGCUCUUUCAAUUAAGUGACACAUAAUUGAGGGAUUAAUAGUGUAAUUCCAUUAUCUUUUUUAAACAUAUGGAUUAAUUCACAUUUAUUUGGAAUCUGUUAUUAAUUCACUUAUGUAUUUAACUAGUGGUGGAGCUAGAAAUUCCUCUUUGGUCCACCAUUCUAUAUCACUACCAAUUGGCCAUGCAGUUUCUUGAGCUGUAGCAGAUUCUUCCACUAUAAUUUCAUCAACUGAUUGGCUUGCCUGCAAAGCAAAUUAAACCUUCACUUAUUACUGUUUGCUUGUGAUGAUUGAUGAUGAGGAAAGCAAAGCCAAUUUUCCAAAAUUGGACAAAGGAUGACAUAUUAAGAACAAGAACUGUGAAUUGAAAAUAAUAAUGCAACAAUGAUAUCUAGAAAGAAAUAUUGACAGCCAACAGAAACCGAUUACAGUUGAUGCAAUUUCAUUUAGUCAUUUAAAGCAUAAAAACAAAAACAAAAAAGAAUUUCUCAGGCAGCCAUAAUAAAAAUAUUGCAUUAAUGCAUAGAAAUUAAAGCUUAGUAAAUAUAAAGUUUGGGAGAAUAGUGUACCUGUGUUUUGGCAUGCACUGAUUGCUUUGAAUCAACACUAAAUCUUGUGGUUACGUUGGGACAACCUUUUACUUUUAAAUACCUCAAAGAUUGGAAAACAAAAUGAUAGCCCACAGGGCUGAAGCUCACGAGGUUUGGUAGCUCAACAAGCUCUGAGGAGCAGAGCUGAGGUAGGCGUAUCACUUUCUCUUCUUCCUUAUUCAGAUUUGACUCAUCUCCUUCAAACACCUGCUCUAAUUUGGAGACCCAUUUAAGGCAUAAUCUCAAUAGGUUUGGAAGGCCGUCAUGAGCAAGAGUAAAGGGGAAGAGACAUUUCAAGUUUUCACAGUUAAUGAUUGUAAUCGAACUCAAAUGAGGGAAGCAAAUUGGUUGGAGAUGAUGUUGUGAUGAAGUUUGAUCCUUCUCAAUUAUUUGCUCCAAUUCCUCACAGUUAGAUAUAACCAAAGUCCACAAUUGUGGCAAAUUUCGAGCGAUGGUAGGUGAGAAGAUGUAUCUUAACCUUCUGCACUUGAAGACUGCCAAUUCAGUGAGAUUUUGGAAGUGUUCAACUUGGAUGGGACCAGUCCAUAUCACCCGCAAUUCAGUUAGUUCGGACAACUUUAGGGUCUUUAGACUUGAAAGAUUAUAUCCAGAAUAUUCAAAUAACUCUUCAAAAUUUGAAAUUGUUAAAUAUUUCGUACAUGUUGAUGUUCCUUCUCUCCUUUCAGGGUCUGUCACGUUGCUUAUUUGCUUCUUUUCUGUCAUCUUCGACAAAUCCAAUACCUAUAAACAUAUCAUCAAUUUAAGAAUAAGCACAAGAUUUCUUUUUCAAUCUUUCAUAGUCGAAGAAUUCAAAUUUUUAAAAAGUUUGCUGUUCAACUCAAAUAAUCAUAAAUUACAAAAAAAAAACUCCAAAAGCACAACAUAAAUAAUAUUACGUAGAACUAGAUAGCGUUUGCAAUUAACUAAACUACUUAAAUAAUAUAUAAUUCUACAAUGUUAUUUAUGUUACUAAUUGGUAUUGUAAUUAACUAAACUACUUAAAGGUUUAUUUAGAGUAGUUUUUAGACCAAAAUUCUACAAUGCAAACUAUUUUUUAAAGAGUUAUACAAGCAUUUAUUUAUUUUAUACAAGAAAAUCAACAGGUGAAAAUUUUAAUAAAUAAUAUAUAUAUAAGGUGGUCUUACUUGUAUAUUAGUUGGAACGAUAAAAGGUGUCAAUUGAGGACAAUCUCUCACUCUUAACACGUGUAAAGAUGGCGAUGUCAGCACGAUGUCGUUUCUACCCCUUCCUUUCAAUUGAGGCAAAUUAAUUAACUCAACUUCAUUCAAUCGUUCAAGACCUUGAGACAUUGAGAUUAACACGUCUGGUCUUUGGAUUAUUUCUUGCAAUUGGAAACAGCUCUCCAUCCUCAGAGUUUGCAAUUGCCCAAGACUAUUAGCAACACACAUUGGGAAGAGAAAUUUCAACUUAUUGCAUUCUGUGACUUGUACUUCCCUUAGGCAUUGGAAGCUUAUGGUUGGUACUUGUGAGUCUUGGAUUAUUUCUUCCAUUCCAAAGCAUCUCCUUAUCCACAGAGUUUGCAAAUUGGGCGCAUUUAGUUUUUUAGAGCUACCUUGAGCAACAAUAAUUGGAAAGAGAGAUUUCAAGCUUUCACAUUCCAAGAUAUCAAGUAGAAUCAGAUUUGGAAAGCAAACAGGUAGGGGAUGAUGUUGUGAUGACGUUUGAUAUUGCUCCAAUUCCUCGUAUUUACAUGACUGCAAAUUGCUCAAUUGUUCAUUUGUCAUCUUCCCAAUCACCAAUUCCUAUAAACAUAUCAUCAAUUCUCAAUUUCAAAAUGUUCAAAGAUGUCAACAACUAACUUAACAUUUCAUCAAUUAAUUUCCUUACAAAAAAAUUAUUUUACCUUAAAUCAAUAUUAUACUCCAAAAAUGUGGUACAAAAACAGUCAUAAAUAAUAUCACAUAAUCAAUAUCAAACAACAAUAUAAUUUUAUACAGCUUUUUGUUUACCCAUAUAAUAGGUAUAAUAUAAUUUAGCAUUAGGUACUAAAACAUAAAGUUUGGAUAAAUUUUUUUUUUUGAAAAUUUUAUUAAUCUUAUUAUAUGGUAUUAUAAUCAACUAAUUUGUUUAAAAGGUUAUUUAGAUUAGUUUUAGACCAAAAUCAUACAAUAAAAUCUAUCUUUUAAACAACUAUUCAAACAACGAAUUAUUAAAUAAAAACCAGAAACAAACAAAUAAAUAAUAUAAAACAAAAAGAAAAAUCUUACUUGAAUCGUAGUCGAAAUAAUAAAAUGUGUCAAUUGAGGACAAUUGUAUACUUUUAACUUCUGCAAAGACGAUUGUGUGAGCAAAAUGCCGUUCACAUCCGUUUUUUUCAAUUGAGGCAAGUCAAUCAACGAAACCUGAAAUGAAAAGCAUAAUCAAAUUUCCCAAUCUUUGACCAUAGGACAAUAAGGAAAAGAAAUAUCAAGUUAUUGCAGUGAGAUACACAUACUUCCCUUAGACUUUGGAGUAGACACUUGUAUGCCAUUUGUCGGUCUUGGAUUAUAUCUUCCAGUUGCGAGCAACUCUUUAUCUUCAAAGUAUGCAAUUGGCCAAGGCUAUUAGCAACUGAAAUUGGGAAGAUAUAUUUCAAAUUAUUGCAUCCCUCUAUUUCAACAAUCUUCAGACUUUGGAGGCUUAAAUGACGACUGGGCCCUUCUUGUUCUAUGCUCCUCAAUUCAGCAAUUGGGAAUAACAGUUGCAUCUCACCACAAUCUGAAACUACAACCUCUUCAAGCUUUUGUAAAAAACCUUGCGGCUGGGGAGCAUUGCACAUCCCUCCCAAAUGAAACAUAUGACUUAAUGAUAACUUUAUCAAAUUAGAGAGUGCAGUGAUUGGCACUUGCUGCUUUGAUACAUCAAUUAGGCAUUGCAUAGAGUGGCACUGUCGAAGAUCUAGAGAAGUCAACUUUCUAAAUCCCAAGUCCAAGCUCGGAAUAAGGUUUGGGUGACCCUCCACCUUAUUCAAUUGAAGAGAUUCUACAUCUUCAAGUAGUUGCUUGCAUGCAUCUACUGACCUAUCGAUUCUCAAAGAUCUUGAGAUUGGACAAGUUUCAAGGUCCCUCUUUCGGUACCACCGUUCUCUUUUUAUGCCAAUGCAAACAUCAAAGCUCCAUAAUCUACGAAACACAAAGCCAUCUAGAAAAUGUUCAGAAGAAAUAUCCAAUGAUAUUACAACCAACUUUGGCAAUAAAUUCAACUCUGAUAGGCUGGCAUAGCUUUCCCUUUUAGUUGAAUUCUCAGUCGCCCAUUUUAAUUAUCUACAGCCAUGCAAAUAUAGUUCUUCUAAAUUGGACAAUCUUCGUAUUAAAUUAGAAGUGAUUCUUCGUAGUUCAUAGCAAUACGAUAAAUCCAACAGUCUUAGAUUUUCCAAAUCACCAGCUUCAGUCGGCAAUUCAGUGAUAUCAGAUCGACUUAAAGAGAGAAUAUGAAGUGUCUUCAGCUUCCCAAGCAUUGAGAUGUCAGAGAGUUUACAAUUAAUCAAAUACAAAGUCUGAAGGUUCAUAUGAAACUGAAAUGUAGACAGAGAUAUCAACAGAUGAUUCAAAGCACAAACUUGUAAUGCCUUCAUACCCUCAAAGAAUUCGCUUGAAGUUUCCAUGAAACGAUUGUCACCAUGUAAAAGAAGUUUGAGGUAUGGAAAACCCACUCCUUUAGGAAGUUCAUCCGUUUGAUCAGUUUCGAAGGAGAUUGCUGUGUAAUGCUUGAAACUUUCAUCCAUCGGGAGUGUUUCAACAGUCCCAAAAGAAAUCUCCUUUCUUGAAGAUGCUAUCCACAAAGCAAAUUGGCGAACCACGUCAUGCAUUUUGACAUGCCUUUCUCCGCAAUCUAGCAACAGACCGGAGUUCUUGAGGGUCUCAAUUGAUGCAAGCACUUCACUUCUAACAUCUUUAAUUGAGUCCAUGCCUUUAUACAACUCCAGUCCCCAUGCAUAUCCUACCAAGUUCUCCACAUAAAUCUCAUCAUCUUCAGGAAAUAAAGAGCACAACAAGAAACAUGUCUUGGUCUCCAUAUUCUUCAAUUAGUCGAAGCUCGCCUCAAGACAUACAUAGGCAUUUUCUUCAUUAACAUCCUCAAUUUCAGUCAAUCUACUAUCUUUGAGCCUCCGGUAUGCAGCUUGCCACUCAUGAUGGGUUUUACCUUUCAAGGCACUUCCCAGCGGAACUAUAGCUAUAGGCAAACCCCUGCAUUUUUUGACAAUUUGAUUUGCUAGAAUUUUAAUAGAAUCAUCAGAAAAGUCAUCUAGACCUGCUUUCUUUUCAAACAGAGUCCAAGCUUCAUCAUCAUUCAAACAGCCAAGUUGAACCACGUGUUGACAAUCCAUAACUUGACAUACUUGUUGACGGCGUGUUGUUAAAAGAACUUUGCAGCCUUUAUGAUCAUCCCCAAUUGGAAUUCCUAUCUUCUCCUUUAAGUUGAUAGAUUCCCAAAUAUCAUCAAGGAUGAUAAGAAUCCUCGGUUCAUUCUUCAGCCGUAACCAUAAUUCUUGCUCGGAUCUUCUUCCUUGUUCAUUCUUCAUAUCAAAGCCUAUGUAUUGUGCAAUUUGAUCUUGAAUUCUCACAAAUUUUGGCUUUUGAGACACAACCGUAAUCACAACUUUGUCAAACAAAUUCAGUUUUUGAGCUUGACUUCCAACUUCACGAGCCAGGGUGGUCUUGCCCACCCCUCCCAUCCCCCACAACCCAAUCAUGUUGAUAUUCUCAUCUUUUAAGGCUUCAAUGAUUUGAUUGAAAGCAGCCUUCGAAGAUUCCGAAACCACAAAUUCCUUAGAACAUAGGAAGUCUAUAGUGGGAAGGGCAGUAGGAUCACGGUAACCGACUGGUCCAAGUCGACCAAAUUUUUCCAAAAGCUCAGAGAUAUACUGAGUUUUCUUCAUUGCUUUCUUACUUAAUUGAUAUCUCCAAAUCCAAUUAGGACACCAAUUGAGACACCUCUUAUUCAGUUGGAUUUCCUCCGACAGUGCUUUGUCUGCCUUUGAUUGCAAGUUCUGUACAUCCUUUUGAAUUAGUAGAACCCUCCUUUCAGCAUCCUCAAUCUCAUGUUGUAGACGAUCUCGUGCAUCUGCAAGUUCAAGCUUUUUCUCUCGGAGCUUUUCAUCAUUGUCAUGAAAGCGACGGACAUAAUCAAGUUGAUGUCCUACCGGCUUCACCACACAGUCCACAAUCAGUGUUCCAACUGUGUUAGAAAGAGCAGCCUCACAAAAUCCGCAACCCAUGCUUGACAAGCUCAAAUUGAAGAAUAUGAUGUUCCAAGUUCAAACACUGUAGUGAAUCAUAAGUAAUUACCAUUAAAAAAAAAUUAAAGAAUCAAAAAGUGUUUUGAAGAUUAAGACACUACUUCUCAUACAUACCAAGGAUGGUGAAAGACAACUCAACCUAUGAGAAUCAAUGUGCUGUUCUUUCAACUCAGUCCAGCUGAAAACACAAUGAGAAAUUUAAUAAACAAAUAUGUCAUAUAAUUAUAACUAAAAAAGACAGUUAAUUACUUAUAAAAAUAAAAAUUCAAAAUAUUUUGACCCUCACACUAAUAAUAUUAUAGAUAUAAUGCUGGAAAAUAUAAUAAACAUAUCCACUUACCAUUUCAAAAUCCAAACAGUCUUUUAGCUCUUACUUGCUUCAAGAAAAACAUAAAAGAUCAAAAAAAAUAUAGAACAACUUCAAUUUAUAUAUAAAAAAACAGAAAUGAAGCAUAUAUAAAUAGGUUUACCUCACUUGGGAACUUCUAAAAUCAAACUAUGCUUAGUGCUCAGAAGAUUGUUACUUCAAAACAAUCAAAAGGGAGGGAUUUGAAGGUUGGUUUUUUUUUUUCUUUAGCAAAAGUAAGUAAAACUGAAUACAAAAAGAAAGGAACUUGAAGAAAGGGAGGGAAAAAAGAAGAACAUAAAAAGAUCAGAUGAGAUCAAAAAUAUAUAACACAAAUAUAAAUAGACUUUUCUCACUUGGGAACUUCAAAAUCAAACUACACUUAGUGUUGAGAAGAUUCUUACUACUUCAAUACAAUCAAAAGGGAUUUGAAGGUUGGGUUUUUUUUGAGCAAAAGUAAGAAAAACUGAAUACAAAAAGAAAGAACUUGAAAGAAGGGACAACAAAGUAGAAAUCAAGGUUGAACUAAAAAAAAGGAGAAACUUUCAGAAAGAAAUUGAAAUUGAUCUGCCAGGAAAAGUCAACCACUCGGAAAGCAUAAACUCUAACACAACUGGGUUUUCUUGGUUUAGUAGCCAAAGGAUCUGUGUUAUGAGAUUAGUGCAGUAUUGGAUCUAAAUUAUGAGGAUUUGUUUUUCUGAUUGGUACUGAUUGCUUUGCCACAUGACGUGAAAUGGUAGAGGACGACUUUCAGUACAUUUAAAAUAUCUACUUUUCUUCAGUUUCUUUUUCUUAAUUUUCAUUUGUUAUUAGAAAUGAAAAUGGUUUUUCUUUAUUCAUUUUUAUACAUUUAAGGAGUAUUUUCUAUUAUUUAUUUGUUUGCAAAUUUUAGAGACACACGUAAGUAUACUUGUUAAAUUUUAUUUAUUUUUAUUAGAGUAAACUACUAAAAUAGUUACUUUUGUUUGGCACAGGUUACAUUUUAGUCACUUAUGUUUAAAAUGUUACGUUUUAAUCACUUAUGUUAUCACGUUGUAACAUUUUAGUCACUGAGCCGUUAGUUUUUAUUAACGGUGUAACAGUAAACUGAUGUGGCACGUUAAAUCAUCAUUUCAAACAAAAAUUCUAGGUUAAUUUAUACAAUCGGUCCCCAUAUUUUUUCGUUUGGAGCAAUUUAAUUUUUUCUUUUAUGUUUUUUUAACUUUCUUUCUUUUCCAUUCUCUUAUGUUUCUCCCUUUGUUUUCCUCCCUUCUCCAUUUCUUUCAACGUAGUUAUUCUAUGUUUUAUUUUUUUGAACAAUUUAAUUUUUUCGAGUGAGGCGAGCUUGUGGACUAGUUACAAAUGGAAAUCAUAGAAAAAUUAUGUUAAAAGAAAUGAAGAAGGGAGGAAAAUAGAGGGAGAAACAUAAGAGAAUGGAAAAAAAAAGUUAGAAGAACAUAAAAGAAAAUUUUUAAAUUGUUGAAAAUGAAAAAAUAUAGGGACCAAUUGUAGAAUUUAACCUAAAAAUUUCGUUUAAAAUGAUGAUUUAACGUGCCACAUCAACUUAUAAUUACACCAUUGUCUACAAUUAACGACUCAGUGACUAAAAUGUUACAACACGAUAACGUAAGUGACUAAAACGUAACAUUUCAAACAUAAGUGACUAAAAUGUAACCUAAGGCAAACAAAAGUGACUAUUUUAGUCGUUUACCCUUUUUAUUAUAUAGAAAGCUCUUUUCCUCAAAAUUAAUUAUAAAUAACAAUUUAAAUUUGGAUUAAAUUAUCCAACAAUGCUGAAAAACAAAAUUACCAGAAUAGGCAGUCUUUUGUAAAAAAUUGUGGGAGUAGGCCAAUUUUACAAAAACACUCCUAGUUAUAAGCGUUUUUAGCUAAUUUGCAGAAAAACACUUCUAGUUGGAAGCGUUUUCAAUGUGUUGCCAGAAAAACGCUUUCAGUUGAAAGCGCUUUCUACCAAAUCAACUAAAAACGCUUCUAGCUAGAAGCAUUUUCCCCCAACGAUAACGAAUAACUACUUUCUCCAACGACGAUUUAAUUACCCAUUGGACCCCCCACCUACCCUCUACGGUCCCAUUUUAUUUCCUAUAUAACCCUUCCCAAUCUCAUUUUUCUUCCAAUUCAAUCUCAAAUCUCUCUCAGAUUUCUCUAAAUUCCCUCUUCAAUCCCACUCAAAAUUUAUUUCUCUCUCAACUUUAUUUUUUUAUUAAAAUUAUCUCAACAUUUUCAUAAAUUAUUUUUUCUAUUACAAAUUAUUCGGUGUUUUUCAAAAUUAGCAAUGACAAAAUCUCUAACUUGUUUUGAUGACAACCACAUUUCCGUUGACCAAUUGCAAAUGGUAGGAAUAUUUUUUAUUAUAUUUCAAUGUUGUUUAAUUUUACUAUUUUCUUGUAAUAUUUGAAUUUAAUAUUUUGUAUUUUUUUACCUAAAUGGGAAGAAUAUCAAAUUUUGGAGGCAUAUAUUCGUAAUCUAUCUGCUCCUCCAUCACCCUUGAUCGAACCCUACUUGAGAGAUGUCGGUUUUCAUGUGUGGCCCUUGUAGGUAAGGGGUGUAAGUUGGACCCGACACUCGUAAACGCAUUAGUGGAAAAGUGGAGACCCGAGACACACACAUUUCAUCUUCUAUGCGGCGUGUGUACUAUCACUUUGGAAGAUAUGCAACUAUAGCUUAGGUUACCAGUGGAUGGACUAGAAGUGACUGGGUCAGUUCAAGCAGCCGAUUGGAAAGACGUAUGCGAAGAACUUUUAAAGAGGGUUCUAGUGGAGCCCAGAUAGAUAUGAGUUGGUUAAGAAGAAAUUUUGGUGGGCUUGAUGAGGAUUCAACUGAAGUCUAAAAAGAACAACACGUUUGGGUUGUAACACCCCAAAACUCGGCCUAGAAGUUAUGACUAGAUAUUGAGUGAUUAAAUCAACUCGUUCAAAGCUUCGGUUCAAAUAAAACUCAAUGCAUGCUUCGAAAAAAUAAAAUUUUAGCAAAACACCCAUUGAUGGUUAGAAAAGCCGAGUUCGAAAACAGUUACUUAAAACCAAUAAUUCACAUUCAAAAUCGCGUGUUUUGAAAGUACUAACGUGAGCAGAUCAUUUCUAGUAUUAAAACAGUCAUUCGUUACAAACCAUAUAUUUUAUUUUCAAAAAAUACUUAAAUGAUUACUUAACCUUGUAGCGGAAAAUUUUCAAAGUUUGUUUUAGUUUGAAAACCGAAAUCUAACUUAUUAGCUCGUGUGAUUUGCAGUUUAAUGCUCAAAAAUAUUUAAUGUUGACAAAUAUAACAAAAACCAAAACUAGGACCAAAAAACAUAUUACAGUCCAAAAAUAAUUAAAUUGUAAACCCAUAAAUAUUUUAUCUGGUAACCAAUCCGAGCUCUCGCACGUCGUCCGGUCUUAAGUUAGAAGUUAACCUAAAACAUAUUAAACAAACAAAUGAGCUAGGAGCCCAGUGUGUAUCUCAACCAACAAGCAUAAUUUUUAUUUAACAAGCACAUACGUAAAUGUGAUCAAAAAAUUUUACUUUAAUGUAUCAAUAACAUAUCAUAAUGUUAUAUUGCUAGAAACAUAUAUAUUUCAGAUGAUAAUAUCAUAUAGCCGAAACAUAUUUCGAUUUGGAAUAUCAUAAUUUCAUAUACAAAUAUAUCAUACCAGAAUGCCAUGUUUUCAGAAGUACAUAUGUCAUACCAGACCAGAACAAAUGAAUAUACAAAUCCUACAUUCAUCUGCUACACACCAACUCCGUCUAACGAAUCACACCAAUUAGGACUUCAAGAGUCCAUCCAUCCAAAUCACAUUGGGUUGUGGUGGCAUGCCACUCAUAAUAGUGCUACUCAGUUGCCAAACAUAUAUCGUGGUUUAACCGUCGAAAAUGCAGUAAUGCUACUAGAAAACAUUUCCUUCAGCAAAUCAGAACCACCCCAAUGCAUAUGCUAAAUCACAUUAACAUACAUAUAUAUCACAUAAGUUGUAUGCAUGCAUACAUAAACAGAUAUUAUACGGAACGUAACUUACACAUAAUUUAUAUAUAUCAUAGCAUAUCAUAUUCAUGGUCGAAUCAAAUAGCUUAUCAGAACAUAUAACAAAAUAUGUAUAACACACAUGGUUUACAAAAUAGUCAUGCUUAACUCACGUACCUACUUAUAGCUGAUAAUAUUACAUUAUUAUAUUUAUCAUAAUUUAUUUAACAUACUUCCUACACUUACCCAUGUUUGUUUUACUGAAAUUUAUGCUUUCUAGGCCUACAUAAUGCCCCCGGACCUAAAUUCUGAGUCCUUUAAUCGACUUUUAAUUGGCCCAAAAGACCUACUCGGCCCAAAAAGCUAGUCGUGUGGUCCAUAUAGUCUAUCCACACGAUCAGCACACGAUUAGCAUGAUCUCACACGGCAUGGGUUAUAAAAACACAUAUGGUCGUGUGCCCCACAUGGGCUACAAAAUCAUUCACGGUCCUGUGUCCCUCAUGGCCUAUCACACGAUUAUGUGUCACUGGGAAGUUUUAGAAAACAACUUUGUUUUACAUAUUUUCUGAAUUUUCGAUGAGUUUUUUGAGUUAAAUCACACGCUUGAUUGCUGAUUUUGAUGUAGAUUCGCGAAAGAACACACAAGAACCUAAAAUCAAUAUUCCAAAUGUAUUAGUAACAAAAUGCAAAACUAAAUCAAGAUUGACACACUAACAUAACAUUAAAGGACCUAGCACAAAAAAAAUAACAACAAUAUCUAAGUCGUCGAAGGAAUGCCCAACACCUAUUGUUCUUUUCCUAAAAACGAUUUGAACUCGUUAAGUACAAAAAAUACACAUUAAUACCAUACUACUAAAGUUUUGAAACCCUAAACGCCCAAUGAAGUAAUUUUAAUACAUGGCUGAAAAAAUGAAGGAUGAAGCAACCUUACCCUUAAUGACAAACUUAUAGCACAAAGGACGAAUGAUAAACAAAUUAACAAAAGAAUAAAAAAGAAGAAGAGAGAGAAAAAGCAUGAAAAAUUGGAAAACCAACCAUAAAGAAAAAAACUAACGAGAAAAUAAAGGGGGAGGGAAAGAGUGAGGGGAUGGUAUAUAAUAAAAAGAAAAUUUAGAAGAAAAUCUCUCUUCACUACUUUUAAAACUACCCAACUAACUCCUAGUGUCACGGGGCUAGACCUUUCGUCUUGCAAUCCAUGUGGCCUUAGGCUAUCCAUUCGUCUAAACUCUCCUAAGUCAGCCUCAACUCAAGUGAGGAUUUUUUUAGAACUCCUUCAAGGCACCAAAUUGAAUAGUAGAAGCGAUUUAUGCCAAGAGAAGAACAACAAAGAACAACAGAAAGAAUGCUCGCAAAGUGUUUGUGUAAAUGCUCUCUAUUCUCUUAUUCACAAAGAAUAAUGAAACAAUGAAUGGAGUGAGUACAACUAAGGGGGGCUCUCUAUUUAUAGUUGAGCUCCCCCAAAAUCGACGGUUAAGAUAUAUUUACAUCGACGGACGAGAUUAACCAUAUCCCUUUAUUUUAGGGAUUUACAAGAUAAGCCUUAUCAAAUCUAAUCUAAUCUUUACAAGAUAUGAUUCCCUCUAUCUUCUAAGAUUGGUUACCAUAUUAGCCUAAGUUGCCAUGUCUUUGUUAUUGGGCCAACCAAGCUUCAAUCUGACAGGCUUCUCCAAUAUCUCUUUGAAUCGGGCCAGUUCUUGUAGGACAAAUGAUCCCCAUUUCAACAAUAGACCCCCAUCGGAUGCAUUUGGUGCAAUGGUCACGGGCUUUGAACUGCGGCUUGUGACGUUCUCCCCCUCCUAUUUUCGCAAUAUCCUUGUUAUGACUUCUGAAUGGUACUAACUUGAUUCACCUCGGUCUCGUCUCGACGCCUUAGCUUUUCCCUUCCUUUGAGACUUUUGCUUUGGCUUACGUCGCUUCUUCACUCGAACCAUCCUACUCGUUUGCACAUCUCGAUGACAAGAAGUUAUGUCACUCUUUUGCCCAAAUUCUAACUUAACUCGAUCAGAAUCCUCUUGAUUCACCACACUUGGCUUUGCUUUGCCCACAGUCUCUCGACCUCUUUGCUCAAGAACUUUGAAAGGGCCACUACGUUCUUGCCAAGUCAAUAAGUUAGAAUGAAACACACUUUCAGAGUGUUCGGAAUGUACCUUUGCAUUUACUCUGGUCAACUGUCCCUCAUGCAUCACUUAUUUUUCCUUGAAGUCUGGUGUACUACCCACCUCUCCCAUAGGUGGAAGCCUUGUUGAUGACUUGGCCAACUCUGACGCUUCACUCAACUUGAGCCUCAUUGGUCCCAGCUUCAUUGUUUUCAUCGUAACUUUUUCCUCUAAGUCCAAUGACAAACUCACCUUUUCCUUGGGUGGAAGCCCCUCCGAUGACUCAACAAGCUCAAACGUUGCAUUUCCCUUGACUCUGGCUUACUUUAGACAAUUCUACAACUCAUGCGGACCACGACAUAAGAAGCACUUCACUUGCUUCUUUUUGCUCCUCUUUGCCCUAUUGGCUUCGACUUUUCCCUUGCUCAAACCAAGCUUUUUGGGCUCCUUGUCUGCUCCAUCGUUCCCCUCGAUGAUAGACUUUCUCGGACACUUACGCAACCUAUGCGGACCAUGGCACAAGAAGCACUCCACUGGCUUCUUCUCGCUUUCGGCCUCCUUGGCUUCGACAUCCCUUGCGCUCGAACCAAGUACCAAGGCCUUACCCACUGGCUUCUCUUUAAACGCGAAUUUCUUUGGACAUUUCUUUAACAAGUGUAGACCAUCGCAGAGAAAGCAUUUCAGCUUGUCCCUUUUCUUCUUGGGUUUCUUCUUUCCAACUCGUGGUUUCCCAUUACCACCAUUGUCGCCGUUGCCAUUACUAUCAACAAUAUCUUCCUUGUGAUCCAUUUCACAUACGCCCCUUUCCUCGGACUUGGAAGACCCAAGCUUGUCUUUCCCUAGACCAAGCUUGACCACGGAUUCAACUAUCGUCAUGUCUUCCGACAGCUUUUGGACCCUCUUUGUUCCACCUCCUGUCUGACCCACGACUUCAAUCCAUUUUGAAAAGCAAGCAAUGCUUCUCUUUCAGUCACCUCUGAAACUUGGAGCAUGAGUUCCUUGAACUCUCGAACAUACUCCCCUACUGUGCCCCGUUACGUUAUCCCCUACAACUUUGCCUGAGCUUCUUCCUCGGUACAUUCUGGGUAAAACUGUCCCUUCAAUUCGCAUUGGAACUCUUGCCACGUCCCAAUCUCACAUUGCCUUUUAUCUGUGAUCCUGCCUCGCCACCAUAAAAGCGCAAUGUCAGUAAGAAACAUUGAAGUAGUGUUUACCUUAACCGCAUCAUCUACAAUGCCUUUGGCACGGAAGUAGUUUUCUAUUCUCUACAAGAAAUUGUCCAUAUCGCAUGUAGACCUUGUCCCCACAAACUCUUUCGGCUUCGGGACAUCUUCGUUACUAAGUGCUGUACUUGACACUCCUUUCCCCACGGCUGCUCGGCACAAGGCCAGCUCUCCCUCGAGCUCCUCUAUUCUUAUGCUCAAAGCUCUCGUUGUGGCCAUUUUUUCCUCUUUCAAAGCCAUCAUCAUGGCCUCGAGAGCAUCGUUCCUUUCCUUCAGCUUCUUCUUUUGGGAAUCUAGCAACUCUUGCACGCUAUCCCUUUGAGAAGUGAGACACAUGGUCACAAAGUCCCUGGACUGCUCCCUCAAGUCAUCAAUGCUUUCCCCAAGCGCAUUGUUUGACUCUCUUGCAUCCUCCAUGGACUCCUCAAGUUUACCCACGCGUUCCUCAACAGUCGAAAACAUCUCCCUCAAAGACUUUCUCGCCCACCUUUCUUCAAACUCUUCUCUCGACAUCCCAACGGUGCCUUCGAACCAAAACUCAUAUAUCACUUGGUUCAAACCAACAGCUCGAAUACUACUUGGUUUGAACUUGGCUUGGAUACUUACUUGGUUCUAACCUUGCUUGGAUACCACUUGUCACGGAGCUAGACCUUUCGUCUCGCAAUCCGUGCGGCCUUAGGCAAUCCGUUCGUCCAAACUCGCCUAAGUCAGGCUUAACUCAAGUGGGGAUUCUUUUAAAACUCCUCUAAGGCACCAAAUUGAAGAGCGGAAGCGAUUUAUGCUAAGAGAAGAACAACAAAGAACAACAGAAAGAACACUCACAAAGUGUUUGAGUAAAUGCUCUCUAUUCUCUUAUUCACAAAGAAUAAUGAAACAAUGAAUGGAGUGAGUACAACUGAGGGAGAGGCUUUCAAUUUAUAGUUGAGCUCCCCCAAAAUUGACGGUUAAGAUACAUUUACAUCGACGGACGAGAUUAACUAUAUCCCUUUAUUUUAUGGAUUUACAAGAUAAGCCUUAUCAAAUCUAAUCUAAUCUUUACAAGAUAUGAUUCCCUCUAUCUUCUAAGAUUAGUUACCAUAUUAGCCUAAGUUGCCAUGUCUUCGUUAUUGGGCCAACCAGGCUUCAAUCUGACAGGCUUCUCCAAUAUCUCUUUGAAUUGAACCAGUUCUCGUGGGCCAAAUGAUCCCCAUCUCAGCAAUAGACCCCCAUCGGAUGCAUUUGGUGCGAUGGUCACGGGCUUUGAACUGCGGCCUGUGACACUAGUCGUAUCCACAUAAGAUUUUUCCCAAAGUUAAUAAUUUUUUUCCACUUUGCAUAUGUAAGGAUUUGAACAUAAGACCAAAGGGUAAGCUGAUACCUUACCAUCAAACCAACAGGCUCAUUCUUGUCAAUAGAUGCACUCAAAUAUUUCUUAAACCAAAUACCAAAAACUAGGGAUUUAGACAAAAUUUGCAAAAAUAGAAGCGAAAAGAUUCGAACCUAAAACCUUUCUCACACAAGCACAACCCUUAACCACUUAACUAGAACAAAUUACUUAACAUAAUUUCAAAAUCUUAACUCAAAAAUCACAAUAUGACCUCUCUAGGUUUCACUAACCCACUUUUUGCAUUUUUCCUUUUUAUUUUUCAACAAUUAAGGAUGAAAACUAAGUUAGUAUAAUAAAUAAGUGUGGUAGGAAAUAAUUAAGAAAUGUGUAAUAGACCAAUCGCCAAGCAUCACCCCAUUCUCCUUAUAGUCUUAAGUUCUAUCUAUACCAAUUCCCUUCCUUUUGUUUUAAAUCUCAACAAGAAGGUUUAUUUGCCAAAACAACCCCAAAAUUUGCACAACUUGGCCUUUUAACUCAUUUUCUAGUUAUAUUAGGAUUUUGGUUAUUUUUUCAAACCUAAUUAGAAUUUAUUUCUCCCUCAUUUUUAAAUACAUUUUUUAUUACUUCUCUUUUUCAUAAAAAUGUUCAUCAUCUUUUGUUGAAAAUGUUAAAUUCAAAUCUCGUACCCAACAUCAACCUCGUUCAAUCUAUUCUUCAUAAUGUUUUAGUGUAAUGUCGUCAAAAUCUGUUUCUAAUGUGCCAAGAUCGGUAAGAAUUCCUUUUUUAAUUUUGUAGAACUCUAAAAAUCUAGUAUAAUACAUCUUGAUAAAUUUUCUAAAAUUAAUUCUAAAUAUUUAAUGGGUUUUCUUGAAAUCUAGUUAAAACUCGAUAAAUCUUAAACAUCAAUAGUAAUUAUUACAUUUUCAUCGAUUAAAAGACCUAUUGUAAGUAUCCCAGAUCAAUUUUGGACAUAAGGAUCAUCAUACGAGACCCCAUAAGUUAUAUGUGUGUUCUUUUGCUAGAAAAUUGAGACAAAAUCGAACCCAACCCAGACCACACGACCAUGUGACCCACAUGGCCUAGACCCUCCCACACGAUUGUGUGUCCCCUGUAACACAGCUUUACAAUUUUAACCUAAAAAUUUUAGAUACUACACAAAUUAGUCCCUAAUUGGUUCCCAAAUUCUAGUGUUUGGAUGAAUCUAUGUAAAAUAUUUUUGUUGUUUGACAGAUUUCCUGAAAAUAUUUUCCAGAAAAAUUGUUUUUACAUAUAUUAAUAUAUUUAUAUAUAUAUUAAAUUGUUUUUACAUAUAUUGUAAUGAUUUAUUUAUAAAUAAAUAAAUCUAAUUAAAUAUAUAAUAAUACUUAAUUAUUAAGUUAGAAUAUUAACCAUCAUAAAUUGAAAACAACCAAAGUCAAAUAAAUUAUUUGUAAUUGUACUAAAAUAUUUAGACAAAUAAUUUUGGCAAGAGUGAAAAAUAUCUGAAAAUAUAUAUAAAAUUACACAAAUUAAACUAAGUUUAACAAUCAAAACUCCGAUGUUUUGAGUUUAAAAUUCAUUAUUUUAGAUUUAAAUUACUUUAUUAAAAAGAUUUAUCAUGUUGCAAUUGAAACCCAUCUACCUCUGGCUGCAAUUUUUUAAGGAUUAAAGACUUAACUAUUUGAUUAGUAGGGUGGUUAGGAAUUUGAUAUAUGACAGAUAGAAUAGAAGACAAUGACACAUUCAGUAAUCUUAAAGCAUGGUGUUGAUGAAUACAAAGGAGUUUUAAUGAAUAUGAAAUGCGUGUAGCCUACGACUAUGGAACAAUUUCAUCAUUUACUGUGUUCAAAUCAAAAUGCAAGGGAUCAUUAUUUCCAAUUUCAACUCAAUAAACCUGAUUUUUCAUUCCUAAAACCAGCUUUGAACCUAAACUUUACCAUCCCUUGCCUAUGAGCCAUAACCAGUCAAGUGUGACCCUUGCAAAGAUACCUCCUAGGAGAAACAAAACAAGCAAAUUCCCUAGGAGAAACAAUUGUCGAGUUAAUAAUGGAGGGGUGAUUUGAGGGCUUUGGAAUGUUUGGAUGAAAUUGGUGGAUUUUUAAGGGGUAAUUAAGAAAUGGCCCUAAUUUGUCAUUUUGGUACAACCGCAAGGGACCCUUUGCAGUUGUAGCCGCAGUUUUUCUUUCACCACAUGCAAGAAUUUGCUGAAUGUUAUAUUUUUAAUAAACUGUACGAACUAGAUAAAUGAAUCAUUGAAUCGUAAAUUGACAGCAAACUUUAUUCAAAAACAUUGAAAUUCAAUUUUAUUGUUCAAGAUUUUGAUGUUUGUAUAUAAUACUGUCAAUGUACACUUCUUAAUUUGAACAUCUAUAGAACUGUCAGGAUCUGCCUGCUGAACUUUUUGUGUAUGAAGAAAGGGUUGGAACUUGGAAGUUGCGAGUCGCUACAAAGACGGAAGGAGCCAAAGAUUGAAGAGAGUUGAAGCAAAGGAUAGAAACCACGACAUGAAAGCCAUAGCUGCAAACAACUGAUAUCUACUGCAUAUCUUUGACGAGUAAUAUGUCGAGCUGACAUUGACCAAGAGACUUCUCACACUAGCAGUUGAGCAAGCCAUGGCUAGUGAGAGAAAUGACAAGGCCUGCAAUCAGGUAAAACACAUGUUUUUACAUCAUAUUAUGAUAAGGGAUAACACCAUGGUGAUGAUAUGCAUAAUAAGCCUUGUAACAUACCCAGUCUCCAACAAUGACAACCAACAGUACCCUUGGUUGUUGUGGUAAGCCUUUAACGAACACGAAAUAUGUAUCAACCAAUGCUAAUGACACACUCCAUGGAGUCACUAAACCCAUGACUGUCACCAAGUAGCUACGAAAAAAUUUAAAGGAAAAUUGGAGAUUGAUUUAUCACCCAACAAUUGGUGAGCAACAAUGAAAACACGAACAUUAUCUUCUAUAUCAUUAUAUCUAAUGAGCAAUUGAAAAUUAUAGUUUGUACCUGAUACAGAAGCUUUAGUAGUCCGAGGUCGUUCAUACACUCGGAAGAAAACUCAAAAGGGGGGAUCAAAGUCAAAGUCCAGACUCGGGAAAGAUGAAUGUGCUUUUUGUCAUGAGAAAGGCCACUGGAAGAAAAAUUGUCCAAAGCUGAAGAAUAAGGGAAAAGCUGCUGUAGAUGCUUGUGUUGCAAAGCAUGAUACUAGUGACUCUGAACUAUCACUGGUUGCAUCAUCAUCGUCGUUCCAUUCAGAUGAGUGGAUAUUGGAUUCGGGUUGUACCUAUCAUAUGUCCCCUAACCGGGAGUGGUUCUCUGAUUUAGUAGAACUAAAUGGAGGAGUUGUUUAUAUGGGCAAUGACAAUGCCUGUAAAACUGUUGGGAUAGGUUCAAUCCAAUUAAAGAAUCAAGAUGGAUCAACCAGAGUUCUGACUGAUGUUCGGUACGUGCCCAGUUUGAAGAAAAAUCUCAUCUCAUUGGGAGCCUUGGAAUCCAAUGGUUCAGUUGUUACUAUGAGAGAUGGGAUUUUGAAAGUGACAUCUGGCGCACUUGUGAUAUUGAAGGGCAUCAGGAAAAAUAACUUGUAUUACUACCAAGGUAGUACAGUUAUUGGAGCAGUCGCUGCAGCUUCCGGUAACAAAGACUUGGACUCAAUGCAGUUGUGCCAUAUGAAGUUGGGACAUGCCAGCGAAAAAUCCUUGCAAAUUCUGGCAAAGCAAGGAUUGUUGAAAGGUGCAAAGGCUUGCAAAUUAAAAUUUUGUGAGCACUGUGUUCUGGGAAAGCAAAAGAGAGUGAAAUUCGGCACUGCUAUCCAUAAUACAAAAGGUAUUUUGGAAUAUAUUCACUCAGAUGUGUGGGGGCCUUCCAAAACACCUUCGUUGGGAGGAAAACACUACUUUGUUACUUUUGUUGAUGACUUUUCCAGAAGAGUUUAGGUGUAUACCAUGAAAACUAAAGAUGAAGUGCUUGGAGUUUUUCUUAAAUGGAAAACUAUGAUCGAAAACCAGACUGGCAAGAAAAUCAAGCGGCUUAGGACGGACAAUGGAGGGGAAUAUAAAAGUGAUCCGUUCUUCGAUGUGUGCCAAGAGUAUGGUAUUGUUCGACACUUCACAGUUAGGGAUACACCACAACAGAAUGGAGUGGCAGAGCGUAUGAAUCGAACAUUGCUGGAGAAAGUUCGAUGUAUGUUGUCCAAUGCUGGGUUGGGCAAGCAAUUUUGGGCUGAGGCUGUGACAUACGCUGGCCAUCUUGUUAAUCGUUUGCCAUCGUCUGCAUUAGAAAGAAAAACUCCUAUGGAGGUAUGGUCUGGAAAACCGGCUACAGAUUAUGAUUCCUUACAUGUGUUUGGAUCCACUGCAUAUUACCAUGUGAAGGAGUCAAAGUUAGAUCCGAGGGCAAAGAAAGCUCUCUUUAUGGGAAUCACUUCUAGAGUGAAGGGAUUUCGUCUUUGGUGCUUAAGCACAAAGAAAAUGAUCUGUAGCAGAGAUGUUACCUUUGAUGAAUCUGCCACAUUGAAAAAGGUAGCAGAUAAAGAUAUUCAGACGAGCAAUACUCCACAGCAGGUGGAGUGUACUCCAAAACAGGUGGAGUUUGAGCAGAUGGGGAUUUGCCCAGUUAAUAAGUCUAAUUCUCCAGCCACAAUGGAGGAAUUAGAGGUUGAAGAGGUUCUGACCCAAGAACCACUAAGUACACCAGAACCAGUUGCAGUUGCAAGGCCACGGAGAGAAAUUCGUAAACCUGCUCGAUUUACUGAUAUGGUGGCCUACGCCCUUCCCGUUGUUGAUGAUAUUCCUAUCACUUAUCAAGAAGCAAUGCAAAGCUUAGAAAGUGAUAAAUGGAAAAGCGCCAUGGAUGAAGAAAUGCAGUCUCUCCGGAAGAACAAUACUUGGGAGUUGGCGCAAUUACCGAAAGGUAAAAGGGCAAUCGGAUGCAAGUGGGUAUUCGCAAAGAAAGAUGGAUCUCCUAGCAAGAAGGAUAUUCGCUACAAGGCAAGAUUGGUAGCUAAAGGCUACGCUCAGAAGGAGGGAAUUGACUACAAUGAUGUAUUUUCCCCUGUUGUGAAGCAUUCCUCCAUUAGAAUUUUGUUGGCCUUGGUAGCACAGUUGAAUUUGGAGCUAGCUCAACUUGAUGUUAAGACGGCUUUCUUGCAUGGUGAGUUAGAAGAGGAGAUCUAUAUGACUCAGCCCGAAGGAUACACAGAUGCUGGUGGUAGAAAUUGGGUUUGUAAGCUGAACAAAUCGCUAUAUGGAUUGAAGCAAUCCCCGAGGCAGUGGUACAAGCGAUUUGAUAGCUUUAUGAGAAGGCAGAAGUACACAAGAAGCAAAUAUGACAAUUGUGUAUAUUUGCAGAAGCUGCAUGACGGAUCUUUCAUUUAUCUACUCUUGUAUGUUGAUGAUAUGUUAAUCGCUUCGAAGAGCCAAAAUGAGAUAGAUAAGCUGAAGGCUCAGUUGAAUCAAGAGUUCGAGAUGAAAGAUCUAGGUGAGGCCAAGAAGAUUCUCGGCAUGGAGAUAAGUAGAGAUAGACAGAGAGGCAAGCUUUGUUUGAAUCAGAAGCAAUAUCUGAAAAAGGUAUUACAAUGUUUUGGUGUAAAUGAAAACACAAAACAUGUAAGUACCCCACUUGCUUCUCAUUUGAAACUUAGUGCUCAAUUAUCUCCGAAAACUGAAGAAGAAAGAGAAUAUAUGGCAAAAGUCCCAUAUGCUAAUGCAGUUGGGAGUUUGAUGUAUGCGAUGGUGUGUACGAGGCCUGACAUUUCACAAGCUGUUGGAGUUGUGAGCAGGUAUAUGCAUGAUCCUGGAAAAGGACAUUGGCAAGCUGUGAAAUGGAUUCUACGGUAUCUUCGAAAAACCGUAGAUGUUGGUUUAAUUUUUGAACAGGAUGAAGCACUUGGUCAGUUUGUAGUUGGAUAUGUUGAUUCCGACUUUGCUGGUGAUUUAGAUAAACGUCGUUCAACUACGGGGUAUCUGUUUACUCUUGCGAAAGCCCCAGUGAGUUGGAAGUCUACCUUACAGUCUACAGUAGCUGUGUCUACUACAGAGGCAGAAUAUAUGGCAGUUACAGAAGCUGUUAAGGAGGCUAUUUGGCUUAAUGGAUUAUUGAAAGACUUGGGAGUUGUUCAAAGUCACAUUAGUCUAUAUUGUGACAGUCAGAGUGCUAUUCAUUUAGCGAAAAAUCAAGUCUAUCAUUCAAGAACCAAGCAUAUCGACGUAAGAUAUCACUUUGUGCGGGAAGUCUUUGAAAAAGGAAAAAUUCUACUUCAGAAGAUUCCGACAGCAAAUAAUCCCGCAGAUAUGAUGACCAAGGUGGUAACAACAAUCAAGUUUAAUCAUUGUUUGAACUUGAUUAACAUCCUGAGAAUUUGAGCACCUUUAGGUGUAUGGCGCUCGAGAGCGCAUUUGGAGGCACUACAAAAGAUAGCUUUAUCGAAUUUGGGGAGUUGAAGGAAGUAUGUGAAGAUGUGAUUAUCCUAAUCAAAUCUUCAAGGUGGAGAUUGUUGAAAAGUCAACAAAGGUAGGAAGCAACUUGUUAAAAAGGUUGAGCAAGUUGCACCGAAUGUUGAAAAGUUGAAUGGGAUAAUUGCAAUUUUGGUCCCUAAUUUUUUAGGCCAUUUGCAAGUUAGUCCCUGAACCUCAACUAUAAAUAGGCCUUUUCAUUUUUCAUUUCAACGAUCCCAACCAAUCUUUCUCUCUUAGUUUUCUCUCUUCUCCCAUUUGAGAAUUCUUAAGGAAUUCUAUUUAUUUGUAAUACUUUGAAGAUAGUAAAGUUAUCAUCUGGUGUUAGUGCCCGAGGACGUAGGUAUAAUUUACCGAACCUCGUUAAAACUCUUGUGUUCUUUCUUGUCCUAUUUUUCUUUCAAUAUUUGAGGGUAUAAUAGUAGUAUUUAAUUGUGCUAUUAAAUUACUAUAGAAGGGAUAUUCUGUCUAAGGAAAGACUUGGUAUUUAAGAGAUCCAUGUGAUCCACCUCUCUUUCCUGGGAAUUGAACUUUGUGUGAUUUUUUAGUACAAUAAUUUACACGCUUCCGACCCUAUUGGAACAACACACAUAGCAUCUCCAUCGAAGAAAAUUGGAGAUAAGAAGUUUCAAAUAACAAUUUUUCUGAAGUACAGAAUAAAGUGGUUAUAUUCAUUGUCUUAAGAUUGAUCCAGAUGGUUUGUGCUAAUCUAUAGAAGUUAGAUAGCAGAUACAGACAGUGCCUCAUUAUCUAGUUUCAUCUUUCCAGAAACAUGCAAAACAGGAGGACCCAAGUCAAGGAAUAAAGUUUAAAUGCAAAAGCCAUACAAGACCACUAUCCACUUUUACAAUUUCACCUUGUUAACUAUCUUGAUUCCCUUGACAUCAAGCUUAAUCACCCUUGAUAUUAGCACUUGAUGAGCUACUUGACUCCGGCCAUUUUGUUAAUUGCUUAAAUUAAGGCCUUUUUCUUGGACAAAUGCUCCCAACAUUGUGCAUUUUAUACACAAAAACAGACACAUUUUUUCCAUUUCCAUUCACCUAGUGAAAACUUUUAACAGAGGAAGAAGAAUAACAAAUAAUUUUAAUCUGAACAGAGUUGAAAAUAAGAAGUCUGGAAAUCCAGCCUUGGAUAACAAAUAAUAUCAGCAAAUAAGUUAUAUUCUAUGGUCUAGUUCAACAACUAGCCAAGUAACAGGUCAUGUACAUUGAGAAUAGUUUUGAUAACUCUAAUUGUUGAAAGUCCAAAUUCAGUCAUCCAUAAAAAAAAAGCAAUUGAUCUUUGCAUAUCCCUGAAUCAAAAUAGACUCUCAGAUAACUUUACCCUUUCAAUCAUUAAAUGGCACCUUUCCCUGCAGUCAUCCAUAAGCAAGAAGCAAGAUUUCCUAAAAAUCGCUUUUUUUUAAACCUUAAAUCCUUUUGUUUUCAUAAAAAAAAUUCACCUAAUUCAUUUUCUGCCCAAGCCCAAAGGCCCAUCCCUUCAAACAAUUUCCAUGAAGAUACCAGUAGGAACCAGAAUUACUUUUGCUCUCUCCAACAUGGUAAAGCUGCUAUUUUACAUGGCAAAAAGACACACAAAGCAUCCAAUUCCUUAAAAACCAAUCGCUAAAAUGAUCACGAUUGUGAUAGUUUUUCCCUGGAGGUUCCCAAAGUAACAUCAGAACCAGCUUUUAAAAGUUGACAACGAAUUGAAUUCCGAGCAAAUAUCAGAAACAAAGAGGCAUGAGUAUUGAAGAUUAAAAGCCAAAGAGAGGAAGAAAGAUAAAAUAUGACCAAAUAAAUGGAAGAAUCUUAAAACGUUGACAGUUACCUGAAAGAAGUAUAGCUAUAGAAUUCAACAUCCAAACACAUAAAGAGAAGUGAAGCAGCGGAGAAAACAGUUUGUCCCAAACGAAGAGCCAAGCUGGCGCUUGUUCCCAACGCCCCUGGCACUGGUUCCAUCGUCCCUCAUGUCAACUUAUCUCUCUGUUUCUUCAUCUUUAGUGUAUUCCCCUAAAACCCAAUAAAAAAGCAGAGGCCAAACGCUAGGAGAAGGGAUUGAAACAAUAGAAUUCAUGGUAGAUUUGCCUGAGAAAGAGAGGAAACGAAACAGAAUAUGCUGAGAAGAGAAGAUAUACGACGGACUUUUACCUGGAAGAGAAGAUGAAGAACGGAAGAAGGAAAAUGAAUGAAGAACGGAAAAAGGAGAAGGAGCCUUACCUGGAUGAAGGAGGAACCGGAAAAUGGCUUACAGAAAUGAAAUCCAUAAAACAUUUUCCCCUAAAAUCCAUUUAUUUUACUCGUGUCUUGGAAAAUCAGGAAAACAUUUUCCUGCAAACAAACAGACCCUCAAUUUAAACACUGGCAAUGAUGAAUUUUGAAAUUAACUCUUUAAAUAGAAAUGACUUCAUUUAUUGCUCUAUUCAUUUUCUGUUGGGGAUCAACUCAAUUAAAGGCUUAUUUAGUAUUACUUAAGAAAAGUAUUUUUGAUUCUAAAAGUAUUUUUGAAAAAAAACUGUGCUAAACAAGUUAUUUUUGGUUGAAAUUUGUGUUGCAUAGUCAUCGACAAUCCUUUGCUGCAUCGUUUUUCAUUCUGUUUCUCUUCGCUUCGCUUUCUCCAGUAAAACCACCUGCCAUUUAGUUUCUCAUCAUUCCUCUCUUUCUUCUUCUUCCUUCUUUUUUUUUUUUUGCAUACAUAAAUUUAUCCCUGCGCCAGACUGCUCUAUUAUGCUGCAACUGCUUUGACGUCUUUGCCUUGUACAAUAUAGUUUAAGUUUGAUCUUGUUUCUAUUUUUAUCUCUUCCUUUUCAUGUUCUUUGUACUUGUAAUAACCAUUUACCGUAGAUUCAAAAAAAAAAAACUUUGCUUAUUUUCUUUUAUAUAUGUGGGCUAGAAGACUUCAUUAAUUGAAGGAAGAGGGAGACUCCAUUUGAGAUUGAGGUGAGUUUUCUUGGCUUUUUUCGAAGAGUUCUGUCUUAGAAACUAAUGGAGCUGCAGUUGGCUUUAAAGGGUUUGGAAUUUGCCCAGAAGAAGAAGAAAUGGGUUGCUUUAAUGGCGGCUUUUGGUUUAAGCAGUUAUGGUUUCUAUAGAUUUUAUCACUUUCCUAUUAUUGCUCAAAAGCGAAACAGAGGGUGAGGAUGGGCGGUGCGUUUACCUGCGGUUAGUGUAAAAACAGCGGUGGCGGUGAGAUUAAAUAUUGUAGCGUGAGACAAAAAGUAAGCUAAACGCACCGCACCGCACCCAAUCGCCCAUCCAAACCCACCCAGAGUUUUAAAGCUUUUACGAGCUUUGGUUUCCAUUACUGAAGCCGUCUCUGAUUGUCCUAAAGCAAUAAGAGUUGUUUCUAGUGAUUUGAAUGGUUUUUUCCAAUCAGAAUUAGACCAAAUUCCUAAUAGUCUGCCCUAUUGACGAGUCAUUACUACAUUUUUUUAUUUAUUAAUAUUACAUAAUCUCAUUACAAUUUAUAACCUUCAUUUAAGAAUGAAUAAAAGAAAUCAAGGAAUACAAAUUAACGAUUACAUAAUCACAUUACAAUGGCAUUGUAUUCAAAGUGUUUCUCAAAAUAACCAUCUCAACUUUUAAUAUAAUAUCAAAUUUAGUUAUUAAUAUUUAUACUCUCUUAUCAAUUUCACCUUUCUUUUUUAAAAACUAAAUUUAGCUAUUAAUUUUUUUUAAAAAAAGACUUAAAUUAUUUUUAAGCUCCAUAUAUAUUUCAUGUUAAUAUGACAAUAUUUGUCUUAUAUAUCACGUCAAUAAAUAAUUUAAAAUUUUAAAAAAUAACAUAAAAUACACGUAGAUAAAUACAAUAAUUUAUCUUAUCAUUUAUUUAUUAUAUAUUUUUUUAUUGAAACAGUGAAUUGGAUUCCUACAAAAGAAGUAUUUGAUAGGCUCAUUUGAAUUGUUACUCAAACAACUCCAUUUUAAGCUCUCCUUAAUUGCACUUGUAAGUACCUCGUCUUACUUACAUGUUUUAAUUUAAUACAACAUUUUUUUGAGAUAAAAUCCAUGUUAGUGAUUUGAAUUAAGGCAUAAUAUCUGACAUAUCUCAUUGUGAUAUUACUAUUUUAGGUUAAACGUAUUCAUUUAAUUAUGUAAGUAACACGUUUCUUAUUUUUUUAAGAUAUAAAUAAACAAACAUAAAUAGUAAUAAACAUAUUAUAAAUAAAUAAAAGAAACACACAAACAAUAAUAGUACUAAUUAUAUAAUUAAACAAUAGUUGAUUUUAAAUAAUUUACUAAACCAGUUUUAAACUAGCAUGAAGAUAACCAGUUUGGAUAUGUUUUAUUUAUAUUAGGUUAAUUUAAUAAAUAAAUUUUAAAUUUUUAUUAAUGUUGAUUUAUUUAACUUAACGAACGAAUAUAAAUAAACAAAGAUCCAACUCAUAAACUAUUUAGUUACAGCUUUAAACUUAACUUAUAUAUAUUUAGAAUGCUUAAGUAACAGUAAUUUAUUGUCAACUUUAGACUUCAAGAACUACGAAAUGGAUAAGAGUUGGAUGAAUUUGUCAACGGUAAGCAACGAAUAUUAAAAUAGAGUACUAACUUUUGUAAAUUAGUUUGCAUUUAAAUUCUUAUAUUUAAAUAAUUUAUUUGAAGUGAUUGAUCUACAAGUUAACUCAUGCAUUAACUUAUAUUUAUACUUUAUAUGAGAAUAUUUUAAUUUUUUAUAAUUAAUAAAUUUUAAUUUACAAUUAAUUUUUACAUUAACUAACUAAACUUUUAUAAAGAAAAUUAGAAACCCAUCGGUUAAAAACUAGUUAUUUUUCCUUUUAAAAAAUCUAGUUAUUUUUUUUUUAAAAAAAGUAAUGUUUUAUUAUUUUAUAUAUUUAAUAUAAAAUUAUAUAAAUAUUUUAUUUUAUUUUCCAUGAUUCUCUACGUCCGUUUUAUGUUCAUGUUCGGGUUUAUUAAACUAAUAUUAAAAUUAUGCAUUUUAAUAUUUAUAUUAAUAUAUUAAUUUAAAAUAAAAACAUAUAUUUUAAUUUUUUUAUUUAUAUACAUUAAUAUAUAAAUAUUUUAUAUUUUAUUUUAAACUAUAUAAAAAAAAGAUGUUAAGGGUAAGAUUAGACCUGUCCAUGGGCCGGACGGCCCGCCCAAAAUAUGGGAGGGUUCGGGUAAAAAUAGGCCCGAAAAAUGGGUUUGGGUAAAAAAUUAGGCCCAUUUAGAAAAUGGGCCGGGCCUCGGGCACAACUUUUUUGGCCCGGGCCCGGCCCGAAUAUAAUAAAUAUUUUUUUAUUUUUUAAUUUUAAAUUAUUUUUAAAAUACUUUUAUUUUUAUUUUUUAUUUUUAAAAUACUUUUUUGGUGUUUAUUAAAAAAUGGGCCGGGUCGGGCCUGGACAAAAUUUUAGGCCCAUAUUUCGGGCCGGGCCGAAAUUUUUUUCUGGGCCCAGCCCAUGGACAGGUCUAGGUAAGAUGAUAAAUUAAUAAAUAACACUUAUGUUUUAACUCAUAGAAAAUACAUGGUAAGAAGAUUAACUGUUAGGGACAAGUGUAAGCCGUGUUACCUUAUCCCCUGCCCCUAAUAUUGUAUCGAAAAACGCUUGGUAAGAAGAGUGAUAUAUAUCCAAUUUUCAACAACCAAACAAUUUGAUGUAGUAGCAUCUAUCUUUUAUCCAUCAUUUGAAAGUUGAGUGUUAUUUAACACAACACUCCUCUUUUACAUCAAGCCUACCAAAUGUGACCAGACUAUCAAUUUGGCUAUGAUUCUAUAUAAAACGAUAAAAAAAUUGAGUUUUUUAAAAUUAGAAAUCUUGAAAAUACAUAAAUUUGAAAAUUAAAUAAAAAUAGAUAAAAUUUAAAAAAUAUAUAGAUAAGUGAGAGAAAAUUAGGGAAAAUUAUUUUUCAUUAUGAGAAAAGAAUGAGAAAAAAAGAUUAGAUUUGGUUUUUUUUUUUAGUUUGGAUUUUGAAUAAUGUUGAAAAUUUUGAAGUUGUCGCAGGGUGUUAUGGGAAUUGCCCACUACCCCAACCAUUAUGACAAAACAACUUGCCAUAUUUGGAAGAUUGGCAAUUUAUUGAUCUGUAUCUUUAGAUUGAGCUGAUAUUGUAGAGCGAAUCAAGCUCAUCAAUAAAGAUCAUAUCACUUGGAGAAACUUAUUUAGAAGAUUAGAUCGGGUUGGAUUGGAUUGCUUAUAUCAAAUUCUAUGGAUAAAGGAAGUUGAAUCGGAUCGAAAAAGUAAAGAUUUAGCCGCCAACCAUCAAUGUUUAUUGUGGUUGUUUAUAUUAUAUUGUAUUUAGCUAUUUUAGUUGUUGUUUAGUAAGGAUUGUGAUAGAUCUUCAUUAUGUUAGCAAGUCUCGAAAUCUCUAUAUAAUUAAGAGACUUGUAUAGGUUGAUGCACAAAUUAUUAAGAGCAUUUAUAUGUUCAAGUGAGGAACAUUAUUUUGCAAGAGUGCAUUUGUGAUUGUAAAAUUUUGUAUUGUGUUGUGCAUUUGUGAGGAACAUUAUUUGUGAUUGUAUUAUUUAGUGGUGAGUGAUCUAGUCUUCGAAGGUAUAAGAGUGAGGAAUCAUCAUUGAGAUGUGAUACAUUUAGGUUCACUAGUUGUAAUUGUUUAAAUGUAGUGAUUCUUCUCAUUGACCAAGGCUUCACAAAUGUAUGGAAACUGAACUGCAUAAACAAAUUUUAAUGUUUCCUAUUUUGUUUUUGCUUAUCAUGGUGCUUGUAGAAGUGCACACUUUUGCAGUCACUACUGCUCAUACAUUGCUUGUUACUUAGCAACUAUUUUAGAUCAACAAAAAAUCAUUUAAAUGAAUUAAAUUUUAUUAAUAGAGUUUGAAAAAGAAUAUUUUCUUGUAUAUUUUGCAUUUUUUUUUACUAAAAGAAAGGGAUCAAAUUCAAUUUCACAAGUCUUAGUGAGAUUAGUUUGAAAGAAGUUCUUCAAUAGCAUGGAACUUGACUGGAAGGUGUUACUAAAUUUGUCAUAUUUUGUUUUAAAUUUGUUAUUGGAUUCUAUUGAAUAAUCUUUUUCUUUCUUAUGUCUCAGUAUUGAACAAUCUUGAGCUUUAUUACAACACAAGAACAUUAGUUUCUAAUCACAAUUAAGCUUUGUGCAAAAUGAAUAUUAUAUUAAGAUAUUGAAAUUGAUCUAUUUCUUUUAUCCAUUUUCAUGAUUUAUGGCAAUGUUGAAUAUUUUGCUGUAGAAAUCAUAAUUUUUAUAUAGAAUUUUCUAUUUUUUAAAAAUAAUAUUGAGUUUUUAAAAUUAAUUUUAUAUAGAAUAGGGUUAAAUGGAGAGAAAGUAUAAAAGUUAAGGGUUAAAAUUGUCAUUAUACUAACUAAAAAAGUGUGGUUGUUAGCUAUUUAAUAGUUGGGUAAAAAAAUAAUUUCAAAAACGUUAGUGGCCAAAUUGUAACUCUUUUAAUUAAAAGACACAUAAUUGAGGGAUUAAUAGUGUAAUUUAACCUUAUCUUUUUUAAACAUAUGGAUUAAUUCACAUUUAUUUGGAAUGUGUUAUUAAUUCACAUAUGAAUUUAAGUAGUGGUGGAGCUAGAAAAUAUUUUGGGGCUAAAAUUAAAUUGUAUAUUUUUAUGAUAGCAAGAAUGCAAUUUCACUAUUUUAUGAUAUCUUUAUAAUUUUUAAAGGAUUAAAUCAAUUUUUUUUAUCAUUUUUGAGAUUAAAGUGUAAUUUUACUAUUAUUAAUUUAAAAUUUUAUAAAUUAUAAAGGACAUAAGUGAAAAAUUUUCCAUUAAUCAACACCCUUGGCUCUACCACUUGAUCGAACACAUAUCACGAGUCCUUUCCCGCGUGUGUCAGAUUUUGUUUAUAUGGUUGAAAUAUCAUCACAUGUAUUUAUGUUUGAAUACACAUCACAAAACCUUGAGUUGCUUCGGCAUGACCUAGAUAAAAAAAAAUGGAGAAACAUGAAGGUAGCUUAGAAGAAUCCAAAAGCAAUAAACGAAAGCUAGACAAAAGGUUGAAAUCAUCAUUAACCAAGCCUUUACUUUUUCUAACUCCAGGAAGAGUCCAUAUUCGUUGAGAAAAUCGGCAAAGACUUUGGUAUCUUUUGGAAGGACUUGUAAAGAAACAAUUUUUUAUAUUUACGUUCUGUAAUGUUUUUCAUAUUAACAUUAUUGAUGUUUCUAAAUUUACCUUCUGUAAUGUUAGAGUUAGUUGAAGAGUCGUCAGAUUCUGGAGAGGAAUCAAUUUUUAGUCAUCAGCAUAGGAUGGAAGAUGAGAAGUUGCUGUCGGCAGUGUUGGGAGAGCAAAGGAGAAGGUAAGAAGACUGCAACUCAAGAGGAUGAAGGCAAAUCAGAAAUGGGUAGAUGACAGAAUUGUGAAUAGGACUCUCAGAUUCUGGGAAGCGUGUAGAGAUCGACGAAUCAGUUUGCGGUGAUUGCUGCGGUCCUCUCCAACAAGGAGCCAAUUGUUUUGCAGACACAAAGGCUGUGGAUGGGAUGGAAAGUUUAUGGUUAAACUAUUCCCCUUAAAUUCACGUCAGUAUAAAAUAAAAUGUAAAUUAAUUUAAAAUUUUAAAAUAAUUUUAUUUUAAUUUUUAAGUCUAAGAAUUUUGAUGAGUUAAAAUUAUAAGAUAAAAGGCUUAUUUAAUUACAAAAAUAAUUUAAAAACUUGUUUAAACAAAAUGUAAUAAUUUAACCAAAUUUUUAAUAUAUUAGCCAAAGAAAUUCAUCUAAGUAAGAAAUGAGAUUCAAUUGAAGUUAACAAUGAAAAUUGCUUUUAAUUUGCCCAACAUUAGACCAAUACAAAUAAUUGUAAGUUUUGUCAAAAUUCUUAGUUUUCUUUUUUAAUCUUUGAUUAAUGAGCAGUAUUCACAUACUUUGUUUUUGCUUAUAGUUCAAUACAUCUGUCUUCAAUUUAACGAAUAAAUGCUACUGUCGAAACCAUUUUUUAAAAUAAAAAUAGUGUCGACUUUUAUUUUGUAAACGAAAACAAAAAAAAAAAACUAGAGUCGCCACUAGAGGUGCUCAUAACGAUCGGCCCGCCCGAAAUAUGAGAGGGUUUGGGCAAAAAUUUAGGCCCGAAAUAUGGGCUUGGGCAAAAAAAUUAGACCCGUUUAGAAAACGGGCCGAGCCUCGGGCAUCGCUUUUUUGGCCCUGGCCCGGCCCGGCCCAGCCUGAAUAUAAUAAAUAUAUUUUUUUUUAUUUUUUUAUUUUUAAAAAUAUUUUUAAAAUACUUUUUUUAAAAUUUUUUUUAAAAUACUUUUUUUAAAUUUUUUAAAUUUUUUUGGUGUUUAUUUAAAAAAAUAGGUCGGGCCCGGGCUUAGGACACGGGCCGAAAUUUUUUUACGGGCCCAGCCUGAACCCGACCCGGUCCAGCCCAUGAGCACCUCUAGUCGCCACUGAUAUUUUUUUUAGGUGUGAUCAGAUCACCUUAAAACAAUUUUGGUCUACGAAUAAAAAUGGGUUCGGGAGCCAGUUACGCACGAGGAAGGAUUAGCACUCUUGUAACACCCAAAAUUGGUACCGAAUUGAUUAAUUAAUAUCUUAAAGUCGAAUGUCGAAAAUUUGAAAAGGUUAAAAAUGAUCCCCCUCUUAUUAAUAACAUAUUUUUUAAACAAUAUUUGUAUAAAUUUGAACAUAUGUAGAAAGACCCUCUCAUCUCGAGGCAAUAAAAUGUCGUAUCCCGUAAGUUAUAGGAUGCAACAUUUGAAUACUCAAGCAUAAGCUAACCUUUAAAAACCUUUAUUGAAACUUUGUGUAUUUGAAAACUAAAAAUAUUUGACCAUCUUGGUUCAAUGAGGAAAUCGAAACCCUGUAAGUUAGGGCACAGUUCCUUGAAGUUCCAAAGACGACAUAUAAGUUUGCCUUUAUUAAGAAAAACCUCAUCUCGAGAUAUUGAAAUGUCAUAUCCAAUGAGUUAGGACACAACGUAUCGAAUUCCCGAGAUAAGCUUUGAUUUGAAAUUUUUACAUUUGAAUUGAAAAAGGGAUACUCGGUUACUUAAAUUCAACGAGGAAAAUUGAAGCCCAGUAAGUUAGGGCACAAUCUUCUCGAAAAUCUUGGAUACCGAGUAUUGCUUUAUUUUGAAAACUUUUGAAUAAAACGAUUUUAAUGCUUUAAUGAAUCGUAAUCUUUUUGACAAAUGAAAUGCAAUGGAUGACAAUGUAUAACGCGAAAUGAUAAUUCAUAAACUAAAAUGUACGCUAAUGAGCAGCAAAGAAUCAAUAAAUACGAAUAAACAAUACCAUACAUAUAAGAGCAAUAAUCUCACAUCACAUGUAAAUAUCAACAUUUAAAAGCUACUGAACUAAAAGCUAAUCUUAAAAGAAGUACCAAGCAAAUUAACACAAAUAAAAUGUAACAAGUUUUUAAAAUAACUAAAAAAACAAAUAACAUGAAAGAAGGGAAAUUAUAUAUUAAAGUAAAAUUUUAAAAUAACUAAAAAAACAAAUAACAUGAAAUAAGUAAUAGAUAUAGAAUGAAAAACUUCAUAUAAAUAAUAGUAUAUAGUAGUAUAUGUAAAAGGUUAGAAUGGGCAAAAUAUAAUAAAAUAAUAUUUUUAAAUGAAAAUAAAUCAUAGAUAUAGAGACAGAUAAAAAAAAAAGAUGUAUAGUAAUAUGAAAUCAACAAUAUAUUAUGUAUGUAUGUAUAAUAAAAAUAAUUUAAUAUAAAUUGUGUACAUAUAUAAAAAAUAGUAUUGUAUAAGAAUAUUAUUGUAUAAAUCUUUAAAGAUGAAAUAUAUAAAAGUGGAUUUUAAAAGUUAAUUAUAAAAUAAAAGUUAUUAAAAAUAUAUAUUAUAUUGGAUUAAUAGGAAGAAAAUAAAAUAAUUCAUUAUAAAAUUAAAUAAUAAUGAAUGAUAAUAAUAUAAAAAAAUUUAAAAUAAUAGUACAUAAUAGGAUAAUAUAUAUACAUAUAUAUAUAUAUAUAUAAAAUAAGUAAAGGAAAAUAUAACCAAAUAUAAUAAUAAUAUAAAUAAUAAAAAUAAAUUAAUAUUAAACUAAUUAAUUUAAUAGCAAAAAUAACAAAACAAAGGACUAAUUUGGAAUUAAACAUAAAUUUAGGGGCAAAUCUGAAAUAAAAAAGAAAGGACCAUAAUGAACGCGCGAAUAACAGGGAAGGGCCAAAAGGGAAAUUAAUCCCUGCCUUCCAAAACGACGUCGUUCGAUUUUGGAGCUAAUUGAAAUAAAAAUAAAUAAUGUGGUACAAAAUAAAGAUAAGAAAGACUUGAUUGCAAACCCACGAAAAAGAGGGAGGCCUAAAGGUGUAACUAGCCCCUACAUUAGAAUACGCGCGGAUCGUAGGUCCGGAUCGGGUCGCGGGGCCCCCCAAAACGACGCCGUUUUGGGCGUCUGGGGGUCCUAAUGAAACGGCGCCGUAUUGUAUUAUUAAUUAAAAAAUAUUUCUGUAGAAAAAAAACAUUUUGUAGCCCAUUUUUUUUAAAAAAAACUACUGUUUUCUUCCUCCUCUAGGGUUUCGCCCACAGUCCCUAUGAUGCCACCAUAUCCGCCGCUCCUUCGCCAUGGCUCCGCCAAGGACGGCGAUCUAUGCCGGCGAGGAGAUCACGGACCCUUGGUAAGUCCCCUUUCUUCCCCUCUCUAUUAUUCUUUUUUUUUGUAUUUAAAAAAAAAAAACAAAUCGAAACCAAAAGGAAAAAACAAAAAGAAAAAAAAAACAGAAUACUACCUUCUCUCUAUUUUCGUAUUCGAAAUUUUCUACUUGUGAUAAAUAUUCUUCUGCUUUUUUUUUUUAUUCCUUCGUGAAUCCCUUUACAGAUGCAAAAAUCGGCUUUGUAUAGCCGAAUGAAAAUACAAAAAUUAUUUAUUUUUUCUUUUAUAUUUUCUCUACUAUUUGCUGUCACUGUUUGUUGUGAUUUGCGUUUGUUGCAGGUUCGACCAGCCUGGAGUGGAGGCCGUUGUGCUGACGUGGUGGCGCACGUGGCUGCUGUGCGAGGGAGGAGCGGCGCGCGAACAGCUUGCUGGGGCCUGCGGCGGCUGAGUCAUUAGCUGGCUAAGGUUUUCUAAUUUUUUAAUUUUGUUUUGGGCUGAUUCAGGGGUUGGGUUUAGUAUUUUGGAUUGGGCCUUUAGAUUUUAUUUUUUUGGUUUUGUAAUCUGGACUGUUUAAUUGGACAUUUUAUUGUUUAUUGGUUUUUUUAUUUAUACACGGGGCCCAGGCAAAUAUUGAGCUAUUACAGGUACAUAAUAACCAAUAAAUGGCAUUCAAUUUAUACAUUCACAAUGAUUAAUCUUCAAUUGAAAAAUCACUAUCUUCAAUUCAAAAAUCACUAUCUUCAAUUGUCCGCCUAUAUAUAUCACUACCAAUUGGCCAUGCAGUUUCUUGAGCUGUAGCAGAUUCUUCCACUAUAAUUUCAUCAACUGAUUGGCUUGCCUGCAAAGCAAAUUAAACCUUCACUUAUUACUGUUUGCUGUUGAUGAUUGAUGAUGAGGAAAGCAAAGCCAGUUUUCCAAAAUUGGACAAAGGAUGACAUAUUAAGAACAAGAACUGUGAAUUGAAAAUAAUAAUGCAACAAUGAUAUCUAGAAAGAAAUAUUGACAGCCAGCAGAAACCAUAUACAGUUGAUGCAAUUUCAUUUAGUCAUUUAAAGCAUUAAAAAAAAAAAGAAUUUCUCUCAGGCAGCCAAAAUAAAAAUAGGGAGAAUGCAUAGAGAAAAUAAUUGAAUGGAUGAAUGUCUGUUUUAAAGCUUAUUGUUGAGUUUGGAAGAGUGGCGUACCUGUGUUUUGGCAUUCACUGAUUUCUCUGAAUCAACACUAAAUCUUGUGGUUAUGUUGGGACAACCUUCUACUCGUAAAUCCGUCAAAGAUGGGAAAAUAAAAUGAUAACCCACAGGGCUGAAGCUUACGAGGUUUUGUAGCUCAUCAAGCUCUAAGGAGCAAAGCUGAGGUAGGCGUAUCACUUUCUCUUCUUCCUUAUUCAGAUUUGACUCAUCUCCUUCAAACACCUGCUCUAAUUUGGAGACCCAUUUAAGGCAUAAUCUCAAUAGCUUUGGAAGGCCGCCAUGAGCAAGAGUAAUGGGGAAGAGACAUUUCAAGUUUUCACAAUUCGUUAUUGAAAUAUAACUCAAAUUAGGGAAGCAAAUGGGUUGGAGAUGAUGUUGUGAUGAAGUUUGAUCCUUCUCAAUCAUUUGCUCCAAUUCGUCGCAGUUAGAUAUAACCAAAGUCCACAAUUGUGGCAAAUUUCGAGCGAUGGUAGGUGAGAGGAUGUAUCUUAACCUUCUGCAAUCUUGGACUGCCAAAUGAGUGAGAUUUUGAAAGUGUUCAACUUGGAUGGGACCACUCAUAUCACCCGCAAUUCAGUUAGUUUGUACAACCGUAGGAAGUUUAGAGUUGAAAGAUUAUAUCCAGAACAUUCAAAUAACUCUUCAAAAUUGGAAAUUGUUAAAUAUUCCGUACAUGUUGAUGUUCUUCCUCUCCUUUCAGGGACUGUCACGUUGCUUAUUUGCUUCUUUUCUGUCAUCUCCGAUAACUCCAAUUUCUAUAAACAUAUCAUCAAUUUAAGAAUAAGCACAAGAUUUCCUUUUCAAUCUUUUAUAGUCAAAGAAUUCAAAUUUUUAAAAAGUUUACUGUUCAACUCAUAUAAUCAUAAAUUACCCAAAAAAAAAAUCUCCAAAAAUAUGGUGCAAAGACACAACAGAAAUAAUAUUACGUAGUACUAGUUAGGGUUUGCAAUAUAUAUAUAAGAAACUAAAAUGUUUUAACAAUUUAUUCUUUGUAAAUUAUAUAGAUUAUAAAAGUAUUCAGUUGAAAUGUUAUUUAUGUUACUAAUUGGUAUUUUAAUUAACUAAACUACUUAAAGGUUUAUUUAGAUUAGUUUUUAGACUAAAAUGAAAACUAUUUUUUAAAGAUUUAUACAUGCAUUUACUUAUUUUAGACCACAAAAAAAAAUUUCAAAAGGUGAAAAUUUUAAUAAAUAAUAUAUAAGAAGGUCUUACUUGUAUAUUAGUUGGAACGAUAAAAGGUGUCAAUUGAGGACAAUCUCUCACUUUUAACACGCGUAAAGAUGGCGAUGUCAGCACGAUGUCAUUUCUAUCCCUUCCUUUCAAUUGAGGCAAAUUAAUCAACUCAACUUCAUUCAAUCUUGCAAGACCUUGAGACAUUAAGAUUAACACUUUUGGUCCUUGGAUUAUUUCUUGCAAUUGGAAACAGCUCUUUAUCCUCAGAGUUUGCAAUUGCCCAAGACUAUUAGCAACACACAUUGGGAAGAGAAAUUUCAACUUAUUGCAUUCUGUGACUUGUACUUCCCUUAGGCAUUGGAAGCUUAUGGUUGAUGAUACUUGUGAGUCUUGGAUUAUUUCUUUCAUUCCAAAGCAUCUCUCUAUCAUCAGAGUUUGCAAUUGCCCAAGACUAUUAGCAACACACACUGGGAAGAGAAAUUUCAACUUAUUGCAUUCUGUGACUUUUACUUCCCUUAGGAAUUGGAAGCUUAUGGUUGAUACUUGUGAGUCUUGAAUUAUUUCUUCCAUUCCAAAGCACCUCUCUAUUCUCAGAGUUUGCAAAUUGGGCGCAUUUAGUUGUUUAGAGCUACCUUGAGCAACAAUAAUUGGAAAGAGAGAUUUCAAGCUUUCACAUUCCAAGAUAUCAAGUAGAAUCAGAUUUGGAAAGCAAACAGGUAGGGGAUGAUGUUGUGAUGACGUUUGAUCUUGCUCCAAUUCCUCAUAUUUACAUAAAUGCAAAUUGCUCAAUUGUUCAUUUGUCAUCUUCCCAAACACCAAUUCCUAUAAACAUAUCAUCAAUUUUCAAUUUCAAAAACACCAAUUCCUAUAAACAUAUCAUCAAUUUUCAAUUUCAAACUGUUCAAAGAUGUCAACAAUUAACUUAACAUUUCAUCAAUUAAUUUCCUUACAAAAAAUUUAUUUUACCUUAAAUCAAUAUUAUACUCUAAAACUGUGGUACAAAAACAGUCAUAAAUAAUAUCACAUAAUCUGUACAUAUAAAUUAUUGGGCGGGUGUAACAAUGCAAUUGGGAAUUACUCAAACUCAUUUUCAUAUAUUAAUACAAAAAUAAAAAACCACCUGCGUAAAAGGCUACAUUUAAAAAAAAUUUAAAAAUAUUUUUUUCUAGUUUAUUUUUAAUACAAAUUCUAAAAUCAUCCAAUAAUUCCUUCUCACAUUUAAAAAAAAAAAAGAUAAACGUGAUUGAGGGCAAUUGAACCCACAUUCUCUUAUCCAGACAACAAUAUCGAUAUCAACCAAACUAAAACUUAUAUAUAAUUUUAUAUAGCUUAUUUUUGUUUACCCACAUAAUAGGUAUAAUAUAAUUUAGUAUUAGAUAAAUAGUUUGCAACAUAUCUAAUACAUAAAGUUUGAAUAAUAUAUUUUUUUGAAUAUUUUAUUAAUAUUAUUAUAGGGUAUUAUAAUCAACUAAUUUGUUUAAAAGGUUAUUUAGAUUAAUUUUAGACCAAAAUUAUAAAAUAAAAAUUAUCUUUUAAACAACAAUUCAAACAACGAAUUAUUAAAGAAAAAAAAGAAACAAAUAAAUAAAUAAUAUAAAAAAAAAAGAAAAUUCUUACUUGUAUCGUAGUCGAAAUAAUAAAAUGAGUCAAUUGAGGACAAUUGUGCACUUUUAACUUCUGCAAAGACGAUUGUGUGAGCAUAAUGUCGUUCACAUCCCUUCCUUUCAAUUGAGGCAAAUCAAUCAACGAAACCUAAAAUGAAAAGCAUAAUCAAAUUUCUCAAUCUUUGACCAUAGGACAAUAAGGAAAAGAAAUGUCAAGUUAUUGCAGUGAGAUACACAUACUUCCCUUAGACUUUGGAGUAGACAUUUGUAUGCCAGUUGUGGGUCUUGGAUUAUAUCUUCCAAUUGCGAGCAACUCUGUAUCUUCAAAGUAUGCAAUUGGCCAAGGCUAUUAGCUACUGACAUUGGGAAGAUAUAUUUCAAAUUAUUGCAUCCCUCUAUUUCAACAAUCUUCAGACUUUGGAGGCUUAAAUGACGACUGGGCCCUUCUUGUUCUAUGCUCCUCAAUUCAGCAAUCGGGAAUAACACUUGCAUCUCACCGCAAUCUGAAACUAUAACCUCUUCAAGCUUUUGUAAAAAACCUUGCGGCUGGGGAGCAUUGCAUAUCUCUUCCAAAUGAAACAUACAACUUAAUGAUAACUUUCUCAAAUUAGAGAGUGCAGUGAUUGGCACUUGCUGCUUUGAUGCAUCAAUUAGGCAUUGCAUAGAGUGGCACCAUCGAAGAUCUAGAGAAGUCUUCAUAUCAAAGCCUAUGUAUUGUGCAAUUUGAUCUUGAAUUCUCUCAAGAUUUGGCUUUUGGGACACAGUCGUAAUCACAACUUUGUCGAACAAAUUCAGUUUUUGAGCCUGACUUCCAACUUCACGAGCCAGGGUGGUCUUGCCCACCCCUCCCAUCCCCCACAACCCAAUCAUGUUGAUAUUCUCAUCUUUUAAGGCUUCAAUGAUUUGAUUAAAAGCAGCCUUCGAAGAUUCCGAAACCACAAAUUCCUUAGAACAUAGGAAGUCUAUAGUGGGAAGGGCAGUAGGAUCACGGUAACCGACUGGUCCAAGUCGAUCAAAUUUUUCCAAAAGCUCAGAGAUAUCCAGAGUUUUCUUCAUUGCUUUCUUACUUAAUUGAUAUCUCCAAAGCCAAUUGGGACACCAAUUGAGACACCUCUUAUUCAGUUGGAUUUCCUCCGACAGUGUUUUGUCUGCCUUUGAUUGCAAGUUCUGUACAUCCUCUUGAAUUUGUAGAAGCCAGUUUUUAGCUUCCUUAAUCUUAUGUUGUAGACGAUCUCGUGCAUCUGCAAGUUCAAGCUUUUUCUCUCGGAGAUUUUCAUCAUUGUCAUGAAAGCGACGGACAUAAUCAAGUUGACGUCCUACCGGCUUCACCACACAGUCCACAAUCAGUGUUCCAACUGUGUUGGAAAGAGCAGCCUCACAAAAUCCGCAACCCAUGCUUGACAAGCUCAAAUUGAAGAAUAUGAUGUUCCAAGUUCAAACACUGUAGUGAAUCAUAAGUAAUUACCAUUAAAAAAAAUUAAAGAAUCAAAAAGUGUAUUGAAGAUUAAGACACUACUUCUUAUACAUACCAAGGAUGGUGAAAGACAACUCAACCUAUGAGAAUCAAUGUGCUGUUCUUUCAACUCAGUCCAGCUGAAAACACAAUGAGAAAUCUAAUAAACAAAUAAAAUCAUAUACGAGUGUAAUGUCAUAUAAUUAUAACUAAAAAAGGCAGUUAAUUACUGAUAAAAAUAAAAAUUCAAAAUAUUUUGACCCUCAGACUAAUAAUAUUAUAGAUAUAAUGCUGGAAAAUAUAAUAAACAUAUCCACUUACCAUUUCAAAAUCCAAACAGUCUUUUAGCUCUUACUUGCUUCAAGAAAAACAUAAAAGAUCAAAAAAAAUAUAGAACAACUUCAAUUUAUAUAUAAAAAAACAGAAAUGAAGCAUAUAUAAAUAGAUUUACCUCACUUGGGAACAUUUAAAAUCAAACUACACUUAGUGCUCAAAAGAUUAUUACUUCAAAACAAUCAAAAGGGAGGGAUUUGAAGGUUGGUUUUUUUUUUUAGCAAAAGUAAGUAAAACUGAAUACAAAAAGAAAGGAACUUGAAGAGGGUGGGGGGUGGGGAAGAACAUAAAAAGAUCAGAUGAGAUCAGAAAUAUAUAUAACAAAUUUAAUUUAUAUAUAACACAAAUAUAAAUAGAUUUUCCUCACUUGGGAACUUCAAAAUCAAACUACACUUAGUGUUGAGAAGAUUCUUAAUUACUACUUCAAAUCAGUCAAAAGGGAUUUAUUAGAUGGAAAUAUGGAUAGGUGGCAGACAGAAACAUGAUGAAAAUCUGGUCACCAUAGUUAACCUCCCAAUGUAUAUAAAAUGCUAGAUUCAAGUGUGCAACGGUCAUUACGGAAUAUUAAGAGCUAAAAUGUUCAACAGUUUGAGAUUUCUAUCUAUGAUAGAUUAUGUUUGCCGGUCAUCCUAUCCUGUCUUAAAAUCUAAAACUGUUGAUAAUGAUCAGUAGAGGAAAUCAUUGCCUUAUUACCUGACUUAGUUGCUGAAAUGUGUUGAGAGAUUGAUCUGAAAAUGAAGCAGUGAAGUUCACUUCCUUGACUACCUUACAAAGCUAGCAGAUAAUAAAAAACAAUCAUUGCAUAGUCACGAAUGAAGCAAAGAAAAGCAUGUCAUGAAUGAAGCAAAUGAAAGAAAAUUACCUUUGACGGGAUGCUUGAAAUUUUGUGAUAGACCUUGGAGAUCAAAACAAAUUAAAAACAGUGAAGAAGAAACAAUGUUGUGGGCAGAAAGGCAGAACUAUUAAGCAAAGAAAAUCAUGUAAUGAAACAAGCAAAUGAAAGAAAAGUAGGCAGAGUGGAUGGUUGAAAUUUUGUGAUAGAAGAAAGAAUGUUGUGGGUACAAAGGCAAAAGUAUUAAAGAAUGUUGUGGGUACAAAGGCAAAAGUACUAAGUAAGGAAUCCCAUCUUUUUUUACUUUUCCUUUGCUUCUGCCAUUAUAGUUGGCAUUUUCGGUAUUUGAUUCUCUGCAGUUGUAUCUGUCAGCUGAUUUACAAUUUGAUUCUUCUUUAAAUCUGUAAUAAUUCACUACUUGAUAAUAAAACCUCUAAUCUGCCAUGUCCUCUCCAUUCAUUCUGGACAUUACUAACAAGUUUUGCAGUCAUCUUGGUGCUCAAUUGUAACAACAACAUCAGCAGCAGCAGCAGCAUAAUAAUGGGAAAGUAUGGUAUAAGAAUGCCUAAUUAUAUGUUACAACUUGAAAUAAAUAUUUAGUUACAUAUAAAUUCCUUCAUAAGUUACACUUUUAAAUCCAAAUUGGGGUUUAUUGAUUGGGUGUUCACCGUUUUUAGAAAUAGCCGAAAUUCAAAUUAUCAUUGUACCCAAAUUUGAAAUUGUUUUAAAAUUUUAGAAUAUUAUAAAAUUAAAAAUUAAACAACAGUAGAUAAACAUUUCAAAAAUAAAUAAAAUGAGGGAUAAUUAUUUUUAAACCUUCUAAAAUAUCUCUUCAUUAUCUAUAUCAAAAUAACAGUAGAUAAACAUUUCAAAAACAAAUAAAAUGACGGAUAAUUAUUUUUAAACCUUCUAAAAUUUCUCUUUAUUAUCUAUAUCAAAAUAUCCAAUAUUCAAUCUUUAACAGAAAUAUAGAAAAAAAAAAAAAAACAUUAAGCAAAAUCAUUUGUUUUCUGUUUUUUACCUCUUCUAUUUCUUGACAUAGCUUUUACAUUAUAAGAAAAGAUAAAAUUUUAUAUAAAAUUUAUUGUUACAAUUUGGUUUUUGAAAAAUAAUUUAAAUGUAAUGAAAUUUUGAAUUGAGUUUGAAAAAGAUAAUUUGUUGGUAUAUUUUGUAUUCUUUUUACUAAAAAAUGGCAUUUGGGUAAAUUUUAUAAGCCUUUGUAAUAUGAGUUCUAGAUGUUCUUCAAGGGCAUGAUACUCAACUUGAUAAUAUUACUAUUUUAGUUUCGAGAAACAUUGAGAAAGCAUGUAAUGAUUUAACUUGUUUUGGUUUUGUUUUGUUUUUUAAUUUGUUAGUGGAUUAUAUUGAACAAUAAUUUUCUUUAUUUUUUAUACAAUUUAGUUAUUCAACAACAUAUUCAAGAUUUGUAUCUAUAGUAGACUAUGUCUGCUGAUCAUCCUAUCUUAAAAUUGAUAAUCAGUAGAGGAAAUCAUUGCUUAAGAUCUUAUUACCUUGACUAUCUUACAAAGCAUAGCUCUUUUCGUAUUAAUUUGUAUCUAUAGUAGAUUUUGUCUGCUGAUCAUCCUGUCUUAAAAUCUAAAACUGUUGAUAAUCGCUAGAGGAAACCAUUGCUUCAAAUCUUAUUACCUUGACUAUCUUACAAAGCUAGCUGCUAUAACAGUAGCUGAUAAUAAAAAACAAUCAUUGUAUAGUCAUGAAUUAAGCAAAUGACAGAAAAUUACCUUUGAUGGGAUGCUUGAAAUUUGGUGAUAGACCUUGGAGAUGAAAACGAAUUAAAAACAGUAAAGAAGAAAGAAUGUUGUGGGUAGAAACGCAGAAUUAUUAAGCAAAGAAAAGCAUGUAAUGAAAGAAGCAAAUGAAAAAAAAGUAGGUAGAGUGGAUGGUUGAAAUUUGGUGAUAGAAGAAAGAUUGUUGUGGGUACAAAGGCAGAGAUAUUAAGGAAUCCCAUCUUUUUUUACUUUUCCUUUGCUUCUGCCAUUAUAGUUGGCAUUUUCGGUAUUUGAUUCUCAGCAGUUGUAUCUAUCAGCUGAUUUACAAUUUGAUUCUUCUUUAAAUCUGUAAUAAUUCACUACUUGAUAACAAAACCUUUAAUCUGCCAUGUCCUUUCCAUUCAUUCUGGAUAUUACUAACAAGUUUUGUAGUCAUCUUGGUGCUCAAUUGUAACAACAACAUCAGCAGCAGCAUCAUAAUAAUGGGAAAGUAUGGUAUAAGAAUGCCUAAUUAUAUGUUACAACUUGGAAUUAAAUAUACUAAUCGGCAUCCUAUAAAAAAAUAUAGUUGUUCUUACAUAUGAUGUUUGUAAGACGUGAAUAAUGUGAAUAUGUUGAAGUUGGCCUCCAUGUAGCUCAUGUAGCAAGGAGCUGCACAUGCAGUCGAGCCAAGCAAGCAGGAGCUAAAGAACGAUACUGCUAUUGAGUUUCAUUUUCAUUUUGUUACUCUAAUAUCAUUUUGCACUCAAGUUAGAUUUGAACUUAGUUGGUAAUUCCUUCUUGAUGUAAUUAGGUGUUGAUUGACUGAAAAUUCAGCAAAGUAACAUGUACAAGUUAAUUUAGCAAGUCUCAAUGUAACUUAGUGGUGUUAGGUAGUUGUUUAGGUGAGAACUUGUUUGUAUUCACCAGCUUGUCUGGUAUAUGUAAUGGCUUAAUACCUUUGUUUUGCUGUUAAUGAAAAACCAAUUGGAUUUCAUCCAUAUACUCUCCAUUUUUCUGCUUCCAAAUUCGAUUCCAUUCUUAAGCAAAUUUCUGCUUUGUUUCUUCUUCAAGUCACAAGUCUUGCUGCUCAAGUCAUAGCUGAACUAGCUUACUUGUUGCUUAAAACCCCAACAAUUGGUAUCUAGAGCUGUUGUCUUAGUGGACCUGUCACAUUUUAACUUUAAAUCGAUGGCUUUAUCAGGCUUCUCACCAGCUGCACCACCAGCCUUCAAUGGAGAGGGCUUUCACAUAUGGGUGGUAAAAAUAAAGACUUACCUACAAGCAUUUGAUCUCUGGGAGGUUGUCAACUCAGAUGUUGAACUAGCUCCACCUAGAGCCAAUCCAACUGUGGCUCAGAUCAGGCAACAUGCUGAUGAAAGGACAAAGAGGCAUAAAGUCAUGUCUUGCAUUCAAAAUUGUGUGCCAGAUGUUAUCUUCAUUAGGACUAUGGCCUGUGAGACACCAAAGUAGGCUUGGGGCAGAUUAAAAAAGGAGUUUCAAGCGACAAAGAGGACAAGGCAGCAACAGUUAUUGAAUCUGAGAAGGGAUUUUGAGAAUUUGAAAAUAAAGGAGGAAGAAACAGUCAAGCAGUACUCAAAUAGGAUCAUAGCUGUGGUAAACAACAUAAGGUUGCUAGGAGAGCAGUUUAGUGAAGCAAGGAUAGUGGAGAAGGUGAUUUCUACCUUACCUGAGAGGUAUGAGGCAAAAAUUUCUUCCCUCGAAGACUUAAAGGACUUGACCAGCAUCUCUUUAACUGAGUUAAUUAAUGCUCUGUAUGCACAAGAGUAGAGAAGGGCCACCAGACUGGAGGAGCACCAAGAAAGUGCCUUCUAAGCUAAAACCAAGCCAGCCUCGAACACCUCUGCCUACAAAGGCAAAAAGACUUGGAGGGACAAGUCUAAGUCAAAAAAUACAAGAAGAAAGGACCAACCUUGCAGGUGCAAAAGGCUUGGUCAUCCUGAGACAAGUUGCUAGUUCAGUCCAGAUGUGUAGUGUCAAUACUGUAAAAAGAUGGGGCAUGUUGAAAGGUUUUGCAAAAACAAGAGCAAACCAAGACAUAACAACCCCAGUAGCCAAAGGUUGAGGCUCGAGUAGCAAAAGAAGACAGUGACCAUGAGGAGCAAGUUUUUGUUGUGUCAUGCUCAGCUGCUCAGGAGAAAAUCACAAAUGGAUGGCUUUUAGACAGUGGUUGCACCAACCACAUGACACUAGAUGUAACACCCCAAACCUGGCAUAGGAGUUAUGGCCAAAUCUGGCGGUGUCACAUCGAAGUGUCUUUCAAAAAUCAGACUCGUUGGUAAAAAUUUGUUUCUAAGUUUAAAAUAAACCCCUUUAUUAUUAAUUAACAAUCAACUAGUCAAAACGUUUGCCUUGUUAACUUCCAUUGAUAUAUUAAGUUGAUUUAAAACGCGGAAGCAUUUGAAAACUUUAACAUUUAAAGUUCGUGUCUUUGAAAACAAUAAUUAUUUUAAAAAUUCAUUUUCACCUAACUAGCAAUAUAAAAUAUAUAAACAAAAGCCCAAUUAAAAAUUUAAAACCAAAUUAAAGGCCUUAUUACAAAACAAAACCCAAGUUAUAAUUUAAAGUAAAAUAAAAACAAAUGUGAACAGCAGCAAUUGUGUGGCCACCUCCGAGUCCCUCGCAGCACCGAAUAUCCUAAGGUUGAGGAUUACCUGCACAGUUAAAGGAGAUGGUAAGUUUACGAAACUCAGUGUGUAAUCCCCUAACAGUCAAUCAGUAUACAAUAUGUAAUAUCAGUCUGGGCCUGAGCCUUAAGUAGUAACAGUGGAAUGUGGGCCUUAGGCCAUUUCAGUAACAGUGUGAGCCUUAGCUCAUUACAGUAACAAUGUGGGCCUUAGCCCAAUACAGUAACAGUGUGGGCCUUAGCCCAAUACAGUAACAGUGUGGGCUUUAGCCCAAUACAGUAUUAGUGUGAGCCUUAGCCCAAUAUAGUAACAAUGCAGUGUAAUAAUGCAACCUAUCCCAAUCCAUCCAACACACUACUCCGUACCACCAACACACCAUGUGGGGAUAAAAUUGACUCACCCAACCAAUACACCAAUAUCGCAGCAAAGCUGUCAGUAAUAGUAUCAUAGCAAAGCUUCCAGUAAUAGUAUAUGUGCUAAAGCCACUAGUAGGUCCACAGUUGUCUUGGGCGACCUGUGCGACCUUAACAAUACAAUACACUUCCUCUAAAUAUAACAACCCAACCCCAUGCAACAUGUCGUGACAUAAUAUCAUACGUGUAUGCAAAAUUUCAUGCUCAAUCAUGGUCAUACAUAUCAUAGAGCAAAUCAGUCAUACAUAACAUAAGACCAUAACAAUCAUUUCAUCUCCUAGGGGUAUAACAGUCAUUUUACCCAAUGGGGGUAUUCUAGUCAUUUUACCCUAUAAGGGUAUUUCGAUCAUUCUACCCUAUGGGGGUAUUUCAGUUAUUUUACCCUAUCGGGGUAUUUUGGUCAUUUUACCCUGUUGGGGGUAAUUCAAUCAUUUUACCCUGUGCGGGUAAUUCGAUCAUUUUGCCAUUCGAGGGUAUUUCGGUCUUGAUAUCGACCUCUUGAAAGGUCCGCAGUCACCUCGAGCGACUCAAGUAACCUAAUUGGUCAUAACAGUGUAAAUGGGCCCAAGGUCUAUUACUCUGCCUAAAUGGGCCCACACGCUCAUGUGGCUGUUCGGCCCAAAUUUUGCCACGGAUAUGAGAUCUACAUAGCCUAGUCCAGUAUUUUCCACCAAUAGUGGAUUUCAUCCAUAUAGGGCCCACAAGCCUAUUGAGCCCACACGGUUAAUUUCGGCCCAAUGUGGCCCAUUACGGCCUAAGCCCAUAAAAAUGCUCAUGGAGGCCUCCACAAUUUAUCGCCUAUUAUUCACAGGUUCAGCUUUCCACACGAGCGAUCGCAUGCUCGUGUGGUCUCAAACGUCGUAUUUUGACUUUUUGGCUUUUUUCGUUCUACAGUUACAUUGGGGAGUUACACACUUGAUGCAAUUUGCAGGUUCCCUUCGUUCCAAACACUCUUAUUCCGAAAAUCAAUGAUCAUCGCACCCUUGGUUCCCAGGCAAUGUGCCAAUCAACCUCGACCACCACUAGUUAGAAAUGGAAGCAAUGUAAGUUGGAGAAAGCGACGAAAUACUUGAAAACCCCGCCGAUCUCCCCUCGAGAAUAAGGAACAAAUGAGAUGCGAUAUAUAGCUCUCCACAACAACAACCUCCCCAAAUCCCAAUAUUCUCUCCUCAAAUCGCUCCAAAUAUUCCUCCUUGAAUCACUCCACCAAUUUCUUCUCAACUUACUCUAUUACCAGUUCAAACUCCUUUUAGCAGUAUUCUAGUCCAAGUCCACCACCUGUCCAGCUCAAGCAGCAAAAUAAAUACUCCAUUGUGUAACCCAAGACUUGAACCUCAGACCUCACAGUUACACAACACACCACCUUGCCACCUGACCACAAGCUCUUUUUGUGUCAUAAAACAAACACUAUUACUUAUAAGGCCAAUAUGUUAGUAUACUAAACUAAAAAUUCUGCAAAAGCCAAAACUUAAACCCAGGCUCCUCAAACACUCCCAUACACACCCAAAUCACUUAGCCAUUAAAGCAAACAAGCAAUUUUUGUCACUUCCUUGCACAACUAAAUAUUUAUGUGCAGUCUCUUAACUGUUCCCUUGCUCAAAAUCUAUUUCUUCUAGAUGUUACACCAGAUGCUUCCAUUUUCAAGUCAUUAGACAGAAGCUGCAAAAAAAAGGUAAUGGUUGGUAAUGGACACUUGAUUAAGGUAGAAGGUAAAGGAGAUGUGUUAAUAUGCACUCUUACAGGUAACAAGCUCAUUUCAAAUGUGUUGCUAGUGCCUGAGAUUGACAGAAAUCUUUUUAGCAUAGCUCAACUGCUAGAAAAAAGUUACUCUAUAGUGUUCAAAGGCAAUGAGUGCCAAAUCAAUGAUCCAAGUGGAUCCAGACUAGUUACUACGCCUGACAAAAGUUUUAUUGUUGACUAGAAAAAUGAUUCACACUCAGCAUAUACAGCUCUAUCAGAUGAAUCUAAGUUGUGGCACCAAAAGCUUGGCCAUGCCAAUUACAGAUCAAUAGACCAGCUAACCAAAGAAGAUUUGGUUGAAAAUUUCAUUGGUUCAAUUGAAAGGCACGAAGUUUAUGAAGUAUGCCAGCUAAGAAAGUAGGCCAGGCUUCCAUUUCCCUUAAGUCAGGCUUGGAGAGCCUCAGAAAGGCUACAGCUCAUGCACACUAAUGUGUGUGGCCCUAUGAAGACUGAGUCACUGAAUGGAAGUAGGUACUUUAUUCUGUUUAUUGAUGAUUUCUCAAGGUUUGGUUGGAUUUAUUUUUUGAAGCAAAAAUCAGAAGUGGCCUUAGUGUUUUCCAAGUUUAAUAUUACUGUAGAGAUUGAAACAGGCUGCAAACUCAAGACCCUAAGCUCUGAUAAUGGAACUGAGUGUACCUCAGCUCAGUUUCAAGCCUUUUGUGCUGAAGCAGGUGUCAAACACCAGCUUACUAACACUUACACACCUCAACAGAAUGGUGUAAGUGAAAGAAAGAACAGAAGUUUGAUGGAUAUGGCCAGAUGCCUAUUGUUUUAGAAGAAUCUACCCAAAAUCAUGUGGGCUGAGGUAGUUAACACUGUUGUGUACAUUCAAAAGAGGCUUCCAACCAAGGCUUUGGCCUAUAAAACUCUAUUUGAAGCCUGGUUCGGGUUCAAGCCUUCACUGGCUCACCUGAGGAUCUAUGGCAGCAUAUGCUAUGCUCAUGCUCCAACAGUAAAGAGGGACAAGUUGCCUAAGAAGGCUCAACCUGGCAUUCUGAUAGGCUAUAGCACAGUUAAUAAAGGCUAUAGGAUUCUGAAUCCUUCAACAAAUAAGGUGCUUGUGAGUAGAGAUGUGGUGUUUGAUGAGAAAACAUGCUGGAAUUGGGAGAAGAAUAAAGUGGAGACAACUCUUGAAGAACUGAUAACAGAUCAGACUGAGCUAGAUCAAAAUGCUUUUGAGAUGGAUAUAGAUGAUGAACCAGUCAGAGGCACAAGACCAUUGGCAGAAAUUUAUGAGAGAGCUUAAGUGGCUGAGGUUGAACCAAGCUGUUUUGAAUAGGUUGAAGCUCAACAAGGGUGGGAACAAGCAAUGGCUGAUGAAAUCAGCAUGAUUAAGAAAAAUCAAACUUGGGAACUAGUUGAAAGACUAGCAAACAAAAAGAUCAUUGGGAUGAAAUGGGUCUAUCGAACCAAGCACAAUGCUGAUGGGAACUUAAACAAGCUGAAAACAAGGCUAGUUGUCAAGGGGUUUAUCAAGAAGUAUGGAUUGGAUUACUUGGAAACAUUUGCACCAGAGGCUAGACACCAUGAGGCUGCUGUUGCCUUAGCAGCACAAAUACAGUGGAAAAUUCACCAGCUUGAUGUAAAAUCAGCCUUCCUAAAUGGAUUUCUUGAAGAGGAUAUCUAUAUUGAACAACCACAAGGUUUCACAGUUCCUGGUAAUGAAGAUAUGAUUUACAGAUUAAAGAAAGCCUUGUAUGGCUUGAAAUAGGCACCAAGGGCCUGGUAUAGCAGGAUCGAUGCUUACCUUGCUAGCCUUGGAUUUGAAAGAAGCAACAGUGAACCUACUUUGUAUAUUAAGAAGAAAGGUGCUGAAACAUAGUUGAUAGUGUCUCUAUAUGUUGAUGACCUGCUAGUGAUAGGUGAAGACCAAGCAAUGUUAGUCGAUUUCAAAGCCAGAACGUAAGAUGUCUAAUUUGGGACAAAUGUCCUACUUCCUUGGUAUGGAAGUGUCUCAAACUCAAAGUGGAAUCUUUUUGAGUUAGAGAGCAUUUACAAUUAAGAUUAUGAUGAAGGUUUCUAUGCUGAAUUGCAAUGGGACAAACACACCAAUUGCCAUUGGAGAAAAGCUAUCCAGCCAAGGUGUUUUUCAAUAGGCUAGUGAAUUUGUUUAUAAAAGCCUAGUUGGUUGCUUGCUAUAUUUAACUACCACCAGACCAAAUAUCAUGUUUGCUGUGAGUUUACUCUCAAGAUUUGUGCAUUGCUAAAAUGAAAAACUCUUCAAGGCAGUAAAAAGGGUGCUCAGGUACAUUAAAGGUAGCCUGAAUCAUGGAAUGUUGUACAAGAAGGUUGAAAAUUUUAAGCUAAUUGGCUAUGCCGAUAGUGAUUGGGCUGGCUUGAUGGAUGAUAUAAAGAGUACCUCAGGGUAUGUUUUUACCUUUGGCUCAGCCAUUUUUUACUGGAGUUCAAAGAAGCAAUCAAUUAUUGCUCAGUCCAUAGCAGAAGCAGAAUAUGUGGCAGCUGAAGGAGCUGUGAACCAAGCCAUAUGGCUAAGGAAGAUCUUAGUUGACUUGAAUCUGCACCAAAGGGAAGCAACAGAGAUUUAUUGUGACAACCAAUCUGCUGUUGCAAUUGCAAAGAAUCCUGUUUUCCAUGGGAGGACAAAACAUUUUAAAAUUAAGUUGCUUUUUGUUAGGGAGAUGGAGCAAGCUCGAGAAGUAGAGCUGAUCCAUUGCAAUUCUGAAGAACAAUUGGUAGACAUCUUGACAAGCCCCUUAGUGUGUCAAGGUUCAACAAAUUAAGAAAGCAAAUGGGAAUUUGUAGCAUGGAGUCCAAGGAGGAGUGUUGAAGUCAGCCUUCAUGCAACAAAGAGCAGCACAUGCAGUCGAGCUAAGCAAGUAGGAGCUGAAGAACGAUGCUGCUAUUGAGUUUCAUUUUCAUUUUGUUACUCUAAUGAUCAUUUUACAAUCAAUUUAGAUUUGAACUUAGUUGGUAAUUCCUUUUUGAUGUAAUUAGGUGUUGAUUGACUGAAAAUUCAGCAAAGUAACAUGUACAAGUUAAUUUAGCAAGUUUCAAUGUAACUUAGUGGUGUUAGGUAGUUGUUUAGGUGAGAACUUGUUUGUAUUGACCAGCUUGUCUGUUAUAUAUAAUGGCUUAAUGCCUUUGUUUUGCUGUUAAUGAAAAACCAAUUGGAUUUCACCCAUAUACUCUCCAUUUUUCUGCUUCCAAAUUCGGUUUUGUUCUUAAGCAAAUUUCUGCUUUGUUCCUUCUUCAAGUCACAAGUCUUGCCGCUCAAGUCAUAGCUGAACUAGCUUACUUGUUGCUUAAAACCCCAACAGAAUAAGUCUAUUCAAGUUAAAAUAAAUAUUUAGCUACAUAUAAAUUCCUUCAUAAGUUGCACUUUUAAAUCCAAAUUGUAGUUUAUUGAUUGGGUGUUUUUAGAAAACAAAUUAUCACUGUACCCAAAUUUGAAAUUGUUUUAAAAUUUUAGAAUAUUAUAAAAGUAAAAAUUAAAUAGCAGUAGAUAAACAUUUCAAAAAUAAAUAAAAUGAGAGAAAAUGAGGGAUAAUUAUUUUUAAACCCUCUAAAAUUUCUCUUUGUUAUCUGUAUCGAAAUAUCUAAUAUCCAGUCUUCAAAAGAAAUAUAGAAAAAAAAAACAUUAAGCAGUUUUCUGUUUUUUACCUCUUAUGUUUCUUAACAUAACUUUUACAUUAUAAGAAAAGAUAAAAUUCUAAAUAUAAUUUAUUUUUACAAUUUGAAUUUUGAAAAAUAAUUUAAAUGUAAUGAAAUCAAGGUUGAACUAAAAUAAGGAGAAACUUUCAGAAAGAAAUGGAAGUUUAUCUGUCUGGAAGAUUCAACUACUCCGAAAUCAUAUGAUUUCCGAGUACAUGCAAAUAUAAAAUUAUUUAUUUUUAAGAAAUUAUUUAGAAAUUAACCAACAUUAAGAAAACAAAAUUUAUUUUUAAAAUAUUAAAUACUUUAAAAAUAUAUUCAUGUUCCAUUUAUAUAAAUUAUGCAUUUCAUGUUUAAAGUAAAUUAUUUAUUUUAGUUAACAAAAUUCAAUAGUUAAAUAUAUUGUAAUAUAAGCAGUAUUUUAUAUUGAUAUAAUAGAGAUUUUUGAUCGACUCAAAAAUUAAGUAUAAUUAUAUUAAUAAAAUUAAUGAUUUAUUAAUUAAAAUAUUAAUUAUAUAAAAUUAUAUAUUUGAAUUUAAUCUUUUGCAUAUUUUUUACCUCAAUAGGAAGAAUAUCAAAUUUUGGAGACGUAUAUUCGUAAUAAAAAAAAAGAAACUUGAAGAACUAAUAAUAAUAAUAAUAAAGAACAAAAAGUAAUAAUAAAAAAAGUAAUAAGAGCAAAAGUAAGUAAAAUUUAAUACAGAAAGAAAGGAACUUGAAGAAAGGGAAAUAAUAAUAAUAAUAAUAAAGAACAAAAUAGAAAUCAAGGUAGAACUAAAAUAAGGAGAAACUUUCAGAAAGAAAUAGAAGAUUCAACCACUCGAAAAUCAUACAUGCAAAUAUAAAAUUAUUUAUUGCCAACACGAAAUGCAAUUUGGUAAAUCAGUUGAUAUGAAAAAACAUGCAAAAAAGAAGAUAAAAUAGAUUAAAAGAAGAAAAUAGUAUAAAUUUGUUGAAGAAUCAACCUGGUAAGCAAUGAAUCAAUGAGCAUCGAAGAUAUGAGUUUGCUUAAAGAAUUGGAUUGGAAUUUCCUUGAUAUCAAAACAUCCAAAAGACAACUUAAAAAAACAAAAGGUUUUUGACAGCUUAUAAUAAGCACAUGGACACGCUGUCUUGUGUUUAGCAUUUUUUUAAAAAUUAAUAUCUACACAAAGAAUAAUUAUAAAAUAUAUGAUUAAAUAUUUAAAAUAGGGUUUAUAUCAUAAAUGGGCCUUUCAAUUUUAUCAAAUGUUGUCAAUGUAAUAUUCUUGAAAACACCAGAUUUAUUUAGAAAUUAACCAACAUUAAGAAAACCAAAUUUAUUUUUAAAAUAUUAAAUACUAUAACAAAAAACAUAUUCAUGGUCCAUUUUUAUAAAUUAUGCAUUUCAUGUAUAAAGUAAAUUAUUUAUUUUAGUUAACAAAUUUCAAUAGUUAAAUAUAUAGUAAUAUAAGCAGUAUUUUAUAUCGAUAUAAUAGAGAUAUUUGAUCGACUCAAAAAUUAAGCAUAAUUAUUAAUAAAAUUAAUGAUUUAAUAAUUAAAAUAUUAAUUAUAUAAAAUUAUAUAUUUGAAUUUAAUCUUUUGUAUUUUUUACCUCAAUAGGAAGAAUAUCAAAUUUUGGAGACGUACAUUUGUAAUCUAUCCACCCUUGAUCGAACCCUAUUUGAGAGAUGUCGAUUUUCGCAUGUGGCCCUUGUAGGUAAGAGGUGUAAGUUGGACCCGACACUCGUAAACCCGUUAGUGAAAAAGUGGAGACCCGAGACACACAUUUCACAUUUCAUUUUUCAUGCGGCGUGUGUACUAUCACUUUGGAGGACAUGCAACUAUAGCUUAGGUUACUGGUGGAUGGACUGAAAGUGACUGGAUCAGUUCAAGCAGCCAAUUGGAGAGACGUAUGCGAGGAACUUUUAAAGAGGGUUCCAGAGACGAUUUUUAGAGCCCAAAUUGAUAUGAGUUGGUUAAGAAGAAAUUUUGGUGGGCUUGAUGAGGAUUCAACUGAAGUUUAAAAAGAACAACACCUUGGGUUGUAACACCGAAAACCCGGCCUAGAAGUUAUGACUAGAUAUUGAGGGAUUAAAUCAACUCGUUCAAAGCUUCGGUUCAAAUAAAACUCAAUGCAUGCUUUGAAAACAUAAUAUCUUACAUAUCUCAUUGUGAUAUUACUAUUUUAGGUUAAAUGUAUUCAUUUAAUUAUAUAAGUAACACGUUUCUUAUUUUUUUUAAGAUAUAAAUAAACAAACAUAAAUAAUAAUAAACAGUUUAUAAAUAAAUAAACGAAACACAUAAAAAAUAAUAGUAUUAAUUAUAUAAUUAAACAAUAGUUGAUUUUAAAUGAUUUACUAAACCAGUUUUAAACUAGCAUGAAGGUAAUUAUUUUUGAUAUGUUUAAUUUAUAUUAGGUUAAUUUAAUAAAUAAAUUUUAAAUUUUUAUUAACGUUGAUUUAUUUAACUUAACGAACGAAUAUAAAUAAACAAAGAUCCAACUCAUAAACUAUUUAUUUACAGCCUUAAACUUGACUUAUAUCUAUUUAGAACACUUAAGUAACGGUAAUUUAUUAUCAACUUUAGACUUCAAGAACUACGAAAUGGAUAAGAGUUGGAUGGAUUUGUCAACGGUAAGCAACGAAUAUCAAAAUGGAGUACAAACUUUUCUAAAUUAGUUUGCAUUUAAAUUCUUAUAUUUAAAUAAUUUAUUUAAAGUGAUUGAUCUACAAGUUAACUCACGCAUUAACUUAUAUUUAUACUUUAUUUGAGAAAAUUUUAAUUUUUAUAAUUAAUCAAUUUUAAUUUACAAUUAAUUUUUACAUUAACUAACUAAACUUUUAUAAAGAAAAUUAGAAACCCCAUCGGUUAAAACUAGUUAUUUUUCCUUUUAAAAAAUCUAGUUAUUUUUUUUUAAAAAAGUAAUGUUUUAUUAUUUUAUAUAUUUAAUAUAAAAUUAUAUAAAUAUUUUAUUUUAUUUUUUGUUAUUCUCUACAUCCGUUUUAUGUUCAUGUUCAAGUUUAUUAAACUAAUAUUAAAAUUAUGCAUUUUAAUAUUUAUAUUAAUAUAAUAAUAUUAAUAUAAAAACAUAUUUUUUAAUAUUUUUUAUUUAUAUACAUUAAUAUAUAAAUGUUUUUAUUAUUUUAUUAUUUUUAAAAAAGUAAUAAUAUUAAUAUAUUAUUUUUAAAAAAAAUAAUUUUAUUUUAUUGUUUUAAUAUUUUAUAAAAAUAAAUGGUAUAAAUUUUUUGUUAUUUUAUUAUAUUUUAAUGUAAAUAGUUUGUAAAUCUAAUAUUUAUAUUUUAUUUUAAAAAGAUAUAUAUAUAUAUAAGAUGUAAGGGUAAGAUGAUAAAUUUAAUAAAUAACACUUACGUUUUAACUCAGAAAUACAUGGUAAGAAGAUACACUGUUUGGCACAAGUGCAAACCGUUGUACCCUAUCCCCUAUCCCUAAUAUUGUAUCGAAAAAAAGAUGGUAAGAGAGUAAUAAUAUAUCCAAUUUUCAACAACCAGACAAUUUGAUGUAAUAGCAUCUAUCUUUUUAUCCAUCAUUUGAGAGUUGAGUGUUAUUUAACCUAACACUUCCUUUUCUACAUGAAGCCUACCAAAUGUGACCAGACUAUCAAUUUGGCUAUGAUUCUAUAUGAAACGAUAAAAAAAUGAGUUUUUUUAAAUUAGAAAAUCUUAAAAAUACAUAAAUUUGAAAAUUAAAUAAAAAUAGAUAAAAUUUAAAAAUAUAUAUAUAGAUAAGUGAGAGAAAAUUAGUGAAAAUUAUUUUUCAUUAUAAGAAAAUAAUGAGAAAAAAAAAGAUUGGAUUUGUUUUUUCAGUUUGGAUUUUGAAUAAUGUUGAAAAAUUUGAAGUUGAGGCAGUGUGCUAUGGGAAUUGCCCACUACCCGAACCACUAUGACAAAACAACUUGCCAUAUUUGGAAGAUUGGCAAUUUACUGAUUUGAUCUUUGGGUUGAGCUGAUAUUGUAGGACGAAUCAAGCUCAUUAAUAAAGAUCAUAUCACUUGGAGAAACUUAUUUAGAAGAUUGGAUAGGAUUGGAUUGGCUUAUAUCAAAUAUUAUGGAUAAAGGAAGUUGGAUCGGAUCGAAAAAGUGAAGAGUUAGCUGCCAACCGUCAAUGUUUAUUGUGGUUGUUAAUAAUAUUAUAUUGUAUUUAGCUAUUUUAUUUUUUGUUUAGCAAGGAUUGUGAUAGAUCUUCAUUAUGUUAGCAAGUCUCGAAAUCUCCAUAUGUAAUUAAAAGACUUGUAUAGGUUGAUGCACAAAUUAUUAAGAUCAUUUAUAUGUUCAAGUGAGGAACAUUAUUUUGCAAGAGUGUAUUUGUGAUUGUAAAACUCUGUAUUGUGGUUUUGCAAACUAAGUUCUCUGAGGGAGAAUUUAGUGGCGAGUGAUCUAGUCUUUGAAGGUAUAAGAGUGAGGAAUCAUCAUUGGGGUGUGAUACAUUUAGGUUCACUGGUUGUAAUUGUUUAAAUAUGGUGAUUCUAGUGAGCAAAGCUUCACAAAUGUAUGGAAACUGAACUGCAUAAAUAAACUUUAAUGUUUCCUAUUUUGUUUUUGCUUAUCACAGUGCUUGCAGAAGUACACACUUUUGUAGUCACUACUGCUCAUACUUUGCUUGUUACUUAGCAACAGUUUUAGAUCAACAACAAAUCGUUUAAAUGAAUUAAAUUUUAUUAAUGGAGUUUGAAAAAGAAUAUUUUCUGGUAUAUUUUGUAUUUUGUAUUUUUUUUUUACUAAAAGAAUGGGAUCAAAGUCAAUUUCACAAGUCUUAGUGAGAUUAGUUUGAAAGAAGUUCUUCAACAGCAUGGAACUUGACUUGAAGGCAUUACUAAUUUUGUCCUAUUUUGUUUUAAAUUUGUUAUUGGAUUUUAUUAAAUAAUCUUUUUCUUUUUUAUGUCUCAAUAUUGAACAAUCUUAAGCUUUACUGCAAUAUAAUAUUAAGUUUUCUUGUAUGUUUCUAAUCACAUUUAAGCUUUGUGCAGAAUGAAUAUUAUAUUAAGAUACUGAAAUUGAUCUAUUUUUAAAAUCCAUUUUCAUGAUUUAUGGCAAUGUUGAAUAUUUUGUUGUUGCAGAAAUCAAAAUUUUUAUAUAGAAUUUUCUAUUUUUUUAAAAUAAUAUUGAGUUUUUAAAAUUAAUUUUAUAUAGAAUACUAUAACAAAAAACAUAUUCAUGGUCCAUUUUUAUAAAUUAUGCAUUUCAUGUAUAAAGUAAAUUAUUUAUUUUAGUUAACAAAUUUCAAUAGUUAAAUAUAUAGUAAUAUAAGCAGUAUUUUAUAUCGAUAUAAUAGAGAUAUUUGAUCGACUCAAAAAUUAAGCAUAAUUAUUAAUAAAAUUAAUGAUUUAAUAAUUAAAAUAUUAAUUAUAUAAAAUUAUAUAUUUGAAUUUAAUCUUUUGUAUUUUUUUACCUCAAUAGGAAGAAUAUCAAAUUUUGGAGACGUACAUUUGUAAUCUAUCCACCCUUGAUCGAACCCUAUUUGAGAGAUGUCGAUUUUCGCAUGUGGCCCUUGUAGGUAAGAGGUGUAAGUUGGACCCAACACUCGUAAACGCGUUAGUGAAAAAGUGGAGACCCGAGACACACACAUUUCACAUUUCAUUUUUCAUGCGGCGUGUGUACUAUCACUUUGGAGGACAUGCAACUAUAGCUUAGGUUACUGGUGGAUGGACUGAAAAUGACUGGAUCAGUUCAAGCAGCCAAUUGGAGAGACGUAUGCGAGGACCUUUUAAAGAGGGUUCCAGAGACAAAUUUUAGAGCCCAAAUAGAUAUGAGUUGGUUAAGAAUAAAUUUUGGUGGGCUUGAUGAGAAUUCAACUGAAGUUUAAAAAGAACAACACCUUGGGUUGUAACACCCAAAAACCCGACCUAGAAAUUAUGACUAGAUAUUGAGGGAUUAAAUCAACUCGUUCAAAGCUUCGGUUCAAAUAAAACUCAAUGCAUGCUUUGAAAACAUAAAAUUUUGGCAAAACACCCAUUGAUGGUUAGAAAAGCCGAGUUCGAAAACACUUAUUUAAAACCCAUAAUUCACAUUCAAAAUCAUGCGUUUUGAAAGUACUAACGUGAGCAGAUCAUUUCCAGUAUUAAAACAAUCAUUCGUUAUAAACCAUAUAUUUUAUUUUUAAAAAAAUACUUAAAUGAUUACUUGACCUUGUAGCGGAAAAUUUUCAAAGUUUGUUUUAGUUUGAAAACUGAAAUCUAACUUAUUAGCUCGUAUAAUUUGCAGUUUAAUGCUCAAAAUAUUAAAUGCCAACGAAUAAAACAAAAACCAAAACUAGGACCAAAAAAAUAUUAUAGUCCAAAAAUAAUUAAAUCGUAAACCCACAAAUAUUUUAUCUGGUAAACAAUUCGAUCUCCCGCACGUCGUCCGGUCCUAAGUCAGAAGUUAACCUAAAAAGUAUUAAACAAACAAAUGAGCUAGGAGCCCAAUGUGUGUCUCAACCCAUAAGCAUAAUUUUUAUUUAACAAGCACAUACGUAAAUUUGAUCACAAAAUUUUACUUUAAUGUAUCAAUAACGUAUUAGAAUGUUGUAUUACCAAAAACAUAUAUAUUUCAGAUAAUAAUAUCAUAUAACCAGAACAUAUUUCAGUUUGGAAUAUCAUAAUUUCAUAUACAAAUAUAUCAUACUAGAAUGUCAUGUUUUCAGAAUUACAAAUGUCAUACCAGACCAGAACAAAUGCAGACACAAAUCCUACCUUCAUCUGCUACACACCAACUCCAUCCAACGAAUCACACCAAUUAGGAGUUCAAGAGUUCAUCCAUCCAAAUCACACUGGAUUGUGGUGGUAUGCCACUCAUAAUAGUGCAGCUCAGUUGCCAAACAUAUAUCGUGGUUUAACCAUCGAAAAUGUAGUAAUGCUACUAAAAAACACUUUCUGCAACAAAUCAGAACCACCGUAAUGCAUAUGCUAAAUCACGUUGACAUACAUACAUAUCACAUAGGUUGUAUGCACGCAUACAUAAAUAGCUAUUAUACAGAACGUAACUUACAGAUAAUUUAUAUAGAUCAUAGCAUAUCAUAUUCAUGGUCGAAUCAGAUAGCUUAUCAGAACAGAUAACACAAUAUGUAUAACAAACAUGGUUUACAAAAUAGUCAUGCUUAACUCACGUACCUACUUAUAACAGAUAAUAUCGCAUUAUUAUAUUUAUCAUAAUUUAUUUAUCAUACCUCCUACACUUACCCAUGUUUGUUUUAUUGAAAUUUACGCUUUCUAGGCCUACAUAAUGCCCCCGGACCCAAAUUCUGAGUCCUUUAGUCGACCCCUAAUUGGCCCAAAAGAUCUACUAGGCCCAAAAAGCUAGCCCGUGUGGUCCACAUGAUCUAUCCACACGAUCUGCAUGAUCUCACGCGGCAGCGUGGGAACAUGGCCUGCAUGACAAGCCACAUGGGUUGUAAAAACACAGAUGGUCAUGUGCCUCACACAGGCUACAAAAUCACACACAGUCGUGUGUCCCUCACGGCCUACCACAUGGUUACGUGUCACUGGUCAGUUUCAGAAAACAACUUUGUUUUGCAUAUUUUCUAAAUUUUGGAUGAGUUUUUCGAGUUAGAUCACACACCUGAUUGUUGAUUUUGAUGUAGAUUCACGAAAGAACACACCAGAACCUAAAAUCAAUAUUCCAAAUGUAUAAAAUUAGUAACAAAAUGCAACACUAAAUCAAGAUUGACUCACUAACAUAACAUUAAAGCACCUACCACAAAGAAAACAACAACAACAAUAUCUAAGUCAUCGAAGGAACGCCCAACACCCCUUGUUCUUCUCCUAAAAACGCAUCGAACUCAUUAAGUACUCAAAAUACACAUUAAUACCACACUACUAAAGCUCCGAAACCCUAAGUGCCCAAUAUCAUUUAUAUGGAUUAAUUCACAUUUAUUUGGGUUAAUGUGUUAUUAUAAGAUUAAAGUCCAAAUAUCAUUUUAUCUUCUUUUUUCUUUUUUUUUUGGUUUUUUCUUUUUUGAUUUCCCAGUGCUUUUCAUUUGAUCGAUGACCAUCGUCAGCCUCACUACCACCACUUCUUCUUCAAAAGCCGGAAGAAUCGGACACAUAUCAUUCACGUGUCCUUACCCAAGUAGUGUCGAAAUUUUUUUAUAUGUUGGAAAGAUCAUCACAUGUAUUUAUGUUACAUACGCAUCACAAAACCUUGAGUUGUUUCGGCAAGACUUGGAGAACAAAAAUGAAGAAACUUGAAGGUAGCUUAGAAGAACCCAAGAGCAAUAAACGAAAACUAGACAAAAGGUUGAAAUUAUCAUUAACCAAGCCUUCUUUUCUUCUAACGCUGGGGAGAGUCCAUAUUGGCUGGGAAAAUCGGCAAAGACUUUGUUAUCUUUUGGAAGGACUUGUAAAGAGACAUAAUUGGGGAGAGGCUAGUGGAGUAUUAAGCUUGUUGCUUAAUGGUACUUCCAACAUUGGGUUGAGGGAGACCAAUUGUUUUGCAAACACAACGCUGAUGGAUGGGAUGGAAAGCUCAUGUAUGCUUAAAGGUAGGUGAUUGUAAUAUAUAUACCGUUGGUGUCUUUAUUUUUUAUGUUUUAGAGUUGCGCUAAAAUUAUAAGAUUGAGACUAACUUAACUACAAAAUUAAAUUAAGGGACAAAAUUUAAUAUUUUAACAUACUUUUUUAAUAUAUGAACCAUUGGAAUUCAUCUAAUAAACAAUAAAUGGCAUUCAAUUGAAGUUCACAAUGAGGAAUGGUUCUGUCUGUCAUAUGGCUACCACUUUUCUUUUCUACUACUUUUAAUAAAGUUUAUAUUUAUUUCUAUACGAGUAUAUUUUAUUGGAGGAUAAGUUAUUAAACUAAAAAUCAUUCUUUCUUUUUUUAACUCAAAUUAAUCAACUGAAUUUACAUAAGUUCAACAUAUGGCUUAUUUAGUAUUACUUAAAAAAAGCACUUUUGAUUCCAAAAGUAUUUUUGAAAGAAAAGUUGUGCUAAAUAAAUUACUUUUAGUUGAAAUAUCUGUUAUAAAGUCGUCGACAAUCCUUUGCUGCAUCGCCAUGUAAGUUUUAAUGUUUUUCAUUUUGUUUUUGUUCAUAAUUAUGCUCUUAUCUCCGCACUCUUUGUUUUUUGUUCUUUUCUUUUAUUCUAUCUUUUUAUAAUUUAAAUCUUUUAAUAUGUUCAUGUAUUUUUUGUGUAUUUGUUGAUUGAUAUAUUUAAAUUUAAUAUAUUGGAGCAAGAGUCGGGGUUCUAAAUACCUAACCUGGAGGAGGACUACAAGCAACUCAGUUUCAUUCUCCUACAAAACAUCUUUAACUAUUCAAAUUUUCAUAUACAGAUUAAUUCUCAUUGUAGACCCCGUACAAGGCAUAGUUUUGUGUUGAGGUUAAAUUUAAAAUAGGGUCUUGGUUGAUUAGAUUUAUGGUGUCUGAGUUAAUUUAAUGUAACUAGUCAAGACAUAGUUUUUGUCUUGAGGAGUUGGUAUUGGGAAAUGAUGAACACUAGUACUCCUGGUCUUUUUAGGAAAUUUGUUUAAGAUCUGAUGGCAUUCCUUAUUAAGUAUUGUUUUUUUUUUUUGGCAAGGGCCGCUUGGCAUGGUCUCUAUGAGGUAUAACAAUUGCCAACGAUUGCCAAUAAUUGGCCUUCUCUAAAAUUAAAACUCAAUAUUGUUCCCUUAGUACAUAAAUCUCGUUUUAUUGGGAGACUAAUGCUUCUAUAUAAAGUGCUUCCAUAAAUCAUUCUUCUAUUUUCACAAAUUUUGAGAUUUGUUUCCGUAAUUGGAAAAAAAAAUAAAGGUUAAAUACUUUUUUUUAAAAAUAGUAUUUUUAUCAAAUUUUGCUUAAAUUUUGUUAAAUAUUUUGGUUGUCAGAAAAAUUGCUUAAUAUAUAUCACAUGUUUAUUAAAUUUGUAAUAAUUUGCUUCUAAAAUAGAGAUGGUUGUGUUUUAAUUAGUAUUAACGAUGGAACAAAGUGUUAAUAUGAUAAGUAUAACCAUUUAUAUUUUUUAAGUAUAAAAAUUAAAAUCCCUAAAGUAUGAACUUUUAAUGCAUAUUUUUUUAUUUAUUUAGGUAAAGAUAUAUUUGAUUUUAUUUAAGAAUGAAUAAAAAAAAUCAAGGAAUACAAAUUAACUAUUACAUAAUCACAUUACAAUGGCAUUGUAUUCAUAGUGUUUCUCAAAAUAACCAUCUCAACUUUUAAUAUAAUAUUAGAUUUAGUUAUCAAUAUUUAUAUUCUCUUAUUAAUUUGACUUUUAUCUUUUAAAAACUAAAUUUAGCUAUUAAUUUUUUAAAAAUAAAACUUAAAUUAUUUUUAAGCUCCAUGUAUACUUCAUGUUAAUAUGACAAUAUUUGUCUUAUAUACCACGUCAAUAAAUAAUUUAAAAAUUAAAAAAUAUUAAAAAUAACAUAAAAUACACGUAGAUAGAUACAAUAAUUUAUCUUAUCAUUUAUUUAUUAUUUUUUUAUUGAAACAAUGAAUUAGAUCUCUACAAAAGAAGUAUUCGAUAGGCUCAUUUGAAUUGUUACUCAAAUAACUCCAUUUUAAGCUCUCCUUAAUUGCAUUUGUAAGUACCUCGUCUUACUUAAAUGUUUUAAUUUAAUACAACAUUUUUUUGAGAUAAAAUCCAUGUUAGUGAUUUGAAUUAAGACAUAAUAUCUUACAUAUCUCAUUGUGAUAUUACUAUUUUAGGUUAAAUGUAUUCAUUUAAUUAUAUAAGCAACACGUUUCUUAUUUCUUUAAGAUAUAAAUAAACAUACAUAAAUAGUAAUAAACAUAUAAAAGAAACACAUAAACAAUAAUAGUAUUAAUUAUAUAAUUAAACAAUAGUUGAUUUUAAAUGAUUUACUAAACCAAUUUUAAACUAGCAUGAAGAUAAUUAGUUUGGAUAUGUCUCAAUUAUAUUAGGUUAAUUUAAUAAAUAAAUUUUAAAUUUUUAUUAAUGUUGAUUUAUUUAACUUAACGAAUGAAUAUAAAUAAACAAAGAUCCAACUCAUAAACUAUUUAUUUACAACCUUAAACUUGACUUAUAUCUAUUUAGAACACUUAAGUAACGGUAAUUUAUUAUCAACUUUAGACUUCAAGAACUACGAAAUGGAUAAGAGUUGGAUGGAUUUGUCAACGGUAAGCAACGAAUAUCAAAAUGAAGUACAAAUUUUUCUAAAUUAGUUUGCAUUUAAAUUCUUAUAUUCAAAUAAUUUAUUUAAAGUGAUUGAUCUACAAGUUAACUCACGCAUUAACUUAUAUUUAUACUUUAUUUGAGAAAAUUUUAAUUUUUAUAAUUAAUCAAUUUUAAUUUACAAUUAAUUUUUACAUUAACUAACUAAACUUUUAUAAAGAAAAUUAGAAACCCCAUCGGUUAAAACUAGUUAUUUUUCCUUUUAAAAAUCUAGUUAUUUUUUUUAAAAAAAAGUAAUGUUUUAUUAUUUUAUAUAUUUAAUAUAAAAUCAUAUAAAUAUUUUAUUUUAUUUUUCACUAUUCUUUACAUCCAUUUUAUGUUCAUGUUCGGGUUUAUUAAACUAAUAUUAAAAUUAUGCAUUUUAAUAUUUAUAUUAAUAUAAUAAUAUUAAUAUAAAAACAUAUAUUUUAAUAUUUUUUAUUUAUAUACAUUAAUAUAUAAAUGUUUUUAUUAUUUUAUUAUUUUUAAAAAAGUAAUAAUAUUAAUAUAUUAUUUUUAAAAAAUAAUAAUUUUAUUUUAUUGUUUUAAUAUUUUAUAAAAAUCAAAUGUUAUAAUAUUUUUGUUUUGUUAUUUUAUUAUAUUUUAAUGUAAAUAUUUUGUAAAUACUAAUAUUUUAUAUUUUAUUUUAAACUAUAUAUAUAUAUAUAUAAGAUGUUAAGGGUAAGAUGAUAAAUUAAUAAAUAACACUUACGUUUUAACUCAUAGAAAAUACAUGGUAAGAAGAUUAACUGUUUGGCACAAGUGCAAACCGUGUUACCCCAUCCCCUAUUCCUAAUAUUGUAUCGAAAAACACAUGGUAAGAAGAGUAAUAUAUAUCCAAUUUUCAACAACCAAACAAUUUGAUGUAAUAGCAUCUAUCUUUUAUCCAUCAUUUGAGAGUUGAGUGUUAUUUAACCUAACACUCCUUUUUUACAUCAAGCCUACUAAAUGUGACUAGACUAUCAAUUUGGCUAUGAUUCUAUAUGAAACGAUAAAAAAAAUUGCGUUUUUUUAAAUUAGAAAAUCUUAAAAAUACAUAAAUUUGAAAAUUAAAUAAAAAUAGAUAAAAUUUAAAAAAUAUAUAGAUAAGUGAGAGAAAAUUAGUGAAAAUUAUUUUUCAUUAUAAGAAAAUAAUGAGAAAAAAAAGAUUGGAUUUGUUUUUUCAGUUUGGAUUUUGAAUAAUGUUGAAAAAUUUGAAGUUGCGGCAGUGUGCUAUGGGAAUUGCCCACUACCCGAACCACUAUGACACAACAACUUGCCAUAUUUGGAAGAUUGGCAAUUUACUGAUUUGUAUCUUUGGGUUGAGCUGAUAUUGUAGGACGAAUCAAGCUCAUUAAUAAAGAUUAUAUCAUUUGGAGAAACUUAUUUAGAAGAUUGGAUAGGAUUGGAUUGGCUUAUAUCAAAUCCUAUGGAUAAAGGAAGUUGGAUCGGAUCGAAAAAGUGAAGAGUUAGCUGCCAAUCAUCAAUGUUUAUUGUGGUUGUUAAUAAUAUUAUAUUGUAUUUAGCUAUUUUAGUUGUUGUUUAGUAAGGAUUGUGAUAGAUCUUCAUUAUGUUAGCAAGUCUCAAAAUCUCUAUAUGUAAUUAAGAGACUUGUAUAGGUUGAUGCACAAAUUAUUAAGAUCAUUUAUAUGUUCAAGUGAGGAACAUUAUUUUGCAAGAGUGCAUUUGUGAUUGUAAAACUCUGUAUUGUGGUUUUGCAAACUAAGUUCUCUGAGGGAGAAUUUAGUGGCGAGUGAUCUAGUCUUUGAAAGUAUAAGAGUGAGGAAUCAUCGUUGGGGUGUGAUACAUUUAGGUUCACUGAUUGUAAUUGUUUAAAUAUAGUGAUUCUACUGAGCAAGGCUUCACAAAUGUAUGGAAACUGAACUGCACAAAUAAACUUUAAUGUUUCCUAUUUUGUUUUUGCUUAUCAUAGUGCUUGCAGAAGUACACACUUUUGUAGUCACUACUGCUCAUACUUUGCUUGUUACUUAGCAACAGUUUUAGAUCAACAACAAAUCGUUUAAAUGAAUUAAAUUUUAUUAAUGGAGUUUGAAAAAGAAUAUUUUCUGGUAUAUUUUGUAUUUUUUUUAACUAAAAGAAUGGGAUCAAAGUCAAUUUCACAGGUCUUAGUGAGAUUAGUUUGAAAGAAGUUCUUCAACAGCAUGGAACUUGACUUGAAGGCAUUACUAAUUUUGUCCUAUUUUGUUUUAAAUUUGUUAUUGGAUUCUAUUAAAUAAUCUUUUGCUUUUUUAUGUCUCAAUAUUGAACAAUCUUAAGCUUUACUGCAAUAUAAUAUUAAGUUUUCUUGUAUGUUUCUAAUCACAUUUAAGCUUUGUGCAAAAUGAAUAUUAUAUUAAGAUAUUGAAAUUGAUAUAUAUUUUUUAUCCAUUUUCAUGAUUUAUGGCAAUGUUGAAUAUUUUGUUGUUGCAGAAAUCAAAAUUUUUAUAUAGAAUUUUCUAUUUUUUAAAAAUAAUAUUGAGUUUUUAAAAUUAAUUUUAUAUAGAAUUAGGGUUAAAUGGAGAGAAAGUAUAAAAGCUAAGGGUUAAAAUUGUCAUUAUACUAACUACAAAAGUGUGGUUGUUAGCUAUUUAAUAGUUGGGUAAAAAAAUAAUUUCAAAAAUGUUAGUGGCCAAAUUGUAGCUCUUUCAAUUAAGUGACACAUAAUUGAGGGAUUAAUAGUGUAAUUUACCAUUAUCUUUUUUAAACAUAUGGAUUAUUUCACAUUUAUUUGGAAUUUGUUAUUUUAUAUGGUUGAAAUAUCAUCACAUGUAUUUUUGUUUGAAUACACAUCACAAAACCUUGAGUUGUUUCGGCAUGACCUAGAGAAACAUGAAGGUAGCUUAGAAGAAUCCAAAAGCAAUAAACGAAAGCUAGAAUUACAACAAGGAGCCAAUUGCAAGAAUUUUGAUAAGUUAAAAUUACAAGAUAAGGGCUUAUUUAAUUACAAAAAUAAUUUAAAAUUUUGUUUAAACAAAGUGUAAUAAUUUAACAGAAUUUUUAAUAUAUUAGCCAAAGAAAUUCAUCUAAGUAAGAAAUGAGAUUCAAUUGAAGUUAACAAUGAAGAAUGCUUAAGAAAUGAGAUUCAGUUGAAGUUAAGAAUGAGGAAUGCUUUUAAUGUGCCCAACAUUAGACCAAGACAAAUAAUUGUAAGUUUUGUCAAAAAUCUUAGUUUUCUUUUUUAAUCUUUGAUUAAUGAGCAGAAUUCACAUACUUUGUUUUUUCUUAUACCUCAAUAAAUCUUUCUUCGCUCACAAGAAAAACAAAAAGUAAGUGGCAUAAUAACGAAUAAAUGGCAUUCAAUUUAAACAUUCACAAUGAUUAAUCUUCAAUUGAAAAAUCACUAUCUUCAAUUCAACAUGUCUUUCAUCUUCCUCUUUGGAUCCAUUGUAUAUCACUACCAAUUGGCCAUGCAGUUUCUUGAGCUGUAGCAGAUUCUUCUACUAUAAUUUCAUCAACUGAUUGGCUUGCCUGCAAAGCAAAUUAAACCUUCACUUAUUACUGUUUGCUUUUGAUGAUUGAUGAUGAAGAAAGCAUAGCCAGUUUUCCAAAAUUGGACAAAGGAUGUCAUAUUAAGAACAAUAACUGUGAAUUGAAAAUAAUAAUGCGACAAUGAUAUCUAGAAAGAAAUAUUGACAGCCAGCAGAAACCAUAUACAGUUGAUGCAAUUUCAUUUAGUCAUUUAAAGCAUUAAAAAAAAGAAUUUCUCUCAGGCAACCAAAAUAAAAAUAUUGCAUUAAUAAUGCAUAGAAAUUAAAGCUUAGUAUUGGGAGAAUACAUAGAGAAAAUAAUUCAAUGGAUGAAUUUCUGUUUUAAAGCUUACUGUUGAGUUUGGAAGAGUAGUGUACCUGUGUUUUGGCAUGCACUGAUUUCUCUGAAUCAACACUAAAUCUUGUGGUUAUGUUGGGACAACCUUCUACUGUUAAACGUAUCAAAAAUGGGAAAACAAAAUGAUAACCCACAGGGCUGAAGCUCACGAGAUUUGGUAGGUAACCAAGCUCUAAGUCGGUUAAUCGAGGUAGGCGUAUCACUUUCUCUCCGUCCUUACUCACAUUUGACUCAUCUCCUUCAAACACCUGCUCUAAUUUGGAGACCCUUUUAAGGUGUAAAUGACGUAGGUUUGGAAGGCCGCCAUGAGCAAGAGUAAUGGGGAAGAGACAUUUCAAGUUUUCACAGUUAAUGAUUGUAAUCCACUUCAAAUUAGGGAAGCAAAUAGGUUGGAGAUGAUGUUGUGAUGGAGUUUGAUCCUUCUCAAUUAUUCGCUCCAAUUCCUCACAUUGAGAUAUAUGCAAACUCGACAAUUGUGGCAAAUUUCGAGCGAUGGUAGGUGAGAAGAUGUAUCUUAACCUUCUGCAAUUGCCGACUGUCAGUUCAGUGAGAUUUUGAAAGUGUUCAACAUGGAUGGGACCACUCCAUAUCACCCGCAAUUCAGUUAGUUUGGACAACGUUAGGAAGUUUAGAGUUGAAAGAUUAUAUCCAGAAUAUUCAAAUAACUCUUCAAAAUUGGAAAUUGUUAAAUAUUCGGUACAUGUUGAUGUUCCUCCUCUCCUUUCAGGGACUGUCACGUUGCUUAUUUGCUUCUUUUCUGUCAUCUCCGGUAAGUACAAUACCUAUAAACAUAUCAUCAAUUUAAGAAUAAGCACAAGAUUUCUUUUUCAAUCUUUUAUAGUCAAAGAAUUCAAGUUUUUAUAGUCAAAGAACUCAAAUAAUCAUAAAUUACCCAAAAAAAAAUCUCCAAAAAUAUGCUGCAAAGACACAACAUAAAUAAUAUUACGCAAUACUAGAUAGUGUUUGCAAUAUAUAUAUAUAUAUAUAUAUAAGAAACUAAAUGUCUUAACAAUUUAUUCUUUGUAAAUUAUAAAAGUAUUCAGUUGAAAUGUUAUUUAUGUUACUAAUUAGUAUUGUAAUUAACUAAACUACUUAAAACGUUUAUUUAGAUUAGUUUUUAGACUAAAAUGAAAACUAUUUUUUAAAGAUUUAUACAUGCAUUUACUUAUUUUAGACAAAAAAAAAUCAAAAGGUGAAAAUUUUAAUAAAUAAUAUAUAUAAGAACGUCUUACUUUUAUACUAGUUGGAACAAUAAAAGGCGCCAACUGAGGACAAUUUCUCACGUCUAACGCGUGUAAAGAUGGCGAUGUUAGCACGAUGUCGUUUAUAUCCCUUCCUUUCAAUUGAGGCAAAUUAAUCAACACAACUUCAUUCAAUCGUGCAAGACCUUGAGACAUUGAGAUUGACACUUCUGGUCCUUGAAUUAUAUCUUGCAAUUGGGAACAUCUCUUUAUCUUCAGAGUUUGCAAUUGCCCAAGACUAUUAGCAACACAAGUUGGGAAGAGAAAUUUCAAUUUAUUGCAUUCUGUGACUUGUACUUCCCUUAGGCAUUGAAAGCUUAUGGUUGAUACUUGUGAGUCUUGGAUUAUUUCUUCCAUUCCAAAGCACCUCUUUAUCUUCAGAGUUUGCAAAUUGGGCGCAUUUAGUUGUUUAGAGCUACCUUGAGCAACAAUAAUUGGAAAGAGAGAUUUUAAGCUUUCGCAUCCCAAGAUCUCAAUUCGAAUCAGAUUUGGAAAGUAAAUAGGUAGGGGAUGAUGUUGUGAUGACGUUUGAUCUUGCUCCAAUUCCUCAUAUUUACAUGAAUGCAAAUUGCUCAAUAGUUCAUUUGUCAUCUUCCCAAUCACCAAUUCCUAUAAACAUAUCAUCAAUUUUCAAUUUCAAAAUGUUCAAACAUGUCAACAACUAACUUAACAUUUCAUCAAUUAAUUUCCUUACAAAAAAAUUAUUUUACCUUAAAUCAUUAUUAUACUCCAAAAAUGUGGUACAAAAACAGUCAUAAAUAAUAUCACAUAAUCUGUACAACGCAAUUGGGAAUUACUUAAACUCAUUUUCAUAUAUUAAUACAAAAUAAAAAACCAACUGUGUAAAAGGCUAUAUUUAAAAAAAUUUAAAUAUAUAUUUUUCUAGUUUAUUUUUUAAUACAAAUUCUAAAAUCAUUCAUAAUUCCUUCCAACAUUUAAAUAGAAAGAUAAACGUGAGAGCGCUCAAACCCACAUUCUCCUAUUCAGACAACAACAUCGAUACCAUCCAAACUAAAACUUAUAUAUAAUUUUAUACAGCUUAUUUUUGUUUAGCCAUAUAAUAGGUAUAAUAUUAUUUAGUAUUAGAAUUUGCAACAUCUAAAACAUAAAGUUUGGAUAAUUUUUUUUUUUGAAAAUUUUAUUAAUCUUAUUAUAUGGUAUUAUAAUCAACUAAUUUGUUUAAAAGGUUAUUUAGAUUAGUUUUAGACCAAAAUCAUAAAAUAAAAUAUAUCUUUUAAACAACUAUUCAAACAACGAAUUAUUAAAGAAAAAACAGAAACAAAUAAAUAAAUAAUAUCAAACAAAAAGAAAAAUCUUACUUGUAUCGUAGUCGAAAUAAUAAAAUGUGUCAAUUGAGGACAAUUGUGUACUUUUAACUUCUGCAAAGACGAUUGUGUGAGCAAAAUGCCGUUCACAUCUGUUUUUUUCAAUUGACGCUCCAUAAUCUACGAAACACAAAGCCAUCUAGAAAAUGUUCAGAAGAAAUAUCCAAUGAUAUUACAACCAACUUUGGCGAUAAAUUCAACUCUGAUAGGCUGGCAUAGCUUUCCCUUUUAGUUGAAUUCUCAGUCGCCCAUUUUAAUGAUCUACAGCCAUGCAAAUAUAGUUCUUCUAAAUUGGACAAUCUUCGUAUUAAAUUAGGAGUGAUUCUUCGUAGUUCAUAGCUAUACGAUAAAUCCAACAGUCUUAGAUUUUCCAAAUCACCAGCUUCAGUCGGCAAUUCAGUGAUAUCAGAUCGACUUAAAGAGAGAAUAUGAAGUGUCUUCAGCUUCCCAAGCAUUGAGAUGUCAGAGAGUUUACAAUUAAUCAAAUACAAAGUCUGAAGGUUCAUAUGAAACUGAAAUGUAGACAGAGAUAUCAACAGAUGAUUCAAAGCACAAAUUUUUAAUGCCUUCAUACCCUCAAAGAAUUCGCUUGAAGUUUCCAUGAAACGAUUGGCACCAUGUAAAAGAAGUUUGAGGUAUGGAAAACCCACUCCUUUAGGAAGUUCAUCCGUUUGAUCAGUUUCGAAGGAGAUUGCUGUGUAAUGCUUGAAACUUUCAUCCAUCGGGAGUGUUUCAACAGUCCCAAAAGAAAACUCCUUUCUUGAAGAUGCUAUCCACAAAGCAAAUUGGCGAACCACAUCAUGCAUUUUAACAUGCCUUUCUCUGCAAUCUAGCAACAAACCAGAGUUCUUGAUGAUCUCAAUCGAUGCAAACACUUCGCUUCUAACAUAUUUAAUUGGGUCGAUGCAUUUACACAACUUCAGUCCCCAUGCAUAUCCUACCAAGUUCUCCACAUAAAUCUCAUCAUCUUCAGGAAAUAAAGAGCACAACAAGAAACAUGUCUUUGUCUCCAUAUUCUUCAAGUAGUCGAAGCUCACCCGAAGACAUACAUAGGCAUUUUCUUCAAUAACAUCCUCAAUUUCAGUCAAUCUACGAUCUUUGAGCCUCCGGUAUGCAGCUUGCCACUCAUGAUGGGUUUUACCUUUCAAGGCACUUCCCAGAGGAACUAUAGCUAUAGGCAAACCCCCACAUUUUUGGACAAUUUGAUUUGCUAGGAUUUUAAUAGAAUCAUCAGAAAAGUCAUAUAGACCUGCUUUCUUUUCAAACAGAGUCCAAGCUUCAUCAUCAUUCAAACAGCCAAGUUGUACCACGUUUUGACAAUCCAUAGCUUGACAUACUUGUUGACGGCGUGUUGUUAAAAGAACUUUGCAGCCUUUAUGAUCCUCCCCAAUUGGAAUUCCUAUCUUCUCCUUUAAGUUGAUAGAUUCCCAAAUAUCAUCAAGGAUGAUAAGAAUCCUCCGUUCAUUCUUCAGCAGUAACCAUAAUUCUUGCUCGGAUCUUCUUCCUUGUUCAUUCUUCAUAUCAAAGCCUAUGUAUUGUGCAAUUUGAUCUUGAAUUCUCUCAAAAUUUGGCUUUUGAGACACAACCGUAAUCACAACUUUGUCAAACAAAUUCAGUUUUUGAGCUUGACUUCCAACUUCACGAGCCAGGGUGGUCUUGCCCACCCCUCCCAUCCCCCACAACCCAAUCAUGUUGAUAUUCUCAUCUUUUAAGGCUUCAAUGAUUUGAUAGAAUGCAGUCUCUGAAGAUUUCGAAAACACAAAUUCCUUAGAACAUAGGAAAUCUAUAGUGGGAAGGGCGGUAGGAGCAGGGUAACCGACUGGUCCAAGUAGACCAAAUUUGUCCAAAAGCUCAGAGAUAUCCUGGAUUUUCUUCAUUGCUUUCUUGCUUAAUUGAUAUCUCCAACUCCAAUUAGGACACCAAUUGAGACACCUCUUAUUCAGUUGGAUUUCCUCCUCCAGAGUUCCCAUAUCCGACAGUGUUUCGUCUGCCCUUGAUUGCAAGUUCUGUACAUCGUUUUCAAUUAGUAGAAGCCGAUUUUUAGCAUCCUCAAUCUUAUGUAGUAGACGAACUCGUGCAUCUGCAAGUUCACGCUUUUUCUCUCGGAGCUUUUCAACAUUGUCAUGAAAGCAACGGACAUAAUCAAGUUGACGUCCUACCGGCUUCACCACACAGUCCACAACCAGUGUUCCAACUGUGUUAGAAAGAGCAGCCUCACAAAAUCCGCAACCCAUGCUUGACAAGCUCAAAUUGAAGAAUAUGAUGUUCCAAGUUCAAACACUGUAGUGAAUCAUAAGUAAUUACCAUAAAAAAAAAUUAAAGAAUCAAAAAGUGUUUUGAAGAUUAAGACACUACUUCUUAUACAUACCAAGGAUGGUGAAAGACAACUCAACCUAUGAGAAUCAAUGGGCUGUUCUUUCAACUCAGUCCAGCUGAAAACACAAUGAGAAAUUUAAUAAACAAAUAAAAUCAUAUACGAGUGUAAUGUCAUAUAAUUAUAACUAAAAAAGAAGGUUAAUUACUGAUAAAAAUAAUAAAUCAAAAUAUUUUUACCCUUACACUAAUAAUAUUAUAGAUAUAAUGCUGGAAAAGAUAAUAAACAUAUCCCCCUACCAUUUCAAAAUCCAAACAGUCUUUUAGCUCUUACUUGCUUCAAGAAAAACAUUAAAAGAUGAGAUGAGAUCAAUUUAUUUAUAAAAAACAGAAAUGAAGCAUAUAUAAAUAGAUUUACCUCACUUGGGAACUUUUAAAAUCAAACUACACUUAGUGCUCAGAAGAUUCUUACUUCAAUACAAUCAAAGGGGAGGGAUUUGAAGGUUGGUUUUUUUUUUUUUUUUUUUUAGCAAAAGUAAGUAAAACUGAAUACAAAAAGAAAGGAACUUGAAGAAAGGGGUGGAAAAAAGAACAUAAAAAGAUCAGAUGAGAUCAGAAAUAUAUAUAACAAAUUUAAUUUAUAUAUAACACAAAUAUAAAUAGAUUUUCCUCGCUUGGGAACUUCAAAAUCAAACUACACUUAGUGUUGAGAAGAUUCUUACUUCAAAACAAUCAAAAGGGAGGGAUUUUAAGGUUGGUUUUUUUUUUUUUUAGCAAAAGUAAGUAAAACUGAAUGCAAAAAGAAAGGAACUUGAAGGAAGGGAAAUAAAAAGAAAAAACAACAAAGUAGAGAUCAAGGUUGAACUAAAAAAAGGAGAAACUUUCAGAAAGAAAUUGAAGUUGAUCUGCCUGGAAAAGUCAACCACUCGGAAAGCAUAAACUCUAACACAACUGGGUUUUCUUGGUUUAGUAGCCAAAGGAUUUGUGUUAUGAG